Molecule: long non-coding RNA, 301415 nt
Filed under: Triticum aestivum (bread wheat)
Lineage: Eukaryota; Viridiplantae; Streptophyta; Magnoliopsida; Poales; Poaceae
Description: long non-coding RNA (TAES_LNC009704)
Source: RNAcentral
AUGGAUGUUGUAUUGCAGCAACACAACAUAGCGCAUGGAAGAUCACAAGUUUUGCAACAAAGUACUUACCAGCUGUUACAAGAAUUGUGUUGUCAGCACCUAUGGCAGAUCCCUGAGCAGUCGCAGUGCCAGGCCAUCCACAAUGUUGUUCAUGCUAUUAUUCUGCAUCAACAACAAAAACCACAACAACAACCAUCGAGCCAGGUCUCCUUCCAACAGCCUCUGCAACAAUAUCCAUUAGGCCAGGGCUCCUUCCGGCCAUCUCAGCAAAACCCACAGGCCCGGGGCUCUGUCCAGCCUCAACAACUGCCCCAGUUCGAGGAAAUAAGGAACCUAGCGCUACAGACGCUACCCGCAAUGUGCAAUGUCUACAUCCCUCCAUAUUGCACCAUCGCGCCAUUUGGCAUCUUCGGUACUAACUGAGAAGAAAAUAACUCUAGUACUAGAUAUAUGAAACACCGUUUUCUCAGUCCAUGGUUUGGUCGUUGUAGCGGUGAAAAAAUAAUGUGACAUGCACUAUCAGGUAAGAACCCGAACUAUACUAGUUCAAACUUGGGAAUAAAAGACAAACACAGGUCUUGUCUACAUAUUUAUGUUGCAUCUAUUUAUAUAUUAAAAGUAAUAUAAGGUGAACCAGGAGCAAGGUAAAUAUGCUAGAAAAUUGCACGUUAAUUAGAAAUUACUAGCCCUCGAUCUGAUAAAUCUUAACGAACAUAUAUAAUGCUCUGGGCCUCCAACGACUGUACGUGACACAUCUGAACGAACAUAUGUUAAAGAAAAUAUAUUUGGUAAAUGGUGGGCUUCUUUAAAAAGAGAACUCACGUACAUGCACCAACUAAGAAAAACACAUACAUGUAAACGGGAAAAGGAUGAGAUUUUCUCACGUACGUGCUCCCUGGCUCCACCCCGUUGAAAAAAUAUACAUCUGGAGGCCACUUUGUUUCCUCAUCAAAAAAACUUACGUUAAAAAGAUUGCAUGCAUCCCAGGGAAAAUAGUCAAGAAGAAGUCGGACUUUUCCUUACAAAAACAAGGAACGUGUUAAGUUGACUUCAAAGAAAAAAGGAACAUGUUAAGUUAAAAAAAAACAAGAAACCUGUUAAGUUAGAAAAAAAACAAGGAACGUGUUGUCCAAGGAAAGAGGAAGAAGAAAGUUGGUUUCAGUGAGUCAUGUGAAUUGUAGAAGAAAUAGGUAAACAAGGCUAGCUCCCCUGGGGGUUGUCAUAUUACAAUCAUUUGUAUUACUUUCCUACCAAUCCUGAACUAGCUAUGACCCUUAUAGCGAGCCUCACUUUACCGUUUCAGAUAGAAACAUAUGGCAGUACUGUACGUACUCGAGAGAAGUUGCUCCCUUCCAUGACAAGGACUAGUUAAGUUUCACUAUCUCCUUUCUCAACUCACUAUAUCCCAGCGGCGGAUUAAUAUAUAUACGUUGAAAAGCAAGGGGAUAAAUUGAACGAAAUGAAGAGCAAUCCAGAAUCCUAUUUUGUAUAUGUGUCAAAUCUUACAAAAAAAAAAGAAUACACACACGUACGUUCAUGCACUUGGAAAAUAGAAAAAAAAGGAACAUCACGUAUGUAUACACUUCGGAAACUCAUUACAUGACCAUGUCUGAUAUACUCCUCUAAUGCUUCAUAUUAGUGCCUAAUAAUUUAUAUUUAAAAUUCAAUUUACUGAUCAAAUAUCCCCACUGUUUAAAUUUUAAUUUGGCACAUUGUUUGGCUAUAGUAUGAACCUAAAUUUCCUCUUAUUAUUAUAUAUCAUGGUAAUAAUCCAAAGGCGACUAAUCUGCGCCGGCGCACCGGCGCAAUCAAUUCCGCUGGACACAGCGCGGCCGUUUGAUUAGAUUGCAUUUAACCGUCAGAUCUGGAAUCGUUUUCUUUCCAAUUAAACAGAUUCAACCAAACAGCAGAGGGGAAAACAAAGCAGCGCCGCCGCCAACACUAGCCAUGGACGACCGAUGUAGCAAAACCUUGAAGAACCGCCGCCGGUCGCCACCCUCGCUGCUGGUCGCCGCCCUCGCCGUCGGUCACCGCCGGUCGCCGCCCUCGCCGCACUCGUGGUUGCAGGCUUGCAUCUCCGCCUCCGGGGGACAUGGCCGCAUGUCCGGUAGCGCCGGCCGCCGGCCGGUGCACCUGUCGUUGUGGUCGCGCUGUACCUCGCCGUGUGCCCUCCCGUGGCUCUUGCUGGUUCCAACAAAAAACGAUACCGGUUGUAGCAAAAAAAUAUCGCUUCCAGCAAAAAAGCUUACCGCUACAGCCCGCCAUCGUCAUUGUAGCAAAAAUGUUAACCCGAUGUAGCUUCUGUGGUUGCCGACUGCAGCAAAAAAUGACAUGGUUGUAGCAAAACACAAAAGAAAAACGCCGGCCGGCCUCUGUGUAUGGUGGUAACAAACCCCAUAGCCGGUGGUAGCGAAAAACUUCAUAGUGCGCAGCAAAAAAAUGUUGUCACCCGUCGUCGAGGUUGCAUCAUCUUCAUGAAUUAUGUCGCAAAAAAACGUUGUCGCCGGUAGUAGCAAAUGAAGCCGCCGGUAGUAGCAAAACAAGACACUGGUUCCAGCCAAAAAAAAUCAGCGACAGAACCUUUGGUUGGUUCCAACAAAAAAACUUGUCGGUCGUAACAUCCCUCGCCGCCGGAUGUAGCAUCUCCCGGGGCUGGUUGCAACACUCCAUAAAAAAAAGUUGUCUAUGAGCGCAUCCAUGGUGACUGCUGCACCGUCAGCAACGAGGGGAAGAGGAGGCAAUGAAAAUCGUUCGAGUCAUAGCUCCACAGGACGCGGCUGCAGCAUGGGGAGUCCAAAAAUCUGUCACAAGCAACAUGCGCCUCGCCAUCCUCCUGCGCAGGAGAGAGAAGAAAAAGGAAUAAGAGGAAGAAGAAAGAAAACGGGAGAAAGAAAAAAGAAACGAUUGGUGGUUGGCUCAGGCAAUUAGUCAAGCGAGGGGCACGCGGGGCGCAGGAUACAGCGCAAUCGAACGAAGCGCGCGCGUCCGGCGAAGACUCGGCCGGACUGCCGGCUGGAAACGUUUCCCUAAUCCAAAGGCUUUAUCUGAAUGACAACUCGUCUGGGUUACCGGCUAACUAGAAAAAAGAUAAAUAUGCUAGAGAAUUUCAUAAUAAUUAGAAAUAUCUAGCCUUUAAUUAUGUAAAUCAGAAAAUCACAACCGUUGGAUUUACUUUAAAGGUAAAUUUCUCUAAAUUCCCACCAUUGCCAGUAUGUAGAAACAUGUGCUGCUUCAAUUCUCCCAUAAUCACCAAUCAAUCAACAACACAAAACAUACCUCAGUUAAAAAAACUGAACAAAAAAAAAGAAAAAAGAAGAAAGGACAAGAUACACGCAUGUACACGACAGCCUUGGCUUGAAACACAUCAGUAGAUCAAGUGUCCGCCUCCCUUACACAGAAUAAACUCAUAGGGAAGAAAAUAAUUGUGCAACCUAACCUUAUACGUACUAUUCUAUCCUCACGUCCCAUGAGGUUUACUAGCCUACCGCCGCCGCAUCAUGCCAUCCCCUCCUUUCAGCUCCCAUGCUUUCCAGCACCCUCAUUGCCGCGCCACUACUUGCCUAGGGAUAUUGCUGCUCAGACCGUGGAGCUUAACCUGCUUCUUCUUCAGCAAAUAUGGUACUGCUUUAGGAUCCUUCUCACAUCAGCACGUAUGGGCCUCAUUAUACUGCAGCUCCUGGACCUCCUACAAUUGGUUGGCUAUGGCCAGUUGAUCGAUGUGCCGAAGUCCAGGUCUGUUUGCUGGCACAUAUGCUUUGGAAAUAGGCCACUAUGUUUGUACUUCAAAAUUGUUUCUGUAUUCUUGAGUGGUACAUCCUUUUAAGCGCCAGUUUUUUAUGUCAAUUCAUGCUGACAACACUUAACCUAGCCUUUCAUCUUCACGUACUAAAUACAGGAGCAAGUAAAAACAACAGACCACCUAAUUGCUCUGCAUGUACUACAUAGGAAAAUUUGUCAUGUUCUACGAUCGCACCAUCCCACACUUCUCUCUUGGUAUGGGCGCCAAUUGAGGGAUUGAUAAAACUGAAACGAAGACGUCACGGGGCUGGAAGUACCGCUAGCCUGGUUUGCACUGCAACCUACUCAACGCCAUCAGAAACUAGCAACUGAGGCAGUUGUUGAUCGAUUCUCUCAAAUUGCUCUCAUGUAAGUACUACCCCUUGCAUGUGCGUACAUACCUUUGUUCCAUUCUCAAACAGAUAGAACAUUUAUGAUCGGUGCAUGGCUAUUUUUCAUCACAUGACAUCCAGAUAACAAGCAUGAAAGGACUACAUUGGAGAUCAAAAAAUAUUGGUUCCUGGCUAGAGGACCACUACCUAUGGACUUGUCUCCAUAGAAUUUGUUCCCAAGAUGUUAUUUUAAUUAACCUCUUUAGCUUUCUUCCAUUGCAAACGGUGAUGUGCAUCUUGGUAUAUACGUGACCAUCUUGCACAUGUAUACACAAGAGGCUCAGACGGAGGUGCUGGAUUCUGGACGAGGGAAUAUGAAGCAGCAGUGAGCGAAGAGUAAAUAAUGGUGGGAGUACCGAUUGGUGUUAUGAAGAAAAAUGCCAUCCAAAGAUUGAUUAGUGUCAUGGAAGAUUAAUUUCUGAAUGCGAAUAUAUAUGUUACAUUGGUUUGGAUCUUUUUGAGAUAAUUGCACAUAAAUUAGGUUCUUUCUUAUUUCAUAUGUAUACCUUAUUUCAGUAAAAGUUCACAACGAACUUAGUAGGACAAAUAUAAUUUUGUUUGUUCUUUCUGUUGUCCGCCACCAAAGCUCAAUUUGAACUCUCUAGAAAUGGACAAUGAUUUAUGCAUUCUAUAUCUUCUUGAUUCAUUAGCCAUGACAAGGAAAUAAAAGGAUUGACUGAUAUAGCAUAACUUUGGAACGAUCUGUUCGUAGAGGUUACUACAAAUUAGAGUAGUGUCUGCUGGAAUUUUGCCAGUAGGUCUUUGGCCCAAAGCCCAACUAAAAUUCUGAAAUUCUCUUGGCUCAUUUAUGCACACAUGUGAGUUGAGUGAGUGAGACUAAAGUUUAGUCCCACCCCGGAGUUGAGAGAGAGUUGCACCUCUUUAUAAGGUGAGCUCUUCUACCACUUGUAUGAGCAUGAGAAGAGGAGACCUACACGCGCGCUCCUCCUCCUCGCUCGCCACGCCUCGCCGCGCCGCGCCGCGGGUUGCGGGAUUGAGCCGAGCCGAGGACGUUGUCUAUAUUUUUGCUGCUCGGGAAAAAUUAAUGAGUCAUUAAUUAAUAAUUAAUGGACGCAUUAAUUACUGAACCGUUUCCGAUUUUUUUGGAUCGUGACGAAUCGGACGCGGGGUUUACUCCCAGGACCUACCCGGCCCGCACUAUAUAGUCAGGCAGACGUCUACCCUAGCCGCCGCCGCUUCAUAUGGUUUCUCACCAUCGUUACAGAUCAUUGCGCCACCAAGCAAGUUUUCUCCAUCCCUCCUUUCGGCGUGCACCGGGAGAAGGGAUAGCAGACCUCCGGAACCCCGCCUCUCGUGAUCCUGUACGGGAGAGGGGCGAUCAGGCUUUUGGGGAGCACACUCGCACUACUGUUGGCAGCGACGACUUCGCAAACGAGGACUUCUUCCCCGACCUCGGCAACCUCAUCCUCGACGACAUGGGCGACAACGUCAACGCCGGCGGUGCUACACCCACUGCACCGUAUGUUAUUCUCUCCUUCUUGUUCGAGGUCGUGGUAGAAUUCAAAGUAUAUGUGCCCUAGAUGUGAUCUGUUCAUCUACUAUGGUAGUUCGCAUGAUUAGUUUAAUCUCUGCUAUUGCUGUCAUGAUCUAUUUCCUAUUUAUUCGGAUUAAAUCUCGUAGUAAUUUGCUCAUUUUUCCAACAAUCCAAAAACCUGAUUAAUGGAAAUUUACUCCGAGUGGUUUUGCUGCGCAUCUGAAAGCCGCUUGCCUUUAAGGGGGCGCAAUAUAAGAGGUGGCUCACAAGAGUAGUCUACUGGUUUCAGAUCAUGGGCUGCUAUGACGCCACCAAGGGCAAGCCUGAGGGCGAUCUUAAUCCAGCACAGCUGGAUGCUAUGACAACGGCAAGAACACGUGGGCUACGCUCGAGGCCAAGUUUGGUGCCUCGGACGCCGGCAGCGAGUUGUACGUCAUGGAGCAAUUCUAUGACUCCAAGAUGACUGAUGAGCGCCCUGUUGUACAGCAGGCUCAUGAGAUACAGUUGCUCGCAAAAGAACUUGAGUACUUCAUGUUGGGGAACGUAGUAAUUUCAAAAAAAUUCCUACGCACACGCAAGAUCAUGGUGAUGCAUAGCAACGAGGGGGAGAGUCUGAUCUACGUACCCUUGUAGAUCGCAACGGAAGUGUUGACACAGCGUAGAGGAAGUAGUCGUACGUCUUCUUCCCGAUCCGACCGAUCCAAGCACCGUUACUCCGGCACCUCCGAGUUCUUAGCACACGUUCAGCUCGAUGACGAUCCCCGGGCUCCGAUCCAGCAAAGCUUCGGGGAGGAGUUCCGUCAGCACGACGGCGUGGUGACGAUCUUGAUGUUCUACCGACGCAGGGCUUCACCUAAGCACUACAACGGUAUGAUCGAGGUGGAAUAUGGUGGCAGGGGGCACCGCACACGGCUAAGGAACGAUCUCAAUGAUCAACUUGUGUGUCUAGAGGUGCCCCCUGCCCCCGUAUAUAAAGGUUGCCAGGGGGAGGGCUGGCCGGCCAAGCUAUGGAGGCGCAGGAGGAGUCCUACUCCUACCGGGAGUAGGACUCCCCCCAAUCCUAUUCCUAAUAGGACUCCCAAGUGGAAAGAGAGGGAGAGAGGUGGCCGGCCACCUCUCCUAGUCCUAAUAGGACUAGGGGAGGGGGGAGGCGUGCAGCCCACCUUGGGCUGCCCCUUUCACCUUGCCACUAAGGCCCAAUAAGGCCCAUUUGGUUCCCGGGGGGUUCCGGUAACCUCCCGGUACUCCGGUAAAAUCCCGAUUUCUCCCGAAACACUUCCGAUGUCCAAACAUAGGCUUCCAAUAUAUCAAUCUUGAUGUCUCGACCAUUUCGAGACUCCUCAUGAUGUCCGCGAUCACAUCCGGGACUCCGAACAACCUUCGGUACAUCAAAAUGCAUAAACUCAUAAUAACUGUCAUCGUAACGUUAAGCGUGCGGACCCUACGGUUCGAGAACAAUGUAGACAUGACCGAGACACGUCUCCGGUCAAUAACCAAUAGCGGGACCUGGAUGCCCAUAUUGGCUCCUACAUAUUCUACGAAGAUCUUUAUCGGUCAGACCGCAUAACAACAUACGUUGUUCCCUUUGUCAUCGGUAUGUUACUUGCCCGAGAUUCGAUCAUCGGUAUCCAAUACCUAGUUCAAUCUCGUUACCGGCAAGUCUCUUUACUCGUUCUGUAAUACAUCAUCCCGCAACUAACUCAUUAGUUGCAAUGCUUGCAAGGGUUGUAUAAUGUGCAUUACCGAGAGGGCCCAGAGGUACCUCUCCGACAAUCGGAGUGACAAAUCCUAUUCUCGAAAUACGCCAACCCAACAUCUACCAUUGGAAACACCUGUAGUACUCCUUUAUAAUCACCCAGUUACGUUGUGACGUUUGGUAGCACCCAAAGUGUUCCUCCGGCAAACGGGAGUUGCAUAAUCUCAUAGUCAUAGGAACAUGUAUAAGUCAUGAAGAAAGCAAUAGCAACAUACUAAACGAUCGGGUGCUAAGCUAAAGGAAUGGGUCAUGUCAAUCAGAUCAUUCAUCUAAUGAUGUGAUCCCAUUAAUCAAAUAACAACUCUUUGUCCAUGGUUCGGAAACAUAACCAUCUUUGAUUAACGAGCUAGUCAAGUAGAGGCAUACUAGUGACACUCUGUUUGUCUAUGUAUUCACACAUGUAUUAUGUUUCCGGUUAAUACAAUUCUAGCAUGAAUAAUAAAUAUUUAUCAUGAUAUAAGGAAAUAAAUAAUAACUUUAUUAUUGCCUCUAGGGCAUAUUUCCUUCAGUCUCCCACUUGCACUAGAGUCAAUAAUCUAGAUCACAUCACCAUGUGAUUAACAUCGAUAGUUCACAUCAUCAUGUGAUUAACACCCAUAGUUCACAUCGCCAUGUGACCAACACCCAAAGGGUUUACUAGAUUCAGUAAUCUAGUUCACAUUGCUAUGUGAUUAACACCCAAAGAGUACUAAGGUGUGAUCAUGUUUUGCUUGUGAGAGAAUCUUAGUCAACGGGUCUGCCACAUUCAGAUCCACAUGUAUUUUGCAAAUUUCUAUGUCAACAAUGCUCUGCAUGGAGCUACUUUAGCUAAUUGCUCCCACUUUCAAUAUGUAUCUAGACCGAGACUUAGAGUCAUCUAGAUUAGUGUCAAAACUUGCAUCGGCGUAACCCUUUACGACGAAUCUUUUUAUCACGUCCAUAAUCGAGAAACAUAUCCUUAUUUCACUAAGGAUAAUUCUGACCGAUGUCCAGUGAUCUACUCCUAGAUCACUAUUGUACUCCCUUGCCAAAUCAGUGCCGGGUAUACAAUAGAUUUGGUAUACAGCAUGUCAUACUUUAUAGAACCUAUGGCCAAGGCAUAGGGAAUGACUUUCAUUCUCUUUCUAUCUUCUGCCGUGGUUGGGCUUUGAGUCUUACUCAACUUCACACCUUAUAAUACAGGCAAGAACUCUUUCUUUGACUGCUCCAUUUUGAACUACUUCAAAAUCUUGUCAAGGUAUGUACUCAUUGAAAAAACUUAUCAAGCGUCUUGAUCUAUCUCUAUAGAUCUUGAAGCUCAAUAUGUAAGCAGCUUCACCGAAGUCUUUCUUUGAAAAACUCCUUUCAAACACUCCUUUAUGCUUUAUAGAAUAAUUCUACAUUAUUUCCGAUUAACAAUAUGUCAUUCACAUAUACUUAUCAGAAAUGUUGUAGUGCUACCACUCACUUUCUUGUAAAUACAGGCUUCACCGCAAGUCUGUAUAAAACUAUAUGCUUUGAUCAACUCAUCAAAGCAUAUAUUCCAACUCCGAGAUGCUUGCACCAGUCCACAGAUGGAUCGCUGGAGCUUGCACAUUUUGUUAGCACCUUUCGGAUUGACAAAACCUUCUGUUGCAUCAUGUACAACUCUUCUUUAAUAAAUCCAUUAAGGAAUGCAGUUUUGUUUAUCCCUUUGCCAGAUUUCAUAAAAUGCGGCAAUUACUAACAUGAUUCGGACAGACUCAAGCAUAGAUACGAGUGAGAAGCUCUCAUCGUAGUCAUCACCUUGAACUUGUCGAAAAACUUUUGCGACAAUUCUAGCUUUGUAGAUAGUAACACUACUAUCAGCGUCCGUCUUCCUCUUGAAGAUCCAUUUAUUCUCAAUUGCUUGCCGAUCAUCGGGCAAGUCAACCAAAGUCCAAACUUUGUUCUCAUACAUGGAUCAUAUCUCAGAUUUCAUGGCCUCAAACCAUUUCGCGGAAUCUGGGCUCAUCAUCGCUUCCUCAUAGUUCGUAGGUUCGUCAUGGUCAAGUAACAUGACCUCCAGAACAGAAUUACCGUACCACUCUGGUGCGGAUCUCACUCUAGUUUACCUACGAGAUUCCGUAGUAACUUGAUCUGAAGUUACAUGAUCAUCAUCAUUAGCUUCCUCACUAAUUUGUGUAGUAGUCACAAGAACAGAUUUUUGUGAUGAACUACUUUCCAAUAAGGUAGAAGGUACAAUUACCUUAUCAAGUUUUCUACUUUCCUCCCACUUACUUCUUUCAAGAGAAACUCCUUCUCUAGAAAGGAUCCAUUAUAAGCAACGAAUGUCUUGCCUUAGGAUCUGUGAUAGAAGGUGUACCCAACAGUCUCCUUUGGGUAUCCUAUGAAGACAUAUUUCUCCGAUUUGGGUUUGAGCUUAUCAGGAUGAAACUUUUUCUCAUAAGCAUCGCAACCCCAAACUUCAAGAAACGACAACUUUGGUUUCGUGCCAAACCAUAGUUCAUAAGGCGUCGUCUCGACGGAUAUAGAUGGUGCCCCUUUUUUUAACGUGAAUGCAGCUGUCUCUAAUGCAUGACCCCAAAAACGAUAGUGGUAAAUCGGUAAGAAACAUCAUAGAUUGCACUAUAUCCAAUAAAGUACGGUUAUGGCGUUCGGACACACCAUUAUGCUGUGGUGUUCCAGGUGGCGUGAGUAGUGAAACUAUUUCACAUUGUUUUAACUGAAGACCAAACUUGUAACUGAAAUACUCUUUUCCACGAUCAGAUCGUAGAAACUUUAUUUUCUUGUUACGAUGAUUUUCCACUUCACUCUGAAAUUCUUUGAACUUUUCAAAUGUUUCCGACUUAUGUUUUAUCAAAUAGAUAUACUCAUAUCUGCUCAAAUCAUCUGUGAAGAUCAGAAAAUAAUGAUACCUAUCGCGAGCCUCAAUAUUCAUCGGACCACAUACAUCAGUAUGUAUGAUUUCCAACAAAUCUGUUGCUCGCUCCAUUGUUCAGAAGAACAAAGUCUUAGUCAUCUUGCCCAAAAGGCAUGGUUCGCAAGCAUCAAGUGAUUCCGAAAGCCCAUCAGCAUGGAGCGCUUUAUACCAAUAUGACCUAAACGGCAGUGCCACAAAUAAGUUGCACUAUCAUUAUUAACUCUGCAUCCUUUGGUUUCAAUAUUAUGAAUAUGUGUAUCACUACGAUCGAGAUCCAACGAACUUGUUUCAUUGGGUGUAUGACCAUCGAAGGUUUUAUUCAUGUAAACAGAACAACAAUUAUUCUCUGACUUUAAUGAAUAACCGUAUUGCAAUAAAUAUGAUCAAAUCAUAUUCAUGCUCAACGCAAAAACCAAAUAACACUUAUUUAAGUUCAACACUAAUCCCGAAAGUAUAGGGGAGUGUGCGAUGAUGAUCAUAUCAAUCUUGGAACUACUUCCAACACACAUCGUCACUUCACCCUUAACUAGUCUCUAUUUAUUCUGCAACUCCUGUUUUGAGUUACUACUCUUAGCAACUGAACCAAUAUCAAAUACUAAGGGGUUGCUAUAAACACUAGUAAAGCACACAUCAAUAACAUGUAUAUCAAAUAUACUUUUGUUCACUUUGCCAUCCUUCUUAUCCGCCAAUCACUUGGGGUAGUUCCGCUUCUAGUGACCAGUCCCUUUGCAGUAGAAGCACUUAGUCUCAGGCUUAGGAUCAGACUUGGGCCUCUUCACUUGAGCAGCAACUUGCUUGCCGUUCUUCUUGAAGUUCCCCUUCUUCCCUUUGCCCUUUUCUUGAAACUAGUGGUCUUGUCAACCAUCAACACUUGAUGUUUUUCUUGAUUUCUACCUUCGUUUAUUUCAGCAUCACGAAGAGCUUGGGAGUUGUUUCUGUUAUCCCUUGCAUAUUAUAGUUCAUCACGAAGUUCUACUAACUUGGUGAUGGUGACUAGAGAAUUCUGUCAAUCACUAUCUUAUCUGGAAGAUUAACUCCCACUUGAUUCAAGCGAUUUUAGUACCCAGACAAUCUGAGCACAUGCUCACUAGUUGAGCGAUUCUCCUCCAUCUUUUAGCCAUAGAACUUGCUGGAAACUUCAUAUCUCUCAACUCGGGUAUUUGCUUGAAAUAUUAACUUCAACUCUUGGAACAUCUCAUAUGGUCUAUGACGUUCAAAACGUCUUUGAAGUCCCGAUUCUAAGCCAUUAAGCAUGGUGCACUAAACUAUCAAGUAGUCAUCAUAUUGAGCUAGCCAAACGUUCAUAACGUCUGCAUCUGCUCCUGCAAUAGGUUUGUCACCUAGCGGUGCAUCAAGGACAUAAUUCUUCUGUGCAGCAAUGAGGAUAAAACUCAGAUCACGGAUCCAAUCCGCAUCAUUGCUACUAACAUCUUUCAACACAAUUUUCUCUAGGAACAUAUCAAAAUAAACACAGGGAAGCAACAACGCGAGCUAUUGAUCUAUAACAUGAUUUACAAAAUACUACCAGGACUAAGUUCAUGAUAAAUUUAAGCUCAAUUAAUCAUGUUACUUAAGAACUCCCACUUAGAUAGACAUCCCUCUAAUCCUCUAAGUGAUCACGUGAUCCAAAUCAACUAAACCAUAACCGAUCAUCACGUGAAAUGGAUUAGUUUUCAAUGGUGAACAUCAUUAUGUUGAUGAUAUCUACUAUAUGAUUCACGCUCGACCUUUCGGUCUCCGUGUUCCGAGGCCAUAUCUUUAUAUGCUAGGCUCGUCAAGUUUAACCUGAGUAUUCUGCGUGUGCAAAACUGGCUUGCACCAGUUGUAGAUGGACGUAGAGCUUAUCACACCCGAUCAUCACGUGGUGUCUGGGCACGACGAACUUUGGCAACGGUGCAUACUCAGGGAGAACACUUCUUGAUAAUUUAGUGAGAGAUCAUCUUAUAAUGCUACCGUCAAUCAAAGCAAGAUAAGAUGCAUAAAAAGAUAAACAUCACAUGCAAUCAAUAUAAGUGAUAUGAUAUGGCCAUCAUCAUCUUGUGCUUGUGAUCUCCAUCUCCGAAGCACCGUCAUGAUCACCAUCGUCACCGGCGCGACACCUUGAUCUCCAUCGUAGCAUCGUUGUCGUCUCGCCAAUCUUAUGCUUCCACGACUAUCGCUACCGCUUAGUGAUAAAGUAAAGCAUUACAUCGCGAUUGCAUUGCAUACAAUAAAGCGACAACCAUAUGGCUCCUGCCAGUUGCCGAUAACUCGGUUACAAAACAUGAUCAUCUCAUACAAUAAAAUUUAGCAUCAUGCCUUGACCAUAUCACAUCACAACAUGCCCUGCAAAAACAAGUUAGACGUCCUCUACUUUGUUGUUGCAAGUUUUACGUGGCUGCUACGGGCUUAAGCAAGAACUCAUCUCACCUACGCAUCAAAACCACAACGAUAGUUUGUCAAAUAGAUUCCGUUUUAACCUUCUCAAGGACCGGGCGUAGCCACACUUGGUUCAACUAAAGUUGGAGAGACAGUCGCCCGCAAGCCAUCUAUGUGCAAAGCACGUCGAGGGAACCGGUCUCGCGUAAGCGUACGCGUAAGGUUGGUCCGGGUCGUCUCGUCCAACAAUACCGCCGAACCAAAGUAUGACAUGCUGGUAGGCAGUAUGACUUGUAUCGCCCACAACUCACUUGUGUUCUACUCGUGCAAAUAAUAUCAAACCAUAAAACCUAGGCUCGGAUGCCACUGUUGGGGAACGUAGUAAUUUCAAAAAAUUUCCUACGCACACGCAAGAUCAUGGUGAUGCAUAGCAACGAGGGGGAGAGUCUGAUCUACGUACCCUUGUAGAUCGCAACGGAAGCGUUGACACAACGUAGAGGAAGUAGUCGUACGUCUUCUUCCCGAUCCGACCGAUCCAUGCACCGUUACUCCGGCACCUCUGAGUUCUUAGCACACGUUCAGCUCGAUGACGAUCCCCGGGCUCCGAUCCAGCAAAGCUUCGGGGAGGAGUUCCGUCAGCAUGACAGCGUGGUGACGAUCUUGAUGUUCUACCGACGCAGGGCUUCGGCUAAGCACUACAACGGUAUGGUCGAGGUGGAAUAUGGUGGCAGGGGGCACUGGACACGGCUAAGGAACGAUCUCAAUGAUCAACUUGUGUGUCUAGAGGUGCCCCUACCCUCGUAUAUAAAGGUUGCCAGGGGAGGGCUGGCCGGCCAAGCUAUGGAGGCGCAGGAGGAGUCAAACUCCUACCGGGAGUAGGACUCCCCCCCCCCAAUCUUAUUCCUAAUAGGACUCCCAAGGGGAAAGAGAGGGAGAGAGGUGGCCGGCCACCUCUCCUAGUCCUAAUAGGACUAGGGGAGGGGGGAGGCGCGCAGGCCACCUUGGGCUGCCCCUUUCACCUUUCCACUAAGGCCCAAUAAGGCCCAUUUGGUUCCCGGGGGUUCCGGUAACCUCCCGGUACUCCGGUAAAAUCCCGAUUUCUCCCGGAACACUUCCGAUGUCCAAACAUAGGCUUCCAAUAUAUCAAUCUUUAUGUAUCGACCAUUUCGAGACUCCCCGUCAUGUCCAGGAUCACAUCCGGGACUCCGAACAACCUUCGGUACAUCAAAAUGCAUAAACUCAUAAUAACUGUCAUCGUAACGUUAAGCGUGCGGACCCUACGGUUCGAGAACAAUGUAGACAUGACCGAGACACGUCUCCGGUCAAUAACCAAUAGCGGGACCUAGAUGCCCAUAUUGGCUCCUACAUAUUCUACGAAGAUCUUUAUCGGUCAGACCGCAUAACAACAUACGUUGUUCCCUUUGUCAUCGGUAUGUUACUUGCCUGAGAUUCGAUCGUCGGUAUCCAAUACCUAGUUCAAUCUCGUUACCGGCAAGUCUCUUUACUCAUUCUGUAAUACAUCAUCUCGCAACUAACUCAUUAGUUGCAAUGCUUGCAAGGCUUGUAUAAUGUGCAUUACCGAGAGGGCCCAGAGGUACCUCUCCGACAAUCGGAGUGACAAAUCCUAUUCUCGAAAUACGCCAACCCAACAUCUACCAUUGGAAACACCUGUAGUACUCCUUUAUAAUCACCCAGUUACAUUGUGAUGUUUGGUAGCACCCAAAGUGUUCCUCCGGCAAACGGGAGUUGCAUAAUCUCAUAGUCAUAGGAACAUGUAUAAGUCAUGAAGAAAGCAAUAGCAACAUACUAAACGAUCGGGUGCUAAGCUAAUGGAAUGGGUCAUGUCAAUCAGAUCAUUCAUCUAAUGAUGUGAUCCCAUUAAUCAAAUAACAACACUUUGUCCAUGGUUAGGAAACAUAACCAUCUUUGAUUAACGAGCUAGUCAAGUAGAGGCAUACUAGUGACACUCUGUUUGUCUAUGUAUUCACACAUGUAUUAUGUUUCUGGUUAAUACAAUUCUAGCAUGAAUAAUAAAUAUUUAUCAUGAUAUAAGGAAAUAAAUAAUAACUUUAUUAUUGCCUGUAGGGCAUAUUUCCUUCACUUCAAGUGUGUGUUGCCGAACAAAUUUGUUGCCGGAGGCAUCAUUGCCAAGCUUCCACCUUCGUGGAACAAUUUUGCUACUUCCCUGAAACACAAGAGACAGGAGUUUUUCGUUGCGGAUCUCAUUGGUACUCUUGAUGUUGAAGAGAAGGCGAGAGCAAAGGAUACACGUGCUCGAGUUGCUGAGGGAGGUUCUAGUGCCCACAUGGUACAGAAGAAGAUCUUCCAGCCCAACAAGUUCAAAAACAACAAGAACAAAACUUAGGGCAAAGGCAAGUUUGAUACAAAGAACAAGCCAUCACAUUCUACCAACUUCAAGAAGAACUCUCAUAAGAAGGGGAAGGGACUUUGCCAUGUCUGCGGUGAUCCUAAUCACUGGGCUCCGAAGUGUCCUAACCGCUUUGAGGAGCGCGAACAUGAGAAGAGCGGCAAGUCUGCUAAUGUUGUCAUCGGUGAUACUGAUAUGAAGGAAUCAGGGUACGGUAUUUUUCCUACCAUCCUUUCAGUAUUCCAAAUCCCUGAUUGGUUAAUUGACAUCGGUGCCAAUGUACAUGUUUGUGCUGAUGCCUCCAUGUUUUCUUCUUACCAGGCCACUUGGACUUCUCCUGUGCUGAUGGGGAACGGGUCACAUGCCAUCGUUCGAGGUGUUGGUGCGGUCAAUCUGAAGUUUACUUCGGGGAAGACCGUGCGUCUGAAGAACGUUCAUCAUGAGCCGUCCAUCAAUAAAAAUCUCGUUAGCGGUUCCCGUUUAUGUCGAGAUGGUUUUAAGUUGGUUUUCGAAUCCAAUAAAGUUAUAAUUUCUAAGUAUGGACAAUUUGUUGGAAAAGGCUAUGAGAGCGGAGGCUUGUUUCGCCUGUCUUUGUCAGAUAUUUGCACUAAAGUUAUUAAUAAUGUUUGCCACAACAAUGAGUCUGAUAUUUGGCAUUCACGACUUUGUCACAUUAACUUUGGUUGCAUGACCCGGCUAGCCAAUAUGAAUUUAAUUCCGAAAUCUCUACUGUCAAAGGCUCUAAGUGCCAAGUAUGUGUGAAAGCUAAGCAACCUCGCAAAUCCCAUAAGACUGCAGAGGCGACAGACUUGGCGCCACUAGAGCUUAUACAUUCUGAUAUUUGUGAGAUGAAUGGCGUGUGGACAAAAGGUGGAAAGAGAUACUUCAUGACGUUGAUUGAUGACUCCACUAGAUAUUGUUAUGUGUAUCUUAUGAAAUCAAAAGAUGAGGCUUUGGCUUUCUUCAAAAACUAUAAAGCUGAGGCAGAGAACCAACUUGAUCGAAAAAUUAAACGGCUUAGGUCCGAUCAUGGUGGAGAGUAUUUUUCCAAUGAAUUUGAUCUAUUUUGUGCGGAACAUGGUAUAAUCCAUGAGAGGAUGCCUCCCUACUCACCCCAGUCAGAUGCGGUAGCCGAAAGAAAGAACCAAACUCUAACUGAUAUGGUUAACACCAUGUUAGACACUUCGGGUCUAUCCAAGGAAUGGUGGGGGGAGGCGCUAAUGACUGCGUGUCAUGUCCUAAACCGAGUUCCCACAAAGCAUAAGACCAUGACUCCAUUUGAGGAAUGUUAAAGGAAAAGGUUGAAACUCUCUUACCUACGUACUUGGGGUUGUUUGGCGAAAGUCAAUAUACCAAUUCCCAAGAAGCGCAAGCUUGGACCAAAAACCGUGGGUUGUGUUCUUCUUGGGUAUGCUUUUCAUAGCAUCGGCUAUAGAUUUUUGAUAAUAAAAUCUGAGGUAUCCGACAUGCAUGUUGGUACGAUUAUGGAGUCGAAUGAUGCAACUUUCUUUGAGGACAUAUUUCCUAUGAAGGAUAUGUUGAGUUCAUCAAAUCAGGAGACACCUACUCCACCUAGUGAGGAAUUCACUGUAAUUCCUGAACCCACCAUUGCGAUGGAACACAUAGAGAAUCCUGUUGAGGGUGACAAUGGAACUCCUGUGAGGAGUAAGAGACAUAGGACUACAAAGUCCUUUGGUGAUGAUUUCAUUGUGUACCUCGUGGAUGACACACCCAGGACUAUUUCAGAAGCCUGUGCAUCUCUUGAUGCUGACUACUGGAAGGAAGCUGUACAUAGCGAGAUGGAUUCCAUCUUAGGUAACAGAACCUGGGAGAUCACUGACCGUCCUUAUGGGUGAAAACCUGUAGGAUGUAAGUGGGUGUUCAAGAAGAAGCUUAGACCUGAUGGUACGAUUGAAAAGUACAAGGCACGGCUUGUGGCCAAGGGUUAUACCCAGAAAGAAGGUGAAGACUUCUUUGAUACUUACUCACCCGUGGCUAGAAUGACCACAAUUUGGGUGCUACUAUCACUUGUUGCCUCACAUGGUCUUCUCGUUCAUCAAAUGGACGUUAAGACAGCUUUCCUCAAUGGAGAGUUGAAGGAGGAAAUUUACAUGGAUCAGCCAGAUGGUUUUGUAGUACCUGGUUAGUAAGGAAAGUUGUGCAAGUUAUUAAAGUCUUUAUAUGGCCUUAAACAAGCUCCUAAAGAGUGGCAUGAGUAGUUUGAAAGAACAUUAACUGCUGCCGGCUUUGUAGUAAACGAUGGUGACAAGUGCGUGUACUAUCGCUAUGGUGGUGGCGAAGGAGUUAUUCUUUGUCUGUAUGUCGACGACAUAUUGAUCUUUGGAACGAAACUUGAUUUAAUCAAGGAGGUUAAGGAUUUCUUAUCUCGCUAUUUUGAGAUGAAGGAUCUAGGAGUAGUUGAUGUUAUCUUAAACAUCAAGCUGUUGAGAGAUGAGAAUGAUGGGAUCACACUGCUUCAGUCUCACUAUGUGGAAAAGGUCUUGAGUCGUUUUGGGUAUAGCGACUGCACACCUUCUCCAACUACAUAUGAUGCUAGCAUGUUGCAUCGAAAGAAUCGACGGAUUGCUAGAGAUCAACUGAGGUAUUCUCAUAUUAUUGGCUCGCUUAUGAUUUGGCGAGUGCCACGAGGCCAAACAUCUCGUUUGCUGUUAGCAAGCUGAGUCGAUUUGUGUCAAAACUAGGAGAUGAUUAUUGGCAUGCGCUUGAGAGAGUUAUGCGCUAUUUGAAAGGCACCGCGAGCUAUGGGAUUCACUACACCGGGUAUCCAAGGGUACUGGAGGGUUAUAGUGACUCAAACUGGAUAUCUGAUGCUAAUGAGAUUAAGGCCACAAGUGGUUAUGUUUUUACACUUGGUGGUGGCGCUGUUUCUUGGAAGUCCUGCAAGCAGACCAUCUUAAUGAGGUCAACUAUGGAAGCAGAACUCACAACAUUAGAAACUGCUACUGUUGAAGCAGUGUGGCUUCGUGAGCUCUUGAUGGACUUUCCUAUGGUUGAAAAACCAAUACCCCCUAUCCCAAUGAACUGUGAUAAUCAAACUGUGAUCGUCAAGAUAAACAGUUCUAAGGACAAUAUGAAGUCCUCAAGGCAUGUGAAGAGGAGACUGAAAUCUGUUAGAAAAUUGAGGAACUCCGGAGUUAUUACGUUGGAUUAUAUCCAAACGUCAAAAAAAUUGGCAGAUCCCUUCACAAAGGGUCUAUCACGUAAUGUGAUAGAUAAUGCAUCGAUGGAGAUGGGUUUGAGACCCACCGCAUGAGUUGUCCAUAGUGGUAACCCACUCUUUGUGAUCGGAGAUCCCGUGAAGUAGAAGUGGGAGACAAGCUGUUGGUCAGCUGGGAGGAGAGUAUCCCUAUAUUACCUGUCCCACUCCAUGAAGAUGCAACACUCUCCUAAUCUGCAUGGCAGGUUGAUACUUAUCUUAAUGUGUUCCAAGUGGCUUAUUCGGGUAAGCAGAGAUGUUGUCCUGCGGAACAUCUUCUGAGGAACACACCUAUAUGAAUUUGAUUGUUAACGUCGCAGUCUGUGAGAAUUGGGUGUUCUCUAAUAAAUUCAUGAAAAGGCCCUGGAGUAUGACGUAUAAGCUCCACCCGCAGGGAAGCCUUGCGGCAGCCCAGUAUCGGUCAAGAAUUUGUGUGAAACUAGUCUCGCAGAAAAUUUGUAGUUCAAGGCAUAGUCCACUAUUCAAGUUGUGAUCUAGUGUAGCAUAAAUCUCUAAGUGGAAGUUCAACUUCAAAGUCUCCACUAAGCCCCGGUAUAUAAACAAUGUUUUGGAACUAAAUGAUGAGAUGUGCCAAUGAGACUUUGUGGGGGAUUGUUGGAAUUUUGCUAGUAUGCCUUUGGCCCAAAGCCCAACUAAAAUUCUGAAAUUCUCUUCGCCCAUUCAUGCACACAUGUGAGUGGAGUGAGUGAGACUAAAGUUUAGUCCCACCCCGGAAGUUGAGAGAGAGCACCUCUUUAUAAGGUGAGCUCUUCUACCACUUGUAUGAGCAUGAGAGUAGGAGACCUACACACGCGCUGCUCCUCCUCGCUCACCACGCCACGCCUGGUCACGACGCGCCGCGGGUUGCGGGAUUGAGCCGAGCCGAGGUCAGAGCUAUGCACGUUGUCUAUUUUUUGCUACCCCGGAAAAUUAAUGAGUCAUUAAUUAAUAAUUAAUGGACGUGUUAAUUACUAAACCGUUUCCGAUUCUUUUGGAUCAUGACGACUCGGACGUGGGGUUUACUCCCACGACCUACCAGGCCCGCACUAUAUAGUCCGGCAGACGUGUACCCUAGCUGUCGCCGCUUCGUAUGGUUUCUCACCACCGUUCCAGAUCAUUGCGUCGCCAAGCAAGUCUUCUCCAUCCCUCCUUUCGGCGUGCACCGGGAGAAGGGACAGCAGGCCUCCGGAACCCCGCCUCUCGUGAUCCUGUAUGGGAGAGGGGCGAUCAGGUUUUUGGGGAGCGCACUCGCGCGACUUCUGGCAGCGACGACUUCGCGAAUGACGACUUCUUCCCUGACCUCGGCAACCUCAUCCUCGACGACAUGGGCGACAACGUCAACGCCGGCGGUCCUGCACCCGCUGCACCGUAUGUUAUUCUAUCCUUCUUGUUCGAGAUCGUGGUAGAAUUCAGGUUUCUAGUAUAUGCCCUAGAUGUGAUCUGUUCAUCUACUAUGCUAGUUCGCAUGAUUAGUUUAAUCUCUGCUAUUGCUGUCAUGAUCUAUUUCCUAUUUAUUCGGAUUAAAUCUCGUAGUAAUUUGCUCAUUUUUCCAAUAGUACCAUCUAAUAGAUGAUGUAAAUCUCCUCUAGUUUGACGUUGUUGAGCUAAUUUACAAAAAAAAAACCUCAUCAUUAUUGGACGUCCUUAACAGCUCAAGAACAAGUUGGGGUCGAACUAAUGGAUUUUACACUUUUACAUUAAAGGUUUAGCUAAAGCUAGCAGGUGUUUUUAAACCUGAAUUUUUUUUUCCUCCUGAAUUUCUUUGUAUUUUCUUAUUGACACUAUUUAUACAAUCAUCUGACAAAGAUUAGCUAAAGAUGUUUGUAGAUACGUUGAAACCUGAAAAGCUUCUUUGGUUAUCCUUUUAAUAGUUCUACGUUUAAUUUCUCAUAGGUCAUAAUUCUUAUGUAAUACCAAGAUGCAUUGUGGUAGUGUACAUGUGUUCAAUUCAGGUUGUUAUUCACAAUUUGCGACAAAAUUUAGCUCACGCUACAUUUAAAUAUGUUGAAAUGUGAAUGCUCUUUUUCUUCUCCUUUCUACACCUUGCAUCGGAUUGCAUCCCUUUAGUUAUCCAACAUUUUGUACAACAUGUAGAGAUUAGGAAGUUCAUCAUAGUUUGUCUAUUUCCGUGCUAAUAAAUGUAUGAAAUCUGCAUUUCCAAGCUACUAGGACAAGUAAAAAAUAAUAAUUUUACUAUAGGAUUCAAAAACAGCAGUUCUGAAGUGCACUUUAUUUAUUUUUGAAAGUGAUCACAUUUUGUUUCAUUUUUCUAUAGACAAAUCUACUAAUACAUACUCACGAUAAAACUAUAAAAAUUCUAGUCCGCACAUUGGGCGGGCCACCCGGCUAGUUAGUCUAAAGAUAACAAAAUGAGUCUGGAAUUUGAAUUAAAUUGAAGUAUUUUCUUGGACUUUCAAAUUAAGUUUUAUUAAAGUAGUAAGGACUAUCCACAUCCUUGGCUUGCCCCUGAUCAAUUAUUUCCAGAGAAGCAUUCGAUUCAUCAAUCAAUUACAUUGAUUUUAGUGGCUGGUACUUCUCCUCAACAUCAGUAUAUUCACCGUGGCCACUCCAAAUCGGCAAGAAUGAGGUACCAGUGCUCUGCAGCAGUGCAAGCUAAUUGCUUCUCAUGUGAAGGGGUGCGGGCGCAGGAGAGGUAUUUCUGGUGGGCCAAGGGACUAAGAAGCGACUGUGGCAGCGGUAUAGAUGCCCGCAAAGCCCCAUAGUUUGUUUUUCGUUUACAGGAAAAAUGCACAUCCAUACCAACCUUGGGAAUAUAGGACCGUAUUGGAUGGAAAACCAUGUCCGGAUGGUUGCGAGCGGUUUGAGGGUUAGCUUUUGUAACGCCCGGUUAGUUAUGCUAUAGCAAUUCCCUGCUAAUGAUGUCACGUCACCACGAUUACUAUUGUUAACCUCACAAUGAUUCAAUCCCCUUCAAAUUCAAAUUUAAAAUAAAGGUAAACAUCAAAAGUUUUCAAACAUUAAAACUAAAAUCUUUGAGAGGUGACAAAUAAUGCAUAAGUAAUUAUGGUGGAGAAACCACACUUUAAUCAAAUGUUUAAAUACUCUAAAAUGAAAAAAACAGUUGCUUAAACUAUUAUUUAAAUGCUUUUAAAAUAGUAAAAAUCUUCUAACUAAAUUAUUUGGGUACCAAACUUUUGGUGGCAGUGGUAUAUUUAGUAGAAUUAAUUUAGAUGCUAAUUAUAUAAUUUACAAAAUUAGAGUAAAUUGAAAAAUAGGAUAAAACGGAAAAGGAAAGACAAAACAAAUAAAAGCAAAAGGGGCCAACCCCUCGCUGGGCCUCGACCUAGCUGCCACUAGGCUAGCUAGGCUGGCCCCGGCGCCUCCCUUAACCCCCCCCCCCACUCCCCAUCGAACCCAAGCCCGAUCGCCCCACUUCCCCCACACCCCCUCGCCAGCCUCCCCACCUCUUGAUCCCAUCUGGAUCGGGGAGGGUAUUGCCCCCAUCGACCCCGUUGCCGUCGCCGGAUUGCCCGCCGAUGUCGCCAGGCCUCCUCCCCGCCGCCCGUCUCCGGCUCGCCUCCCCUCUCGCUCCUCUUCCCCGACCCGAUCUAGAUCGUGAACGAGCAAUGAGCUCGAAGCCCCCUUCACCGGCGCCAUCACCGUGCGCCACCACCACCGCCUGAGGACCUCACCGUCGCCGAAUCUAGCGUCGCCUCCUCGUAUCCCUCCCCUACUCGCGUCCUCAAGCCAGGACGAGCCCCUUCUCGGCAACGCUGUGAGACGCCCCCGUUUCCCUCCUCUUUCCACCGCGUUCAUCGCGCCGCCCGCCGUGCCCCUCGCCGUGCGCACGCCCACCACCGCACCAGCCCCCGCUCCGCGCACGACCCUACCCGCGCCCGCGCCAUGAUCCCCUUUUCCGCCCUACCUUCCUGCGCUCGCCGCGGUCCCGAUGCUCCCCCGCGCCCUCUUUCGGGGGCGCCGACCUCCCCUGUCCCGCUGCUCGGCGCCGUGCCUCGCAAUCGCUCUACUGCUAAGUUACUACUGCGCUGCGGCCGUCGCCUCUUCCUUCUGCUCCGCUAGCGCCGAAGCUCCCGAUUGGCUCCACCACUUCUCACGUUAAACCGCCGGCCUAAAUGGCCUAACCCCGGGCUAAUGAACCCCCACUAACCCACUGACACCGGGACCCACAUUCCCUAAUUAACCAUUUAAUAAAUUAAAACUCUUAAAUUAACAUUAGUGUAUGACAUGUGCGUCCCCUAUUAAUUAAUAAUUUUACUGCUAGUUUUCUUAGUUUCUGUUUUUCUGCAUAUUUCUUUUGUAUUUGAACAGGCUUUAUACAAUAAUAUUUAGCGUCUCAUACACAUACAAAUGUAAUUAUAGCAUAUACAUACAAAUAGUCUCAUCAAAUCAUGUGAUCAUCAUAAUCAUCAUCCAUCACAAAGUGAUCUCUCGUCAUCAUCUCGAAAAUAGCGAUACUAGUCUCGAUUACUUGCAACUACAUCGUCAUCCAUCUAAACAAUGAUAUACGCGAGAAGAGCUAUCACUAUGAGUGAGAGCGGAACUAUGCAGUACAUGAGUUUGUAUCCCUCUCUCACAUUAGCGUGAACCUAAACUAACUACUGGCUGUUGCUCGGAAACCGGAAAACGGUACACCUGGGCCUGACACUCCGGCCACUCGUCGUAUACUCCUGGCGUAGCACUUCUUCGCCAUCGAUGAUCUAUGCACCUGCAUCGUCACAUGAGUCGAUGAUAUGCAACAUAUAUAGUUGAGCAACAGAAAGAGACAGACGUGGCAAAAGUAGAAGCAACAUAUCAUAAGCAUAAAUAACAAAGCUCAUCGUACGCAAAAUGCCCUAACUAGAGUGAUCUGCGCUAGUCAAGGAGGACGGUUUAAUUACAUCACAAAUAAUGUUUCGUCGUGCAUUACUCAAAGUUCCGUCAUACAGAAAGUAUGAACUAAAUGGACACAUUGUCAUAUUUCGAAAAUCACUCCCACAUGUCGUGCCAUCCAUCCAAGUCAAGGAGAUAGUGCCCGAGCUUAGUGAAAGGCUUUAGGUCAAGAUGCUGAGUGGCUACGCGUGUUCGGACGUCUUCCCACGACAUUUGUCCUUCUUCAUAGAACAUCCCUGUUUUUUCGACGACCUCCUUCAUCACUAGAAGAAAAAGGGCCUGUUGUCCCGGUUCUGGAACCGGGACUAAAGGGUCGGUACUAAUGCCCUGUCCCUUUAGUCCCGGUUCAAUCCAGAACCGGGACAGAUGGGCCUCCACGUGGCCUGUGCGCGGAGCCCAGGCAGGAGACCCUUUGGUCCCGGUUGGUGGCACCAACCGGGAACAAUAGGCAUCCACGCGUCAGCAUUUCUGUGGUUGGGGUUUUUGUUNNNNNNNNNNNNNNNNNNNNNNNNNNNNNNNNNNNNNNNNNNNNNNNNNNNNNNNNNNNNNNNNNNNNNNNNNNNNNNNNNNNNNNNNNNNNNNNNNNNNNNNNNNNNNNNNNNNNNNNNNNNNNNNNNNNNNNNNNNNNNNNNNNNNNNNNNNNNNNNNNNNNNNNNNNNNNNNNNNNNNNNNNNNNNNNNNNNNNUGGUGUUUCAUAUAUUGUGUUAGCUAGCUAUAAUUAAUAGAGAAAAGUGUCCUCUCUUAUGUCCGUGCUUGGUCGACGCUACGUACUAUACAUACGUAUAGAGAGGACUAGACACGCUAGCUAGCUAGUAAGCAAACGAAGGAAACAGAAGAUCGUCAUGAACAUAUAUGCAUACAGGACUAGACACGCUAGCUAGCUAGUAACCAAACGAAGUUCAACUAGUAAUGGCGCACCACUCCCACGGUGCGCCAUUAGUAGUUUUGAAAAAAAUUAAUUUUUUUUUUUACUAAUGGCGCACUGUGGAUGUGGUGCGCCAUUAGUAUUUGGACACUAAUGGCGUACCAACACAUGGUGCGCCAUUAGUAUAUAGUAAUGGCGCACCACAGGUCUGGUGCGCCAUUAGUGUCAAUUCCAUCUAUAGCCCUUUUCCUAGUAGUGUUAGGGACGGUCUCAAUGAAACAACCCACCAUGUACUCCUGCAUGGCCUCUCAUCGAUACCUUUACCGAAACAUGUGCAACACAUUCCUCAUAUUACCGACAUAAUCAUAUCACCCUAGCCCAUCACCCAGAUGAACCAGACCUGACACAACUAUAAGCAUAGCAGGCAUAGCAAGGUAGGAAUCACAUACAUGGCUCAAUCAACUCCUACACAUGCUAGUGGGUUUCAUCUAGUUACUGUGGCAAUGACAGGUCAUGGAGAGGAUAAGGGUUCAACUACCGUAGCACACAGCAGUUUGAAUGGCGUUGUCUUAAUGCAGUAAACAAGAGCAGAGGCGAGAACAUGGGUUGUAUCGGAAUGAUCAAUGGGUUGCUUGACUGAUGGAGUGGUAGUGGGAUACUACCCUUCAGUUGGAUACUCGUGAAUAUCCUCGGAGGCAGAACCUACCACGAAGAACACAUCGGAACACAAUCAACACAUGACGAUAUGCAACACUAUGAUGCAUGCUAUGACAUGGCAUUAUGAAUGUGUCUUGGCCUAAUGCAAGCUAAAAUAGAAAGGGAUGAACUCAUUUGAAUCAAAGAUUCAAAUAUUAGCUCAUUAAACAUGGCCUUAGUAGUGCAUUUCCUUAUUCUGCUUAAACAGCAAGGUAAACUUGUUUUGUCAUACAUGAAACCAUUACAGAUGGAUGUAUUGAAUUUUUCUGAUAAUUUUUCAUAUAUAAAUUAUUUCAUUUGGAGUUACGGUUGAAUUUCUAUGAUUUUUAGAAGUUUUAAACAUUUUCUGGAAUUUCCUGAAUAAAAAUAAAUCCAGAAAAUGCAUUACUGCGUCAGUAUUGCAUCAUGCUGACCUCAGCAGGUCAAAGGCGCCAGCCCAGGUCAAAACUGACUGGUGGGCCCCUUCUGUCAGUCUCUCAGUUAAAUAAUAGGAUUAGAUUAACACUAAUUAGCUGUCAGUGGGGCCUGGGCCCACAUGUCACUGACUGAUUAAAAUAAAAUUAGUUAAAACUAAUCCUUGAUUAGUUAGCAGACCGGCCCCUCCUGUCAUAGACUCAGGGGGGUCUACCUGGGCCCACCCAGGGUCAAACUGGGUCAAACUCGCCGGCGUUGAGCCGCCGGCGAGACCCGAGACGGUGGCGCAGCUCGGAAAACGCCUACAGGGCACGAGCGAGGCCGUUCUUGGGCUCGUUGGAGAGCUCUUGCAGCCGCGCAUCUAGUGGUGGUGGGGGCCGGAGACGACGACGGCGAGCUCCAAGGCGGCGGCUGGAGUUCGGCCAUGUGCGGGGUGUGGGCUGUGGCGUGCAAACGUGGAAACUGAAGCGCUAGCGAGGCACUACGCGAUGCGGCAAGCACGUUGCAUAGCACGGGAUGAUCCAAUGGUCGCCGGAGCGGCGCCGGCGACAAGCUCGAGCCGAGACGAGCUUCGGCCAUGGUGGAACUAUGGCCUAGAGGGUGCAAACGCGUGGAAAAGAAGAGGGGAAAGGUGGCGGAGCUCACAGGGAGGUCGAUGAGCAGCUCAAUGGGCUCGGGGGUCACCGGAGUGAGGCGAAUCGAUGAGCGGCGUCCGGCGGGUACCGAGGUUGAAGACGAUCCGAUGGCGGCGAUGCAGGGACUCCGGCGAUGCGUGGCUCAGUGGGGAGGGCGAGGGCGUCACAGCGGAGCUUCUGGACAGGUCAGAGAGGCGAGGGGGUGACGGAGGGCGCGACUACGGCGGUGAGACGGCGACGGGUGCGUCGGCCAUUGCGGGAGAGGGAGAGGGAGACAAGUGGGAGAGUGAGAGAGGAUGAGAGGGGGACGUGGGGGUCGCGUGGCAUUCCCUGGACGUCUCCCAGCAUCGGCGGAAGCAGGAGGUGGCCGGCGUGUGGCCGCGGGCGCCGGCCACGCGCUCCACGUCCUUCUGGCGUGAGGAGGACGACGACUGGCAGCGCCAGUAGGCUGGGCCGAGCCAGGGGGCUGGCCAGCACAGGUAAGGCCCAGGUGGGCAUCUCCCUCUUUUUUUUAAUUUGUUUCUGUUUUCUAUUUAACUGUAACUGUUGGGCUUUAUUUAAAAUACUAAAACAUUUCCAAAAAUCCUGAAAAUAAUUGUGGGCUCUGUUUGGAUUAUUUCCAACAGCAGACAUUUAUUUCCAGAAUUAUUUGAGCAUUUAAAUGCCCAAAUUCAAAUACUUAUGAUUUAAAUCAAUGACCUUCUAUUGACCUCGAAAAGUUGUGCACCAAUUUUGCCAGAGGUUCUAACCCAAGACAAAGAGGGUGAACUUUUUAGAAGGGCAUUUCAGGUUCAUUGAAAAUAAUUUUAGUAAUCCCUAGUUGUUUCCAGGGGGGUGUUGGGGGUUUCUGCCUUCCCCAAUUCAAAUUUAAGAGGAAUUUAAACAUGAUGCACAUUCUAAUGCUUGAUCUAGCUAGGGUGUGACAACUCACCCCCACUCAAAAGAAUCUCAUCCCGAGAUUUAGGAUCCUCUGGAAAGAAGGUGGGGUACUCGAGUCGAAGACGAUCCUCCCUUUCCCAAGUGGCUUCUUUCUCGGAAUGGUGUGACCAUUGAACCAUGAGAAACUUGAUAUUAUGACGUCGAGUAGUAUGCUCGGCUUGAUCAAGGAUACGAACGGGAUAUUCCUGAUAAGAGAGGUUAUCUUGUAGAUCAAGCGUUUCGUGGUCCACUCCACGGAUAGGAUCCGCGAAGCAACGCCUGAGUUGUGAAACGUGGAAGACAUCAGGAACUCUGGAAAGAUGCGGAGGUAGUUCCAAUUGGUAGGCAACUUCUCCUUGUUUGGCAAGAAUGCGAACGGGUCCAAUGUAACGAGGAGCCAAUUUGCCUUUGAUACCGAAACGAUGGGUUCCUUUUAACGGGGUAACCCGAAGGUAAGCCUUCUCAUCGACUUCAUAAGUCAUAGAGUUAUGUUUAUGAUCAUAUUGACUCUUUUCACGAGAUUGGGCUGUUUUCAAUUUCUCACGAAUAACGCGAACCUGCUCUUCCGCUUCCUGAAUCAUAUCCGGGCCAAAGAGUUGUCUUUCCCUGGUUUCUGACCAGUUAAGGGGUGUUCGAUAUUUUCGUCCAUAGAGAACUUUGAAAGGAGCUUUGCCCAAGCUAGCUUGAUAACUAUUGUUAUAAGCAAACUCUGCGAAUGGGAGGCAUUUCUCCCAACUCAUUCUGAAUGAGAUAACAGAAGCUCAGAGCAUAUGUUCCAGAAUUUGAUUGACUCGCUCUACUUGACCACUUGACUGAGGAUGGAAGGCGGUACUAAAAGAGAGACGAGUUCCCAUAGCAUUUUGGAAACUUUCCCAAAAUCGAGAGGUGAAGAGACUCCCACGCUCUGAGUUAUUUUCCAAUGGGACACCAUGGAGAGACACUAUUCGGGAGAUGUAUAAAUCGGCUAGCUGGCUAGCAGUGAUACUCUCACGAACAGGUAGGAAAUGGGCUACUUUGGAAAGACGGUCGAUGAUGACGAAGAUGGCAUUAUUCCCUCUCUUGGUCCUGGGAAACCCAGUAAUGAAAUCCAUACUGAUUUUAUCCCAUUUCCAUUCAGGAAUAGCCAAAGGUUGAAGGGUGCCAGUAGGCCGUUGAUGCUCUGCUUUAACACGAAUACAGACGUCACAGCUAGCAAUGUAUCGAGCAAUUUCUCUCUUCAUCCUAGUACACCAAAACCUCUCGCGUAGGUCUUGAUACAUUUUUGUGCUACCGGGAUGAAUGGUGAGAGGGGAUUCAUGAGCUUCCUUAAGGAUCAAUUGGCGUAGAUGUUGUUUCUUGGGAACCACCAAACGGUUCUCAAAGAAGACAGCACCCCGCUUAUCCAUGGAAAAACAUUUAGCAACUCCGCUAGCAAUGUUUUCCUUAAUCCGGGAUAUGCCCUUAUCAUACCGCUGGGCAGUUAUGAUCUGAUCCAUAAGGUUAGGUUUCGCCACCAGGGUGGAUAGGAAUCCUCGAGGAACAAUGUGAAGAUUAAGCUUACGGAAUUCCUCAUGGAGAAGUGGUUGACUUUGUUGUAACAUCAGGUUGUUACAACAGGAUUUACGGCUUAGCGCAGCAGCCAUGACAUUGGCUUUGCCCGGUGUGUAGGUUAUUCCUAAGUCGUAAUCCGAGAUCAACUCAACCCAACGUCUUUGCCUGAGAUUCAAAUCUGGUUGGGUGAAGAUAUAUUUCAAGCUUUGGUGAUCGGUGAAGAUCUCGCAACGAUUACCGAGGAGGUAAUGUCGCGAAGUUUUAAGUGCAUGGACUACAGCUACCAGCUCUAGAUCAUAUGUGGGAUAAUUUUCCUCAUGUGGGUGUAAUUGCCAUGAAGCGUAGGCAAUUACCUGAGGAUCUUGCAUGAGUAUGCAACCUAGUCCUUGUCGCAGAUGUCAGGCGUCUUUUCAGUUCCUGAAAGCUGAACUCGCACUGUGGAGUCCACUCGAACUUUUUAUCUUUCUUGAGGAGUUCAAUUAGAGGUUUAGCAACCUUGGAGAAACUCUCGCCGAAGCGGCGGCAAUAGCUCGCUAAGCCAAGGAAGCUCCAAACUUGCUUGACCGUCUCAGGUGGAGUCCAAUCAAGGACCGCUUGAACUCGCUCGGGAUUGACGGCAAUACCCUUACCAGAGAUUACAUGGCCUAGAUAGGUUACUUCUGGCAACCAAAAUUCACACUUGGAGAACUUGGCAUAAAGGCGAUGCUCUCGAAGUUUCAUCAAUACCAGCCUUAGAUGUUCGGCAUGUUCCUCUUCAUUCUUGGAGUAGAUGAGUAUGUCAUCGAGGUAUACUACGACGAAUUUAUCCAAGUACUCCAUGAAAACCGAGUUCAUUAACCGGGAGAAGGUAGCCGGGGCAUUGGUUAAACCGAAGGACAUAACGGUGUACUCGUAUUGGCCAUAACGAGUAACAAAGGCCGUUUUGGGAAUGUCCCCGUUUCUGAUUUAGAUUUGAUGGUAGCCCAACCUCAAAUCCAUCUUGGAAAAGACUGAGGAUCCAGCGAGCUGAUCAUACAGAUCGUUGAUCCUGGGAAGUGGGUAUUUGUUCUUGAUGGUGACAAAGUUGACAGGUCGGUAAUCCACAACCAUUCGAUCUGUUCCAUCCUUCUUCUUGACGAAGAGGAUGGGGCAAGCCCAAGGAGAGGAACUAGGACGGAUGAAACCCUUUUUCAAGGACUCAUCGAGUUGGUUCUUAAGCUCGGCUAGUUCUAAGGGUGCCAUCUUGUAGGGUCUUCUAGAAAUUGGAACGGUUCCUGGAACAAGGUCUAUCACAAACUCGACAUCCCUGUCAGGUGGAACACCUGGCAGUUCUUCUGGAAAGACAUCCGGAAAGUCUCGGACUACCGGAACAUCCUCAAGGUCUGGAAGGGGGUUGGCAUUUAGGGAGUAAAGUUGGCGCUUGGCCACUCGAGUUAAGACAUUAACUGUCUUGCCCAAUGGGUGAGUAAGUUGAACGGUUCUAGUGGCACAGUCAAGCUUAGCAUAAUGAGCUGACAUCCACUCCAUACCUAAGAUGAUGUUUAUGUCCGAGGACUUGAGAGCUAUUAAGGAUACAAGGAAGACAAGUCUAUCGACAAGAAUUUCGUUCCCAUGGCUUACUCUAGAAGUUUGCCAUCUAGAGCUAGGGGUUUGAAUUUCCAUGGUAGAGGGCAUGUCACAGAAUGUCGUGUUGUGCAAUCGAGCAUAGUUCUCGGAUAUGAAUGGAUGAGAUGCUCUAGUAUCGAAAAGAACAGAUGUCGGAUGGCAGUUAACAAGGAGCGUACCAAGGACGAGGUUGGGAUCCUCAUGAGCCUCCUCGGCUGAAACAUAGUUGACAUGGCCACGUGCAGUGGUGGCUGGCUUGGCGUAGAAUGUUUUCCCCGCGGGCUUACCACGGCCAACGGACUUUCCAGUUUGAUUGGGGUUGUUGUUCUGGGGACACUCUCGGCUAUAGUGACCCGGCUCUCCACACUUAAAGCAUGUCACCACAUUGGGGCGUGGAGCAGCAUUAGCAGUAGGGCCACCAUAGGGCUUGGGCGGUGCAAAUUGCUGGUUGGGACGUGGUGCCUCAAAGGAUGGCCUCGGGAUGAACCUGGGUGGCAGUGCCGUGCUUGGAAUCCACACCCGGCGCUUCUGAGCUCUAGAGCCGGAUGAAGAGCCAAAAUCACGGGAGUGCUUGCAUGAAGCGUCAUAAUCAGUCUGGCCUUUCUCAGCACUGAUGGCUUUAUUGACCAACUUCUGAAAGGAGGUGCACUCGGGCAGACGAAGAUCGCGGUGAAGCUCAGGGCUAAGUCCCUUGCGGAACCUUGCCUGCUUCUUAGCAUCAAUAGAUACCUCUUUAGGGGCAUAACGUGCCAGAUUCCGAAAUUCACGACCGUAAGCAUCCACAGUCAGUCUUCCUUGGGUGAAGUUGCAGAACUCCUCCCUCUUGCGAUCCAUGAGACCUUCCAGAAUGUGAUGCUCACCGAAAGCCUCACAGAAUUCAGCCCAAGUAGUGAUUUGGCCGACCGGGCGCAUAGCUUCGAAGUUUUCCCACCAAAGGCUAGCAGGGCCUUCGAGGUGAUAGGCAGCAUAAGUAACCUUGUCGGCUGCGGCUGCGUUGGCAGAACGUAGCUUGUGGGUGAUGCUGUGAAGCCAGUCAUCCACAUCGAGGUACUCGACGGAAUGGUUAAACUUUGGUGGGUAUAGCUUGAUAAAGUCAUUGAUUGACACCAAUCAUUUCGUGGGUGGCGUGCAGUGUUCUGCUCAAUCCGCUCCAACAGGCGGUUGGUCUGACGCUUCUUUAUUUCCGCCUCCAGCAUUACUUCGGCCAGAGAAGGCGGGUGAGGCAGAUUUUCACCUCUAGCAGCACUGGCUUCCCCCUGCUCCAGGGCAGCAGGGUUGCUGCGGGUGUUGACCAUCCUAGGAGAAAACAAGACAACGGUUUAGACAAGGAUGUCUCAAAUUAGCAAGGAUGUGCAGAAUGUAAUGGAUAACACGGAAUGCAGAGAUGUUCAUCCGUAUGUCAUGGUAAUAUAAAACUGCCAUAUAUAUACCAACGGUCAUACACAUCAUACAUAGUUUAGUACAAGCCCAGGCUACAAUACAACUAUGAUGAAAGACGUUACAUCUCAUCGGAGGCAUUCCAAGCUCCUAUACAUUAUUGUCUACACCUCCAAAAUUGAUUACACGCAAAGUCAUAUUCCAAAAGUCACGCAGGACAGUGGAGAUACAGCUACUACAAUACUAGUGGUACUACUACUAACUCAGACAGCUCCGUAGUAGUCCUCAUAGAAGUCACCUCCAUAGCCUGGAAGUUCAACGGGACCAUCCGGGAACAGACGGUCCUGAGGAGCCUGUGGACCAUAGGGGCUAGGAUGGUGUCUUGGACCAACAAACGGUGGCCUGCGGGAACCACGGGGUGGGGUGAUGCCUCCCACAUCACGCCAAUCCACCACGUCUGGCAAAGCAGACCUCACAGGAUACAGAUCCCUUGUAUCCAUACAUCUAGCUUGCACCGCAGGUGCAAACCGAGCCAAUGUGGCCCAAUGAUCAGCACGGGUAUUAAAAAGCUCCAGCCUCAAGGCCCGAUUCUCUCGGUCCUUAUCUUCGAGCAUCUCAGCAGUGGUACGAGUUAAUGAAUCCUCCUGAGUGGAGACAGCAUAGAUAGCCUGAAGAUACCCUUGCGCUCCCGGAAGUGAAGCUGGCAUGUAUCGGAAGUCGGUGUUCCGAAGCAGGCCAGUCCGGACUCGCAUGAUGGUCAUCAUGUAAUAGGCAGCAUCCUGCACAGCAAUCUCAACAGUAACCCCGAGUCCAUAGGAAUAGUGAAGGGGCUCGGUAGAUCCAGGAUAAGAAGGAAAUAUCCUGACAGUGCAGAAAUACUGGCUUUGAUUAAAGUCUCGGAAUUGCUCUUCGACGGUGUAUUCGAGAUACCAACGGUAACCCGUCUCGAUCAUGACCCGGACUAACAUAGCAGUAUGACCGGGCACGUCGAGCCACCGGGUUAGGCGAACCACUUGGUUUUGAGCACGGUUGGCCAUCUGAAAGCACAACCACAAUGCAAAGACAUCAGAAUUUCUAGGGAAAAUUGGACAGCAUAACAGCUGUAAAUGCUCAGAAAAAGAUUUGAGACAUCCACAACAGUUCGCAAUACCACUCAAUAACAUCAUAUCAAGGUUCUGAUCCAAAUAGCAACAUACUAAAAAUAGUAGAAACUGAACUGGGGCUUGUAACAACAAUCCUAUAAGCUACUACGGAUUAGUAACACGUGAACCUGAUAGAAGAAGAGAGCCUAGUCCUUAACCCACGUUGAAUGAGAAGGGAAUGACUCAGAUAAGAGGCAUAGGGUAAAGGAGUAAAAGAGACUUACGUUCCCUCCCACAAUCAAUUCCCCUACAUAUAACUAAAGCAUUUCCAGACUCGACAUCGACCAGUUUGGCUCAACGAACCUACAAGCAGUCUGGCUCUGAUGCCAACGCUGUCAGGACCCCGAUUCCAAGCCACAUCGAUCUAGCCGGUAACACCUCAUAUCACUUUGCGGCCUCACGCACGAUAUUCCACGGGUGUCGCCUUACCAUGGCCCGGGACCGUUUGCGCCUUUUGGCUCACGUAUAUGAUAGUGUUGUUAGCAUCCAUAUGACAGAGAACCUGGGCCGACAUGGCUAGUCGUGAACCCAAAGCGGCACAGACCUAUGGAGACAGGCAUACAUGAAUCACAUCGAGCAUGUCGGUCAUCAGCGAGUGAUUCCGGGCUGUAGCACUGGGCUAACAGGACUCCGGGGAACCCGGGCUGUAGCAGGCUAGGCAGGACUCCGGAAGUCACCGCGUGACAUUUCCCCGAAGGGACAGACAUAGGAACGAAGUGAAUCACAUGCCGGCCAUUCAAGUGUCCUAAGUAGUAGUGCUGGGCUAGCAGGACUCCGGUGAACCAGGCUGUAGCGGACUACUAUGGCUCGAGGAACACUAGACUACAUUUCCCCAUAAGGAAGGCUGCCAAGGAUAAACAACUAGAUUGUUGGAUCCCACUCAUACCAAGCAUUUCAAUCAUACACACAAUAUGCCCGAUAUGAGUACAUACAACAUGGCAUCACAACAAAACUCUACAACUCAAGUACUUUAUUUAAAUGCUCCAGAGAGCCAUACAUAACAUGUUCAUACAGAUAGGGGUCACAUGACCCGACACUCAAGUCAUACAAUCAUACAAGCACAUGCGGAAGCAACCGGUCUGAGUACAGACACUAGAAAGAAAGAAGGCUCCUCGAGGCCUGUCUAUCUACAUAGGGCCCUCCAUGGCCAGGAUCACCACCUGGGUGGCUAGUCACUCGUCGAUGUCAAGGUCUACAUAGAACCCAUAGGAGGGGGCGGUGUUGUCGUCUGAAAACGGUAAUUAAGCAAACAUGAGUACAAAGGUACUCAGCAAGUCUUACAACAGAACCUACUAUACAUGCUUAUUCUCAAGAAGGUGGUGGGGAUAUUGCAGCAAGCCAGCUUUGACUCUUGGCUAAACUAUCCUACGGAACAUCUCUAGUAAAAUAGUUUUCGCACACGAGUCCACUACUCACCAACACAAUACUCCACCGGGGAUCCUCCCUCGUCAUCCUAUGAGAGGGUGUCGGGGGUGUCUGAUCCCUCGCACACCUAUGGGGAUCAGCGGACCGAGCCCCUUUUGGUUCGGUAGGGGGCGGUGGAUGCACAAAGAGUAGAUCGAGGCGAAACACAUGAGCGAGACAAUCGAUUUACCCAGGUUCGGGCCACACGGAUGCGUAAAACCCUACUCCUGCUUUGGUGGUUGUAUUGAGUUUUUUCUCGGGAGCAGCUGGCGAGACCGAGCGUGAGAAUGGCUGUCCCCCCCCUGUUGCGCAUGGGCCUCCUUUUAUAUGUCUAAGGGGUCACCGACACGUGGCAACAGAGGUAAGGGUAAAAAUGUAAAAGGGGUGGUAGUUGGCUCCACCGCCUACAUGUCGCAUCCUACCUAACUCUGACGGCAGGGGACAAGGGCAUUAAAUGCCCGUCUGUGUCACCUUGACGGCCCAGAGAGGGACCACUAGGAACGCCACCGUUUGCCACGACGGUUCCUUGUCAGCGUCUGCUUGCCAUUGCAUGCCCCCGGCUGCACAGCCUCCCGCCACGUACGCCAGGAAUGGCCCCAGGGCGACACGUUGGUGGGUGAGCUGGAGCGCGGGCUGCGGGGUAGUGGCUUGCCGCGGCAAGUGCCUUGCCGCGGGUGUUGUCUUGUCACGUCCGGGAGCUUGCCGCUCACCGGGUCUUGUCGGGGCACGCGGUGCGCCGCAGCGAGUCUCUUGAGAUGCUUUGGUUGUCUUCCCGGCAAGCUCCUCUUGCCGGGGUCUCGUCUCCUUCCCGGCAAGCUCCUCUUGCCGGGGCCUUGUUCCCUUCCCGGCAAGCUCCUCUUGCCGGGGCCUUGUUUGGAUCUUGGAUACUUUGUUCUUGAAUGGCUCCAGAGGAACCAUGGAGGGUCUUGGCGGUCGCCCGGCAAGCCUUGCCGCGGGUCGCUGCGACUACCCAUGCACAAGUUCGGGGUACUAAGGUACCCGUACUUUAGCACACCGACAGGAGCCCCCAGGCCUGGGCCAUACACGGUGCCGAGCGCUGUUGGGCCAGGCCCAAAACAGUGCAAGGGCACGCGCGGCCUGGGUCACGCCAUAACUGAUUCCGUAUCCACCGCGCUCUCCCCAAACGGCACGCGUCAAACGCGGCAUCGUGGGAGAGAUCGUGGGCGGUUUUCGAGGUGCCCACUCCCCACGAUCACGGGGUGGGGAGAGACCGCCCCAUCCGUCGCCUCGGUUCUGCACGCCUGCCACGCGGUUCCCGUGCACUUGGGGUCGCGGGCGGCGGAAGCGGGAAACGGGGCCGUCGUGGGUCGAGGGAGUGGGUCGGCCCCGGCUCCCCGCGUCUUGAUUCGCUGAGCGGGGCGGCCGAGCCCCCACCUUGCUCCUUUAUAAAGAGCGGGAGGGGAGGACGGGAGCCUGCAUCCUCCCAUCUUCUCCUUCCUUCAGCUCCUGCUCCCCUCCCCCCAUUCGCCAUGGAGAGAGGGAACCCUGGUCCUUCGUCAGUGGCGGCAAGGGUUGCCGCCAGGCAGCGCAUCCCUCCCUCUCCCGCACCCGUGGCGGCGGAGCCAGCCAUAAGGGGAAGAGGGAGGGGGCGAAGUCGUGGACGAGGCCGUGGCGCUCGGGGAAGAGGUGGGCGAGGCGGCGCGUCGGCUUCGCCUCCGCCGGCGGCUCUUCUUCCCGCGGUGGCCCAUGCCGGGGACGACCCUUGCGAGUUAUUCGUCAGGCUGCGCCGGGCGCCCCGCCGUCGCCUCUGACUCCCGGAUCCGUUUGCGGAAGUGGUGGAGUUGGACCCGCCCGAGACGCUGAGGCUGCAGAUGAGGGCUGUGGGAUCAGCGGCACGCGGGUCCGCGCCGAAUUCCCAGCCCCCGGCGUGAUUUAUCUUGGCCGAGGGUGGAAGACGUUCGCCCGCAUCCACAGCUUGACACCGGGGCUGACCCUCCACUUCAAGUUGGUGGAGGGUGAUCUCCUCUCCGUCAAGGUCUUCGGGUGCUUCAGCGUCCGGGCCCGGUGCUGCGUGGAAAGCUCCUCCGAUAGCGAAGGCUCCUCCUCGAGCAAGAGUGACGAGGAGGGAACGACAGCGGCGACGAGGGGAGCGGGCGGCAGGAUGGCGGGUCCGACUAGGUGUCGGGCGCCGCUCCGCGCGGCACCAGCAACCCCAUCAUCCGGGUCGCCGGCUCCUUGAACUCCCCGGGGGCGUCUCCUUGGGCGGCUGGCGUAGGGAGGCUGCGAAAGAGGAAGAGGGCAGGCGGCAAGGCCGUCAGGUCGGAGUACGAUGGCGUGGUGCCCUCGACAGCGUGCUGACGUCCUGCCGCCUCGUCUUCGAGCCCCCCUUCCGGCGCUGCCAUCACCAUCCAGCCUUGAAGGCCCCCGGGAUGUUCUCUUGGUGUCUUCUGGCACCCGUAGUUCCCCUAGGCACUCCUUUUGCCCUUCUCGCCUCCUUGACCUACCUCCUGAAAAGAGGGGCAGGAAAGAGAUUACGGGCAUCUUAUCUUUUUGAUUUGUAAGCCCUCGGGCCUUAGUUGCAUCUAAAACUUGUAAUCCUCUCUUUCAUGUUUUCCAUUCUCCAUGUACUGUACCUGCGUGGAAUGUUUUAAUGAAAAGGGGAUGCUUGCCAGGUUACUCGUCUCGCGGGUAGAACCCAUGCCAAGGAGCAAAUCCUUGGUAUCUCACAGAUAGACACUCCCUCCCCAGCAACAGGCCCUGCCACAUACCCACGUCGCUCGACCUUUCUCACGCUCUUGACGGAGGCAGAGACGAGGCGGGUGCGGCCCCUCGUUUCAUCCCUUUCCCGCCGCGACUGCGACCAAAGCUUGGCCCUGGGGCCCCAGGGACCAAAGCUAAGGGAGCACGGUGGCUUUCGGGAAGAAGCGAGGUUUUGUAUUCCCAGUCCAAAAGAGAAUGCACGAAGAGGGAUGAAAGACUUAUCUGAGACUGCAGCCCCCGGCAACUCUGGCUUGCCGUGGGGUGAACCUUGGUACUUGCAGCCUCCAGCAACUCUGGCUUGCCGGGGUUCGGAUGCCGGCACGUCCUUCUUCUCCCUUUCGUCCUCACGCGGUCCGACAAGGAUAUGCAAGCCCUGCGAACCAAAGGAAACAAAGGAAGGACAAAGGGACGCACACUAGACCUCUAAGUUAGGGGUUAGCUGCUGUUAGGCACUAUCAACCCUAACCGAGGACUCGACUCGACCUAGCAUGCAUGCUGUAACUCUGGGCGCCAGCGCUUCAUUAUCUUGUGCUCAAGGUCUGUGCCUGGCUUUGUACAAAGGAUUACAUGCAACAGCGUCAAGACUUGUACAAAAGGGUGGUUGCCGGACAGGGUCCGACAACCGCGCCUUACGGGUAAAACUUACAAAGAAGCUUGAUAUUCCAGGAGUUGCUCACUAGUACGCCAUCUUCGGUCUCCAGGCGGACAGUGCCAGGCCUGGUGACUCGUUUCACCCGGUAAGGGCCUUCCCACUUCGGCGUCAACUUGUUGGAAUUCUUGGCGGACUGAACGCGCCGAAGAACAAGGUCGCCUUCCUCGAGGCUCCUAGCAUUAACUUUGCGGCUAUGAUAGCGGCGCAAAGCUUGCUGGUAGCGAGCGGCUCGCACAGCAGCCUGGAGACGAUCUUCCUCAAGGAGCAGCGCGUCAUCUUGCCGCAGCUGCUCUUGCUCAAGCUCAUCAUAGCACUCGAGGUGACCCGUAUACGAGUUCCAUGGGGAUAACUGCCUCCGCUCCAUAGACUAGAGCGAAGGGUGUCUGCCCGGUGGCUCGAUUUGGCGUCGUCCUGAUCGACCAAAGAACCACCGGCAGCUCCUUGAUCCAGUUGCGUCCGCGCUUGUGCAGCCUGUCAAAUGUUCUGGUCUUGAGCCCGUGCAGCACUUCAGCAUUCGCCCUCUUAGCUUGGCCGUUGCUUCUCGGGUGAGCGACAGAAGCAAAGCAGAACUUGGCGCCAAGAUCUUGGACGUACUGCAUGAAGGCGCGGCUUGUAAAUUGUGUACCGUUGUCGGUGAUUAUCCUGUUAGGGAUUCCGAAACGGCAAACAAUCGACCUGAAGAAUUUGAUCGCGGACUGCGCCGUCACCUUCCUCACUGGUUCCACUUCCGGCCACUUUGUGAACUUGUCGAUUGCAACGUACAAGUACUCAAAGCCCCCGACGGAUCGGGGGAAGGGGCCGAGGAUAUCGAGCCCCCAGACCGAAAAUGGCCAGGAUAAAGGGAUCGUCUGGAGAGCUUGAGCUGGCUGGUGUAUCUGCUUGGAAUGGAACUGGCACGCUUCACACUUGGUUACUUGUGCAGUUGCAUCCUGGAGGGCUGUCGGCUAGAAGAAGCCUUGUCGGAAUGCUUUUCCGACAAGAGCUCUUGCGCCAAUGUGGUGACCACAUAUGCCUCCAUGUAUCUCUGCCAACAGCUUCUGUCCAUCUUCCCGAGGAAUACACUUCAAUUUCACACCGUUGAGUCUUCUUCUGCACAGUGUGUUGUCAACAAACUGGUACAUACUGGACUGCCGGGCUACUCUUUCUGCUUCUUCUGGUUCCUCGGGAAGCUCUCCUGUCUGAAGGAAACGGACGGUCUGCUACGCCCAUGUUGGAGCCUGUGGCUCGACAACAAGGACUAAAGGCACAUCUGCUGCUGUGGGAACGCCUACUUCUACGGCAGGAGCCUGCGACUCUGCCGGAGCUUGACAUUCCCCGACAAGCUUGCCGGAGCAGAGCUUGCCGGGAGUGUCUGCUGCAAUGGAACAAACCCUGGGGCUUGCCGGAGUAGACUGCUCCUCAGCACUCUUGGCGUCGAUCUUGGGGACCUUCUUGGCGGCGUCUUCGGGGAGCUUUGCCGGGAGAUAGUCACCAGAGAUCAACUUCCUCUUCUUGCUCUGUCCACUUGAUGGUGCCACGGAUGGCUGAGUUAGCUUGAGCACAAAGGUCCCUGGUUCCACAGGUAACUUAAGUGCUGCGCACUUUGACAGGCGAUCGGCAAUGUCAUUCUCAGCUCUUGGAACAUGUUCCAUUUGCAGGCUGUCAAAGCGCUCUUCCAGCUUCCUCACUUCAUCAACGUAAGCUUCUAUCAAUGGACUUUGGUAAUCUUUGUUCACUUGGCGGACGACAAGCUGCGAGUCACCCCUAACAAUGAGCUUCUUAAUCCCAAGUUCUGCCGCGAUCCUGAGACCGGCAAGCAAGCCUUCUUACUCUGCAGUAUUGUUUGUCGCUUGCUCCUUGGGAAAGUGCAUCUGGACUAUGUACUUGAGGUGCUCCCUGGUGGGUGCGACAAGCAGUACACCAGCACCGGCGCCUUGCAGCGAGAAAGCACCGUGAAAGUACAUGAGCCACUCUUUGCUUGCUUCCUUGGCGGGGAUGCUCGUCUCCGGAAUUUCUUCGUCUGGAGUUGGCGUCCACUCUGCUAUUAACUCUGCCAAUGCUCCGCUCUGGAUUGUUGAUGUACUCUCAAACUUGAGGCCAAAGCUUGACAGUUCCAGUGCCCACUCGACAAUCCUGAAUGUUGCUUCUGGAUUUUGCAAUAUCCUUUUCAGCGGAAAGCGAGUGACAACUGUGAUCUCGUGUGCUUGGAAGUAAUGACGUAGCUUUCUCGAGGCCAUGAGGAGGCCGAAAAGCAGCUUCUGCACACUAGAGUACCUUGACCUAGCCCCCUGUAAAAGGGAGCUGACAAAGUAAACUGGGUGCUGCACCAUUUUCUUCUGUAUCUCCUCUUGUAUCUGCGCAGAUCCUUGGUUGUCGGGACCAGAGCUUGUCGGGGAAGCCCCCUGCUUGUCGCUGGAUGUGCUUGCCGCGGCCGCUGGCUCGUCGUCGGCCUCCCUUUCCGCUACUAACGCAGCACUAACCACUUGAUUGGUUGCCGCUAUGUACAGGAGCAACUUCUCUUGUGGUUUAGGCGCGACAAGUGUUCGGGUGGACGACAGGUAUCUCUUCAAGUCUUGCAGCGCAGCCUCCGCUUCCGGAGUCCAUCUCAUUGGACCUGCCUUUUUCAAAAUUUGAAAAAGGGCAGGGCGCGCUCAGCAGACCAAGGGAUAAACCUGCUAAGAGCAGCUACGCAGCCGGCAAGCUUCCGUACAUCCGUGACGCGCUUUGGUGCUUCGAUCUGCUCAAUGGCCCUGAUCUUGUCGGGGUUGGCUUCGAUUCCCCGCUGAGACACGAAGAACCCGAGAAGCUUGCCGAAAGGGACUCCAAACACACACUUCUCGGGGUUGAGCUUGAGGUUGAUCUUGCGCAGAUAUGCAAAAGUCUCUUCUAAGCCUUGGAUCAGAGUUGCCCUGUCUUUGCUUUUGACCACUAUAUCAUCCAUGUAAGCUUCUACAUUUCUGUGUAUCUAUGGCUUCAAAGCAAUAUGGACUACUCUGGCAAAUGUUGAACCAGCAUUCUUUAAUCCGAAAGGCAUCCGUACGAAACAGUACGUGCCACAUCGAGUAAUGAAUGCGGUUUUCUCCUCAUCCUCUUCCGCCAUGAAGAUCUAAUGGUAUCCUGAGUAUGCAUCAAGAAAUGAAAGCAACUCACAUCCGGCCGUGGAGUCAACAAUCUGGUCAAUGCGCGGCAAGGGAAAUGGAUCUUUUGGACAAGCUUUAUUAACAUCAGUAAAGUCAAUACAAAGCCUCCAUUUCCCAUUCGCCUUGCGCACUACAACCGGAUUGGCCAACCACAUGGGAUGGAGCACCCCUCUAACGAGGCCUGCUGCUUCCAAUUUCUUGAUUUCUUCGGCUAUGAAUUCUUGGCGCUCCACCGCCUGUUUCCUGACCUUCUGCUUGACGGGCCGCGCAUGAGGACAAACUGCAAGGUGGUGCUCAAUUACCUCCCUGGGAACACCGGGGAUGUCAGACGGUUGCCAUGCAAACACGUCGACAUUCGCCCGCGGGAAAGUAACGAGUGCGCUUUCCUAUUUAGGGUCAAGCGUGGCACUGAUGGUGAAGGUACCACCAGUGCCGUCCUCCUUGGCGGGCACCUUCUUGGUAAGUGGUGGAGCGGCCAUCGUCUUCUUACUCUUGCAGCCGGAGCUCGAUGGUGCGUCCUCGACGGCAGCGCAGCACUCCGAAGAGGUGCGCCUGCCGGAGUAGGCAUCAGAGCACUCGCCGGGCUUGGUCUUCUUCUUGCCGGUGGAGCUCGAUGGUGCGUCCUCGACGGUAGCGCAGCACUCCGAAGAGGCGCGCUUGCUGGAGUGGGUACUAGAGCUCUUGCCGGACUUGGUCUUCUUCCCCCUGGGAGCUUCAGCGGCAAGUGUCUCGCGGUCUGUCGCGGCGGCAGCUUCCCGGUAGAUCUUGUCGGCGCAGAUAAGGGCGUCCUUCUUGUCGCCAGGGACAGAGAUGACGCUUAUCGGGCCCGGCAUCUUGAGCAUGUUGUAGGCAUAGUGAUAGGCUGCCAUUAACUUGGCGAGCGCGGGACGGCCAAGUAUCCCAUUGUAGGGCAAUGGGAAAUCGGCAACGUCGAAGGUGACCCUCUCAGUCCUGAAGUUCAUCUCACUGCCGAAUGUCACCGGCAGCGCGACUUUUCCCUUCGGCUUGCUCCUUCCCGGGUUAAUUCCUUGGAAUGUACCGGUUUCUUCGAGCUCACUGUCUGGGAUCUGGAGUUUCUGGAGCACAGCGGAGGAGAUCAGAUUCAGGCCGGCCCCGCCGUCAACUAGCAUCUUGGUGACCUUGAGGUUGCGGAUUGUUGGGGAAACCAACAACGGCAAGCACCCGACCGCAGUCGUGCGAUCAGGGUGGUCCUCAAUGUCAAAGAUGAUCGGCGUGCUGGACCACUUCAGAAGCUUGCGUGAUUCGACAGGUGGCUCUGCCGCAUUAACUUCCCGGAGCCACUGUUUGAGUUGGCGGUGGGAAGUGUGCAGAGAAGCGCCACCGUCAACACACAAGACUUCUGUAGCCUUCUGAAACUCCUGCUCGCUGUUCUCAACAUCAUCCAUGUCUUCGUCGUCGUCUUCGUCUUCGUCCUUAUCGCGGCCGCGAGGAGGUCUGUCUCCUUGCCGCUGCUUGGCCUUGCCACGGCUCCCUCCCGGGCCAGCGCGGUUCUUGCCGGCUUCUCCAUCGCCUCCUUGGGCUCUCUCCUUGUCGCGCCGCUCGUACUCACCUCUUUGUUGCUGGACAAGCUGCUCGACCCUCUUGCAGUUCUGGAGAUCAUGGCCCUUGGUGCGGUGGAUCUUGCAGUACUGCUUGUCGGAGCUGCCCUGCUUGUCGGCGGCCGCCACAGCCUGGCAGUUGGUACACGCGGCAACCUCUUUGCCGGAGCUGACAACUUUGGCUUGCUUGGCGGGGCCGUCAUCGCUGGACUGCUCAACGACCAGUACCUCUUUGCCGCUCUUCUUCUUGUUGGGCCUCCGGUUUUUGCUUGCCGGGGCGGCAUCCUCACUGUCAGAUAUCCCUGCUCUAGCAUCCUCUCCGGGGAGUUUCCUCCCUUCUUCAGCGCGUGCGCACUUGUCGGCCAGGGCGUACAGCUCGCUGACGUCCUUGAUCCUGCUCAUCGCCAUCUCCUCCCGCAUCCUGCAAUUACGCAUGUUCUGAUGGAACGCGCUGAUAACCGCGGUAGGGUGGAUGUCUGGGAUGUUGCGCUGCACGCGGCUGAAUCUCUGGAUAUACUUGCGCAAAGGUUCUCCUUCCUUCUGGGCAAGCAGGUGGAGGUCACUCUCUUGGCCGUGUGGUUUGUGGCCGCCUGUAAAGGCGCCGACAAACUGGUGGCACAAAUCCGCCCAAGAGGAUAUGGAGUUGUCCGGCAAGUGCAUGAGCUAGGAUCUGACUUCGGGCUUGAGCACGAGCGGGAAGUAGUUGGCAAGGACCUUGUCGUCUCGUCCCCGGCAGCUUGCACCGCAAUGGUGUAGAUGCUGAGGAACUCCGACGGGUGUGACUUGCCGUCGUACUUCUCCGGCACGUCUGGCUUGAAAUGCUUCUGGUUGGGCCACUGGACUUGCCGCAGCUCAUGGGUGAACGCGGGACAACCCGCCGCGUACGGCAAGUUACCUGGCUCUCCGGGUGCAUGCAUGUCAACAGAGGGCCCAGCGCACAGGUCAGAUUGACGCCGCGCUUCCCUUCGGCGCUCGAUGCAUGUUCAAGUGUCUUCUUGCUGUCUCUGAUGAAGAACUUGGCGUUGAUCGCGGUGAGCUCGCGGAUCUGACGACGCGGUGGAGUAGCCGUCGAGGUGGAUCCGGUGAGUCGGCGAUCUCGGCCUUCGGGGCGGAGAGUGCACAGUGGUUGCACCCUCACCGGUCUUGUCGCCACCGGCUCGCGCCUGGCUGACUUGCCGCGGCAGCGAUGCGCUCUGCUGCCGUGGGUUGUCACCAUUGGCGCAGCCGAUGAUGCUCUGAAUAGUGGCCCUCCAGUCAUCGAUCUUCUCUAGUGCUGGAGGGUAGUCUAGGAGCAGCUGGGCACGCGCCAACGGUUCCGUCGGAGUGGUGGGCGGCGGCAGCGAACGGUGCGAGGAGCGAGAUAUGCUCGGACUCCUAACCACGUUAGAAGGAGCAACAUCCCGUCCAAGCGACCGCGCCGCGCUCGCGCCAGCACGUUGGCGUGCCUGCUGAUCCUGAGCACUUCGGGAUCCGCCAGCUUGAUCUUGGCCCAGCAGGCGUAUGGUACAGUGGGUACCAUGACGCUACUGGUCCCGCGCCUCCUGGGAUGGGCGCGGUGCGUGUACGGACACCGAGGUCUCGGAGUGCGCGCGGUCGUCGUGGGAGGCGACCGCGCUACCGACGUGCGCCGCAGCCAGGCACUUGGACCUGGCAGUGCCAUGAGUCUCCCCGUCGGCGCCCGCCCUUCCGCCGGCGCCUACUUCACCCGCCGUUCGCUCCGGCGAUGGCGGGCUCGACGCGGACGGAGCGGCUACCUCCGAAGCCUUCUUCUUCGGCGGCAUGUUGAUGAAGACGAUGAAGAUUCGGCUCGCGCGAACGCCGGAUCAGGUUCGCACUACCUCGACGCACCCCCUACCUGGCGCGCCAAAGAUGUCGGGGGUGUCUGAUCCCUCGCACACCUAUGGGGAUCGGCGGACCAAGCCCAUUUUGGUUCGAUAGGGGGCGGUGGAUGCACAAAGAGCAGAUCAAGGCGAAACACACGAGCAAGACGAUUGAUUUACCCAGGUUCGGGCCGCACGGAUGCGUAAAACCCUACUCCUGCUUUGGUGGUUGUAUUGAGUUUUUGCUCGGGAGCGGCGAGUGCUACAGUACACUCAAGCAGCUGGCGAGACCGAGCGUGAGAAUGGCUGUCCCCCUCCCCCUGUUGCGCAUGGGCCUCCUUUUAUAUGUCUAAGGGGUCACCGAUACGUAGCAACAGAGGUAAGGGUAAAAAUGUAAAAGGGGUGGUAGUUGGCUCCACCGCCUACAUGUCGCAUCCUACCUAACUCUGAUGGCAGGGGACAAGGGCAUUAAAUGCCCGUCUGUGUCACCUUGACGGCCCAGAGAGGGACCGCUAGGAACGCCACUGUUUGCCACAACGGUUCCUUGUCAGCGUCUGCUUGCCACCGCAUGCCCCCGGCUGCACAGCCUCCCGCCACGUACGCCAGGAAUGGCCCCAGGGUGACACGUUGGUGCGUGAGCUGGAGCGCGGGCUGCGGGGUAGUGGCUUGCCGCGGUAAGUGCCUUGCCGCGGGUGUUGUCUUGUCGCGUUCGGGAGCUUGCCGCUCACUGGGUCUUGUCGGGGCGUGCGGUGCGCCGCAGCGAGUCUCUUGAGAUGCUUUGGUUGUCUUCCCGGCAAGCUCCUCUUGCCGGGGUCUCGUCUCCUUCCCGACAAGCUCCUCUUACCGGGGCCUUGUUCCCUUCCCGGCAAGCUCCUCUUGCAGGGGCCUUGUUUUUCUCUUGGAUACUUUGUACUUGAAUGGCUCCAGAGGAACCAUGGAGGGUCUUGGCGGUCGCCCGGCAAGCCUUGCCGCGGGUCGCUGCGACUGCCCGUGCACAAGUUCGGGGUACUAAGGUACCCCUACUUUAGUACACCAACAGAGGGCCAUCCUCGGUACUCACACUUAUCUUGAGUAUUUAGUAGUAUCCAUUUACUUGUCUAUGAACUGUAUAGGCAACCAAGUAGUCCUUUACCGCGGACGUGGCUAUUCGAAUAGUUUUAUACCCUGCAGGGGUGUACUUCGUCAUACACGCUUUCACCACUUAUCGCCGUUUACACGACAUGUACUCGGCAACCUUCAAGCGGAAGCCCAGCGAGGGUGUCGGCCACGGCCUACCUAAACACUUAAGUCUCUAGUCCAGGUUUAUCGCCUAUCCAGGUUCCAUCGGCAGGGAGUGCGGCCGAGGUUUCCACAUACGGCCCCGAACGAUGUGAACAGGGUUCCGAGAUGCCAAACGGGCGCCCGGCAUACCCGGCCAGGUGUAUCUACCGCAACAUAGCCCACCCCUAGGGUCAGCGCUACGCACGGCCGCCAACACAUAACCUACAAACCCAGAAACUAUAUGCAACUCCUGGACAGAGUACAAGGGUGAUUAAGAAGCCGAGAGGGUCAAUUAAGGAUCCCAAUGCGUGGUAGUAGCUGAAUCUUAAAUCAACAUACAGAUCUCAGUUCUUAGGGACGGUCUCAAUGAAACAACCCACCAUGUACUCCUACAUGGCCUCUCAUCGAUACCUUUACCAAAACAUGUUCAACACAUUCCUCAUAUUACCGACAUAAUCAUAUCACCCUAGCCCAUCACCCAGAUGAACCAGACCUGACACAACUCUAAGCAUAGCAGGCAUAGCAAGGUAGGAAUCACAUACAUGGCUCAAUCAAAUCAUACACAUGCUAGUGGGUUUCAUCUAGUUAUUGUGGCAAUGACAGGCCAUGUAGAGGAUAAGGGUUCAACUACCGUAGCACACAACAGUUUGAAUCGCGUUGUCUUAAUGAAGUAAACAAGAGCAGAGGCGAGAACAUGGGUUGUAUCGGAAUGAUCAAUGGGUUGCUUGCUUGAUGGAGUGGUAGUGGGAUACUGCCCUUCAGUUGGAUACUCGUGAAUAUCCUCGGAGGUAGAACCUACCACGAAGAACACAUCGGAACACAAUCAACACAUGACGAUAUGCAACAAUAUGAUGCAUGCUAUGACGUGUCUUGGCCUAAUGCAAGCUAAAAUAGAAAGGGAUGAACUCAUUUGAAUCAAAGAUUCAAAUAUUAGCUCACUAAACAUGGCCUUAGUAGUGCAUUUCCUUAUUCUGCUUAAACAGCAAGGUAAACUUGUUUUGUCAUGCAUGAAACCAUUACAGAUGGAUAGAUUGAAUUUUUCUGAUAAUUUUUCAUAUAUAAAUUAUUUCAUUUGGAGUUACGGUUGAAUUUCUAUGAUUUCUAGAAGUUUUAAACAUUUUCUGGAAAUUCCUGAAUAAAAAUAAAUCCAGAAAAUGCAUUACUACGUCAGCAUUGCGUCAUGCUGGCCUCGGCAGGUCAAAGGCGCCAGCCCAGGUCAAACCUGACUGGUGGGCCCCUUCUGUCAGUCUCUCAGUUAAAUAACAGGAUUAGAUUAACACUAAUUAGCUGUCAGUGGGGCCUGGGCCCACAUGUCAGUGACUAAUUAAAAUCAAAUUAGUUAAAACUAAACCUAGAUUAGUUAGCAGACUGGCCCCACCUGUCAUAGACUCAGGGGGGGUCUACCUGGGCCCACCCAGGGUCAAACUCGCCGGCGUUGAGCCGCCGGCGAGACCCGAGACGGUGGCGCAGCUCGAAAAACGCCUACAGGGCACGAGCGAGGCCGUUCAUGGGCUCGUUGGAGAGCUCUUGCAGUCGCGCAUCUAGUGGUGGUGGUGGCCGGGCCUACGGUGGCCGGAGACGACGACGGCGAGCUCCAAGGCGGCGGCCGGAGUUCGGCCAUGUGCGGGGUGUGGGCUGUGGCGUGCAAACGUGGAAACUGAGGCACUAGCGAGGCACUACGCGAUGCGGCAAGCACGUUGCGUAGCACGGGAUGACCAAAUGGUCGCCGGAGCGGCGCCGGCGACAAGCUCGAGCGGAGACGAGCUUCGGCCAUGGUGGCACUAUGGCCUAGAGGGUGCAAACGCGUGGAAAAGAAGAGGGGAAAGGUGGCGGAGCUCACAGGCAGGUCGAUGAGCAGCUCAGUGGGCUCGGGGGCGACCGGAGUGAGGCGAAUCGAUGAGCGGCGUCCGGCGGGUACCGAGGUUGAAGACAAUCCGAUGGCGGCGAUGCAGGGCCUCCGGCGAUGCGUGGCUCGGUGGGGAGGGCGGGGGCGUCACGGCGCAGCUUCUGGACAGGUCAGAGAGGCGAGGGGGUGACGGAGGGCGCGACUACGGCGGUGAGACGGCGAUUAGAAAGAAAGAUUUGGUUCACUCGUACGUGAAAAAAGGAACAAGCGCUUGAUGCCUUCCUUUGCAUCGAUGCCAGACGCGGUGCUGGGAAUCGACAAGAUAACCGCCAAUCUACCAGGAUUAAAUUCCUAGCGCCUCCUUCUAGCGCCUCCCACUGAAAAUGCCCUAACGAUUUUUGAGGGAUUUUUUUACUGUGUCCUACUUCACGAAUCACGAGGCAAAUCAAGUAGGCGGCAUGGCCUGGCCGGUGAGUGCCAUUGCACUUACUUGCCCCAGCAAUUUUCCGCGUGCAUUGUAGAAUUCUUUCUCCGAGUCCUGUGAAUUAAAGAUGGUGCAGACAAAAGUAUAUCCUGUAUGCGUACAUGUGCAUGAUCAGAACAUGUUUUUACGUGCGUCUACUAUAAAUCAUGACCAUUUUUAACACAAAUCAUGACCAUUCAUGAUUAGUGAAUCAUACUGUCUUAACUUAUGUGAAAUCAUGUGGAGUAAUAUAAUAUAAUAUAAUAGAUAGAUAGAUCCAUGUUGUAUUAUUUUUUGUUUACAAAAAAUAUCUGUCAUUACACAUUUUGAUUUAUGCAUUUGUUUACAAAAAAAACAGUAACAUUUCAUGGUGGAAAGUUUGUAUUGUUUCAUACUGAACACCAAUGUUUUCCUGUAAAAGAAAAUAAUGCCUACGCAUAUGCUUUUAUAUUAUUAUUAUUCUUUCAAACUUAUUCAUACAGUAUUUUUGAUUGUGCAACCAUAAUUUUUAUUGUCUCUCUCGUUCCACUACAUGCUCUUACUCAAUGAUUUUUUUUAUAACGGGUGUUUUUAUUAACUCAAAAUAUAGUAUCAAGCGGAUACAAAACAUAAUGAGCCACACCUGGUCUCUGCAUAACUAAGAUGCAUACAGCUAAAAGCAGAUGUCUGACAAAAAUAAGAUAAGAAAAUCGACAUAUCGACAACAGUGAGUCAUAUAGUUCCGACACUAUGCCUCUGUUGAAGGACGGGGUGGAGCGAUCUGAAGAUUAUGCUGCCCUCCAUGUUGAGUAAAUACCUCCCUGGCCACUUGUUCCAACCGCAUAGACGCCGCCACGAAUAAUGGUCGGUACUCUGUUCGGUGUAGCAUACACCAUGUAGGAAGUGAGUGCUCACUUCUAGUUACUAAAUUAUGUACACACUAAUAGAAAAAGGGCCAUUUGUCCCGGUUCGUAAGGCCCAUUUGUCCCAGUUGGGGAACCGGGACUAAAGGGUCGGUACUAAAGCCCUACACAUUUAGUCCCGGUUCUUACACCAUCCGAGACAGAUGGGGCUCCACGUGGCCGCUACAGCUUGCCGUGGCAGGGGGGCCUUUUGUCCCGGUUGGUAGCACCAACCGGGACCAAUAAGCUACCACGCGUCAGCAUUUGAGGGCUAGGUUUUUUGUUUUUUUUCNNNNNNNNNNNNNNNNNNNNNNNNNNNNNNNNNNNNNNNNNNNNNNNNNNNNNNNNNNNNNNNNNNNNNNNNNNNNNNNNNNNNNNNNNNNNNNNNNNNNNNNNNNNNNNNNNNNNNNNNNNNNNNNNNNNNNNNNNNNNNNNNNNNNNNNNNNNNNNNNNNNNNNNNNNNNNNNNNNNNNNNNNNNNNNNNNNNNNNNNNNNNNNNNNNNNNNNNNNNNNNNNNNNNNNNNNNNNNNNNNNNNNNNNNNNNNNNNNNNNNNNNNNNNNNNNNNNNNNNNNNNNNNNNNNNNNNNNNNNNNNNNNNNNNCAAAUGAAGUAAACCAUUAAGUACAGAAGUUCGUCAUGAACAUAUGCAUACAAACAUAAGUGAUAUCGACCUCUCCUUCUCCGACAGAUAGGUCGAACAACAAGUUUCCGUAUAUCUAUCCGGCGCUACUAGCUACAUAUAUACAAUAUUAAGAUCUCUUACAAUAUAAUCCCCUAAUUAUAAAUGAACUCAGCUUCGAGAUGGUAUUCUCCGGCUUUAUUGAUGACGUGGUCAAGAAAGAAUCCCUCCAAUUCCUCUUGAAUUGCUUUGAUGCGAUCUUGUGGUAGGAGUUCAUCCCGCAUCUGCCACAUCUAAUUUGAAGAAGGGGGUCAAUCACCAGUAGAAUAACAGCCAUUUGUCCUGGUUCAUAAGGUUAAUUUGUCCCGGUUGGGGAACCGAGACUAAAGGGUCGUUACUAAAGCCCUACACCUUUAGUCCUGGUUCUUACACCAACUGGGACAGAUGGGCCUCCAUGUGGCUGCUGCGGCGAGCCCAGGCCGGAGGUCCUUUGGUCCCGGUUAGUGGCACUGAUACGUCUCCAACGUAUCUAUAAUUUUUGAUUGCUCCAUGCUAUUAUGUUAUCUAUUUUGGAUGUUAAUGGGCUUUAUUUUACACCUUUAUAUCAUUUUUGGGACUAACCUACUAAUCGGAGGCCCAACCCAAAUUGCUGUUUUCUGCCUAUUUUAGGUUUUCGAAGAAAAGGAAUAUCAAACGGAGUCCAAACGGAAUGAAACCUUCGAGAACGUGAUUUUCUCAACGAACAUGAUUCAGGAGACUUGGAGUGUGCGCCAAGAAACAAGGGAGGAAGGCACGAGGCAGGGGGGGCGCGGCUACCCUCUUGGGCACGCCCUCCACCCUCGUGGGCCCUCCGCUGCUCCACCGACGUACUUCUUCCUCCUAUAUAUAUCCACGUACCCCCAAACAUCCAGGAGCACCACGAAAACCUAAUUCCACCGCUGCAACCUUCUGUACCCAAGAGAACCCAUCUUGGGGCCUUUUCUGGAGGUCCACCGGAGGGGGCAUCGAUCAGGGAGGGCCUCUACAUCAACUCCAUGGCCUCUCCGGUAAUGUGUGAGUAGUUUACUUCAGACCUACGGGUCUAUAGUUAUUAGCUAGAUGGCUUCUUCUUCUCUCUUUGGAUCUCAAUAAAAAGUUCUCCUCGAUUUUCUUGGAGAUCUAUUCGAUGUAACCUUCUUUUGCAGUGUGUUUGUCGAGAUCCGAUGAAUUGUGGGUUUAUGAUCCAGAUUAUCUAUGAACAAUAUUUGAUUCUCCUAUGAAUUCUAUUAUGUAUGACUGGUUUAUCUUUGCAAGUCUCUUCGAAUUAUCAGUUCGGUUUGGCCUACUAGAUUGAUUUCUUGCAAUGGGAGAAGUGCUUAGCUUUGGGUUCAAUCUUGUGGUGUUUGAUCCCAGUGACAGAAAGGGAACCAAUACGUAUUGUAUUGUUGCCAUCGAGGAUAAAAAGAUGGGGUUUAUAUCAUAUCGCAUGAGUUUAUCCCUCUACAUCAUGUCAUCUUCCUUAAAGCAUUACUAUGUUCUCUUGAACUUAAUACUCUAGAUGCAUGCUAGAUAGCGGUCCAUGUGUCGAGUAAUAGUAGUAGAUGCAGAAUCGUUUCGGUCUACUUGUCUAGGACGUGAUGCCUAUAUACAUGAUCAUACCUAGAUAUUCUCAUAACUAUGCUCAAUUCUGUACAAUAUGGUGCACGGGGUUACAUCGGCCUGUAAAGACAUUUAUGCGAUGUGAGACAUCCGAAAAGCAACGAAAACGGGAGAUUAUACAUUUAUUGAAGAGGGCCGGUGUGACAGAUACCGUGAGGGCGUCGAGCUCAGCCAAAGACGACGGACAGCUGAGCACGGCCUGUGUCAGAGCCGGUGCGGGAGCAAGUGCAGGUGCAGGUGCUGGUGCAACGCUAGUCGAGCUGCUCCUGAAGAAGUCAACAAUGGGAAAGUCCGCUGCAUUUUUUCUGCAUUUUGCGUGCUCCAAUUGAAAAUGGCUGGAACCAAGACAGUAGACAUAUCUGCAACCACCUGUUUUCCAGCAGCUACCGCUGUCGCGACUGUCUCAGAUGAUUUCUUCUCAACCGCAAUCUCAACCUUCUUGUCGAUGUUUUAUUCGGUUAACCUCCAUCUUUCCUUUCUCUCCUCUGUGGUCUCACGGUAGUACUUCUUCCACGUGGCCCCGUCUCCGACACCGUGAACGCGUCCAUACGACGACCGAGUCUCCACCGGGAGUCCUUUCAAUAUGUUCAAUGCCCGGUUGAAUGGAGUGUCCCACUUGGGCCUUGCCAAUGCCUCAGACGGCGAGUCGCUUUCGGCCGCAAUCUUGUGCUGCUCUCUUUACAAAAGGAACACGGAUCAUUUACAAAUAUGACUAAACGUGCAGUCAAAUUGAUCAGAAACUAAAAUUACCGGCAGUCUCAUGAACUCCGUCGUGAUCGGGUCCGUCUUGAAAACCUUCUUGACUUAGUCCCAAUGGUGCCGUGCCUUGAGGACGUCAUCCUCCUACGGGAUGGUGAAGUCCGCCAAGGGGUCUGGGAUGCCAGAUUUUCGCAUUCCGUGUCCUCCUUGGCCCAUAUGGACCUCUUCCUGCCGUAACCACUGCUUCCGAGGUGGUGGCGCCCCAUGUUCCUUUGUGGAAGCCCCUUCAUGUACUUCGACUUUGUUUUGGCAGCUUCGGCCUCGCAAGCCGCCUUGAAUAUUUCAAAGUGCUCUCCCAUGAUUGUCAGAUUAUCCUUUACAAUCUCGGAGUAGGGUUGAUACGUCUCCAACGUAUCUAUUAUUUUUGAUUGCUCCAUGCUAUAUUAUCUCCUAUUUUGGACAAUAUUGGGCUUUAUAAUCGACUUUUAUAUUAUUUUUGGGACUAACCUAUUAACCGGAGGCCCAGCCUAGAAUUGUUGUCUUUUGCCUGUUUUAGGGUUUCGAAGAAAAGGAAUAUCAAACGGAGUCCAAACGGAAUGAAACCUUCGGGAACGUGAUUUUCUGAACGAACAAGACCCAGGAGACUUGGACCCUAUGUCAAGACACAAAAGAGGAGGACACGAGGUAGGGGGCGCACCUACCCCCCCCCCCCCCUCGAGGCACGCCCUCCACCCUCGUGGGGCCCCUGUUGCUCCACCGAUGUACUCCUUCCUCCUAUAUAUACCUACGUACCCCCAAACGAUCAGAUACAGAGCCAAAACCCUAAUUCCACUACCGCAACUUUCUGUAUCCACGUGAUCCCAUCUUGGGGCCUGUUCCGGAGCUCCGCCAGAGGGGGCAUCGAUCACGGUGGGCUUCUACAUCAACACCAUAGCCUCUCCGAUGAAGUGUGAGUAGUUCACCUCAGACGUACGGGUCCAUAGUUAUUACCUAGAUGGCUUCUUCUCUCUUUUUGGAUCUCAAUACAAUGUUCUCCCCCUCUCUUGUGGAGAACUAUUCGAUGUAAUCUUCUUUUUGCGGUGUGUUUAUUGAGACCGAUGAAUUGUGGGUUUAUGAUGAAGUCUAUCUAUGAAUAAUAUUUGAAUCUUCUCUGAAUUCUUUUAUGUAUGAUUGUUUAUCUUUGCAAGUCUCUUUGAAUUAUCAGUUUGGUUUGGCCUACUAGAUUGAUCUUUCUUACAAUGGGAGAAGUACUUAGCUUCGGGUUCAAUCUUGCGGUGUCCUUUCCCAAUGACAGUAGGGGCAGCAAGGCAUGUAUUGUAUUGUUGCCAUCGAGGACAACAAGAUGGGGUUUUCAUCAUAUUGCAUGAGUCUAUCCCUCUACAUCAUGUCAUCUUGCUUAAGGCGUUACUCUGUUUUUAACUUAAUACUCUAGAUGCAUGCUGGAUAGCGGUCGAUGAGUGGAGUAAUAGUAGUAGAUGCAGGGAGGAGUCGGUCUACUUGUCUCAAACGUGAUGCCUAUAUACAUGAUCAUACCUAGAUAUUCUCAUAACUAUGCUCAAUUCUGUCAAUUGCUCAACAGUAAUUUGUUCACCCACCAUAGAAUAAUUAUGCUCUUGAGAGAAGCCACUAGUGAAACCUAUGGCCCCUGGGUCUAUCUUUAUCAUAUUAAUCUCCUAUUACUUAGUUAUUUCCUUUGCUUUUUCCUUUGCCUUUAUUUUACUUUUCAUCUUUAUCACAAAAAUACCAAACAUAUUAUCUUUAUCAUACCUAUCAGAUCUCACUCUCGUAAGUGGCUGUGUAGGGAUUGACAACCCCUAUUCGCGUUGGUUGCGAGGAUUUAUUUCUUUUGUGCAAGUACGAGGGACUCGCGCGUAGCCUCCUACUGGAUUGAUACCUUGGUUCUCAAAAACUGAGGGAAAUACUUACGCUACUUUGCUGCAUCAUCCCUUCCUCUUCGGGGAAAACCAACGUAGUUCUCAAGAGCUGGCAAGAUGGAUUUCUGGCGCCGUUGCCGCGGAGGUCUACGCAAAAGUCAACAUACCAAGUACCCAUCACAUACCCUUAUCUCCCUCAUUACAUUAUUUGCCAUUUGCUUCUCGUUUUCCUCUUCCCCACUUCACCCUUGCCUUUUUAUUCGCCCUCUCUCUCUAUCCUCCCUCUCUUUCUCUAUUUGCCUCUUUUUCCCUACUUGCUUUCUGUUUGCUUGUGUGUUAGUUGCUUGCUUGUCACGAUGGCUCAAGAUAAUACUAAAUUACGUGACUUCACCAAUACCAACAACAAUGAUUUUAUUAGCACUCCGAUUUCUCCUCUUACCGAUGCUGAAUCUUGAGAAAUUAAUACUGCUUUGCUGAAUCUUGUCAUGAAAGAUCUGUUUUCCUGCCUUCCUAGUGAAGAUGCCGCUACCCACAUAAAUAGAUUCGUUGAUUUGUGUGACAUGCAAAAGAAGAAAGGUGUGGAUAAUGAUAUUGUUAAAUUGAAGCUAUUUCCUUUUUCGCUUAGAGAUCGUGCUAAAGCUUGGUUUUCGUCUUUGCCUAAAAAUAGUAUUGAUUCAUGGAAUAAGUGCAAAGAUGCUUUUAUCUCUAAGUAUUUUCCUCCUGCUAAGAUCAUCUCUCUUAGAAAUGAUAUUAUGAAUUUUAAGCAACUUGAUCAUGAACAUGUUGCACAAGCUUGGGAGAGAAUGAAACUAAUGAUACGUAAUUGACCUGCCCAUGGUUUAAAUUUGUGGAUGAUUAUACCAAAUUUUUAUGCCGGAUUGAACUUUGCUUCUAGAAAUCUUUUAGAUUAGGCCGCAGGAGGCACUAUUAUGGAAAUCACUUUAGGAGAAGCUACUAAACUCCUAGAUAAUAUUAUGGUUAAUUAUUCUCAACGGCAUACCGAAAGUUCUACUAAUAAAAAGGUGCAUGCGAUAGAAGAAAUUAAUGUUUUGAGUGGAAAGAUGGAUGAACUUCUGAAAUUAUUUGCUAAUAAGAGUAUUUCUUCUGAUCCUAAUGAUAUGCCCUUGUCUACUUUGAUUGAGAAUAAUAAUGAAUCUAUGGAUGUGGAUUUUGUUGGUAGGAACAAUUUUGGUAACAACGCGUAUAGAGGAAAUUUCAACCCUAGGCCUUAUCCUAGUAAUCUCUCUAAUAAUUAUGGUAAUUCCUACAGCAAUUCUUAUGGAAAUUAUAAUAAGAUGCAUACUGAUUUUGAAUCUAAUAUUAGAGAAUUUAUUACUUUGCAAAAGAAUUUCAAUGCUUUGAUUGAAGAAAAAUUGCUUAAGAUUGAUGAUUUGGCUAGGAACAUUGAUAGAAUUACUCUUGAUGUUGAUUCUUUGAAACUUAGAUCUAUUCCACCUAAGCAUGAUGUCAAUGAGUCUCUCAAAGCCAUGAGAAUUUCCAUUGAUGAGUGCAAAGAAAGAACCACUAGGAUGCGUGCUAAGAAAGAUGCCUUUAUAAGAGCGUGUUCUUCUAGUUCCUAUGAAAAUAAUGAUGAAGAUCAAAAAGUUAUUGAUGUGCUCCCUAUUAAAUCUUUGUUUUGCAAUACGAAUCUUGAUAAUCAUGGGACUGAAUAUGAUCCACCUUUACCUAGAAGGCGUUCCAAGAAUUCAGAAUUUGUUGAUCUUGAUGGUAAAACUGAUAAAGGUGGGAUUGAAGAAAUUAAAACCCUAGAUGUUGCUAAACCCACUAUUAUGGAUUUCAAGGAACUUAACUAUCAAAACUGCCCUUUGAUUGAUUGUAUAUCCUUGUUACAAUCCGUGCUAAAUUCUCCUCAUGCUUAUAGUCAAAAUAAAGCAUUUACUAAACAUAUCGUUGAUGCCUUGAUGCAAUCUUAUGAAGAAAAACUUGAAUUGGAAGUUUCUAUCCCUAUAAAGCUUUAUGAUGAGUGGGAACCAACUAUUAAAAUUAAAAUUAAAUAUCAUGAAUGCUAUGCUUUAUGUGAUUUUGUGUGCUAGUGUUUCCACGAUUCCAAAGACUUUGUGUGAUUUGUUAGGUUUCCAUGAUUUUGAUGAUUGCUCUUUAAACUUGCACCUUGCGGAUUCCACUAUUAAGAAACCUAUGGGAAGAAUUAAUGAUGUUCUUAUUGUUGCAAAUAGCAAUUAUGUUCCCGUAGAUUUUAUUGUUCUUGACAUAGAUUGCAAUCUUUCAUGUCCUAUUAUUCUUGGUAGACCUUUCCUUAGAACGACUGGUGCAAUUAUUGAUAUGAAGGAAGGAAAUAUUAGAUUCCAAUUUCCAUUAAGGAAAGGCAUGGAACACUUUCCUAGAAAGUAAAUUAAAUUACCUUAUGAAUCUAUUAUGAUAGCCACUUAUGGAUUGCCUACCAAAGAUGGCAAUACCUAGAUCUAUCCUUGCUUGUUAUGCCUAGCUAGGGGCGUUAAACGAUAGCGCUUGUAGGGAGGCAACCCAAUUUUAUUUUUACUCCUUGAUUUUUGCUCCUGUUUAGUAAUAAAUAAUUUAUAUAGCCUCUGUUUUGCUUGUGUUCUUUGUGUUUAAUUAGUGUUUGUGCCAAGUAGAACCGUUAGGAAGACUUGGGGAAAGUCAUGUUACACUUGCUGUAAAAAACUGAAACUUCAGCGCUCACGAGAACUGCUGCCGUUUUUAUUUGGAAAGUGCUAUUUAGUUAAUUAUUUUUUCAGAUAAAUUCCUCACAUCCAGAAAUUUAUUUUAGAAUUUUUGGGGUUCCAGCUCUUGAGCUAGCUACAGAGUACUACCGACUGUUCUGUUUUUGAAAGAUUCUGUUUUUCGUGUGUUGUUUGCUUAUUUUGAUGAAGCUAUGGCUAGUAAAAUAUUUUAUAAACCAUAGAGAAGUUGGAAUACAGUAGGUAUAACACCAAUAUAAAUAAAUAAUGAGUUCAUUACAGUACCUUGAAGUGGUCUUUUAUUUUCUUUCGCUAACGGAGCUCAUGAGAUAUUCUACUUUAAGUUUUGUGUUGUGAAGUUUUCAAGUUUUGGGUAAAGAUUUGAUGCAUUAUGGAACAAGGAGUGACAAGAGCCUAAGCUUGGGGAUGCCCAUGGCACCCCCAAGAUAAUCUAAGUACACCUAAAAGCCAAAGCUUGGGGAUGCGCCGGAAGUCAUCCCCUCUUUCAUCUACUUCUAUCGGUAACUUUACUUGGAGCUAUAUUUUUAUUCGCCACAUGAUAUGUGUUUUGCUUGGAGCGUCUUGUAUUAUUUGAGUCUUUAUUUGUUAGUUUACCACAAUCAUCCUUGCUGUACACACCUUUUGAGAGAGUCAUACAUGACUUGGAAUUUGUUAGAAUACACUAUGUGUUUCGCUUAUAUCUUUUGAGUUAUAUAGUUUUGCUCUAGUACUUCACUUCUAUCGUUUAGAGCACGGUGGUGGAUUUGUUUUAUAGAAACUAUUGAUCUCUCAUGCUUCACUUAGAUUAUUUUGAGAUUCUUAAUAGCAUGUUAAUUUGCUUAAAAUCCUAAUAUGCUAGGUAUUCAAAGUUAGUAAAAUUUUCUUAAGAGUGUUUUGAAUACUAAGAGAAGUUUGAUGCUUGAUGAUUGUUUUGAGAUAUGGAGGUAAUAAUAUCAAAGUCAUUCUACUUGAGUAGUUGUGAAAUUGAGAAAUACUAGUGUUGAAGUUUGCAUGUCCCGUAGCACGCACGUAUGGUAAACGUUGUGUAACAAAUUUGAAACAUGAGGUGUUAUUUGAUUGUCUUCCUUGUGAGUGGCGGUCGGGGACAAGCUAUGGUCUUUUCCUACCAAUCUAUCCCCCUAGGAGCAUGCGCGUAGUACCAAGGUUUUUGAUGACUUGUAGAUUUUUGCAGUAAGUAUGUGAGUUCUUUAUGACCAAUGUUGAGUCCUUGAAUUAUACGCACUCUCACCCUUCCAUCCUUGCUAGCCUCUUCGGUACCGUGCAUUGCCCUUUCCCACAUUGAGAGUUGGAGCAAACUUCGCCAGUGCAUCCAAACCCCGUGAUAUGAUACGCUCUUUAACACAUAAACCUCCUUAUAUCUUCCUCAAAAUAGCCACCAUACCUACCUAGUAUGGCAUUUCCAUAGCCAUUCCGACAUAUAUUGCCAUGCAACUUUCCACCAUUCCGUUCAUCAUGACACAUUCAUCAUUGUCAUAUUGCUUAGCAUAAUCAUGUUGUUGACAUAGUAUUUGUGGCAAGGCCACCGUUCAUAAUUCUUUCAUACAUGUCACUCUUGGUCCAUUGCAUGUCCCGGUACACCGCCGGAGGCAUUCAUAUAGAGUCCUACUUUGUUCUAGUAUCGAGUAGUAAUUAUUGAUUCGUAAAUAAAUAGAAGUGUGAUGAUCAUCAUUAAUAGAGCAUGGUCCCAAAAAGAAAAAAAGGAAGUGCCAAAAAAGGCCAAAUAAAAAAAUAUAAAAAAGGGGGGCAAUGCUACUAUCCUUUUUUUCCACACUUGUGCUUCAAAGUAGCACCGUAAUCUUCAAGAUAGAGAGUCUCUUGAUUUGUCACUUUCAUAUACUAGUGGGAAUUUUUCAUUAUAGAACUUGGCUUGUAUAUUCCAAUAAUGGGCCUCCUCAAGUGCCCUAGGUCUUCGUGAGCAAGCAAGUUGGAUGCACACCCACUUAGUUUCUUUUGUUGAGCUCUCAUACAUUUAUAGCUCUAGUGCAUCCGUUGCAUGGCAAUCCCUACUCAUUGCAUUAACAUCAAUUAAUGGGCAUCUCCAUAGCCCAUUGAUUAGCCUCGUUGAUGUGAGACUUUCUCCUUUUUGUCUUCUCCACAUAACCCCACUCAUUAUAUUCUAUUCCACCCAUAGUGUUAUGUCCAUGGCUUGCAAUCAUAUAUUGCAUGAAAGUUUAUAGGUUUGAGAUCACUAAAGUAUGAAACAAUUGCUUGGCUUGUCAUCGGGGUUGUGCAUGAUGAGAGCAUUCUUGUGUGACGAAAAUGAAGCAUGACUAAACUAUAUGAUUUUGUAGGGCUGAACUUUCUUUGGCCGUGUUAUUUUGAGAAGACAUAAUUGCUCAGUUAGUAUGCUUGAAGUAUUAUAAUUUUAUGUCAAUAUGAACUUUUGUCUUGAAUGUUUCAGAUCUGAAUAUUCAUACCACAAUUAAAAAGAAUUACAUUAAAAUCAUGCCAUGUAGCACUCCGCAUCAAAAAUUCUGUUUUUAUCAUUUACCUACUCGAGGACGAGCAGGAAUUAAGCUUGGUGAUGCUUGAUACGUCUCCAACGUAUCUAUAAUUUUUGAUUGCUCCAUGUAUAUUAUCUAUUGUUUUGGACAAUAUUGGGCUUUAUUAUCCACUUUUAUAUUAUUUUUGGGACUAACCUAUUAACCGGAGGCCCAGCCCAGAAUUGUUGUUUUUUGCCUGUUUUAGGGUUUCGAAGAAAAGGAAUAUCAAACGGAGUCCAAACGGAAUGAAACCUUCGGGAACGUGAUUUUCUCAACGAACAAGACCUAGGAGACUUGGACCCUCCAUCAAGACAUAAAAGAGGAGGCCACGAGGUAGGGGGCGUGCCUACCCCCCCCCCCCCCGGCGCGCCCUCCACCCUCGUGGGCCCCCCUGUUGCUCCACCGACGUACUCCUUCCUCCUAUAUAUACCUACUAUUGGGGAACGUAGCAGAAUUUUAAAAUUUUCUAUGCAAGAUCAAUCUAUGGAGUCAUCUAGCAACGAGGGAGAGAGGAGUGCAUCUACAUACCCUUGUAGAUCGCGCGCGGAAGCGUUCAAGAGAACGGGGUUGAUGGAGUCGUACUCGUCGUGAUCCAAAUCACCGAUGACCAAGUGCCGAACGGAUAGCACCUCCGCGUUCAACACACGUACGGUUGGGAAGACGUCUCCUCCUUCUUGAUCCAGCAAGGGGGAAGGAGAGGUUGAUGAAGAUCCAGCAGCACGAUGGCAUGGUGGUGGAUGCAGCAGGAUCCCGGCAGGGCUUCGCCAAGUGCAAGCGGGGAGGAGAGGUGUUACGGAAGGAGAGGGAGGCGCCAAGAGAAAGGGUGCGGCUACCCUCCCUCCCCCCCUCUUUAUAUAGGGGCCUUGGGGGGCGCCGGCCCUAGGAGAUGGAUCUCCAAGGGGGGCGAAGGCCAAGGGGUGGCUUCCCCCCCAAGCCAAGUGGGGGGCGCCCCCACCCCUAGGGUUUCCCAACCCUAGGUGCAGGGGAGGCCCAAGGGGGGCGCACCAGCCCACUAGGGGCUGGUUCUGCUCCCAAUUCAGCCCAUGGGGCCCUCCGGGAUGGGUGGCCCCACCCGGUGGACCCCCGGGACCCUUCCGGUGGUCCUGGUACUAUACCGGUGACCCCCGAAACCUUUCCGAUGGCCGAAACUGUACUUCCUAUAUAUAAAUCUUUACCUCCGGACCAUUCCGGAACUCCUCGUGAUGUCCGGGAUCUCCUCCGGGACUCCGAACAUAUCCUGGGUUACUACAUACUAAUAUCUCUACAACCCUAGCGUCACCGAACCUUAAGUGUGUAGACCCUACGGGUUCGGGAGACAUGCAGACAUGACCGAGACGCCUCUCCGGUCAAUAACCAACAGCGGGAUCUGGAUACCCAUGUUGGCUUCCACAUGCUCCAUGAUGAUCUCAUCGGAUGAACCACGAUGUCGAGGAUUCAAUCAAUCUGUAUACAAUUCCCUCUGUCAAUCGGUAGGUUACUUGCCCGAGACUCGAUCGUCGGUAUCCCAAUACCUCGUUCAAUCUCGUUACCAGCAAGUCACUUUACUCGUGCCGUAAUGCAUGAUCCCAUGAUCAACCACUUGGUCACAAUGAGCUCAUUAUGAUGAUGCAUUACCGAGUGGGCCCAGAGAUACCUCUCCGUCAUACGGAGUGACAAAUCCCAGUCUCGAUUCGUGCCAACCCAACAGACACUUUCAGAGAUACCUGUAAUGUUCCUUUAUAGUCACCCAGUUACGUUGUGACAUUUGGCACACCCAAGGCACUCCUACGGUAUCCGGGAGUUGCCCAAUCUCAUGGUCUAAGGAAAUGAUACUUGACAUUCGGAAAAGCUACAGCAAACGAACUACACGAUCUUUGAGCUAUGCUUAGGAUUGGGUCUUGUCCAUCACAUCAUUCUCCUAAUGAUGUGAACCCGUUAUCAAUAACAUCCAAUGUCCAUAGUCAGGAAACCAUGACUAUCUUUUGAUCAACGAGCUAGUCAACUAGAGGCUCACUAGGGACGUGUUGUCUUCUAUGUAUUCACACAUGUAUUACGAUUUCCGGAUAACACAAUUAUAGCAUGAACAAUAGACAAUUAUCAUGAACAAAGAAAUAUAAUAAUAACCAUUUUAUUAUUGCCUCUAGGGCAUAUUUCCAACAGUCUCCCACUUGCACUAGAGUCAAUGUCUAGUUACAUUGUGAUGAAUCGAACACCCUUGAAGUUCUGGAGUUGAUCAUAUUUUUCUCUAGGGAGAGGUUUAGUCAAUGGAUCUGCCACAUUCAGGUCCGUAUGUACUUUACAAAUCUCUAUGUCUCCAUUUUGAACAACUUCACGAAUGGAGUUGAAGUGACGCUUGAUAUGCCUGGUCUUCCUGUGAAACCUGGGCUCCUUGGCAAGUGCAAUAGCUCCAGUGUUGUCACAGAAUAGAGUCAUCGGGCACGGUGCAUUGGGUAUGACUCCUAGGUCGGUAAUGAACUCCUUCACCCAGACUGCUUCUUGUCCUGCCUCCGAGGCUACCAUGUACUCCGCUUCACAUGUAGAUCCCGCCACAACGCUUUGCUUGCAACUCCACCAGCUUAUUGCCCCACCAUUCAAAAUAUACACGUAUCCGGUUUCCGACUUAGAGUCAUCCAGAUCUGUGUCGAAGCUAGCAUCGACGUAACCCUUUACGACGAGCUCUUCGUCACCUACAUAAACGAGAAACAUAUCCUUACUCCUUUUUAGGUACUUGAGGAUAUUCUUGACCGCUGUCCAUGUUAGGGAACGUUGUAAUUUCAAAAAAAUUCCUACGCACACGCAAGAUCAUGGUGAUGCAUAGCAACGAGGGGAGAGUCUGAUCUACGUACCCUUGUAGAUCGCAACGGAAGCGUUGACACAACGUAGGGGAAGUAGUCGUACGUCUUCUUCCCGAUCCGACCGAUCCAAGCACCAUUACUCCGGCACCUCCGAGUUCUUAGCACACGUUCAGCUCGAUGACGAUCCUCGGGCUCCGAUCCAGCAAAGUGUCGAGGAAGAGUUCCGUCAGCACGACGGCGUGGCGACAAUCUUAAUGUACUACCGACGCAGGGCUUCGCCUAAGCACUACAACAGUAUGAUCGAGGUGGAAUUUGGUGGCAGGGGGCACCGAACACGGCUAAGGAACGAUCUCAAUGAUCAACUUGUGUGUCUAGAGGUGCCCCCUGCCCCCGUAUAUAAAGGUUGCCAGGGGGUGGGCUGGCCGGCCAAAGGAGGAGGGCGCAGGAGGAGUCCUACUCCUACCGGGAGUAGGACUCCCCCCCCCAAUCCUAUUCCUAAUAGGACUCCUCGAGAGAGAGAGAGGGAGAAGGGGGCCGGCCACCUCUCCUAGUCCUAAUAGGACUAGGGGAGGGGGGAGGCGCGCAGCCCACCUUGGGCUGCCCCUUUCGCCUUUCCACUAAGGCCCAAUAAGGCCCAUUUGGUUCCCGGGGGGUUCCGGUAACCUCCCUAUACUCCGGUAAAAUUCCCGAUUUCACCCGGAACACUUCCGAUGUCCAAACAUAGGCUUCCAAUAUAUCAAUCUUUAUGUCUCGACCAUUUCGAGACUCCUCGUCAUGUCCGUGAUCACAUCCGGGACUCCGAACAACCUUCGGUACAUCAAAAUGCAUAAACUCAUAAUAACUGUCAUCGUAACGUUAAGCGUGCGGACCCUACGGUUCGAGAACAAUGUAGACAUGACCGAGACACGUCUCCGGUCAAUAACCAAUAGCGGGACCUGGAUGCCCAUAUUUGCUCCUACAUAUUCUACAAAGAUCUUUAUCGGUCAGACCGCAUAACAACAUACGUUGUUCCCUUUGUCAUCGGUAUGUUACUUGCCCGAGAUUCGAUCGUCGGUAUCCAAUACCUAGUUCAAUCUCGUUACUGGCAAGUCUAUUUACUCGUUCCGUAAUACAUCAUCUCACAACUAACAUCUUAGUUAUAAUGCUUGCAAGGCUUCUGUGAUGUGUCUUACCGAGAGGGCCCAGAGAUACCUCUCCGACAAUCGGAGUGACAAACCCUAAUCUCGAAAUACGCCAACCCAACAUCUACCAUUGGAGACACCUGUAGUACUCCUCUAUAAUCACCCAGUUAUGUUGUGACGUUUGGUAGUACCCUAAGUGUUCCUCCGGCAAACGGGAGUUGCAUAAUCUCAUAGUCAUAGGAACAUGUAUAAGUCAUGAAGAAAGCAAUAGCAACAUACUAAACGAUUGGGUGCUAAGCUAAUGAAAUGGGUCAUGUCAAUCAGAUCAUUCAACUAAUGAUGUGACCUCGUUAAUCAAAUAACAACUCUUUGUUCAUGGUUAGGAAACGUAACCAUCUUUGAUUAACGAGCUAGUCAAGUAAAGGCAUACUAGUGACACUCUGUUUGUCUAUGUAUUCACACAUGUAUUAUGUUUCCGGUUAAUACAAUUCUAGCAUGAAUAAUAAACAUUUAUCAUGAUAUAAGGAAAUAAAUAAUAACUUUAUUAUUGCCUCUAGGGCAUAUUUCCUUCAGUCUCCCACUUGCACUAGAGUCAAUUAUCUAGAUUACACAGUAAUGAUUCUAACACCCAUGGAGCCUUGGUGCUGAUCAUGUUUUGCUCAUGGAAGAUGCUUAGUCAACGGGUCUGCAACAUACAGAUCCGUAUGUAUCUUGCAAAUCUCUAUGUCUCCCACCUGGACUAGAUCCCGGAUGGAGUUGAAGCGUCUCUUGAUGUGUUUGGUCCUUUUGUGUAAUCUGGAUUCCUUUGCUAAAGCAAUUGCACCAGUAUUGUCACAAAAGAUUUUCAUUGGACCCGAUGCACUAGGUAUGACACCUAGAUCGGAUAUGAACUCCUUCAUCCAGACUCCUUCGUUCGCUGCUUCCGAAGCAGCUAUGUACUCCGCUUCACAUGUAGAUCCCGCUACGACGCUUGUUUAGAACUGCACCAAUUGACAGCUCCACCGUUUAAAGUAAACACCUAUCCGAUUUGCAAUUUAGAAUCGUCCGGAUCAGUGUCAAAGCUUGCAUCAACGUAACCUCUUACGGUGAGCUCUUUGUCACCUCCAUAUACGAGAAACAUAUCCUUAGUCCUUUUCAGGUACUUCAGGAUGUUCUUGACCGUUGUCCAGUGAUCCACUCCUGGAUUACUUUGGUACCUCCCUGCUAAACUUAUAGCAAGGCACACAUCAGGUCUGGUACACAGCAUUGCAUACAUGAUAGAGCCUAUGGCUGAAGCAUAGGGAACAUCUUUCAUUUUCUCUCUAUCUUCUGCAGUGGUCGGGCAUUGAGUCUGACUCAACUUCACACCUUGUAACACAGGCAAGAACCCUUUCUUUGCUUGAUCCAUUUUGAACUAAUUCAAAAUCUUGUCAAGGUAUGUGCUUUGUGAAAGUCCAAUUAAGCGUCUUGAUCUAUCUCUAUAGAUCUUUAUGCCUAAUAUGUAAGCGGCUUCCCCGAGGUCUUUCAUCGAAAAACUUUUAUUCAAGUAUCCCUUUAUGCUAUCCAGAAAUUCUAUAUCAUUUCCAAUCAGCAAUAUGUCAUCCACAUAUAAUAUCAGAAAUGCUACAGAGCUCCCACUCACUUUCUUGUAAAUACAGGCUUCUCCAAAAGUCUGUAUAAAGCCAAAUGCUUUGAUCACACUAUCAAAGCGUUUAUUCAAACUCCGAGAGGCUUGCACCAGUCCAUAAAUGGAUCGCUGGAGCUUGCACACUUUGUUAGCUCCCUUUGGAUCGAUAAAACCUUCUGGUUGCAUCAUAUACAACUCUUCUUCCAGAAAUCCAUUCAGGAAUGCAGUUUUGACAUCCAUCUGCCAAAUUUCAUAAUCAUAAAAUGCGGCAAUUGCUAACAUGAUUCUGACAGACUUAAGCAUCGCUACGGGUGAGAAGGUCUCAUCGUAGUCAACCCCUUGAACUUGUCGAAAAACUUUUGCGACAAGUCGAGCUUUAUAGACAGUAAUAUUACCGUCAGCGUCAGUCUUUUUCUUGAAGAUCCAUUUAUUCUCAUUUGCUUGCCGAUCAUCAGGCAAGUCAACCAAAGUCCAUACUUUGUUCUCAUAUAUGGAUCCCAUCUCAGAUUUCAUGGCUUCAAGCCACUUUGCGGAAUCUGGGCUCACCAUCGCUUCUUCAUAGUUCGUAGGUUCAUCAUGAUCUAGUAGCAUGACUUCCAGAAUUGGAUUACCGUACCACUCUAGUGCGGAUCUCACUCUGGUUGAUCUAUGUGGUUCAGUAGUAUCUUGUCCUAAAGUUUCAUGAUCAUCAUCAUUAGCUUCCUCACUAAUUGGUAUAGGUGUCGCAGAAACAGUUUUCUGUGAUGUACUAUUUUCCAAUAAGGGAGCAGGUACAGUUACCUCGUCAAGUUCUACUUUCCUCCCACUCACUUCUUUCGAGAGAAACUCCUUCUCUAGAAAUGAUCCAUUCUUAGCAACGAAUGUCUUGCCUUCGGAUCUGUGAUAGAAGGUGUACCCAACAGUCUCCUUUGGGUAUCCUAUGAAGACACAUUUCUCCGCUUUGGGUUCGAGCUUAUCAGGUUGAAGCUUUUUCACAUAAGCAUCGCAGCCCCAAACUUUAAGAAACGACAACUUUGGUUUCUUGCCAACACUACAGGAAUCGGCUACUUUGCCAUGUGCCACGGCGGACGGCAAAGGCCCGAACGGCGGACGGCAAAGGCCUUUGCCGUCAGCGGCGGACGGCAAAAGGCUCCGGCAAAGUAGGCUUCGGUAAACAGGUUCUUUGCCGUCUACUAUUGACGGCAAAGUCUUUGCCGUCUGCGGCGGACGGCAAAGAGAGAGCAGCAGACGGCAAAGACGGCGGACGGCAAUAAUUGCGCUGUCAGUCCGUUAAGUGGCUAACGGAAGGCCUUUGCCGUCCGCCGCUGACGGCAAAAUUUCUAGGGUCUUUGCCGUCCGCCGUAUGAUGUCAUCUACACGUCACUACGUGGCAGGUUCUUUGCCGUCUGCCACUGACGGCAAAGUCUUUGCUGUCUGCCACUGUAGGCAAACUGACCAAAUGGGUCAGCUCCCAGGAAGCACAGGUGGACGCCACGUGGCUUCUUUGCCAUCCGCGGCAGACGGCAAAGAGCCCGUUGCCGUCGGUGGUAGACGGCAAAGAGCCUGCAUAUUGGCUCUUUUUUCUGUUUUUUCAUAUACCCAACCAUUUUCACAGCAAAUAGAUGAUACAUAUAUAUUUUUCACAUGGCAAGUUCACAGCAAACAUAUGAGAUAUCCAACACAUAUAAUUGCAUCAUACAUGCAUAGUUCCAUCAACCAUACAUAGCAAGUUCGACAUACAUGCAUCCAACCAUACAUAUUACAAUAGUGUCAUCCUACCAUACAUGCAUAGUUCAUAGAUACAAAGGAAACAUAGUUCAUCCAAACAAGCACUCCAUCUAUGCAAGCUUCCGUGAAGUGAAUGAAUUCUGCAAAAUGGGAAAUAAGAAAGUUAGAAGAAGAAGAUUGGAAGAAGAAGAAGUAGAAGAAGAAUAUAUAUAUAUAUAUGACAUUUAUGCGCUAAUUUAGGUGAAAUUGAUCAUUUGUGAGCUAACUUAGGUGAAAUGGAUCGUUUAUGAGCUAACCUAGGUGCAAUGGAUCGCUUAUGAGCAAACUUAAGUAAAAUGCAUCAUUUUAGAGGUAACCUAGGUAAGAUGGAUCAUUUUGGAGCUAACCUAGGUAAAAUGGGUCAUUUUAGAGCUAACUUCGGUAGAAUGGAUCAUUUAUGAGCUAGGUAAGGUUAAAUGGAUCAUUUUAGAACUAACUUAGGUAAAAUGGAUCGUUUAUGAGCUAACUUAGGUAAAAUGGAUCGUUUUUGAGCUAACUAAGGUGAAAUGAAUCGUUUUUGAGCUAACUAAGGUGAAGGGCAUCAUUUUUGAGCUAACUAAGGUGAAAUGGAUCGUUUUUGAGCUAACUAAGGUGAAAUGAAUCGUUUUUGAGCUAACUAAGGUAAAAUGGAUCGUUUUUGAGCUAACUUAGGUGAAAUGGAUCGUUUUUGAGCAAACUUAGGUGAAAUGGNNNNNNNNNNNNNNNNNNNNNNNNNNNNNNNNNNNNNNNNNNNNNNNNNNNNNNNNNNNNNNNNNNNNNNNNNNNNNNNNNNNNNNNNNNNNNNNNNNNNNNNNNNNNNNNNNNNNNNNNNNNNNNNNNNNNNNNNNNNNNNNNNNNNNNNNNNNNNNNNNNNNNNNNNNNNNNNNNNNNNNNNNNNNNNNNNNNNNNNNNNNNNNNNNNNNNNGGAUCGUUUUUGAGCUAACUAAGGUGAAAUGGAUCAUUUUUUAGCUAACUAAGGUGAAAUGGAUCGUUUUUGAGCAAACUUAGGUGAAAUGGAUCAUUUAAGAGCUAAUUUAGGUGAAAUGGAUUGUUUUUGAGCUAACUAAGGUGAAAUGGAUCGUUUUUGAGCAAACUUAGGUGAAAUGGAUCAUUUAAGAGCUAAUUUAGGUGAAAUGGAUCGUUUUUGAGCAAACUUAGGUGAAAUGGAUCAUUUAAGAGCUAAUUUAGGUGAAAUGGAUCGUUUUUAGCUAACUUAGGUGAAAUGGAUCGUUUAGGAGCUACUCUAGGUAAAUUGGGUCAUUUUAGAGCUAACUUGGAUAAACUAGAUCACUUAUAAGCUAACCUAGGUAAGAUGGGUCAUUUUGGAGCUAACUUAGGUAAAAUGGAUCGUCUAUGAGCUAACUAAGCUAAUUAUGCAAUUUUUGACAUAAGUAAGCUAAGUAUAGAUUGUUUUAGAGCUAACUUAGGUAAAAUGGAUGGUUUUGGAGGUCAGUAAGCUUAUUUAGUCAUUUUGGAGGAGAAGAAGCUAAGUCUACGUCAUUAUGGUAAGCAUUGGAGGAAAUAAAGCUAAGUCUAGGUCUUUAUGCAUGUGUUAAGCAAAACACUAGAUAAACUUACCAAGAUCCAGGAGGUGUAGGAGUGGGGUGGCUCGUGUCGGUAGCUGGAGAAGGAUCGUGCGAUGCUUGUCUGGAGUUACGCUGCACCAAAGAUCAUUUCCAAUGUCUUGUUAGCAUGAUGACACUCAAAUGUUAAGACUAGUAAGUAAUGUCCAUUCAAAUAAAACUCACCGUGGUCCCAGGAGCAAUCACUGGCAUCGGCGGAGCGGUCUGACCUGUCUUCUCGCACACAGACUGCACAUUUGGUUUUGACGACUCAGUCAUACUAGUUAGUAAUGAGACAAACACUACAUGAAUGUUUUGGCUAAUCUGCAGAUGAAACUUACCACAAGGAGCUCGUACAUGGCCCUUGCCUGCAUGUCAUUCCGUGCCCUCUCCUCCUCCACCAUCUUUGUCGUCCUCUCCUCCAACUCCCGCUGCCUCUCCGCCGCCUCCGCCAGAAGUUUCUCCGUUCUAUCUCUCUCACUCUGUAUGGCAGCCUGCAACACCACUCACAUGACAAUUUGUAAUCAUUGAUGGAAGCGCACACAAUGUAAUGGAGAAAGAUAACUGAGUAUGUAUCACUAACCUUGAUGGCGACUUGCACUGGCCGUUCACGAGGCCUUAUCUUAGGAGCGGAGCUCGACUGGCGCGCCUUGAUCUCCGAGAGAGUGCUAGGACAACGGAUAAGUCCAUCUCCAAUGGCUAUGGAGCCAUGGGACCUCCCGUCACCAGAUAUCAUCAACAGCUCUGGAUCAAUGGGACCCUGGCUCGGGUUAAAGUCCUCCCCUUUCCUCGCCUUCCCCUCAUCUCUAUAUCUCACGAGCUUGUUGUGGGAGGAGAUGUUGGUGAAGUUGUUUGCAUCAUCGAGGUCAGACUGAGAGAAAGCCUUGACUUUCUUGAAAGAGGCAGUGUGGGCCAUGGCAUACAGGUCGUACACCUCUGGCACCUUAUCCGCCUUAUUAUAGCAUGCCUGAAAGAGAGAAACAAUGAAAAUUAGUAAUUAAAGGGCUCAAGCUAGCAUGAUGAAUGAAUUGCAUGAAUCAUGAAGCAAACCACAUACCCAGUUGCGCCCGAACUGAUAUAAGUUGGAGCUGCCUUGAUGGUGUGGCACACCUUCCAUUUUUGCACGUUUGUCCUUGGCCUCCUUGUGGGGGGCUAGCCAUCGUUGUGAGCACCACUCAUCGACCAACACCUCCCAACAAUCCAUCCGAUCCGCACACCAUCUCGGAGGCGCCUAAGUUAGCAAAUAGAAACUUGAGCGCUACGGCUAAGAAUUACUAAAUGAAGGAACUUAAGUAGAGAAGGCCUUGAGAAUUACCUUCAUGUAAUGCUCCUUACUCAGGAACUUAUCGCAGCAUGCCGGCUUGGUCUUCUUGAUACCACGCAAGGCGUAGUAGUCUCGAACAGCCUGCACCCGAGCCUCGUGCCGUAAGUUCUGGAGUAGGCGCUUGCAGACGUUCUCGAUAACAUGUGCCGCGUCCUCCUCGUAUCCCUCCUCACACCUGUAGAAUGUCUGCAAUCAAAUGAGACAAUGUUGAUUAGUACAAUUAAUAACUAGCUAGUUGAAGAUUUUUAAAUGUGUAAAGGAGAAAUUACCCAGAACUUUCUGAUCACCAUGUCUGCCCUCGUGUCACACACGACACCGUCGAUAAUCUCAUUUGGCAGGGCCGGGGCAGCCACGUAGUGCUCCCAGCUCAAUCCAAGCUCUGGAAGCCGACCCUCACCAGGCAACGUGACAAACCCCGGGAAGUUUUGCCGGCAAAGAACUCCAAGGACGGAGUUGGGCCGGCGGACACUAUGAUGGUGGUCCCAACCCCUGCAGCAUGACAAGGCCAACGCAUUAGUUAUUUGAAAAAAUGUGAAUGCACAAGGUACAAAAAUAUUAAAUGCACUUACGUACCUCUCCCCAUCAGGGAAAAUCAACCACCUCUGCUCGCGGGUCACCGGCACGGACGGGAGCCGUGUAGCACCACGCUGGUAGACGGUGCCCCCCUCCUCCUCAAGAUCAGUCGGCUCCCCGCCAUCAUCAGCAUGACCACUCGGCUCCUUGGGCUGAUCCGGCCAGGUACCCCAUCCGGACGUGUGCUCCUCCGGGGUCAUGUGGGCCGAACUCUCGUGGGCUGAAGACCCGUGGACCGGAGGCUCAUGGACCGGAGUUCGUGUAGCCUCCUCCUCGGACGAGUCCACCCUAGCAGUCACGUGCUUGGGUGAAACGGUUGGGGGUGGCGGCGAGGAAGGCACCGUAGCAGUCACCCUACCUCCUCUCCCAGGACCACGUGCCCCACCUCCUCUCUUCCUACCUCGUCCCCUGCUGGGCACCAUGGUCGACGAAGAAGGGCCCGGCGGUGUGGCCAUACUGUCCAGCAACGCUCGGCGGAGAGGUGCGUCUGGAAUGGAAGACCUCAGACCACGCUCCCGACCAGUGCCCACCAUCUUUCAACACCUGCCAUGACAAACAGUAAAUGAAAUUAGUACAACAUAAAAAAGGACCGACAUGAAUAAUAAUAUGUGUAUCACUUAAGUGUAUCAUCAUCAAGUACAACAUAAAAAAAUGUAAUACCGGACACUACUAAUAAUCUCGAUCAGUAUCAUCAAUAAAUGCAUAAUCAUCAUCAUCACUAUAAUCAAUGACGGGCUCAUAGGGUUCAUUGGCAUCAACAUGUGCAAGGCCACCUUGACGUAAUCGGUCAAGCAUUGACAGGUCAUCCGCAGCAGUAACCUCUUCUUGUUCCGGCUCUUCUUGUUCCUCCUCUGGGGUGAUGUCGGAUUCAUUGUCGCUGUCUACUUCAAUGUUUUGGGGUGAAGUAUAGCGGUUCUUGAAACGCUUUUUGGAAAGACGUGUCUCUUGGAAGAAUUCUCCUUCAUAUGUGUCUGGGUUAAUGUGAGGUUCAUAAUCCUCUUCCUUUGCGGGAGAAAGUCUAGCACGUGGCGGCACUUCAUAAACGACAUCCCAACCUUUCAGAUUUGGAUUAGUUUGGCAGGCCCACGGUAGAUAGAAUACUUGGGUCGCCUGUUGAGCCAUAAUAUAGACAUCAAGAACAUCUAAACGAGUGCUUUGGUUGAUUUCAACUAGCCCUACAUGUUCAUGAGUCCUUCUAGUCUCGUUUGGCUGAAACCAAUAACAUUUGAAGACUACGACAUUUUGUGGGUUUUCACCAUAGAACAGAAGUUCAUAAAUUGCUUCAACUCUCCCAUAAUACUCGGUACCUCCUUUGCCGAUAGCAGAUACACAACAAUUUGUUGACUUUGGGUCCGCCAUAGAUAGCUCUUUGCCAUAGGUACGAAAGCGAUACCCGUUGAUGUCGUACUUGUCAAAUGAACGGACCUUAUAGUCAAAACCAUUAGCGACUUGUCUCAAUUCGGCGUCCAUAGAGUCUGGAUUAGCCUACAGGUUUAAUAUGAAAGGAUUGUUGCAUUAUGCACAAAUUAGCGAAUGAAAUGAAAUUGUCUAAUAGAAAUUACCGUUUGUUUGAACCAAGAGAUGAAACCGGGAUAGCCACCUCCUUGCUUUGCGAGAAGCUCAUACUCUUCGACAGAAUCCUUUUGGAUCUCCGCUCCAUACGAGAAUAUGGUGACGUAUCGACUGUAUGACAUAUCCAGGAAUAAGAGUAGUUCAAAGGAAAUAGAAGUUGCGAAACAAUGUAUCGAGAACUUACUCGAUGUACGGCCGCACUUCUAUCAGGUUGUUGAAGAUAUACAAUGAAAUGGUCCGCCAUUCUUUGUUAUCCAAAGAUACUGGAUGUGAAACACCAGCUGGUGCGAGAUUCCCUUUGAAUAGGCUGAGGUUGGAUCCACCCUUUUUAGGCUCGUCAGCAUUGUACCGAGGCUUCGGAUUAUGCAAAUGACGAUUUUUGGCUUCGUAGUGCGCUGUUACGAAGUUUGCCACCUCCUCUGUGAUGAAUGCCUCAGCCAUCGAUGCUUCAAUUCUACGUUUAUUUUUACAUUUUUCUCGAAGCGUGUUCUGCAUCCUCUCAGUUGGGUAGCACCAACGAUUUUGCACGGGCCCCCCCAAUCUUGCCUCGGUCGGGAGAUGCAAAAUCAAAUGCUGCAUUGGAUUAAAGAAGCCCGGUGGAAAGAUUUUCUCUAACUUGUAGAUCAACUCCGGCGCCAACUCUUCCAUUUCUUCUAGCACGCCAGGAGAUAGUUAUUUCGCACAAAGAACACGGAAGAAAUAGCUGAGUUCUGCCAGUACUAGCCAUUCAUCCUCAGGGAUGAAGCCACGCAACAUCACCGGCAUUACCCGCUCAAUCCAUAUUUGCUCCCCUCUUUAGAUUCGCUGCAUACCCAUCGGGGAACAUCAACUGCUGUUGCACCCACAAGAGAAUUUCCCUCAUAGCUGGCCUUCCAAGAUUGAACCAUGCCUUUGGCUUCGUCUAGUUCUGCUUUCCUUUCGGUUCUUUCAUGUUUUGUAACGGCCUAUCACAUAGCGCCUCCAGAUCGACUCUAGCCUUAGUAUUAUCCUUUGACUUCCCAUCCAUGCCGAACAAUGUACCAAAAAGUGCCUCGGUGAUAUUCUUCUCAGUGUGCAUCACGUCGAUGUUGUGUGGGCAAAGGAGGUCUUUGAAGUAAGGCAGAUCCCAUAAGCAUGUUUUGUGAGUCCACGCAUGCUUAGUAUUAUACCCCUUGAAGUACCCUGGACAUUGUGGAUCUGGCUCGAGAGCGUUUAACUGAUCCAGGGUCUGUUGGCCUGUCAAUGCAGGUGGUGCAGAGUUUUUGACAACUCUACCCCUGAUGAAGUUCUUCUUGUCUUCCCUGAACUUAUGGCGAGGAUCCAGGAACUGUCUAUGCAUGUCGAAGCAAGAAAACUUGCGACCGGCCUGAAGCCAACGAAACUCAAGAGCUCCCUGGCAUGUGGGGCACGGGAACCUUCCAUGCACACACCAGCCAAUGAAUAGCGCAUACGCCGGCAAGUCAUGCGUCGAGUACAUGUACUAGACACGCAUUAUGAAGUUCCGUUUGCUAAAGGCAUCGUAUGUCUUGAACCCAUUAUCCCAAGCUUCUUGCAAUUCGUCCUUAAGCGGCUGCAUGUACACAUUCAUAUUUUUGCCCGGAUAGUUGGGUCCUGGAAAUAUCAACGUUAGGAAAAUGUUCUUUCUUUGCAUAAUCUGUGCGGGGGGGAGAUUGAGUGGAAAGACAAAUACGGGCCAACAACUGUAUUGGGCUGCCAUCAUACCAAACACACUGAACCCAUCCGUGCUGAUGCCGACUCGAGAAUGCCUCGGAUCUGCCGCUUUGUCAGCAUGUAAUUCAUCAAACUUUUUCCACGCAACACCAUCCGAUGUGUGUACCAUCAUCAGAUUCCCAUCUGCAUCUAGUGCGGUUCUUUUGCCUGUUUUGUGCCAUGUCAUCUGUCUGGCCGUCUCUUUGACCAUGAAAAGACGUUGAAGUCUUGGUACAAUUGGCAUAUACCGAAGAACACUAACGGGGAUUUUGGUCUGUGUCUUCUCACCCAUACCGUUGUCUACCACAAUAUACCUGGAAGACUUGCAAAUGGGACAAUAGUUCAAGUCCGCAUAGUCAAGCCUAAAUAAGGCACAUCCUUUCUCACAGGCAUGUAUCUUCUCAUAGGGCAUCUUCAGUGCAUGGAGGAUUUUGUCCGACUGGUACAGGUUUGCAGGCAUUACAUGUCCUUUGGGUAGAAAGCGUCCAAAUACUGUCAUAAUUGCGUCAUAGCAUUCUCUACCCAAGUUGAACUGAGCCUUCAGAGCCAUUACUUGUGAGAUGGCAUCCAACUGACAAAGCUCAGUGUGCUCGCGGAGCGGACGUUUCGAAGACUCCAACAUUUCAUUGAAGGCCUUUGCAGAUUCCUCCAUCUCCUCGUCCGAAUCCCGAGCAUCAUCAUAGUCUUGCACCAUGUUUUCCAUCCCGGUACCAUGCUCGUCGGUGCGACGACGAUCCACCUCAGCUCGGUCACGUUGGGCAGACUCACCAUGAAAUGUCCAGACCGUAUAAUCGGGCGUAAAACCACUCUUCUGCAGGUGUUUGCCCAUUUCAGCCUCUCUCUUCUUUUCCCAAUUGCCGCACCGGAAAUAGGGGCACCAGGUUUUCUUUUGGCCAUUUGCAAAUGCGGCUUGCACAAACCCCUUAGUUUUUGUGAACCAUUCAGCGCUCCAUUUGUUCUGACCAGUGUGACCGGUAUACAUCCAAGCACGGUCACUCAUCUUGACUUUCAGAGCUACUGGACACACAACAAUUAUAUAUGUAAUUCACCAUGUAUAUAUUCAUCAGUUGAUCUACUGUGUCAAUUUUAUUACGUCCAUGCAACCUACACUCUAAUAGGUAAUGAUAGGUCCUAAUCCCACCCGUGUAUGUGUAGAUUGGGUUCAUUUUCCCAUGCUAUGCUCCGGAUCCGACGCAAAAUUUCGGCAGCACCUCCCCGUUAUUCUCCUGAUACACGUCUCUGCAAUAAACAGAGAGGAUGUGUACCCGGAGAACAACAGGGGAGGCACUGACGAAAUAUAUGCGUCGGAUCCGGAGCAAAGCAUAUGGGAAAACGAACCCAAUCUACACAUACUCGGGCUGUCCAUGGAUAGCGUUGGACAAUUCGAAAGAAUCAAGGUUAUAAAUAUGCAAAUGCAUGCAUAUUUAUAAAUAUGACGCUUUCGAAUGGGAGACACAUAUUGGUUACGCAUACUGAUGAUUCAAGACACAUAUAUAGCUAGCUAUCAAGUUUCAUCGGAAUAGAUCAAAUAAUUAAUGGGGGAGGAGGACUUGUCAUUUGUGCUCACCCACGAACGAAGGGCAGAGCUCGUCAAACGCACGGCGAGGUCGUCGAACACCAAACCUCGCAGCGAUGAAACAACUGCACAUUUAAAACUACACGAUCAACACAAUUAUAUAUGAUGUUUUUCAUAACUAAAUCGAAAAAUAUAUAACCUAACUAAUAAUUCACAAAUAUAUGACCCCGUCGGCCUCUGGAAGGCCGAAGAACACCUUAAUUUUCGGGAGGUGUCGGUGGUCGGGGUGCCCUGUCGGUGUCGGGGUGCCGUGUCGGGGUCGGGGUCUCGGGGUCGGGGUGUCGGGUCGGGGUGCCNNNNNNNNNNNNNNNNNNNNNNNNNNNNNNNNNNNNNNNNNNNNNNNNNNNNNNNNNNNNNNNNNNNNNNNNNNNNNNNNNNNNNNNNNNNNNNNNNNNNNNNNNNNNNNNNNNNNNNNNNNNNNNNNNNNNNNNNNNNNNNNNNNNNNNNNNNNNNNNNNNNNNNNNNNNNNNNNNNNNNNNNNNNNNNNNNNNNNNNNNNNNNNNNNNNNNNNNNNNNNNNNNNNNNNNNNNNNNNNNNNNNNNNNNNNNNNNNNNNNNNNNNNNNNNNNNNNNNNNNNNNNNNNNNNNNNNNNNNNNNNNNNNNNNNNNNNNNNNNNNNNNNNNNNNNNNNNNNNNNNNNNNNNNNNNNNNNNNNNNNNNNNNNNNNNNNNNNNNNNNNNNNNNNNNNNNNNNNNNNNNNNNNNNNNNNNNNNNNNNNNNNNNNNNNNNNNNNNNNNNNNNNNNNNNNNNNNNNNNNNNNNNNNNNNNNNNNNNNNNNNNNNNNNNNNNNNNNNNNNNNNNNNNNNNNNNNNNNNNNNNNNNNNNNNNNNNNNNNNNNNNNNNNNNNNNNNNNNNNNNNNNNNNNNNNNNNNNNNNNNNNNNNNNNNNNNNNNNNNNNNNNNNNNNNNNNNNNNNNNNNNNNNNNNNNNNNNNNNNNNNNNNNNNNNNNNNNNNNNNNNNNNNNNNNNNNNNNNNNNNNNNNNNNNNNNNNNNNNNNNNNNNNNNNNNNNNNNNNNNNNNNNNNNNNNNNNNNNNNNNNNNNNNNNNNNNNNNNNNNNNNNNNNNNNNNNNNNNNNNNNNNNNNNNNNNNNNNNNNNNNNNNNNNNNNNNNNNNNNNNNNNNNNNNNNNNNNNNNNNNNNNNNNNNNNNNNNNNNNNNNNNNNNNNNNNNNNNNNNNNNNNNNNNNNNNNNNNNNNNNNNNNNNNNNNNNNNNNNNNNNNNNNNNNNNNNNNNNNNNNNNNNNNNNNNNNNNACUAAAUCUAAACCUAAAACAAAACUAAAACUAAACCUAAAACUAAAACUAAAACUAAAUCUAAACUAAAACUAAAAAGGAAAAAAACAGAAAAAAAAUAGAAAAAAGGAGGUUGGGGCUCACCUUCUGCAGCGCCGGUGGAGGAGGGGGCGGGGCGGUGGAGGAGCUGGCUGGGGCGCGGGGCGGCCUGGGGCGGCGCGGGGCCGGGCCCGAUGCGGUGGGGCGCGGGGCGGCGGUGCGUGCGGACCCUAUGGUUCGAGAACAAUGUAGACAUGACCGAGACACGUCUCCGGUCAAUAACCAAUAGCGGGACCUGGAUGCCCAUAUUGGCUCCUACAUAUUCUACGAAGAUCUUUAUCGGUCAGACCGCAUAAUAACAUACGUUGUUCCCUUUGUCAUCGGUAUGUUACUUGCCCGAGAUUCGAUUGUCGGUAUCCAAUACCUAGUUCAAUCUCGUUACUGGCAAGUCUCUUUACUCGUUCCAUAAUACAUCAUCUCACAACUAACAUCUUAGUUAUAAUGCUUGCAAGGCUUAUGUGAUGUGUCUUACCAAGAGGGCCCAGAGAUACCUCUCCGACAAUCGGAGUGACAAACCCUAAUCUCGAAAUACGCCAACCCAACAUCUACCAUUGGAGACACCUGUAGUACUCCUUUAUAAUCACCCAGUUACGUUGUGACGUUUGGUAGUACCCAAAGUGUUCCUCCGGCAAACGGGAGUUGCAUAAUCUCAUAGUCAUAGGAACAUGUAUAAGUCAUGAAGAAAGCAAUAGCAACAUACUAAACGAUCGGGGGCUAAGAUAAUGAAAUGGGUCAUGUCAAUCAGAUCAUUCAACUAAUGAUGUGACCUCGUAAAUCAAAUAACAACUCUUUGUUCAUGGUUAGGAAACAUAACCAUCUUUGAUUAACGAGCUAGUCAAGUAAAGGCAUACUAGUGACACUCUGUUUGUCUAUGUAUUCACACAUGUAUUAUGUUUCCGGUUAAUACAAUUCUAGCAUGAAUAAUAAACAUUUAUCAUGAUAUAAGGAAAUAAAUAAUAACUUUAUUAUUGCAUCUAGGGCAUAUUUCCUUCAGUCCAGUGUUCCAUGCCGGGAUUACUUUGGUACCUUCCUACCAAACUUACGGCAAGGUUUACAUCAGGUCUGGUACACAGCAUAGCAUACAAGAUAGACCCUAUGGCCGAGGCAUAGGGGACGACACUCAUAUUUUCUCUAUCUUCUACCGUGGUCGUGCAUUGAGCCGUGCUCAAUCUCGUACCUUGCAAUAUAGGCAAGAACCCCUUCUUUUACUGAUCCAUUUUGAACUUCUUCAAUAUCUUGUCAAGGUACGUACUCUGUGGAAGACCAAUGAGGCGUCUCGAUCUAUCUCUAUAGAUCUUGAUGCCUAAUAUAUAAGCAGCUUCUCCAAGAUCCUUCAUUGAAAAACACUUGUUCAAGUAGGCCUUUAUGCUUUCCCAGAAUUCUAUAUCAUUUCCCAUCAACAAUAUGUCAUCCACAUCCAAUAUGGGAAAUUCUACAAAGCUCCCACUCAGUUCUUGUAAAUGCAGGCUUCUCCAUAAGUCUGCGUAAACCCAAACGCUUUGAUCAUCUCAUCAAAAUGAAUGUUCCAACUCCGAGAUGCUUGCACCAGCCCAUAAAUCGAGCGUUGGAGCUUGUACACCUUGUCAGCAUUCUUAGGAUCGACAAAACCUUCUGGCUGCAUCAUAUACAAUUCUUCCUUAAGGAAACCAUCAAGGACUGUUGUUUUGACGUCCAUUUGCCAUAUCUCAUAAUCAUAGAAUGCGGCAAUUGCUAACAUGAUUCGGACGGACUUCAGCUUCGCUACGGGUGAGAAAGUCUCAUCAUAGUCAACCCCUUGUACUUGCCGAUAACCCUUAGCGACAAGCCGAGCUUUAUAGAUGGUCACAUUACCAUCCGCGUCUGUCUUCUUCUUAAAGAUCCAUUUAUUUUCUAUGGCUCGCCGACCAUCGGGCAAGUCAGUCAAAGUCCAUACUUUGUUUUCAUACAUGGAUCUUAUCUCGGAUUUCAUGGCUUCCAGCCAUUUCUCGGAAUCCGGGCCCGCCAUUGCUUCUUCAUAGUUCGAAGGUUCACCGUUGUCUAACAACAUGAUUUCCAAGACAGGGUUGCCGUACCACUCUGGUGCGGGACGUGUCCCCGUGGACCUACGAAGUUCAGUAGCAACUUGAUCUGAAGUUUCAUGAUCAUCAUCAUCAACUUCCUCUCUAGUCGGUGCAGGCACCUUAGGAACAUUUUCUUGAGCUGCGCCACUUACCGGUUCAAGAGGUAAUACUUCAUCAAGUUCUACUUUCCUCCCACUUAUUUCUUUCGAGAGAAACUCUUUCUCUAGAAAGGACCCAUUCUUGGCAACAAAGAUCUUGCCUUCGGAUCCGAGGUAGAAGGUAUACCCAAUAGUUUCUUUAGGGUAUCCUAUGAAGACGCAUUUUUCCGAUUUGGGUUCGAGCUUUUCAGGUUGAAGUUUCCUGACAUAAGCAUCGCAUCCCCAAAGUUUUAGAAAUGACAUCUUAGGUGUCUUCCCAAACCAUAAUUCAUACGGCGUCGUCUCAACGGAUUUCGACGUAGCCCUAUUUAAAGUGAAUGCGGCAGUCUCUAAAGCAUAGCCCCAAAAUGACAGCGGUAAAUCAGUAAGAGACAUCAUAGAUCAUACCAUAUCUAAUAGAGUGCGAUUAUGACGUUCGGACACACCAUUACGCUGAGGUGUUCCAGGCGGCGUGAGUUGUGAAACUAUUCCACAUUUUCUUAAGUGUGUGCCAAAUUCGUGACUCAAGUAUUCUCCCCCACGAUCUGAUCGCAAGAACUUGAUUUGCCUGUCAUGUUGAUUCUCAACCUCACUUUGAAAUUCCUUGAACUUUUCAAAGGUCUCAGACUUGUGUUUCAUUAAGUAGACAUACCCAUAUCUACUCAAGUCAUCAGUGAGGGUGAGAACAUAACGAUAGCCACCACGAGCCUCAACACUCAUUGGACCGCACACAUCAGUAUGUAUGAUUUCCAAUAAGUUGGUUGCUCGCUCCAUUGUUCUUGAGAAAGGAGUCUUGGUCAUUUUACCCAUGAGGCAUGGUUCGCACGUGUCAAAUGAUUCGUAAUCAAGAGACUUUAAAAGUCCAUCUGCAUGGAGCUUCUUCAUGCGUUUGACACCUAUGUGACCAAGGCGGCAAUGCCACAUGUGGGACUAUCAUUAUCAACCUUACAUCUUUUGCUAUUCACACUAUGAAUAUGUGUAACAUUAUGCUCGAGAUUCAUUAAGAAUAAACCAUUCACCAAUGGAGCAUGACCAUAAAACAUAUCUCUCAUAUAAAUAGAACAACCAUUAUUCUCGGAUUUAAAUGAGUAGCCAUCUCAAAUUAAACGAGAUCCUGAGACAAUGUUCAUGCUCAAAGCUGGCACUAAAUAACAAUUAUUGAGGUUUAAAACUAAUCCCGUAGGCAAAUGUAGAGGCAGCGUGCCGACGGCGAUCACAUCGACCUUGGAACCAUUCCCGACGCGAAUCGUCACCUCGUACUUCGCCAGUCUCCGUUUAUUCCGCAGCUCCCGCUUUGAGUUACAAAUGUGAGCAACUGCACCGGUAUCAAAUACCCAGGAGCUACUACGAGUACUGGUAAGGUACACAUCAAUUACAUGUAUAUCACAUAUACCUUUAGUGUUGCCGGCCUUCUUGUCCGCUAAGUAUUUGGGGCAGUUCUGCUUCCAGUGACCACUUCCCUUGCAAUAAAAACACUCAGUCUCGAGCUUGGGUCCAUUCUUUGGCUUCUUCCCGGCAACUUGCUUAGCGGGCGCGGCAACUCCCUUGCCGUCCUUCUUGAAUUCUUCUUACCCUUGCCUUUCUUGAACUUAGUGGUUUUAUUCACCAUCAACACUUGAUGUUCCUUUUUGAUUUCCACCUCUGCUGAUUUCAGCAUUGAAUAUACCUCAGGAAUGGUCUUUUCCGUCCCCUGCAUAUUGAAGUUGAUCACAAAGCUCUUGUAGCUUGGUGGAAGCGACUGAAUGAUUCUGUCAAUGACCGCGUCAUUCGGGAGAUUAACUCCCACCUGAGUCAAGCGGUUAUGCAACCCAGACAUUUUGAUUAUGUGCUCACUGACAGAUCUAUUUUCCUCCAUAUUACAGCUGAAGAACUUGUCGGAGACUUCAUAUCUCUCGACCCGGGCAUGAGCUUGAAAAACCAUUUUCAGCUCUUCGAACAACUCAUAUGCUCCGUGUCUCUCAAAAUGCUUUUGGAGCCCCGGUUCUAAGCUGUAAAGCAUGCCGCACUGAACGAGGGAGUAAUCAUCAGCACGUAACUGCCAAGCGUUCAUAAUGUCUUGGUUCUCUGGGACAGGUGUGUCACCUAACGGUGCUUCUAGGACAUAAUCUUUCUUGGCAGCUAUGAGGAUGAUCCUCAGGUUCUGGACCCAGUCCGUAUAGUUGCUGCCAUCGUCUUUCAGCUUGGUUUUCUCCAGGAACGCGUUGAAAUUGAGGACAACGUGGGCCAUUUGAUCUACAAGACAUAUUGUAAAGAUUUUAGACUAAGUUCAUGAUAAUUAAGUUCAUCUAAUCAAAUUAUACAAUGAACUCCCACUCAGAUAGACAUCCCUCCAGUCAUCUAAGUGAAACAUGAUCCGAGUUAACUAGGCUGUGUCGGAUCAUCACGUGAGACGGACUAGUCAACAUCGGUGAACAUCUUCAUGUUGAUCGUAUCUUCUAGACGACUCAUGCUCGACCUUUUAGUCUUCUAUGUUCCGAGGCCAUGUCUGUACAUGCUAGGCUCGUCAAGUAAACCUAAGUGUAUUGCGUGUGUAAGUCUGGCUUACACCCGUUGUAUUCGAACGUUAGAAUCUAUCACACUCGAUCAUCACGUGGUGCUUCGAAACAACGAACCUUCACAAUGGUGCACAGUUAGGGGGAACAGUUUCUUGAAAUUAUUUCGAGGGAUCAUCUUAUUGAAGCUACCGUCGUUCUAAGCAAAUAAGAUGUAAAACAUGAUAAACAUCACAUGCAAUCAAAUAGUGACAUGAUAUGGCCAAUAUCAUUUUCUCCUUUUGAUCUCCAUCUUCGGGGGUCCAUGAUCAUCAUUGUCACUGGCAUGACACCAUGAUCUCCAUCAUCAUGUCUUCUUGAAGUUGUCUCGUCAUCUAUUACUUCUACUACUAUGGCUAACGCUUUAGCAAUAAAGUAAAGUAAUUACAUGACGUUUAUGUUGACACGCAGGUCAUAAAAAAUAAAGACAACUCCUAUGGCUCCUGCCGGUUGUCAUACUCAUCGACAUGCAAGUCGUGAUUCCUAUUACAAGAACAUGAUCAAUCUCAUACAUCACAUAUAUCAUUCAUCACAUCCUUUUGGCCAUAUCACAUCACACGACACAUGCUGCAAAAACAAGUUAGACGUCCUCUAAUUGUUGUUGCAAGUUUAUACAUGGCUGCUAUAGGUUUCUAGCAAGAACGUCUCUUACCUAUGGCAAAACCACAACGUGAUAUGCCACUUUCUAUUUACCCUUCAUAAGGACCCUUUUCAUCGAAUCCGAUCUGACUAAAGUGGGAGAGACAGACACCCGCCAGCCACCUUAUGCAACUAGUGCAUGUCAAUCGGUGGAACCAGUCUCACAUAAGCGUACGUGUAAGGUCGGUCCGGGCCGCUUCAUCCCAUGAUGCCACCGAAUCAAGAUAAGACUAGUAACGGCAAGCAAAGUGACAAUAUCCACGCCCACAACUGCUUUGUGUUCUACUCGUGCAUAGAAACUACGCAUAGACCUAGCUCAUGAUGCCACUGUUGGGGAAUGUAGCAGAAUUUUAAAAUUUUCUAUGCAUCACCAAGAUCAAUCUAUGGAGUCAUCUAGCAAUGAGGGAGAGAGGAGUGCAUCUACAUACCCUUGUAGAUCGCGCGCGGAAGUGUUCAAGAGAACGGGGUUGAUGGAAUCGUACUCGUCGUGAUCCAAAUCACCGAUGACCAAGUGCCUAACGGACAGCACCUCCGCGUUCAACACACGUCCUUUUGGGAAGACGUCUCCUCCUUCUUGAUCCAGCAAGGGGGAAGGAGAGGUUGAUGAAGAUCCAGCAGCACCACGACGUGGUGGUGGAUGCAACAGGAUCCCGGCAGGGCUUCACCAAGCGGAAGCGGGGAGGAGAGGUGUUACGGAGGGAGAGAGAGGCGCCAAGAGCAAGGUUGCGGCUGCCCUCCCUCCCCCCCUCUUUAUAUAGGGGCCAUGGGGGGGCGCCGGCCCUAGGAGAUGGAUCUCCAAGGGGGGCGAAGGCCAAGGGGUGGCUCCCCCCCCCCCAAGCCAAGUGGGGGGCGCCCCCACCCCUAGGGUUUCCCAACCCUAGGCGCAGGGGAGGCCCAAGGGGGGCGGACCAGCCCACUAGCGGCUGGUUCCCCUCCCAAUUCAUCCCAUGGGGCCCUCCGGGAUGGGUGGCCCCACCCGGUGGACCCCCGGGACCCUUUCGGUGGUCCCGGUACAAUACUGGUGACCCCCGAAACCUUCCCGAUGGCCGAAACUGUACUUCCUAUAUAUAAAUCUUUACCUCCAGACCAUUCCGGAACUCCUCGUGACGCCCGGGAUCUCAUCCGGGACUCCGAACAACUUUCGGGUUACUAUAUACUAAUAUCUCUACAACCCUAGCGUCACUGAACCUUAAGUGUGUAGACCCUACGGGUUUCGGAGACAUGCAGACAUGACUGAGACGCCUCUCCAGUCAAUAACCAACAGCGGGAUCUGGAUACCCAUGUUGGCUCCCACAUGCUCCAUGAUGAUCUCAUCAGAUGAACCACGAUGUCGAGCAUUCAAUCAAUCUGUAUACAAUUCCCUUUGUCAAUCAGUACGUUACUUGCCCGAGACUCGAUCAUCGGUAUCCCAAUACCUUGUUCAAUCUUGUUACCGGCAAGUCACUUUACUCAUACCAUAAUGCAUGAUCCCGUCAUCAACCACUUGGUCACAUGAGCUCAUUAUGAUGAUGCAUUACCGAGUGGGCCCAGAGAUACCUCUCCAUCAUACGGAGUGACAAAUCCCAGUCUCGAUUCAUGCCAACCCAAUAGUCACUUUCAGAGAUACCUGUAAUGUAACUUUAUAGUCACCCAGUUACGUUGUGACGUUUGGCACACCCAAGGCACUCCUACGAUAUCUGGGAGUUUUGUUGGAAAUAUGCCCUAGAGGCAAUAAUAAAAGCAUUAUUAUUAUAUUUCCUUGUUCAUGAUAAUUGUCUUUAUUCAUGCUAUAAUUGUGUUAUCCGGAAAUCGUAAUACAUGUGUGAAUAACAGACACCAACAUGUCCCUAGUAAGCCUCUAGUUAACUAGCUCGUUGAUCAACAGAUAGUCAUGGUUUCCUGACUAUGGACAUUGGAUGUCAUUGAUAACGAGCUCACAUCAUUAGGAGAAUGAUGUGAUGGACAAGACCCAAUCAUAAACAUAGCAUAAAGAUCGUGUAGUUCGUUUGCUAGAGUUUUUCCAAUGUCAAGUAUACUUUCCUUAGACCAUGAGAUCGUGUAACUCCCGGAUACCGUAAGAGUGCUUUGGGUGUACCAAACAUCACAACGUAACUGGGUGACUAUAAAGGUAUACUACGGGUAUCUCCAAAAGUGUCUGUUGGGUUGACACGGAUCAAGACUGGGAUUUGUCACUCCGUAUGACGGAGAGGUAUCACUGGGCCCACUCAGUAAUGCAUCAUCAUAAUGAGCUCAAAGUGACCAAGUGUCUGGUCACGGGAUCAUGCAUUACGGUACGAGUAAAGUGACUUGCCGGUAACGAGAUUGAACGAGGUAUUGGGAUACCGACAAUCGAAUCUCGGGCAAGUAACAUACCGAUUGGCAAAGGGAAUUGUAUACGGGGUUGCCUGAAUCCUCGAUAUCGUGGUUCAUCCGAUGAGAUCAUCGUGGAGCAUGUGGGAGCCAACAUGGGUAUCCAGAUCCCGCUGUUGGUUAUUGACCGAAGAGUCGUCUCGGUCAUGUCUGUCUGUCUCCCGAACCCGUAGGGUCUACACACUUAAGGUUCGGUGAUGCUAGGGUUGUAGGAAUAUGUAUAUGCAGUAACCCGAAUGUUGUUCGGAGUCCCGGAUGAGAUCCCGGACGUCACGAGGAGUUCCGUAAUGGUCCGGAGGUAAAGAAUUAUAUAUGGGAAGUGCUAUUUCGGCCAUCGGGACAAGUUUUGGGGUCACCGGUAUUGUACCGGGACCACCGGAAGGGUCCCGGGGGUCCACCGGGUGGGGCCACCUAUCUCGGAGGGCCCCAUGGGCUGAAGUGGGAAGGGACCCAGCCCAAAGUGGGCUGGGGUGCCUCUCCCCUAGGGCCCAUGCGGCUAGGGUUUGGGGGAAACCCUAAAAGGGGGCGCCCCCUUGCUUGGGGGGCAAGCCCCCCACCCCUUGGCCGCCGCCCCCCCCUCCCCCUAGGAAAAUAGAUCUCCUAGGGCCGGCGCCCCCCCCCCUUGGCCCUCCUAUAUAUAGUGGGGGAGGGAGGGCUAUUCUCUCAUGCCUUUGGUUGCCUCCCUCUCCCUCUCCGACACCUCCUCCUCCUCCAUAGUGCUUGGCGAAGCCCUGACGGAGUUCUGCAGCUCCACCAUCACCACGCCGUCGGUCUGCUGCUGGAGCCAUCUUCCUCAACCUCUUCUUCCCUCUUGCUGGAUCAAGAAGAAGGAGACGUUACGCUAACCGUACGUGUGUUGAACGCGGAGGUGCCGUCCGUUCGGCGCUAGGAUCUCUGGUGAUUUGAAUCACGUCGUGUACGACUACUUCAUCCACGUUCUUUGAACGCUUCCGCUCGCGAUCUACAAAGGUAUGUAGAUGCAUCCGAUGACUCGUUGCUAGAUGAACUCAUAGAUAGAUCUUGGUGAAACCGUAGGAAAUUUUUUGUUUUCUGCAACGUUCCCCAACAGUGGUAUCAGAGCUAGGUCUAUGCGUAGUUCUUCUUGCGCGAGUAGAACACAAUUUGUUGUGGGCGUAGAUGUUGUCAACUUUCUUGCCGCUACUAGUCUUAUCUUGCUUCGACGGUAUUGUGGGAUGAAGCGGCCCGGACCAACCUUACACGUAUGCUCACGUGAGACAGGUUCCACCGACAAACAUGCACUAGUUGCAUAAGGUGGCUAGCGGGUGCCUGUCUCUCCUACUUUAGUUGGAGCGGAUUCGAUGAGAAGGGUCCUUAUGAAGGGUAAAUAGAAGUUGAAAAAUCACGUUGUGGCUUUCACGUAGGUUAGAAAACGUUCUUGCUAGAACCCUACUUCAGCCACGUAAAACUUGCAACAACAAUUAGAGGAUGUCUAACUUGUUUUUGCAGCAAGUGCUUUGUGAUAUGAUAUGGCCAAAGUUGUGAUGAAUAAUACAUAUGUGAUGUAUGAGAUGUUCGUGCUAUUGUAAUAGGAAUCACGACUUGCAUGUCGAUGAGUAUGACAACCGGCAGGAGCCAUAGGAGUUGUCUUUAUUCUUUUAUAUGACCUGCGUGUCAUUGAGAAACGCCAUGUAAAUUACUUUACUUUAUUGCUAAACACGUUAGCCUUAGUAGUAGAAGUAAUAGUUGGCGAGCAACUUCAUGGAGACACGAUGAUGGAGAUCAUGAUGAUGGAGAUCAUGGUGUCAUGCCGGUGACAAGAUGAUCAUGGAGCUCCAAGAUGGAGAUCAAAGGAGCUAUGUGAUAUUGGCCAUAUCAUGUCACUAUUAUUAUUUGAUUGCAUUUGAUGUUUAUCAUGUUUUGCAUCUUGUUUACUUAGAACGACGGUAGUGAAUAAGAUGAUCCCUCAUAAUAAUUUCAAGCAAGUGUUCCCCCUAACUGUGCACCGUUGCGACAGUUCAUUGCUUCAAUGCACCACGUGAUGAUCGGGUGUUUGAUUCAAACGUUCACAUACAACGGGUGUAAGACAGAUUUACACAUGCAAACACUUAGGUUGACUUGACGAGCCUAGCAUGUGUAUAGACAUGGCCUCGGAACACAGAAGACCAAAAGGUCGAGCAUGAGUCGUAUAGAAGAUACGAUCAACAUGAAGAUGUUCAUCGAUGUUGACUAGUCCGUCUCACGUGAUGAUCGGACACGGCCUAGUUGACUCGGAUCAUGUUAUACUUAGAUGACUAGAAGAGGGAUGUCUAUCUAAGUGGGAGUUCAUUCAAUAAUUUGAUUAGAUGAACUUAAUUAUCAUGAACUUAGUCUAAAAUCUUUGCAAUAUGUCUUGUAGAUCAAAUGGCCAACGUAGUCCUCAACUUCAACGCGUUCCUAGAGAAAACCAAACUGAAAGAUGAUGGCAGUAACUAUACGGAAUGGGUCUGGAACCUGAGGAUUAUCCUCAUAGCUGCCAAGAAAGAUUAUGUCCUACAAGCACCGCUAGGUGAAGCUCCCGUCCCAUGGAACCAAGAUGUUAUGAACGCUUGGCAGACACGUGCUGAUGACUACUCCCUCGUUCAGUGCGGCAUGCUUUACAGUUUAGAGCCGGGGCUCCAAAAGCGUUUUGAGAGACAUAGAGCAUAUGAGAUGUUCGAAGAGCUGAAAAUGGUGUUUCAAGCUCAUGCCCGGGUCGAGAGAUAUGAGGUCUCCGACAAAUUCUUCAGUUGUAAGAUGGAGGAAAAUAGUUCUGUCAGUGAGCACAUACUCACUAUGUCUGGGUUACAUAAUCGCUUGACUCAGCUGGGAGUUAAUCUCCUGGAUGAUGCGGUCAUUGACAGAAUCCUCCAGUCGCUUCCACCAAGCUACAAGAGCUUUGUGAUGAACUUCAAUAUGCAGGGGAUGGAAAAGACCAUUCCUGAGGUAUUUACAAUGCUGAAAUCAGCAGAGGUAGAAGUCAAGAAGGAACAUCAAGUGUUGAUGGUCAAUAAAACCACUAAGUUCAAGAAGGGCAAGGGUAAAAAGAACUUCAAGAAGGACGGCAAGGGAGUUGCCGCGCCCGGCAAGCAAGCUGCCGGGAAGAAGCCAAAGAAUGGUCCCAAGCCCGAGACUGAGUGCUUUUAUUAUAAGGGAAGCGGUCACUGGAAGCGGAACUGCCCCAAAUACUUAGCGGACAAGAAGGCCGGCAAAACAAAAGGUAUAUGUGAUAUACAUGUAAUUGAUGUGUACCUUACCAGUACCCGUAGUAGCUCCUGGGUAUUUGAUACUGGUGUAGUUGCUCACAUUUGUAACUCAAAGCAGGGGCUGCGGAAUAAGCGGAGACUGGCGAAGGACGAGGUGACGAUGCGCGUCGGGAAUGGUUCCAAGGUCAAUGUAAUCGCCGUCGGCACGUUACCUCUAUAUUUACCUUCGGGAUUAGUUGUAAACCUUAAUAAUUGUUAUUUAGUACCAGCUUUGAGCAUGAACAUUGUAUUGGGAUCUCGUUUAAUUCAAGAUGGCUACUCAUUUAAAUCCGAGAAUAAUGGUUGUUCUAUUUAUAUGAGAGAUAUGUUUUAUGGUCAUGCUCCUAUGGUGAAUGGUUUAUUCUUAAUGAAUCUCGAGCGUAAUGCUACACAUAUUCAUAGUGUGAGUACCAAAAGAUGUAAGGUUGAUAAUGAUAGUCCCACAUACUUGUGGCACUGCCGCCUUGGUCACAUAGGUGUCAAACGCAUGAAGAAGCUCCAUGCAGAUGGACUUUUAGAGUCUCUUGAUUAUGAAUCAUUUGACACGUGCGAACCAUGCCUCGUGGGUAAAAUGACCAAGACUCCGUUCUCAGGAACAAUGGAGCGAGCAACCAACUUAUUGGAAAUCAUACAUACUGAUGUGUGCGGUCCAAUGAGCGUUGAGGCUCGCGGUGGCUAUCGUUAUGUUCUCACCCUCACUGAUGACUUGAGUAGAUAUGGGUAUGUCUACUUAAUGAAACACAAGUCUGAAACCUUUGAAAAGUUCAAGGAAUUUCAGAGUGAGGUUGAGAAUCAACGUGACAGGAAAAUCAAGGUUCUACGAUCAGAUCAUGGAUGCGAAUACUUGAGUCACGAAUUUGGCACACACUUAAGAAAAUGUGGAAUAGUUUCACAACUCACGCCGCCUGGAACACCUCAGCGUAACGGUGUGUCCGAACGUCGUAAUCGCACUCUAUUAGAUAUGGUACGAUCUAUGAUGUCUCUUACCGAUUUACCACUAUCUUUUUGGGGCUAUGCUUUAGAGACUGCCGCAUUCACUUUAAAUAGGGCUCCGUCGAAAUCCGUUGAGACGACACCGUUUGAAUUAUGGUUUGGGAAGAAACCUAAGCUGUCGUUUCUAAAAGUUUGGGGAUGCGAUGCUUAUGUCAAGAAACUUCAACCUGAAAAGCUCGAACCCAAGUCGGAAAAAUGCGUCUUCAUAGGAUACCCUAAAGAAACUGUUGGGUAUACCUUCUACCUCAGAUCCGAAGGCAAGAUUUUUGUUGCCAGGAAUGGAUGCUUUCUAGAGAAGGAGUUUCUCUCGAAAGAAGUAAGUGGGAGGAAAGUAGAACUUGAUGAAGUGUUACCUCUUGAACCGGAAAAUGGCGCAACUCAAGAAAAUGUUCAUGAGGUGCCUGCACCGACUAGAGAGGAGGUUAAUGAUGAUGAUCAUGAAACUUCUGAUCAAGUUGCUACUGAACUUCGAAGGUCCAUAAGGACACGUUCCGCACCAGAGUGGUACGGCAACCCUGUCUUGGAAAUCAUGUUGUUAGGCAACGGUGAACCUUCGAACUAUGAAGAAGCGAUGGCGGGCCCGGAUUCCGACAAAUGGCUAGAAGCCAUGAAAUCCGAGAUAGGAUCCAUGUAUGAAAAUGAAGUAUGGACUUUGACUGACUUGCCCGUUGAACGGCGAGCCAUAGAAAAUAAAUGGAUCUUUAAGAAGAAGACAGACGCGGAUGGUAAUGUGACCAUCUAUAAAGCUCGGCUUGUCGCUAAGGGUUAUCGACAAGUUCAAGGGGUUGACUACGAUGAGACUUUCUCACCGGUAGCGAAGCUGAAGUCCGUCCGAAUCAUGUUAGCAUUUGCCGCAUUCUACGAUUAUGAGAUAUGGCAAAUGGAUGUCAAAACGGCAUUAAUUAAUGGUUUCCUUAAGGAAGAAUUGUAUAUGAUGCAGCCGGAAGGUUUUGUCGAUCCUAAGAAUGCUGACAAGGUGUGCAAGCUCCAACGCUCGAUUUAUGGGCUGGUGCAAGCAUCUCGGAGUUGGAACAUUCGCUUUGAUGAGAUGAUCAAAGUGUUUGGGUUUACUCAGACUUAUGGAGAGGCCUGCGUUUACAAGAAAGUGAGUGGGAGCUCUGUAGCAUUUCUCAUAUUAUAUGUAGAUGACAUACUUUUGAUGGGAAAUGAUAUAGAACUCUUGGACAGCAUCAAGGCCUACUUGAAUAAGAGUUUUUCAAUGAAGGACCUUGGAGAAGCUGCUUAUAUAUUAGGCAUCCAGAUCUAUAGAGAUAGAUCAAGAUGCCUCAUAGGUCUUUCACAAAGCACAUACCUUGAUAAGAUAUUGAAGAAGUUCAAUAUGGAUCAAUCUAAGAAGGGGUUCUUGCCUGUGUUACAAGGUAUGAAAUUGAGCUCAGCUCAAUGUCCGACCAUGGCAGAAGAUAUAGAAGAGAUGAGUGUCAUCCCCUAUGCCUCAGCCAUAGGUUCUAUUAUGUAUGCCAUGCUGUAUACCAGACCUGAUGUAAACCUUGCCGUAAGUUUGGUAGGAAGGUACCAAAGUAAUCCCGGCAAGGAACACUGGACAGCGGUCAAGAAUAUCCUGAAGUACCUAAAAAGGACUAAGGAAAUGUUUCUCGUUUAUGGAGGUGACGAAGAGCUCGUCGUAAAGGGUUACGUCAACGCUAGCUUCGACACAGAUCUGGAUGACUCUAAGUCACAAACCGGAUACGUGUAUAUUUUGAAUGGUGGGGCAGUAAGCUGGUGCAGUUGCAAGCAGAGCGUCGUGGCGGGAUCUACAUGUGAAGCGGAGUACAUGGCAGCCUCGGAGGCAGCACAUGAAGCAAUUUGGGUGAAGGAGUUCAUCACCGACCUAGGAGUCAUACCCAAUGCGUCGGGGCUGAUCAAGCUCUUCUUUGACAACACUGGAGCUAUUGCACUUGCCAAGGAGCCCAGGUUUCACAAGAAGACAAGGCACAUCAAGCGUCGCUUCAACUCCAUUCGUGAAAAUGUUCAAGAUGGAGACAUAGAUAUUUGUGAAGUACAUACGGACCUGAAUGUAGCAGAUCCGUUGACUAAACCUCUCCCUAGAGCAAAACAUGAUCAACACCAGAAUUCCAUGGGUGUUCGAUUCAUCACAAUGUAACUAGAUUAUUGACUCUAGUGCAAGUGGGAGACUGUUGGAAAUAUGCCCUAGAGGCAAUAAUAAAAGCAUUGUUAUUAUAUUUCCUUGUUCAUGAUAAUUGUCUUUAUUCAUGCUAUAAUUGUGUUAUCCGGAAAUCGUAAUACAUGUGUGAAUAACAGACACCAACAUGUCCCUAGUAAGCCUCUAGUUAACUAGUUCGUUGAUCAACAGAUAGUCAUGGUUUCUUGACUAUGGACAUUGGAUGUCAUUGAUAACGAGAUCACAUCAUUAGGAGAAUGAUGUGAUGGACAAGACCCAAUCAUAAACAUAGCAUAAAGAUCGUGUAGUUCGUUUGCUAGAGUUUUUCCAAUGUCAAGUAUCCUUUCCUUAGACCAUGAGAUCGUGUAACUCCCGGAUACCGUAAGAGUGCUUUGGGUGUACCAAACGUCACAACGUAACUGGGUGACUAUAAAGGUAUACUACGGGUAUCUCCGAAAGUGUCUGUUGGGUUGACACGGAUCUAGACUGGGAUUUGUCACUCCGUAUGACGGAGAGGUAUCACUGGGCCCACUCGGUAAUGCAUCAUCAUAAUGAGCUCAAAGUGACCAAGUGUCUGGUCACGGGAUCAUGCAUUACGGUACGAGUAAAGUGACUUGCCGGUAACGAGAUUGAAUGAGGUAUUGGGAUAACGACGAUCGAAUCUCGGGCAAGUAACAUAUCGAUUGGCAAAGGGAAUUGUAUACGGGGUUGCUUGAAUCCUCGACAUCGUGGUUCAUCCAAUGAGAUCAUCGUGGAGCAUGUGGGAGCCAACAUGGGUAUCCAGAUCCCGUUGUUGGUUAUUGACCGGAGAGUCGUCUCGGUUAUGUCUGCCUGUCUCCCGAACCCGUAGGGUCUACACACUUAAGGUUCAGUGACGCUAGGGUUGUAGGAAUAUGUAUAUGCAGUAACCCGAAUGUUGUUCGGAGUCCCGGAUGAGAUCCCGGACGUCACGAGGAGUUCCGGAAUGGUCCGGAGGUAAAGAAUUAUAUAUGGGAAGUGGUAUUUCGGCCAUCGGGACAAGUUUCGGGGUCACCGGUAUUGUACCGGGACCACCGGAAGGGUCCCGGGGGUCCACCGGGUGGGGCCACCUAUCCCGGAGGGCCCCUUGGGCUGAAGUGGGAAGGGACCCAGCCCAAAGUGGGCUGGGGCGCCUCUCCCCUAGGGCCCAUGCGGCUAGGGUUUGGGGGAAACCCUAAAAGGGGGCGCCCCCUUGCUUGGGGGGCAAGCCCCCCACCCCUUGGCCGCCGCCGCCCCCCCCCCCUAGGAGAAUAGAUCUCCUAGGGCCGGCGCCCCCCCCCUUGGCCCUCCUAUAUAUAGUGGGGGAGGGAGGGCUAUUCUCUCACGCCUUUGGUUGCCUCCCUCUCCCUCUCCAACACCUCCUCCUCCUCCAUAGUGCUUGGCGAAGCCCUGACGGAGUUCUGCAGCUCCACCAUCACCACGCCGUCGUGCUGCUGCUGGAGCCAUCUUCCUCAACCUCUUCUUCCCUCUUGCUGGAUCAAGAAGAAGGAGACGUUACGCUAACCGUACGUGUGUUGAACGCGGAGGUGCCGUCCGUUCGGCGCUAGGAUCUCCGGUGAUUUGAAUCACGUCGUGUACGACUACUUCAUCCACGUUCUUUGAACACUUCCGCUCGCGAUCUACAAAGGUAUGUAGAUGCAUCCGAUGACUCGUUGCUAGAUGAACUCAUAGAUAGAUCUUGGGGAAACUGUAGGAAAAUUUUCUGCAACGUUCCCCAACAAGUUUCACAAUCUCAUGGUCUAAGGAAAUGAUACUUGACAUUCGGAAAAGCUACAGCAGAUGAACUACACGACCUUUGAGCUAUGCUUAGGAUUGGGUCUUGUCCAUCACAUCAUUCUCCUAAUGAUGUGAUACCGUUAUGAAUGACAUCCAAUGUCCAUAGUCAGGAAACCAUGACUAUCUUUUGAUCAACAAGCUAGUCAACUAGAGGCUCACUAGGGACGUGUUGUGGUCUAUGUAUUCACACAUGUAUUACGAUUUCCGGAUAACACAAUUAUAGCAUGAACAAUAGACAAUUAUCAUGAACAAAGAAAUAUAAUAAUAACCAUUUUAUUAUUGCCUCUAGGGCAUAUUUCCAACACCUACGUACCCCCAAACGAUCAUAUACGGAGCCAAAACCCUAAUUCCACCGCCGCAACUUUCUGUAUCCACGAGAUCCCAUCUUGGGGCCUGUUCCGGAGCUCCGCCAGAGGGGGCAUCGAUCACGGAGGGCUUCUACAUCAACACCAUAGCCUCUCCGAUGAAGUGUGAGUAGUUCACCUCAGACCUACGGUUCCAUAGUUAUUAGCUAGAUGGCUUCUUCUCUCUUUUUGGAUCUCAAUACAAUGUUCUCCCCCUCUCUUGUGGAGAACUAUUCGAUGUAAUCUUCUUUUUGCGGUGUGUUUGUUGAGACCGAUGAAUUGUGGGUUUAUGAUCAAGUCUAUCUAUGAAUAAUAUUUGAAUCUUCUCUGAAUUCUUUUAUGUAUGAUAGGUUAUCUUUGAAAGUCUUUUCGAAUUAUCAGUUUGGUUUGGCCUACUAGAUUGAUCUUUCUUGCAAUGGGAGAAGUGCUUAGCUUUGGGUUCAAUCUUGCGGUGUCCUUUCCCAGUGACAGUAGGGGCAGCAUGGCACGUAUUAUAUUGUUGCCAUCGAGGACAACAAGAUGGAGUUUUCAUCAUAUUGCAUGAGUCUAUCCCUCUACAUCAUGUCAUCUUGCUUAAGGCCUUAAUCUGUUUUUAACUUAAUACUCUAGAUGCUUGCUGGAUAGCGGUCGAUUAGUGGAGUAAUAGUAGUAGAUGCAGGCAGGAGUCGGUCUACUUGUCUCGGACAUGAUGCCUAUAUAUAUGAUCAUACCUAGAUAUUCUCAAAACUAUGCUCAAUUCUGUCAAUUGCUCAACAAUAAUUUGUUCACCCACCGUAGAAUACUUAUGCUCUCGAGAGAAGCCACUAGUGAAACCUAUGGCCCCCGGGUCUAUCUUUAUCAUAUUAAUCUCCUACUACUUAGUUAUUUCCUUUGCUUUUUACUUUGCCUUUAUUUUACUUCGCAUCUUUAUCACAAAAAUACGAAAAAAAUUAUCUUUAUCAUAUCUAUCAAAUCUCACCCUCGUAAGUGGCCGUUUAGGGAUUGACAACCCCUAUUCGCGUCGGUUGUGAGGAUUUAUUUGUUUUGUGCAGGUACAAGGGACUCGCGCGUAGCCUCCUACUGGAUUGAUACCUUGGUUCUCAAAACCUAUUUGAUUGCCGUAGCACGAUCGCGCUUCCUCGGGCGCUAUUGUCUCAAAAAUACCGUCGUCCAUCUCCGUGACCUCCAGUCUACUACUCAUGAGCUGGUUUGGGCGCCGUGGCCUCUUUGCUUUCGGUUCUAGACCAGCUCCGCUAGUCUCGGCGCCUGUCUCAGUCUCAUCGCCGAUCUGCAUGUCGGUAUCAGUCCCCGAUGCGACAUCACAGUUGCUGCAACAUGGGAAAGGGAGACCACGUCAGUGCUGGGGGGUCUGAAAAUCGGAACACACUUUCGCGCGUUGCGGGCCGCCUCUCAGACAGCUACUGGGGAGGCGGCGGAGUACCUGGGUGCGCGGCGAAUCCCCGGGAACUCGGUGACCAACUUCCUUCCCGUGUGGCGCAUGGAGACGACGGCGACCCCGGCGAAGAGCAGCUUAGCCGCGAGCUGCACAGCCUCGUCCACCUCCUAAGUUGGGACCUCCGUGCGAGCGUUGCGGGGCCGCCACUCGGAUGGCUUCUGGAAGGCGGUUGUACAUGGGCACAUGGUGAAUCCCGGCGAGAGCUUGCCAUUGGCGCGCUCAAGUAGACGACGACGUCCUCGACGAAGAGCAGCCCGGCCAGCUCGCCUCACUAUCGUUUGAUUAGAAAUGAAAGAUUGGGAAGAAGCAGACUUGAGCCUGCAGGGAAAGGAUAAGGUGACGAUGCAGUCUCCACUCGUUCGGGGCGACACUCGUACUGAAUGUAUGAGAAAUCUGACGUGGCAGAGACCCCAAGAUACUCCCUCCAUUUAUUUUUAGUCUGCAUAUAAAGUUUGGUCAAAGUCAAGAUUUGUAAAUUUUAACUAACUUUAUAAUAAAAAAAUAUCAACAUUCACAAUAUGAAAUCAAUAUUACCAGAUGCGUCAUGAAAUGUAUUUCCAUACUAUAUAGUUUUGGUAUUGUAGAUGUUCAUAUUUUUUUAUAUAUAUGGGAAGUAGAGGCACUCUUCUAUACUAUAUUCAGAUGUAUGAUAUCUGUUAUUUAAGCGCUUGAAUUUUACAUACGAAUAUUUAUUAUUAAAUAUGUACCCCUACAAUAGCUAGGCCGUGCAGUUGCACGGGUAGAUGACUAGUGAUUACAAUCUUGUUUGUGUGCAAGUCAAGCUUAUCUAGUUUACACGUAACAACUUGUAGAACAUUACAAAAUUUAUGCUUGCUAAUAACUUUUAGAACACUACAACACUUGACAUGUAAAAGGAAUUUGACUGAGUCAUGGCCUACUAAAGCAAGUUACAUUACUAGUCUUAUCUAUCUUAACAGACCACACAAGAUUACAAACUAAGUACCGUGACAGCCAUGCUUAUCUAGUUUAUGCGUAACAAUUUGCAGAAAAUUACAAACUUAGUUUCAGAAAGAUAGGCAAUCUAGAUUAGUGUUUGAGCUGUAAAGUGAAUAAGAUGAGUCAUGCAUGUUAUCACACCUUUUUGGUGGUCGAAUGAUAGUGCAACAACAAGGAACUUUAAUGACCAGUCCAAGAAUACACUUGUAAGUAGUGCCACCAAACAGAACAUACCAAAUGAUCAUUCCAUGGCAGCUAUAAAUAGCCCCAUAGCAUGACGAUCAUCCUUCCUCAUCCAUCAUUCUCAUAAGUAGAGCACAUCAUUUAAGCCAAGCAAGUUGUGGUCAAUACAAAUCCACCAUGAAGACCUUUCUCAUCCUUGCCCUCCUUGCUAUCGUGGCGACCACCGCCACAACCGCAGUUAGAGUUCCAGUGCCACAAUUGCAGCCACAAAAUCCAUCUCAGCAACAGCCACAAGAGCAAGUUCCAUUGGUACAACAACAACAAUUUCUAGGGCAGCAACAAACAUUUCCACCACAACAACCAUAUCCACAGCUGCAACCAUUUCCAUCACAACAACCAUAUCUACAGCUGCAACCAUUUCCGCAGCCGCAACUACCAUAUUCGCAGCCACAACCAUUUCGACCACAACAACCAUAUCCACAACCGCAACCACAGUAUUCGCAACCACAACAACCAAUUUCACAGCAUCAACAGCAGCAGCAGCAACAACAACAACAACAACAACAACAACAAAUCCUUCAACAAAUUUUGCAACAACAACUGAUUCCAUGCAUGGAUGUUGUAUUGCAGCAACACAACAUAGCGCAAGGAAGAUCACAAGUUUUGCAACAAAGUACUUACCAGCUGUUGCAAGAAUUGUGUUGUCAGCACCUAUGGCAGAUCCCUGAGCAGUCGCAGUGCCAGGCCAUCCACAAUGUUGUUCAUGCUAUUAUUCUGCAUCAACAACAACAAAAACAACAACAACAACAACAACAACAACCAUCGAGCCAGGUCUCCUUCCAACAGCCUCAGCAACAAUAUCCAUUAGGCUAGGGCUCCUUCCGGCCAUCUCAGCAAAACCCACAGGCCCAGGGCUCUGUCCAGCCUCAACAACUGCCCCAGUUCGAGGAAAUAAGGAACCUAGCGCUACAGACACUACCUGCAAUUUGCAAUGUCUACAUCCCUCCAUAUUGCACCAUCGCGCCAUUUGGCAUCUUCGGUACUAACUGAGAAGAAAAUAACUCUAGUACUAGAUAUAUGAAACACCGUUUUCUCAGUCCAUGGUUUGGUCGUUGUAGCGGUGAAAAAAUAAUGUGGCAUGCACUAUCAUGUAAGAACCCAAACUAUACUAGUUCAAACUUGGGAAUAAAAGACAAACACAGGUCUUGUCUACAUAUUUAUGUUGCAUCUAUUUAUAUAUUAAAAGUAAUAUAAGGUGAACCAGGAGCAAGGUAAAUAUGCUAGAAAAUUGCACGUUAAUUAGAAAUUACUAGCCCUCAAUCUGGUAAAUCUUAACAAAUAGAAUUAUCUUGACCGUUAGAUUUAUGUAACAUAUAUAAUGCUCUGGGCCUCCAACGACUGUACGUGACACAUCUGAACGCACAUAUCUUAAAGAAAAUAUAUUUGGUAAAUGGUGGGCCUCUUUAAAAAGAGAACUCACGUACAUGCACCAACUAAGAAAAACACAUACAUGUAAACGGGAAAAGGAUGAGAUUUUCUCACGUACGUGCUCCCUGGCUCCACCCCGUUGAAAAAAUAUACAUCUGGAGGCCACUUUGUUUCCUCAUCAAAAAAAAACUUACGUUAAAAAGAUUGCAUGCAUCCCAGGGAAAAUAGUCAAGAAGAAGUCGGCUCUUCCUUACAAAAACAAGGAACGUGUUAAGUUGACUUCAAAGAAAAAAGGAACAUGUUAAGUUAAAAAAAACAAGAAACCUGUUAAGUUAGAAAAAAACAAGGAACGUGUUGUCCUAGGAAAGAUAUGUGUCAAAUCUUACAAAAAAAAAGAAUACACACACGUACGUUCAUGCACUUGGAAAAUAGAAAAAAAAGGAACAUCACGUAUGUAUACACUUCGGAAACUCAUUACAUGACCAUGUCUGAUAUACUCCUCUAAUGCUUAAUAUUAGUGCCUAAUAAUUUAUAUUUAAAAUUUAAUUUACUGAUCAAAUAUCCCCACUGUAUAAAUUUUAAUUUGGCACAUUGUUUGGCUAUAGUAUGAACCUAAAUUUCCUCUUAUUAUUAUAUAUCAUGGUAAUAAUCCAAAGGCGACUAAUCUGCGCCGGCGCACCGGCGCAAUCAAUUCGGCCCGACACAGCGCGGCCGUUUGAUUAGAUUGCAUUUAACCGUCAGAUCUGGAAUCAUUUUAUUUCCAAUUAAACGGAUUCAACCAAACAGCAGAGAGGAAAACAAAGCAGCGCCGCCGCCAACACUAGCCAUGGACGACCGAUGUAGCAAAACCUUGAAGAACCGCCGCCGGUCGCCACCCUUGCCGCUGGUCGCCGCCCUCGCCGCCUGUGUUUCUCAUCGGCUUCAUGCAUGCAACAACAUGCACUCGUGAUUGCAGGCUUGCAGCUCCGGCUCUGGGGGACAUGGCCGCAUCUCCAGUAGCGCCGGCCGCCGGCCGCAGCACCUGUCGUUGUGGUCACGCUGUACCUCGCCGUGUGCCCUCCCAAGGAUCUUGCUGGUUCCAACAAAAAACGAUACCUGUUGUAGCAAAAAAGUUUAUCGCUUCCAGCAAAAAAGCUUACCGCUACAGCCCGCCAUCAUCAUUGUAGCAAAAAUGUUAACUCGAUGUAGCUUCUGUGGUUGCCGACUGCAGCCAAAAAUGACGUGGUUGUAGCAAAACACAAAAGAAAAACUCCGGCCGUCCGCUGUGUAUGGUGGUAACAAACCCUAUAGCCGGUGGUAGCGAAAAACUUCAUUGUUUGCAGCAAAAAAAUGUUGUCGCCCAUCGUCGAGGUUGCAUCAUCUUCAUGAAUUAUGUCGCAAAAAAACGUUGUCGCCGGUAGUAGCAAAUGAAGCCGCCGGUAGAAACAAAACAAGACACUGGUUCCAGCCAAAAAAAAAUCAGCGACAGAACCUUUUGUUGGUUCCAACAAAAAAACUUGUCGGUUGUAGCAUCCCUCGCCGCCGGAUGUAGCAUCUCCCAGGGCUGGUUGCAACACUCCAUAAAAAAAGGUUGUCUACGAGCGCAUCCAUGGCAACUGCUGCACCGUCAGCAACGAGGGGAAGAGGAGGCAAUGAAAAUCGUUCGAGUCGUAGCUCCACAGGACGCGGGUGCAGCAUAGGGAGUCCAAAAAUCUGUCACAAGCAAGAUGCGCCUUGCCAUCCUCCUGCGCAGGAGAGAGAAGAAAAAGGAAUAAGAGGAAGAAGAAAGGAAACGGGAGAAAGAAAAAAAGAAACGAUUGGUUGUGGGCUCAGGCAAUUAGUCAAACGAGGGGCACGCGGGGCCGCAGGAUACAGCGCAAUCGAACGAAGUGCGCGCGUCUGGCCGAAGACUCAGCUGGACUGCCGGCUGGAAAUGUUUCCCUAAUACAAAGGCUUUUCUGAAUGACAAGUCGUCUGAGUUAUCGGCUAACUAGAAAAAAGAUAAAUAUGCUAGAUAAUUCCAUAAUCAUUAGAAAUAUCUAGCCUUUAAUUAUGUAAAUCAGAAAAUCACAACCGUUGGAUUUACUUUAAAGGUAAAUUUCUCUAAAUUCCCACCAUUGCCAGUAUGUAGAAACAUGUGCUGCUUCAAUUCUCCCUUAAUCACCAAUCAAUCAACAACAGAAAACAUACCGCAGUUCAAAAAACUGAACAAAAAAAAGAAAAAAAGAAGAAAGGACAAGAUACACGCAUGUACACGACAGCCUUGGCUUGAAACACAUCAGUAAAUCAAGUGUCCACCUCCCUUACACAGAAUAAAUUCUAGGGAAGAAAAUAAUAGUGCAACCUAACCUUAUACGUACUAUUCUAUCCUCACGUCCCAUGAGGUUUACUAGCCUACUGCCGCCGCAUCAUGCCAUCCUCUCCUUUCAGCUCCCAUGCUCUCCAGCACCCUCCUUGCGGCGCCACUACUCGCCUAGGGAUAUUGCUGCUCAGACCGUGGAGCUUAACCUGCUUCUUCUUCAGCAAAUAUGGAACUGCUUUAGGAUCCUUCUGACAUCAGCGCGUAUGGGCCUCAUUAUACUGCAGCUCCUGGACCUCCUACAAUUGGUUGGCUAUGGCCAGUUGAUCGAUUUGCUGAUGUCCAGGUCUGUUUGCUGGCACAUAUGCUUUGGAAAUAGGCCACUAUGUUUGUACUUCAAAAUUGUUUCUGUAUUCUUUAGUGGUACAUCCUUUUAAGCGCCAGUUUUUUAUGUUAAUUCAUGCUGACAACACUUAACCUAGCCUUUCAUGUUCACGUACUAAAUACAGGAGCAAGUAAAAACAACAGACCACCUAAUUGCUCUGCAAGUUCUACAUAGGAAAAUUUGUCAUGUUCUACGAUCGCACUAUCCCACCCUUCUCUCUUGGUAUGGGCGCCAAUUGAGGGAUUGAUAAAAUUGAAACGAAGCCGUCACAGGGCUGGAAGUACCGCUAGCCUGGUUCGCACUGCAACCUACCCAACGCCAUCAGAAACUAGCAACUGAGUCAGGUGUUGAUCGAUUCUCUCAAAUUGCUCUCAUGUAAGUACUACCCCUUGCAUGUGCGUACAUACCUUUGUUGCAUUCUCAAACAGAUAGAACAUGUAUGAUCGGUGCAUGGCUAUUUUUCAUCACAUGACAUCCAGAUAACAAGCAUGAAAGGACUACAUUGGAGAUCAAAAAAUAUUGGUUCCUGGCUAGAGUACCACUACCUAUGGACUUGUCUCCAUAGAAUUUGUUCCCAAGAUGUUAUUUUAAUUAACCUCUUUAGCUUUCUUCCAUUGCAAACGGUGAUGUGCAUCUUGGUAUAUACGUGACCAUCUUGCACAUGUAUACACAAGAGGCUCAGACGGAGGUGUUGGAUUCUGGACGAGGGAAUAUAAAGCAGGAGUGAGCGAAGUGUAAAUAAUGGUGGGAGUACCGAUUGGUGUUAUGAAGAAAAAUGCCAUCAAAAGAUUGAUUAGUGUCAUGGAAGAUUAAUUUCUGAAUGCGAAUAUAUAUGUUACAUUGGUUUGGAUCUUUUUGAGAUAAUUGCACCUAAAUUAGGUUCUUUCUUAUUUCAUAUGUAUACCUUAUUUCAGUAAAAGUUCACAACGAACUUAGUAGGACAAAUAUAAUUUUGUUUGUUCUUUCUGUUGUCCGCCACCAAAGCUCAAUUUGAACUCUCUAGAAAUGGACAAUGAUUUAUGCAUUCUAUAUCUUCUUGAUUGAUUAGCCAUGACAAGGAAAUAAAAGGAUUGACUGAUAUAGCAUAACUUUGGAACGAUUAGAGGUUACUACAAAUAAGAGUAGUGUCUGUUGGAAUUUUGCUAGUAGGCCUUUGGCCCAAAGCCCAACUAAAAUUCUGAAAUUCUCUUGGCUCAUUUAUACACACAUGUGAGUUGAGUGAGUGAGACUAAAGUUUAGUCCCACCCCGGAAGUUGAGAGAGAGUUGCACCUCUUUAUAAGGUGAGCUCUUCUACCACUUGUAUGAGCAUGAGAAGAGGAGACCUACACGCGCGCUCCUCCUCCACGCUCGCCACGCCUCGUCGCGCCGCGCCGUGCCGCGGGUUGCGGGAUUGAGCCGAGCCGAGGACGUUUUCUAUAUUUUUGCUGCUCGGGAAAAAUUAAUGAGUCAUUAAUUAAUAAUUAAUGGACACAUUAAUUACUGAACCGUUUCCGAUUUUUUUGGAUCGUGACGACUCGGACGUGGGGUUUACUCCCAGGACCUACCCGGCCCGCACUAUAUAGUCAGGAAGAUGUCUACCCUAGCCGCCGCCGCUUCGUAUGGUUUCUCACCAUCGUUACAGAUCAUUGCGCCGCCAAGCAAGUUUUCUCCAUCCCUCCUUUCGGCGUGCACCGGGAGAAGGGACAGCAGACCUCCGGAACCCCGCCUCUCGUGAUCCUAUACGGGAGAGGGGCGAUCAGGUUUUUGGGGAGCGCACUCGCAUGACUGCUUGCAGCGACGACUUCGCAAACGACGACUUCUUCCCCGACCUCGGCAACCUCAUCCUCGACGACAUGGGCGACAACGUCAACGCCGGCGAUGCUACACCCACUGCACCGUAUGUUAUUCUCUCCUUCUUGUUCGAGAUCGUGGUAGAAUUCAUGUUUCUAGUAUAUGUGCCCUAGAUGUGAUCUGUUCAUCUACUAUGGUAGUUCGCAUGAUUAGUUUAAUCUCUGCUAUUGCUGUCAUGAUCUAUUUCCUAUUUAUUCGGAUUAAAUCUCUUUGUAAUUUGCUCAUUUUUCCAACAAUCCAAAAACCUGAUUAUAGGAAAUUUACUCCGAGUGGUUUUGCUGCGCAUCUGAAAGCCGCUUGCCUUUAAGGGGGCGCAAUAUAAGAGGUGGCGCACCAGAGCAGUCUACUGGUUUCAGAUCAUGGGCUGCUAUGACGCCACCAAGGGCAAGCCUGAGGGCGAUCUUAAUCCAGCACAGCUGGAAGCUUUCAAGAAGAUCAAUACCCUCUUUAAAGGCACGCUUCUGAGUGUUCUUGAUGACUCCAUUGUAGAUUCGUAUAUGUCGUUUGACAACGGCAAGAACAUGUGGGCUACGCUCGAGGCCAAGUUUGGUGCCUCGGACGCCGGCAGCGAGUUGUACGUCAUGGAGCAAUUAUAUGACUCCAAGAUGACUGAUGGGCGCCCUGUUGUACAUGGGCGACUUCUUCCCCGACCUCGGCAACCUCAUCCUCGACGACAUGGGUGACAACGUCAAUGCCAGCGGUGCUACACCCACUGCACCGUAUGUUAUUCUAUCCUUCUUGUUCGAGAUCGUGGUAGAAUUCAGAUUUCUAGCAUGUUCCCUAGAUGUGAUCUGUUCAUCUACUAUGCUAAUUCGCAUGAUUAGUUUAAUCUCUGCUAUUGCUGUCAUGAUCUAUUUCCUAUUUAUUCGGAUUAAAUCUCGUAGUAAUUUGCUCAUUUUUCCAACAGUGCCAUCCAAUAGAUGAUGUAAAUCUCCUCAAGUUUGACGUUGUUGAGCUAAUUUACAAAAAAAACCUCAUCAUUAUUGGAUGUCCUUAACAGCUCAAGAACAAGUUGGGGUCGAAAUAAUGGAUUUUACACUUUUACAUUAAAGGUUUAGCUAAAGCAAGCAGGUGUUUUUAAAACUGAAUUUUUUCCUCCUGAAUUUCUUUGUAUUUUCUUAUUGACACUAUUUAUACAAUCAUCUGACAAAGAUUAGCUAAAGCUGUUUGUAGAUACGUUGAAACCUGAAAAGCUUCUUUGGUUAUCCUUUUAAUAGUUCUACGUUUAUUUUCUCAUAGGUCAUAAUUCUUAUGUAAUACCAAGAUGCAUUGUGGUAGUGUACAUGUGUUAAAUUCAGGUUGUUAUUCACAAUUUGCGACAAAAUUUAGCUCACGCUACAUUUAAAUAUGUUGAAAUGUGAAAGCUCUUUUUCUUCUCCUUUCUACACCUUGCAUCGGAUUGCAUCCCUUUAGUUAUCCAACAUUUUGUUCAACAUGUAGAGAUUAGGAAGUUCAUCAUAGUUUGUCUAUUUCCGUGCUAAUAAAUGUAUGAAAUCUGCAUUUCCAAGCUACUAGGACAAGUAAAAAAUAAUAAUUUUACUAGAGGAUUCAAAAACAGCAGUUCUGAAGUGCACUUUAUUUAUUUGUGAAAGUGAUCACAUUUUGUUUCAUUUUUCUAUAGACAAAUCUACUAAUACAUACUCACGAUAAAACUAUAAAAGUUCUAGUCCGCACAUUGGGCGGGCCACCCGGCUAGUUAGUCUAAAGAUAACAAAAUGAGUCUGGAAUUUGAAUUAAAUUGAAGUAUUUUCUUGGACUAUCCACAUCCUUGGCUUGCCCCUGAUCAAUUAUUUCCAGAGAAGCAUUCAAUUCAUCAAUCAAUUACAUUGAUUUUAGUGGCUAGUACAUCACCUCAACAUCAGUAUAUUCACCGUGGCCACUCCAAAUCGGCAAGAAUGAGGUACCAGUGCUCUGGAGAAGUGCAAGCUAAUUGCUUCUCAUGUGAAGGGGUGCGGGCGCGGGAGAGGUAUUUCUGGUGGGCCAAGGGACUAAGAAGCGACCGUGGCAGCGGUACAGAUGCCCGCAAAGCCUCAUAAUUUGUUUUUGGUUUACAGGAAAAAUGCACAUCCAUACUGGCCCGGGGAAUAUAGCACUGUAUUGGAUGGAAAACAAUGUCCGGAUGGUUGUGUGCGGUUUGAGGGUUAGCUUUUGUAACGCCCGGUUAGUUAUGCUAUAGCAAUUCCCUGCUAAUGAUGUCACGUCACCACGAUUACUGUUGUUAACCUCACAAUGAUUCAAUCUCGUUCAAAUUCAAAUUUAAAAUAAAGGCAAACAUCAAAAGUUUUCAAACAUUAAAACUAAAAUCUUUGAGAGGUGACAAAUAAUGCAUAAGUAAUUAUGGUGAAGAAACCACACUUUAAUCAAAUGUUUAAAUACUCUAAAAUGAAAAAAAAACAGUGACUUAAACUAUUAUUUAAAUGCUUUUAAAAUAGUAAAAAUCUUCUAACUAAAUUAUUUGGGUACCAAAACUUUUGGUGGCAGUGGUAUAUUUAGUAGAACUAAUUUAGAUGCUAAUUAUAUAAUUUACAAAAUUAGAGUAAAUUGAAAAAUAGGAUAAAACGAAAAAAGGAAAAACAAAACAAAUAAAAGCAAAAGGGGGCAACCCCUCGCUGGGCCUCGGCCUAGCUGGCCACUAGGCUAGCUAGGCUCGCCCCGCCGCCUCCCUUAACCCCCCACUCCCCGUCGAACCCAAGCCCGAUCGCCCCACUUCCCCCACACCCCCUCGCCGGUCUCCCCACCUCUUGAUCCCAUCUGGAUCGGGGAGGGUAUUGCCCCCAUCGAACCCGUUGCUGUCGCCGGAUCGCCCGCCGACGUCGCCAGGCCUCCUCCCCGUCGCCCGUCUCCGGCUCACCUCCCCUCUCGCUCCUCUUCCCUGACCCGAUCUGGAUCGUGAACGAGCAAUGAGCUCGAAGCCCCCCUUCACCGGCGCCAUCACCGUGCGCCACCACCACCGCCUGAAGACCUCACCGUCGCCGAACCUUGCGUCGCUGUAACACCCUCGAUGCGACUAUAUCUCCCACGUGUCGAGGCACGACUUAGAGGCAUAAUCGCAUUGAAGGCAUAUGUCGCAAGUGAGGUAGUCUUCACACAACCCAUGUAAUAUAAUAAGGGAAAGAGAUACAUAGUUGGCUUACACUCGCCACUUCACACAAUUACAUGAAUAAAACAUUACAUCAACCAAGUACACUCAUGGUCCGACCACGGAACCAAAAUAAAGAAGAACCCCAAAAGCGACAAAGGUCCCCGAUCGACCCCAACUGGGCUCCACUACUGAUCAAUUAGAACGAAACAGCUCAACGGACAAAGUCUUCAUCGAGCUCCUCCUGAGCUUGGUUGCGUCCUGCUCGGACUCAUCGGCACCUCCAAGCUGGUUUUGGAAGUAUCUGUGAGCCACGGGGACUCAGCAAUCUCGCACCCUCGCGAUCAAGACUAUUUAAGCUUAUGGGUAAGGUAAAGGUAUGAGGUGGAGCUGCAGCAAGCGACUAGCAUAUAUGGUGGCUAACCUAUUCGCAAAUGAGAGCGAGAAGAGAAGGCAAAGCACGGUCGAUAAAAGUAUGAUCAAGAAGUGAUCCUAGACUACCUACGUCAAGCAUAACUCCAACAACCGUGUUCACUUCCCGGACUCCGCCGGAAAAAGACCAUCACGGUUACACAUGCUGUUGAUUCAUUUUAAUUAAGGUCAAUUUUAGAUUUUCUACAACCGGACGUUAACAAAUUCCCAUCUGCCCAUAACCGCGGGCACGGCUUUCGAAAGUUCAAAUCCCUGCAGGGUGUCCCAACUUAGCCCAUGACAAGCUCUCACGGUCAACGAAGGAAUAGACCUCCACCCGAGAUAUUCCGAUCAGACUCGGUAUCCCAGUACAACAAGACAUUUCGACAGGGUAAAACUAAACCAGCAACACCGCCCGAUGCGCCGACAUCCUGAUGGGAGCUGCACAUAUCUCGUUCUCAGGGCAACACUGGAUUGUCUAAACUUCCGGUAGGCCAGCCCAGAGUUGCCCCUGGUGGCCACCGGCGGCUGACGGUUUGGACCAACACUUAGACAAGCACUGGCCCGGGGGGGUUAAAAAACGAUGACCCUCAGGAGCGCGACUCCCAAGGGAAAAGAAAAGGCUAGGUGGCAAAUGGUAAAGCCAAUGUUGGGCAUUGCUGGCAAAGCUUUACUUAAGGCGAACUGUCAAGGGGUUCCCAUUAUAGCCCAACCGCGUAAGGGACGCAAAGUCCAGGAACAUAACACUGAUAUGACGGAAACUAGGGCGGCAAGAGUGGAACAAAACACCAGGCAUAAGGCCGAGCCUUCCACCCUUUACCAAGUAUAUAGAUGCAUUAAUUAAAUAAGAUAUAUAGUGAUAUCCCAACAAGUAAACAAAUGUUCCAACAAGGAACGGCCUCCAAUCUUCACCUGCAACUAACAACGCUAUAAAAGGGGCUGAGCAAAGCGGUAACAUAGCAAUUCAACGGUUUGCUAGGACAAUGGUGGGUUAGGGGCUGAACAUGGCAAUUUGGGAGGCUGACAAGCAAGUGGUAGGCAUUGUAGCAAUGGCAUAGCAAAAGAGUGAGCAUACUAGCAUAGCAAAGAUAGUAGUGACUUCGAGGGUAUGAUCAUCUUGCCUGAAAUCCCGCAAGGAAGAAGAACGAGUCCAUGAAGAAGACAAACGGGCGUAGUCGAACGGGUCCUCACAAUCACGACGUUAUCGGAACCAACCCGAAGAAGCAAUCACCGGAAAAGAAGCACACACAACAUAGUAAACACCCAACACAUCAACAUGGCAAGAUGCACAAUCGAGUAUGAUGCAUGUCCGGUUUAAAGAGGCAUGGCAUGGCAAAGUGCACAAACAACCCUACAAAUUAAGUGGAGCUCAAUAUGCAACGGUUGCAUAUUGACGAAACACCACGUCAAUUAUUUAGUUCGAUCUCGUUUAUGUACCCAACAAUAUUAAAUGUUGUUAAAACAUGGCAAGAGGGGAAACAUGAUGAAACUAUCUAAUCUAGGCAAGUUUAAAUGAGGCCGGAAGCAACGAACAACAAUUCCGGAAAAUCCUCAUGUGUAAAUAUUAGGUUAGGUCCUGAUCUGUCCUAAACACAAUUUAAGCGUUGUUUAACAUGCAAGAUGAGGCCACCACGUUAAACUAGGCAAAAUUCUACCCGAUUUACAUAUAAAGAUUAUUAAAAUCGGAGUUACGGUUAAUUAGAUAUGAAUAAAAUCAUUUUAGCAUGGCAUGGGAGCAAACUUAAACAAACAUCAUUUUAGACAUUUUUUAAUUGUUGUUAUCAUGAUGCGGAUGACAUGAACAAGUUUAACGCAAUUUUAAUUAAGACUUGACAAGAGCAUUAUCAUGAAGCAUUGUCACCGUGGUGGAAGGAAAAAGGGGGUGCCACGGCAACGAAUCCGAAAAUGAUGCCAUGGCAACAUAUCGGUUCCGGUAACUCGAUUGAGAUCCCGGUGCAAACGAAAAAAACGACGGGAGCGUGACACGCGAUAGGAGGUGGGGUGAUCCCGGAUAUCGGGUUCCCACAAUAUGGUGACAAAGCAAAAGAGGGGCGACGUGCACCGAACAACUCCGACACGGAGCAAACACGAGCAUUUCAUACAUCACACAUGCAUUCGUUCACGGGCAUCGUUCCGGCGGUUAUACCUUUGAAGCGAGCAUCAUCGAAACGGAUCGAGUUCGACGGUAGGGGUACACGUGUCGACGAGGAAGUAGUUGUACACGGGGUCGUCGUGGGAAGUAGUCAUUCUCGCGAUGGUAGUGGAAGUAGGGGUACAUGACGACGUAGAGGUGCUCGCGACGGUAGUCGUUCACGUUUGCGUUUCACGGGUCUUCGGCGACGGUUGUCGUACAUGGUCCACAAGACGUCGAUCGUUCGGGGUCCGAUUUGCGGAUCUUGCCGACAUGAAGGGGUACUUGGCGUUCUCCGGACUUGCUGGUCUCGUCGAAACGAAGGGGUACUUGGUACAAUCCUCGUAGUCGUGCACUUGUCGUCAAGGGACUAGAUGGAUCCGAGGCUUCCGGAGGCGACGGUAGUGGGACUUGGUGAAUCCGAGUUCUUCAGAGGUCGUCAUGGUACUUGGUGAAAUCCUCGGAGAUGGACUUGACGCACGAAAGGUCUUCGGUGCCACGGUACUUGUCUGAUCACACACGGAGAUGCAUCGAUGGAUCUCUGACUCGUCCUGGCGAUGGACGAACUUGGCGAAAACCCCGAAGGCGGUCUUGAGCUUCCCUGGUUACCGCACCUUGGCAGAGACCAGAGGAACGACGAGGCCAGCGGGCAGCAACCGAAGAUGCCUGAGGUCUGUGGGCGUCCAGAUCAGGUGGCCUUCUGGCUAGGCAAGGACGACGAGGAGGAUGCCGAGGCGCGGGGACGAGGUAGGAGGCGGCACGGGAGCACGGCGCGGGCGUGGGCGCUCCUGGUGGGCGCAGAGGACGACGACGGCAGGCCAUGGCAGGGGCGGAGGCGCGGUUCCCUGGACCGGUAGGGCCGCGGCGGCGCUGUGGUGCCCGGCGGCCUCGGCGACGCGGCGAGGGAGGGGAUCCGGCGGGGCGCGAGGGAGCUCGGUGGCGGCGCAGGCUGCAGUGCCCGACAGAUGGAGGAGGCGCGGCAGGGUGGCUCCGGCCAGGGCACGGCGCGGGGAGCGCAAGACGGCGGCGAGGAGGCCGAUGAGGCUCCGACCUGGUACUUGGAUCGAAGGAGGAGGGAGGAUGAGGGGAGCCGGAGGGAGAUCGAGAGGGGGGUUCGAGCAGCUGGGGAUGGGGAUCGGGCUGCGAGGGAAAAUGGGGGUCGGGCACGAGAGAGAGAGAUCGAGGGGAGAUGGCGGCGCUGCGGGAACGAGAGGGAGAUGAGUGUGGUGCAGGAGCUGGGCUUCGGGCCUUCUAGGGUUAGGAGGGAGUGGGCCAGGGAGGCCGGCCGAGGAGAGAGAGGCCCAGGUGGGCAGGGGCGCGGCCUGCGGGGAAGGAUGGGCCUAGGGAGGCCUGAGGCUGCAGCUGGGCUGGACUCUCUUUCCCUCUUUCUCUAAUUUUCUUUAGCAGCAAAUGAUUAAAGAGAAAGAAAAGAAAGAGGGGGUUAGGGAAAGGAGUCGGACACGCGGAUAAUUUUCCCGGACUCACAAAAUUGCACUUGUUCCGAGAAAAAUGAAGUGGGCAAGAUUGCAAGAAUUAAAUUCAAGGACAAUUGAAUUUAAUUAGAAAGGUUGCACAAGGACUAGGAUUUAGGAGAGUCCAAAAAUGUUGAGAAAUUAGGAGGAGCCUCAAUAAAUGGGAAAAGAGAUGUUGGCAAAGUUUGGGGACCAAACUUGAAGUAGAAAGGGAGUGGGGAUUUUUCCAGUGUGUUUUGGUUAAUUCCGAAAGAAUGGAAUAUUUUAUAAUAGCCCCACUAAUAUCGGGACGAUAUGUUAUAAAGAGAAGUCAUCCUUCCCUCGAUUUAAAUGGAUCGAAGAUCCAUAUGAAUUAUUUAGUUGAGAUGCAAAAGAUUAUGACAUGAUGACAUGAUGCAAUGCACAUGAUGACGUGACAUGGUGCAACACGCAAGCACAUGACAACGCAACAACAUCGAAUAACUGCACGACACCUGGCACAUCGGUCUCGGGGCGUUACAGUCGCCUCCUUGUAUCCCCCCCCUACUCGCAUCCUCAAGCCAGGCCGAGCCCCUUCUCGGCAACGCUGUGAGACGCCCCCGUUUCCCUCCUCUUUCCACCGCAUUCACCGCGCCGCUCGCCGUGCCCGUCGCCGUGCGUGAGCCCACCACCGCACCAGCCCCCGCUCCGCGCACGACCCUACCCGCGCCCGCGCCAUGAUCCCCUUUUCCGCCCUACCUUCACGCGCUCGCCGCGAUCCCGAUGCUCCCCCGCGCCCUCUUUCGGGCGCGCCGACUGCCCCUGUCCUGGUGCUCGCCGCCGUGCCUCGCCACCGCUCUACUGCUACGUUACUACUGCGCUGCGGCCGCCGCCUCUUCCCGCUGCUCCGCUAGCGCCGGAGCUCCCGGUUGGCUCCACCACUGCUCACGUUAAACCGCCGGCCUAAAUGGCCUAACCCCCGGCUAAUGAACCCCCACUAACCCACUGACACCGGGACCCACAUUCCCUAAUUAACCAUUUAAUAAAUUAAAACUCUUAAAUUAACAUUAGUGUAUGACAUGUGCGUCCCCUGUUAAUUAAUAAUUUUACUGCUAGUUUUAUUAGUUUCUGUUUUUUCUGCAUAUUUCUUUUGUAUUUGAACAGGCUUUAUACAAUAAUAUUUAGCGUAUCAUACACAUACAAAUGUAAUCAUAGCAUAUACAUACAAAUAGUCUCAUCAAAUCAUGUCAUCAUCAUAAUCAUCAUCCAUCACAAAGUGGUCUCUCGUCAUCAUCUCGAAAAUAGCGAUACAAGUCUCGAUUACUUGCAACUACAUCGUCAUCCAUCUAAACAAUGAUAUACGCGAGAAGAGCUCUCACUAUGAGUGAGAGCGGAACUAUGCAGUACAUGAGUUUGUAUCCCUCUCUCGCAUUAGCGUGAACCUAAACUAACGACUCGCUGUUGCUCGGAAACCGGAAACCGGUACACCUGGGCCUGACACUCCGGCCACUCGUCGUAUACUCCUGGCGUAGCACUUCUUCGCCAUCGAUGAUCUAUGCACCUGCAUCGUCACAUGAGUCGAUGAUAUGCAACAUAUAUAGUUGAGUAACAGAAAGAGACAGACUUCGCAAAAAUAGAAGCAACAUAUCAUAAGUAUAAAUAACAAAGUUCAUCCUACCCAAAAUGCCCUAACUAGAGUGAUCUUCGCUAGUCGAGGAGGACGGUUUAAUUACAUCACAAAUAACGUUUCGUCGUGCAUAACUCAAAGUUCCGUCAUACAGAAAGUAUGAACUAAACGGACACAUUGUCAUAUUUCGAAAAUCACUCCAACAUAUCGUACCAUCCAUCCAAGUCAAGGAGAGAGUGCCCGAGCUUAGUGAAAGGCUUGUGGUCGAGACGCUGAGCGGCUACGCGUGUUCGAAAGUCUUCCCACGUCAUUUGUCCUUCUUCAUAGAACAUCCCUGUUUUUUCGACGACCUCCUUCAUGAUGAUUUGGACAAGUUCGCACUGGAAGUGAUAUAACUCAUCUCGAAGUGGAUGAUCCUCGAUAUCUCCUAAGUUCUUUGCCCAUUGCAGAAUAUGGGCAUCGCUGAAUUUAGGUGACAUGCAAAGGUUCCGGUGAUCUCGUCUAUACUCCAUCAUAUGGACAUAGAAUCGAUCAUCAAGAGAAUCACUCGGUUGCUGGAUGCAGCUGAAGUGGGUCUUAUGGGCCUGCCGUCCCUUUUCUUCUUGUCCUUGACCUCUCCACCCCGUGCAUCGUAGUAAAACGUAGCACUGUCGAGAAUAGACUUGAUGUGGGUGUAAUCCUUUUUGUUAAUGUUCUUCGACGAGUCCACAGUAUCGGGGGUAGCGGAUAAUGAGGACGGCGCUGAAGGAAAUAUGCCCUAGAGGCAAUAAUAAAGUUAUUAUUUAUUUCCUUAUAUCAUGAUAAAUGUUUAUUAUUCAUGCUAGAAUUGUAUUAACCGGAAACAUAAUACAUGUGUGAAUACAUAGACCAACAGAGUGUCACUAGUAUGCCUCUACUUGACUAGCUCGUUAAUCAAAGAUAGUUAUGUUUCCUAACCAUGAACAAAGAGUUGUUAUUUGAUUAACGAGGUCACAUCAUUAGUUGAAUGAUCUGAUUGACAUGACCCAUUCCAUUAGCUUAGCACCCGAUCGUUUAGUAUGUUGCUAUUGCUUUCUUCAUGACUUAUACAUGUUCCUAUAACUAUGAGAUUAUGCAACUCCCAUUUACCGGAGGAACACUUUGGGUACUACCAAACGUCACAACGUAACUGGGUGAUUAUAAAGGAGUACUACAGGUGUCUCCAAUGGUAGAUGUUGGGUUGGCGUAUUUCGAGAUUAGGGUUUGUCACUCCGAUUGUCGGAGAGGUAUCUCUGGGCCCUCUCGGUAAUGCACAUCACAUAAGCCUUGCAAGCACUGCAACUAAUAUGUUAGUUGUGAGAUGAUGUAUUACGGAACGAGUAAAGAGACUUGCCAGUAACGAGAUUGAACUAGGUAUUGGAUACCGACGAUCGAAUCUCGGGCAAGUAACAUACCGAUGACAAAGGGAACAACGUAUGUUGUUAUGCGGUCUGACCGAUAAAGAUCUUCGUAGAAUAUGUAGGAGCCAAUAUGGGCAUCCAGGUCCCGCUAUUGGUUAUUGACCGGAGACGUGUCUCGGUCAUGUCUACAUUGUUCUCGAACCGUAGGGUCCGCACGCUUAAUGUUACGAUGACAGUUAUUAUGAGUUUAUGCAUUUUGAUGUACCGAAGGUUGUUCGGAGUCCCGGAUGAGAUCACGGACAUGACGAGGAGUCUUGAAAUGGUCGAGACGUAAAGAUUGAUAUAUUGGAAGCCUAUGUUUGGACAUAGGAAGUGUUCCGGGUGAAAUCGGGAUUUUACCGGAAUACCGGAAGGGUUACCGGAACCCCCCGGGAGACUAAUGGGCCUAUUGGGCCUUAGUGGAAAAAGAGAAAAGGGGCAGCCCAUAGCUGGCCGGCGCCCCCCCCCUUUCCCCAAGUCCUAGUAGGACUAGGAGAAGGGGCCGGCCCCCCCUCUUUCUCCUUUCCCCCCGAGAGUCCUAAUUGGAAUAGGAUUGGAGGGAGGAGUCCUACUCCCGGUGGGAGUAGGACUCCCCUGCGCCUCCCUCUCCCUGGCCGGCCGGCCCCCCUUCCUCCAACCUUUAUAUACGGGGGCAGGGGACACCCCAAGACACACAAGUUGAUCCUUGAGAUCGUUCCUUAGCCGUGUGCGGUGCCCCCUGCCACCAAAUUCCACCUCGAUCGUACCGUUACAGUGCUUAGGCGAAGCCCUGCGUCGGUAGUACAUCAAGAUCGUCACCACGCCGUCGUGCUGACGGAACUCUUCCUCGACACUUUGCUGGAUCGGAGCCCGAGGAACGUCAUCGAGCUGAACGUGUGCUAAGAACUCGGAGGUGCCGGAGUAACGGUGCUUGGAUCGGUCGGAUCGGGAAGAAGACGUACGACUACUUCCUCUACGUUGUGUGAUCGCUUCCGCAGUCGGUCUGCGUUGGUACAUAGACAACACUCUCCCCUCUCGUUGCUGUGCAUCACCAUGAUCUUGCGUGUGCGUAGGAAAAUUUUCGAAAUUACUGCGUUCCCCAACAGGCGCGCCCGCCGCUGCGCAAAAUAAGUACACCUCCAAUUAAUUACACUCCAUCGUUCAAAUGAAUGAUUGAAAUCGAAGGAAGGAUAUCUGCGCGGAUGACUUACACGAGAUGAUAAGCCAUGAGAAUCGCCUCCUUGUCCUUAUUGGCAAGCAUGAAAUCGACGAUGUAUUCCUCGCGUAUUCACGGUGCUUUGCACGGACUCCCAAGAAGCCCUCGUGCAUGAAGUACGGGUCAGCAACACAGAUAUGAGGUAUCUGCUCAACCCCGAUGAGGUAGUUCAUGUGCAAGGCAUAAAGGCGGACAAACGUAAAAUCCAGCUUCUUUAAGUGAAACAUGUUGAAGAUGUAAUCGAAUCGAAGGAAAAACUUCUUCGAGGGGAAUGUGUCGACGUACGACAAUUGCCGCGGCACGUUAACCACGUAGAGAGGGUAUCCUGGAUUUUUCGAGGCGAUGAGGCCUUUCUCUAUCCGCAACACGUCGUCAUGAAGUCUCCUUAGAUUGCCGGAUCUGGCCCCUAGUGCUGCUUUCGGUAGGAUUGGUUCACCGGGAUACGCCAUUUUGCCGCUCCGGGGAUAUCUAUACGGUCUUGAACCCGAGGCUGCUGAGGCGGCUGGAUCAUAGAAGCAGCUUUGUUGGCUUUCCUCGGUGUAUUCCUAAGCUUCUUUGCUACCGGAAGGUCGUCUAUAAUAUGUUCAGCCUCCGGAGGCGGCAAUUCAAGCACCGACUCAUGACGCUCAAACCCUUAGUAGGCGCCAGUAUUGAGAUACUAUUGAGUGUCAUUGUCAUCCUCAUCUAUGGCGGUGUCACCAGCGACAAAUGGAGCCUCUUCCUCACCCCGUCCGCUAUCACCCAGCACGACAGCCGGCGCUAAUUGGGUAGGUGGGGUGUUGAUGUUCAUACCUAACUGCGUGCUCGUGUGUGUGCUCCCGGCCGUCUCCAAACAAAGCAGACUCUUUGGCCACAAUAGGACCCACCCAUUGCAAUCACCAAGCCGCUGCGGGAUCUUGUCGUCAUUCCCCCUAGUACCGGAGGAGCCAAAUUCUCCUGGCCUGGUUUGACACUGGCCACGGAAACUUUGAAGAUGUCCAGGGGGAUCGAUCGGCCGUGGAACAAUGGUUCCUUCAGCUUCAUUAUCGUCACCUUCCCCACGUCCACCUCCUGGUAGCGGAUGCUGUACAAUAUGGUGCACGGGGUUAUAUUGGCCUGCAAAGACAUUUCUGUGAUGUGAGAUAUCCGAAAGGCAACGGAAAUGGGAGAUUAUACAUUUAUUGAAGAGGGCCGGUGUGACAGAUACCGUGAGGGCGUCGAGCUCAGCCAAAGACGAAGCACCGCUGAGCACGUCUGGUGUCGGAGCCGGUGCCGGAGCAGGUGCGGGAGCCCGUGCGGGAGCAGGUGUAGGUGCCGGUGCAACGCUAGUUGAGCUACUCCCGAAGAAGUCAGCAAGGGGAAAGUCUGCUGUAUUUUUUUCUGGAUUUUGCAUGCUCCAAUUGAAAACGGCCGGAACCAAGACAGAAGACAUAUCUGGAACCACCUGUUUUGCGGCAGCUAUCGCAGUUGUGACUGUCUCAGAUGAUUUCUUCUCAACCGCAAUCUCAACCUUCUGGUUGAUGUUUUCUUCAGUUAACCUCCGUCUUUCCUUUCUCUCCUCUGUGGUCUCACGGUAGUACUUCUUCCAUGUGGCGCCGUCUUCGACACCGUGCACGCGUCCAUACGACGGCCGAUUCUCCACCGGGAGUCCUUUCAAUAUGUUCAAUGCCCGAUUGAAUGGAGUGUUCCACUUGGGCCUCGCCAACACCUCAGACGGUGAGUCACUUUCGGCUGCAAUCUUGUGCUGCUCUCUCUACAAAAGGAACAAGGAUCGUUUACAAAUAUGACUAAACGUGCAGUCGAAUUGAUCAGAAACUAAAAUUACCGGCAGUCCCAUGAACUUCGUCGUGAUCAGGUCAGUCUUGAAAACCUUCUUGACUGAGUCCCAAUGGUGUCGUGCCCCGAGGACGUCAUGCUCCCGCGGGACGGUGAAGUCCGCCAAGGGGUCUGGGAUGCCCAGACUUUCGCGUUCCGCGUCCUCCUAUGCCCAUAUGGACCUCUUCCCGCCGUAACCACGGCUUCCGAGGUGGUGGCGCCCUAUGUUCCUUUGUUGAAGCCCCUUCAUGUACUUCGACUUUUUUUGGCAGCUUCGGCCUCGCAAGCCGCCUUGAAUUUUUCAAAGUGCUCUCCCGUGAUUGUCGGAUUAUCCUUUACAAUCUCAGAGUAUGGUUCCUUUUUGUCGACAAUCCGAUGUUUCAACCUUGUUUUCCAGGUGCCCAACGCGUCACUAAACUUGGUCAUGGCGUGUUUGUUUAUCUUCUUCAUUGCCGGGUCCUUAUUUGGAUCUUUAUAAUCCAUUUCAUUCCGGCCCGGGAACAACAAUAUCUGGUGCAGCUUCUUUAGGAGAGAGGGCCUCAUAUUAUCUAUCUUCUGUAGUUUCCCAUCAUUGAUCGUGGCAGUUGUCCGUACGAUGCAGCCUACUUGAUUGCCGUAGCACGAUCGCGCUUCCUCGGGCGCUAUUGUCUGAAAAACACUGUCGUCCAUCUCCGUGACCACCAGUCUAGUAGUCAUGAGCAGGUUUGGGCGCCGUGGCUUCUUUGCUUUCGGUUCUAGACCAGCUCCGCUAGUCUCGGCGCCGGUCUCAGUCUCAUCGCCAGUCUGCAUGUCGGUAUCAGUCCCCGAUGCGAUAGGUCGGCCCAGCAACAACAUUCGUUGAUCGUCGGCAAGGCUCAAAAAUUCAUCUGCCGCCAGGUAGACGUGUCGCAAUCACCAGAACCCUAUCCUUCAUCGUUGCUAGCCAUGUUUCCUACGAUUAUGCCUAGUCAAUUAAUUUUAGACCUAAUAAAAUGAAUAAUGACAUAAAACAGGCCAAUGUUUUGCAGGAUUACAACUCAACCCAUUGCAGAUUAGAAAACAAGCCCGUGUGAAUGCACAGGCUGACCACUAGUCUAUCUAUACCUAUACCUACCUAUACUAAUUACAGACUCCCAAGUAAUUCCCACGUUAAUUAGUAAUUAAGAGCCGUUAAUCUUGUGGGACCAAAUUAUUACGACAGUCCACGAUCUCUUUUCUCUCUGUGUAAAAAAAAAGGUCCACGAUCUCUUUUCUCCGUUGUAAAAGAUAAAGGCAACUCAGGUCCACGAUCUCUUUUCACGGUUGUGAAAGAUAAAGACAACUCCCGUCUUCUUCUAAUCUAUAGUUCUAUACCUCCACGACCCCUUCCUCUCCCCAUUUAAAAGGAACAAGCUGAACCAAUAUCUAAGCAUGCAAUUGGUUCCUGUGCGGUCUUGACCUUCCAUCCGUCCACUGCUCGAUCGGCCCUCCCUCAACUACAAGCUGACAAGCCACCAUCGCCAUCCAGCGGCACGCCACCGUUCAUGCAUGUGUUUUUGCCCUUCAAUCUGAAGGAGAUGCGUUGGCUACUCAAGUAACUCUGUUUGUUUUGUUCAAACCAAUUUCGUUAAUUCGGUUCUUUGAUUAUCUUAUUGACAUGGCCUGUGAGUUUUGUGCUAGUGAUACAGGGCCUGUCUACUAGAUUCUCUCCUUGCAACUUCUAUUGUUGUCUCGAUUUGGUGUGGUCAAGAUCCUUGCCCCACCACAAGCAGCACCUUUGCACCAUCGGGGAAAUCUGUCAUAGCAAACAGAGGUAUGUAACAUGCUUUGGUGUUUUCCUCUUUCGUUUAGAUCACUAGAGUUGCUCAACCACACCAUUCAUUGAUUAGUAGUUGGCCUGAGAAGUUGCUCGGUCACCUGCAGCGUCUGAUCCCCUUCUUGACCCUCUCAUUCUGGUCAUUAUCCACCGGCAGGUCAAUGCCAAACGGAUCGUUCGUUGCCGCCACCUUGCGGAGACCGAUGUUUGGCUGCCCUCCUGCCAUCCUGGCGCUCUGGUACCGGUCACUGUGCCGUUGUUCUAGAAGAACUAUGUCACACGAAGCGAGAUAUCUUCUUACUAAUCUGGAACAUAAGUGUUUCUUCUUACUAGGAUUCGCUCACCGGUGCAUUCAUCUCUUUUUGGAAAAUACGGCCUUCAUAUUUCACACGCCUAUACAUGGGUGCUGUCCCAACAAUAAUCCAUCUAAUCCAUGAUGCACAUUCAUGAAGACUGAUGUGACUGAAUUAAUAUAUCAAUCUGGUGCUUCCGGAUCAGCACUUGAAGAAGCAACCCCUUUAGUUCAUAAAUAUAUCAUACGAAAGUCAGGGGAGAAAUCAACUAAGUCAUGUGUGCUUUUCUAAUUAUUUACUAUACACUAAUUCCAUUUUUUCAGUAGAAGGCUAGGAUACGUGGAUUGUGGCAGCACAGAAGUAAACCGAUGAGCUACGUUGGCCGUUCACCAGUCAUCGGAUCAGCAGCCAUGUCGACCAGAGGGACGGAACAGUUCUAUAUUAGGCGAUGGAUACAUGUGGAAGCAACUAAGCAUAUGUGGAUGCAUGUGAUCGCAUAGGUAAGGCCAUAGCUGUUCAAGCCCUACAGGAUCUUUAUUGCUGGUUUUAAUUAUGAGUUUACAACACCAUCUAUACAUACUACUUAUCCAUUUAUUUCCUUACCUUCUUUGUUUCUUUCUCUCCUUGAUCCCCUGUCAAAAGGGCAUCAACAUCCAUAUGCGCAACGGCACACGCAACAAACUAUGACUUCGGUUGCAUGUCCAACGGCAACCACAGUACAUGAUGAUAUCAUGUUUGCUGCAAGACGAAGUACAAGUUCAUAAUUUGGUCUUUUGCAUGGUCCCUUAGUAAAUUCACUUCUGCUUCGGUACACCCCCCCUAAACACAUAGACGGCCCAGAUUAGUCGAUACCUCUUCAUAAGUAAGGGCAUGAUGGUCAUAUAUUAAAAACCAUUCGUCCCCUGUAUAUGUGUACAGUGAGAUGGGCCGGCCCAUCUUUCCCUUUUUUUCUGAUUUGAUCCUGACAGGAAUCGAACCAGAUAGUUCCUGGUACAUAGUUGGACGUGAUAACCAACCAGCCGACUUAGGCACCUAUGGUUAGAUAGUUCUUUCUCGUCCUUUUCUUCUUUCCUCUUUCCUCUUUCUUAUUUCCUUUUUUCUUGUUUUUUCAAACGUUGUUUUGGGUUUUCAUUUCCCUUUUUUUCUUUUUCGUUUUCUUUUCCUUUUUAUGUUCCUUUUGUUUUACCUUUUCUUUUGCAAUGUGCAAAAUUUUUCAGUUUCCUUUAUAAAAAAUUAAUGAACCUUUUUUAAUAUUGAUGAUUUUUUUUUCAAAGUCGAUGAACUUUAUUCAAGAUUGAUGAUUUUUUUCUAAAUUGAUGAACCUUUCUCAAGAUGAAUAUAGUUUUUUCAAAGUAGAAGAUUUUUUUUCAAAAUUGAUAAAAUUUUGCAAAAUCGAUGAUUUUAAAAAAAUCAUGAACUUUUUUCAAAUCCUUGUACUUUUUUUAAUCAAGAUGCAUGGGUUAUUUUUAAUUCAUGGAACUUUUAAUUUACGGACAUUUUGCCAAUCCGCUUAUUUUUUUCAAGUCCAUGAACUUUUCCAAAAGGGCGAACCCUUUUUUAUAGUCAAUGGUCAAAGGUCAAGCAUGUCAAUGGUCAACUUUUUGUCCAGGUUAACCAUGAAGAAGUUUUUUUUUGGUCGAACCACGAAGAAGCGAUCGAGCGUAUGCUCUUGGCGAGCGACAGCUGAUCGCUCCUGUAGUUUGGCCAGCCCAUGAAAGGUGGUGUUCAAGCGAUGUGUCCACUAAGUAGCGCAGAAAGCGGUGACUAGGCGCUCCCACUGUACAGGGAGUAGCGUCGCACAAACCGGCGCACACACCCCUUCGUCCAAGGUCUGGCCCAUUUUCCUUUUCUAUUUUUACCUUGAAAAAAUAGGUGCAUGAAGUAGGAUUCAAACUAUGAACCUUUGUGAUUACUUCCACCCACUAUAACAAACUAGGAUAGCUCACUUCUUGCGUCUAAUUACUUCUUUUUUAGAGCAUCUUCUCAGUCUGUUUUUUCUUUUGCUUUUGUUUGGCCUUUUUAUUCCGUUUUAUUCAUUUUUUAUUUGUCUUUGUUUCUUCUUAUUUUCAUUUUGUUAAAUUCAUGAUUUUUUAAAUCUAUGAGCUUAUUUUAAGGAUGUUGAGAAAUAACAUGCUCCCAGACAAAACCUUCUGGCCUACCGGAUACUCUUUGUAGAACAUGGUAUAGUUUUGGACAUCAUUCAAAUGAUCCCAACUUUUGUAGGAUGGUGGGCAUUUCCCGUGGUAGGCAUCAUUGACAGGUUUGAAUGACUUCUGACACCGUAUGCAAGUUGCGACACGUCCGAUCAUUUAUCGGUCUUUUUUCACCGGAAAAACUCUAGAAAAUGCAAAACUUGUUGAGAAUCCAAAAAACUUAGCUUGGUGUCUUGAAUUGGUCGUACAAGGCCAUGAAAAAAUUUGGGGCCAUUUCAAGGAUGUCAAGAAACAACGUGCUCUCAAACAGAGCCUUCUGGCAACCGAACACCCUUCAUUGAACAUGGUCUAGUUUUGGACAUUCUUGAAAUGACCCCAACUUUUUGAAGUAGAUGAGCAUGCCCAUGGUAGACAUCCAUGUCAAGUUUGAAUGAUUUCUGACACCGUAUGCAAGUCGCGACACGUCCGGCCAUUUAUCGACCUUUUUUGGCCGAGGAAACUCCAGAAAAUGCAAAAUUCAUCAAAAAACAAAACAACUUGGCAUGGUGCACUUAGUUGGCCAUACAAGGUCAUAUAAAAAAUUGGGGCAAUUUCAUGGGUGUGGAAACACAACAUGCUCUCAGACGGAGCUUUCUGACCUACCUGAUGAAGGAAAUAUGCCCUAGAGGCAAUAAUAAAGUUAUUAUUUAUUUCCUUAUGUCAUGAUAAAUAUUUAUUAUUCAUGCUAGAAUUGUAUUAACCGGAAACAUAAUACAUGUGUGAAUACAUAGACAAACAGAGUGUCACUAGUAUGCCUCUACUUGACUAGCUCGUUAAUCAAAGAUGGUUAUGUUUCCUAACCAUGGACAAAGAGUUGUCAUUUGAUUAACGGGAUCACAUCAUUAGUUGAAUGAUCUGAUUGACAUGACCCAUUCCAUUAGCUUAGCACCCGAUUGUUUAGUAUGUUGCUAUUGGUUUCUUCAUGACUUAUACAUGUUCCUAUAACUAUGAGAUUAUGUAACUCCCGUGUGCCGGAGGAACACUUUGUGUGCUACCAAACGUCACAGCAUAACUGGGUGAUUAUAAAGGUGCUCUACAGGUGUCUCCAAAGGUACAUGUUGGGUUGACGUAUUUCGAGAUUAGGAUUUGUCACUCCGAUCGUCAGAGAGGUAUCUCUCGGCCCUCUCGGUAAUGCACAUCACUUAAGCCUUGCAAGCAUUGCAACUAAUGAGUUAGUUGCGGGAUGAUGUAUUACGGAACGAGUAAAGAGACUUGCCGGUAAUGAGAUUGAACUAGGUAUUGGAUACCGACGAUCGAAUCUUGGGCAAGUAACAUACCGAUGACAAAGGGAACAACGUAUGUUGUUAUGCGGUCUGACCGAUAAAGAUCUUCGUAGAAUAUGUAGGAGCCAAUAUGGGCAUCCAGGUCCCGCUAUUGGUUAUUGACCGGAGACAUGUCUCGGUCAUGUCUACAUUGUUCUCGAACCCGUAGGGUCCGCACGCUUAAGGUUUCGAUGACAGUUAUAUUAUGAGUUUAUACGUUUUGAUGUACCGAAGGUUGUUCGGAGUCCCGGAUGUCAUCACGGACAUGACGAGGAGUCUCGAAAUGGUCGAGACAUAAAGGUUGAUAUAUUGGAAGCCUAUGUUUGGAUAUCGGAAGUGUUCCGGGUGAAAUCGGGAUUUUACCGGAGUACCGGGAGGUUACCGGAACCCCCCGGGAGAUAUAUGGGCCUUAGUGGGCCUUAGUGGAAAAGAGAAGAGGCAGCCAGAGAUGGGCCGCGCACCCCUCCCCUCCCUUGGUCCGAAUAGGACAAGGAGAGGGGGCCGGCCCCCUUNNNNNNNNNNNNNNNNNNNNNNNNNNNNNNNNNNNNNNNNNNNNNNNNNNNNNNNNNNNNNNNNNNNNNNNNNNNNNNNNNNNNNNNNNNNNNNNNNNNNNNNNNNNNNNNNNNNNNNNNNNNNNNNNNNNNNNNNNNNNNNNNNNNNNNNNNNNNNNNNNNNNNNNNNNNNNNNNNNNNNNNNNNNNNNNNNNNNNNNNNNNNNNNNNNNNNNNNNNNNNNNNNNNNNNNNNNNNNNNNNNNNNNNNNNNNNNNNNNNNNNNNNNNNNNNNNNNNNNNNNNNNNNNNNNNNNNNNNNNNNNNNNNNNNNNNNNNNNNNNNNNNNNNNNNNNNNNNNNAUCCUACUCCCGGAGGGAGUAGGACUCCUCCUGGCGCGCCUCUCCUAGGCCGGCCGCACCCCUCCCCCCCCUUGAGCCUUUAUAUACGGAGGCAGGGGCACCCCAGAGGAACACAAGUUGAUCCACGUGAUCAUAUUCUUAGCCGUGUGCGGUGCCCCUGCCACCAUAGUCCUCGAUAAUAUUGUAGUGGUGCUUAGGCAAAGCCCUGUGACAGUAGUACAUCAAGAUCGUCACCACGCCGUCGUGCUGACGGAACUCUUCCCCGACACUUUGCUGGAUCGGAGUCCGGGGAUCGUCAUCGAGCUGAACGUGUGCUAGAAUCGGAGGUGCCGUAGUUUCGGUGCUUGAUUGGUCGGGCCGUGGAGACGUAUGACUACAUCAACCAAACGCUUCCGUUGUUGAUAUACAAGGGUACGUAGAUCACAUUCUCCCCUCUCGUUGCUAUGCAUCACCAUGAUCUUGCGUGUGCGUAGGAUUUUUUUUGAAAUUACUACGUUCCCCAACACCUGAACACCCUCAUUUGAACAUGGUCAGUUUUUAGAUAUCCUUCAAAAGACCACAACUUUUCCAAAAAGGUGAGCAUGCACAUGGUAGGCAUAUAUGCCAAGUUUGAACGAUUUUUGACACUGUAUGCUAGUUGCGACACGUUCGGCAAUUUUCGCCAUUUUUUGACAAAGAAAUCUCCAGAAAAUGUAGAAUUUUUAGAAAACCAAAAAACCCUGGCAUGGUGCCUUGAAUUCUUCAUACAAGCCAGUGAAAAAAAAUAGGUCAUUUGACGGAUGUCGAGAAAAAACAUGCUCCCAAACGGAGCCUUCUUACCUACCCCUACACCCUAUGUUGAACAUGGUGAUUUUUUCUACACGAACACAAAAAAAAUGUUCGAGAAAAUUCAAAAAAUUUUCUUUCAAAUUUUUAUUCGUAUUUUUCUUGAAGUUCCAAAUUUAAUAGUGAAUUUUCCUAAAAUGUUAAAUCAAAAAUGUUCGUGUGGAAAAUUUUGUUUGCUCUUUGUAAAAAUGUUUGUGUUUUGACAUUAUGAGCAAUUUGAAAAUACAAAUACAUUCUGAGGAAUUCAUAAAUGUCGCAUUUUGAAGUAAUUGUUCGUAGUUUCAGAAAAUGUCCGUGUUUUCAGUUUUAUAUCUCUUUUAAGAAAAUGUUCGUAUUUAAAAAAAAUUGUUUGUAGUUUCAAGAAAUGUUCUCGUUUUCAAUUCUGCUCUUAUUUUUCUAAAACAAAGUUUGAGAGUCUGAAACAUUGCUCACUAAAGGUUUGAAUUUUAAAAAUAUGUUCACAGAUUUUGAAAUUUUUUGGGUUUAAAGCAUAUUUACUUUGUCAAACAGAAAUUCACAUACGGAAUUUUGAAAAAAAUAAUCGUUUUUGGACUAGUGAUGUUAUGCACUCGCGGGAGCUUGUGUGUUAGAUCCGCGCACCCAUUUUAGUAUUUGUGAAUUGGUGUUGAAGUGUUGCCGCUCUAGCUAAUUCUUUAGGUGUGACACUGCUAUUGUGUCGGUUGCGUUAGGCAGGCGAAGUGGCUAGGGCGUAAUUUUUGUUGAUUUUCCAGCCCAAAUGGAUCGGCCCAGGUUAUCUGUGCCUGUGUCCUGCGAACAUAUGGCACAUUCCAGCGUACGUACGAAAAUGGAUAGGAUUUGUCAAAAGUCUAAAUUACCCAUUAUACGCUUUGUGAGGGGGGUGUAUCGAAGCGUUUCUCCACAUAAAUUAUAUUUGUCCACAUACACCACAUACAUAAAAACAGGUAGAAGCGGUUGCAUGGUGAAAAUGUCCUCUCAAUAUGCAUGCCUAUGAAUACUAUCACCAGAAAGCCAAGGACUAACAAUUAUUCAGGGGUCAAGAUUGAAGACAGACGUCCAAGAUUGGAAGUCGGCCGGCCUAAGAGGGGCAAAACCAUUGUACAUUAUAUUGUAUGGACCUAGCAAGAUCCUAAAGAUAAGUGAUAAUGGAGAUCAUGGGGGCCACCCUUAUAACCAUAUGUCCAAAUGUUCUUAUUUGUUUAUUUUUCUUUUCUCUUUUCGGAAGAAUCCAUCCUGCCUCUAUGGUCAUCCUGACCACUUCGUAUUGUUAUCUAAUCUCCUCCCUUAAUUAAUAUAAAGAAUUACCGCAGCUGAAUUCACUAAAAAAAGUAUUCAGUUUAUUUUAAUUUAUUCAACUAUUAUGGCAUAUCAAUUGGAUUGCAAGUUCUUGGCGGUUGCAUUUGAAUCAUAUUUGAUGUGCACAAAGGCUUCAGUGUCAAGGUGGUCGGACGAGUAUUUAUGUCCAUUAUAUAUGCGUUAGCUUGAGAUCAUCAGGCACCUGUUAUGCAUCUGUCCAGUUAAAAGGAUGUUCAGACUCAGGCUUGCCCUACCAUAUAUGGCUGUGACACUCUGAACCAAGCAAGUUGGUCAUAUAUGUCGAGCACUAUUAACUCUUUGGAAGAAGAUCCACCAAGUACAGAAAACAAAUCAAAUAUCUUCUUAACCUUAUCACCAGAAAAAUUAGCAAGAGAUGAAUAGUAACAUUUUAAAGAAGAAAGAUAUGUUUGAAAAGGGAUAUAUAUUAUGGCGACGAUUAGAACAGCCCUUGACGAAUGGUGCCUAGCCUGCGAAAGUUUCUUAUGAAUAUAGUCAACACUCUAUAUCAACUGUUGUAAGAUUUUAGAAAUAUUUUUGGGGACAUAUGAUACAUGUCUAUUAUACAUAUGAUUCAACAGAAGUUUGAUUGAAUACAUAUUUAAAACGUGACUGACUUCUAUAUGGACGGAGUAUUUCACAAAGGACUCACUGCCAACUGUGUGAAUAUUCCAAGAUAGUUAGUGCACAUAAAUGUUCAAAUCCAUAGCUGCAUAAAUAUACAAAAGCAAUGUGUUAGACCACUACACAUGCUUCUGAAAGGAGGCAAAAAAAUGUAUGCUUGAUUGAUGACCGUUCAUGCAUGAAAUUAAUUUUUGAUUUCUAAUUAUUUUGGUCAUAUAAUGGAAAUAGAGACAUUAUAAAGAUCCAACAGCAUGCUAUCACACACGUGUGAACACAGACACACACAAAUAACAUUUGCCGAGCACUCACAAAUAAAAGGUGUGGCUACUCUUGGGUGUUCUACAGCUGGCUUAAAAAAACACGUAUGAAACAUGAUCCCCAAAAAUCUGAAAUUCGCAACAUAUGAAAAUCCACCCUCAAACAUAUUUCUAGUGUCUCAAUUCUUUUAGUUUCAGAUGGUAUGUCCAGCCAAAGUAGUUGUACACAUACAUUACUAUGUUCUAUUAUUUGAGAUUCUAAGAGAACAUUUAGUAACUAGCCCGUGCGAUGCACGGGUUCACGACUAGUAUAUAUAAAGCUUAAUGGUGCCUAAGAAAGCUCGCACAAUUUUACAGUGGCUAUGGAAAUGUGUUGCCAAACUGAGACAUAAGAUUUUCAUUUGGCAUCCAGAGUUGCAGACCGCUUGUGUUAUCCUUAAUCCAUGGCCACUCUAAUUUUUCCGGCUGGGCCUUCCCUGUGGUACCGCGGCAAGGCUUGCGUGUGUAUAUGUUUCCUUUAACUACCACUAGCACAUAUGCCCAUGCGUGCGUUGCAAUGGGAGAGAUAAUGGCAUAUCCACCAAUAUAUCUAGCAGCAUGACCCAACAACAUCCGAAUGAUGUCACCCGACGACGGCAGGAAGGCACGCACAGAGGUCUAGUAAAAACUCAUCAAUUGUACGGGCAUGGUUAAUUCGCGUGAAUUCAAGGGUGUGAGAUUAGUUAGUGUUGGUCCCACAAUUGAAUUCGGGGGGUGAUUAGUUAGUGUGGGCCCACCCUUGAAUUCACCGGGGGAGACAAAAUAAUUAGGGCGAGGAGAGAUUUACGGGGCUUGGUCCCCAGAUGCGUUGCGGCAGUCAUUAUUCGAGCAUUGCAAUGCUCGCACGUGAGGAGCUCCUUUUCCAAUUGUAUAUUAAGAAGCAUGCUAUAGAUACAAUGUUUUUGAUACAUUUUUGUACGAUGAUCCUGAUCUUAAAGGGCCUUCUAAUUUUUAAAUCUUAAAGGCAUUAUUUGUAAGUUGUCGUGAAAAAAAUCUCGCUAAAAGGGUUGUGUUAGACCAUCUUCAGUACAUUAGAAAUAACGAAUUAUAAUUCCUUGGCAUUUGAACAAACAAUCCCUACUUAUUUACACAUACAAUACUUUUGGUAUGAUUUUGAAAUCUUGAAGGCAUUAUUGUAAGUUGAAGCAAUUUUGAAAUCUCACUAAAAGGUCUGGUAAGCUUUAGAAAUAACUAAUUAUAAUUUUGCAAAAAAAAGAAAUAACUAAUUACUAAUUUUGGUAUGAUUUAUUGUCUGGGUAGUAGUUCCUUUGCAACAUUAUUCUCUCCUUUCUUGAAGGAACUCUUGCCUGCUCCCUCGCCAUGCUCCCAUCCAUGCUCCCACUCCAUCCUAUGGUUGUCCUUUUUUCCUUUUUCUUUCUAAACUAAUCAUCUCCCCCCCUGAUUUUAAGGGGAUGGGGCCGGGCCUUAUUUUGUUCCAAUUAAAUCAUGCCACGUAUGCGGGAGCAUUUUGUCCCUCCUUCUAGCGCCUCCCACUGAAAAUGCCCUAAAAGUUUUUGAGGGAUUUUUUUACUGUGUCCUACUUCACGAAUCACGAGGCAAAUCAAGUAGGCGGCAUGGCCUGGCCGGUGAGUGCCAUUGCACUUACUUGCCCCAGCGAUUUUCCGCCUGCAUUGUAGAAUUCUUUCUCCGAGUCCUGUGAAUUAAAGAUGGUGCAGACAAAAGUAUAUCCUAUAUGCGUACAUGUGCAUGAUCAGAACAUGUUUUUACGUGCGUCUACUAUAAAUCAUGACCAUUUUUAACACAAAUCAUGACCAUUCAUGAUUAGUGAAUCAUACUGUCUUAACUUAUGUGAAAUCAUGUGGAGUAAUAUAAUAUAAUAUAAUAGAUAGAUAGAUCCAUGUUGUAUUAUUUUUUGUUUACAAAAAAUAUCUGUCAUUACACAUUUUGAUUUAUGCAUUUGUUUACAAAAAAACAGUAACAUUUCAUGGUGGAGAGUUUGUAUUGUUUCAUACUGAACACCAAUGUUUUCCCGUAAAAGAAAAUAAUGCCUACGCAUAUGCUUUUAUAUUAUUAUUAUUCUUUCAAACUUAUUCAUAUAGUAUUUUUGAUUGUGCAACCAUAAUUUUUAUUAUCUCUCUCGUUCCACUACAUGCUCUUACUCAAUGAUUUUUUUAUAAUGGGUGUUUUUAUUAACUCAGCCAAAACAUAAUGAGCCACAUCCGGUCUCUGCAUAACUAAGAUGCACACAGCCAAAAGCAGAAGUCUGACAAAAAUAAGAUAAGAAAAUCAACAUAUCGACACCAGUGAGUCAUAUAGUUCCGACACUAUGCCUCUGUUGAAGGACGGGGUGGAGCGAUCUGGAGAUUAUGCUUCCCUCCAUUUUGAGUAAAUACCUCCCUGGCCACUUGUUCCAACCGCAUAGACGCCGCCACGAAUAAUGGUUGGUACUCUGUUCGGUGUAGCAUACACCAUGUAGGAACUGAGUGCUCACUCCUAGUUACUAAAUUAUGUACACACUAGUAGAAAAAGGGCCAUUUGUCCCGGUUCGUAAGGCCCAUUUGUCUCAGUUAGGGAACCGGGACUAAAGGGUCGGUACUAAAGCCCCACACCUUUACUCCCGGUUCUUACACCAACCGAGACAGAUGGGGCUCCACGUGGCCGCUGCGGCUUGCCAUGGCAGGGGGGCCUUUUGUCCCGGUUGGUAGCACCAACCGGGACCAAUAAGCUACCACGCGUCAGCAUUUGAGGGGCUUGGGUUUUUGUUUUUCUUCUGAAGGGGAGGGGAGGGGUGUUGGGGGUUUUGGGGGGUUUUGUAUGGUUAAUUUUGGGGGGUUUCAUAUAUUGUGUUAGGUAGUAAUUAAUUAAUAGAGAGAAGUGUCCUCUCUUAUCUCCGUGCUUGGUCGACGCUACGUACUAUACGUAUAGAGAGGCCCUCGACACACUUGCCAGUAAGCAAAUGAAGGAAACCAUUAAGUACAGAAGUUCGUCAUGAACAUAUGCAUACAAACAUAAGUGAUAUCGACCUCUCCUUCUCUGAGAGAUAGGUCGAACAACAAGUUUCCGUAUAUCCAUCCGGCGCUACUAGCUACUUAUAUACAAUAUUAAGAUCUCUUACAAUAUAAUCCCCUAAUUAUAUAUGAACUCAGUUUCCAGAUGGUAUUCUCGGGCUUUAUUGAUGACGUGGUCAAGAAAGAAUCCCUCCAAUUCCUCUUGAAUUGCUUUGAUGCGAUCUUGUGGUAGGAGUUCAUCCCGCAUCUGCCACAUCUAAUUUGAAGAAGGGGGUCAAUCACUAGUGGAAUAACAGCCAUUUGUCCAAGUUCAUAAGGCUCAUUUGUCCCGGUUGGGGAACCGAGACUAAAGGGUCGUUACUAAAGCCCUACACCUUUAGUCCCGGUUGUCGGUGUCAAAACCGGCGGAUCUCGGGUAGUUGGUCCCGAACUGUGCGUCUAGGCCGGAUGGUAACAGGAGGCAAGGAACACAAUGUUUUACCCAGGUUCGGGCCCUCUCGAUGGAGGUAAAACCCUACGUCCUGCUUGAUUAAUAUUGAUGAUAUGGGUAGUACAAGAGUAGAUCUACCACGAGAUCAAGGAGGCUAAACCCUAGAAGCUAGCCUAUGGCAUGAUUGUUGUGUAUGGAGUUGAUUGCCUACGGACUACAACCCUCCGGUUUAUAUAGACACCGGAUAGGGUUAGGGUUACAUAGAGUCGGUUACAAUGGUAGGAGAUCUUGAAUAUCCGCAUCGCCAAGCUUGCCUUCCACGCCAAGGAAAGUCCCAUCCGGACACGGGACAAAGUCUUCAAUCUUGUAUCUUCAUAGUCCAGGAGUCCGGCUACCCGAACACCCCCUAAUCUAGGACUCCCUCAGUAGCCCCUGAACCAGGCUUCAAUGACGACGAGUCCGGCGUGCAAAUUGUCUUCGGCAUUGCAAGGCGGGUUCCUCCUCCACGUCCUUCAUAGAAGAUUGUAAACACCAAGAGUAGUGUCCGGCUCUGCAAAAUAAGCUUCCACAUAUUUCCGUAGAGAGAAUAAUAUUAACACAAAUCAAAUCUGCUGACGUAUUCCGCAGUGCGUCAUCACACUGCAGCCAAGUCCUUCACUCGAAUCGUUUUCACUUUUCCACCUCAGCGUGUUUUGCGAGGCGGUUUCCUUGGCACGUCUUGUCAAAGUAGAUAUCGUGUACCCCCCUUUUACGGGAUUCUCAUCAAUACAGACAUGGGUAACCCAACCGCGCCACUUAUCUCGACGCUUGGGAGGCAAGCGAGUUUUACUAGGCAGGUGGGGACGCACAACCGCAUCUACCCAUAUAAGGGGAUAAGGAUCCACCUUUUUACCUACGCCUUCUUCCUCCUUUGCCUAUCCAUCUCCUGCGCACCCGAGCUCCAGCGCCCAAGCCCGCACUUCCCACCUCGACCUUCUCCAGCAAUGUCCGGAGCGGGAGGCAAGUGGAUGGUCUCUACCACCACGGAGGGUAAAAUCAAGAAGCUAAGGAAGGCCGGAUACCUGUCCAAGGACAUCGCGCACUGGCUUCCCGAAGAGGGGCAGCUUCUCCCCACCCCAAGGCCCCAUGAGAGGGUAGUAUUUCUCCCCCACUUCCUCCGCGGACUGGGUUUUCCACUCCACCCAUUUGUCCGGGGGCUCAUGUUCUACUACGGCCUGGAUUUCCACGAUCUGGUCCCGAACUUCAUCCUCAACAUCUCGGCGUUUAUCGUCUUUUGCGAGGCUUUUCUCCGCGUCCGCCCUCAUUUCGGCCUCUGGCUCAAGACCUUCAACGUCAAGCCCAAGGUGGUGUGCGGCAGCCAGGCGGAGUGCGGAGGCGCCAUGGUGGGCAAGAUGGCCAAUGUCAUAUGGUUCGAGGGCUCUUUUGUGGAGACCCUAAAGGGAUGGCAAUCUGGGUGGUUUUACAUCACCGAGCCGCGCGAUCCGAAAUGGACCGCAGCCCCCGAGUUCCGAUCCGGACCCCCCAAGCGGCUUGUGUCCUGGAAAGAGACGGGCCUGUCAUGGGGUGACGAAAAUGAGGUGACCGGAUUGCAAACAUGCAUCCAGUCCCUGGUGAACAAGCCAGUCUGGCUUGUUAAUGUAAUCCAGGUUAUGCUCGUCCGCCGGAUCCUCCCGUGCCAACAACGGGAUUUUAAUCUAUGGGAGUUCGACCCGGUGCAGCAUCAAACCCUCAGCAGGCUCUUCGACACGACGUACGAAGACGCCUGGAAGAUGCUAUUAAAGGGCGUCGAGGCUCCCGCAUCCGCUUCCGAGGACCGCGAAUACAGCUCGCAGCGUCACGCUAGCGAGGUAAGCCAUCUACACCUUUUAUAGGAUGUUCAAGCUUUUUUCAUAGUUUGACUCUAUGUGGGAUCUAAACUCCCUUACCUUUGAAAGGCUUGGCGGGCAAUAUCCGGACCGAUUAACUGUCCGGCUCCGCUGCCCGAAGACCCAGCCCCAGCUCUACUAGUGAAGCUGCUGGUUCCGGAGCCUUAUGUGGUGCCGAAGACGAAGGCCAAGAAGAAGAAGACCACAGGGACUCGAAAGAGUGCAUGCAACGUGGUGGUGUCGGACUCGUCAUCUGACGAGUCCAAGACGCCCUCCUCCCAUGAAAACGAGGAGGAGGAAGAAGAAAACUCCCCCCCCCCCCCAGCGGAGGGAGGAGAGAAGAGGAAGGCCGCCCCAACGGGGGAGGCCGAGGGGUCUAGGAAAAGGAAGACCCCUCCGCCAGACUACGCCCCCGACGCCGAAGAGGGCGAAGAGGAGUGGCCGAACAGGGCCAAACGUCCGGCGAAAUCGUAAGUUCGGAUAUCAGAGUAACUCAUGAUGUUCCUUUGUUGCACAGCUUUCCCUAAUGUCGAAUGUAAUUAUGCAGUCCGCCCCGGGCCAAAUUCGACGAAUCAUCGUGCGGCUCCCUGGACUCAUCGGACGUGAACUCAGUUCCGCCCGCUGUCUCCCCCCGCACUGUGGACGACGCCGAAGUGGCGUCGCGACAAGCCCCGGGGCAGGAGGAGGUGGUCCCGGAGGAGCCACAAGGCAACCUCCCGGACUCCAGGAGUGAAGGGGACAAGACCCCCCAGGGCUCCAAGUCUGGCUUUGAGCCGGACACCGCACCGGAAUCUACAACAGUUCCGGACCGCGGUAGGCGAACUCCUUCCAAGAGGAGUAAGCCUUCUGAGCCGGCGUCCUCCGUCCAGCCGAAGGCGCCGGAAAAUCUGCUGGAGGAGCUUAAGGGCGCCUCCAUCGACGAGGAGCACCAUGCCAUCAUGAGUAUGGUGGUCCAGAAGGUUCGGUCCGCCAAAAGCGGACUGACUGAAGCUUGUAAAAAUAUGUAAAAAUAUUACCGUAUAGACAGUAGCCCCUGAUGCUCUGUUUGGCGUUCGGAAAGAAAAGCUGGAUAGAGGAUCUAUUAAAUAUCGCAGGAGUCUAACUAAAAAGCAGUCAAUAUACGUAUGCAGGCUUCGCUGCUGGCCACCGCUGCACUGACUGCGGAGGUGGGUGCCCUGAAACAGGGCCUCGAGCGGACCGAGCAAGAGCUCGGCCUUGCCAAACGGCAGCUCGAGGAGAAAGAAGGUAAGAAAUACCUUACAGAAAAAGUGCCUAUAAAAAGACCUGAUUGCAAAAAAUAACAGGAUUGUACUGCUUAUUGUAGGGGCCACGACUGAGGUGGCGACCCUCAAGCAGGCGCUGUCCGAGGCCAAAAAGAAAACGGCCGUGGAGUGCACCGAGCGAGAGAAACUUGAGGCCCAGGUCAGCGAGGUGCAGCAGGAGCUUCAGGCUCUCAUGAAAAAACAUGAGAGUUUGGAGCUUGAGUCCAAGACGCAAGCGUAUGAGCUCGCGGCGGCCCUUGAGACUGCCAAGUCUGCCAAGGCCGAAGCCCAAAAGGCCCUCCAAGAGUUGGAGGAGAUGAAAAAGAUAGCGGCGGGUAAGGCAUUCUUUAUGCAAAGCAGAAGUAUAAAAGUGAAGUACUUGUUACUUACCCGAAUCCAGAGCUCUCCAGGGGCAUUCGCAGAUCUUCCCCGCGGCGUAUCUGACGCCGCUGCAUUCUACCGAGCCGAAGAGGGCAGCUCGACGGAGAAGGUGUUCUGGUUUCAGUAUGCUGAGGCCGGACACCCUGUGCCCUUGAGCGACCAGCUGAAACAGCUGGUCGAGCUCCACAAGGCGGCCGAGCAGGCCAUGAAGGGCUUCAUAGUUCGGCUGUGGCCCGGAGAGGCCCUGCCUGGGAGCUACUUCGGGUUGGUGUGGCGACUGGUGGAGGCCUGUCCAAGGCUCGAGGUCAUUAAGUGCUCCGUCUGCAUCGAAGGUGCCCGUAGGGCCCUUGCCCGUGCAAAGGUGCACUGGGGCAAGCUGGACGGUGAGAAGCUUGUGAGGGACGGGCCGCCGCCGGGGAAGGAGCAUCGCAAGCCCGAGAACUACUAUAAGGAUGUUCUAGCGGGUGCCCGCCUUGUGGCGGAUGAAUGUACCAAGGAUGUAAUUUUUUAAUGAACUCGCUCGUGUUUAUCCUGUGUGCUGAAAAGUUGUUCAUAUGCGCUAAGCAAUGCUUGUUGAAUUUAAAAUAUUACUUUCUGUGCGGCCGUUUAUCAAAAAUUGAGAGAUGGCCAGUCGGCGGCUUCUGCCCCCAUGCCACUAGUGCUGGGGUGUUCGGGAUAAACCUGAGCGCUCUUUUUCCCAUAGUUGGAUCCUUCGAGGGAGGCGCUCAGCACAACGAACCAGGCAAUCGGACUAUAAUGCUUGAACACUCUAACUUAGCCAUAGAACUCUAUAAUUUUAAAUUUCGGCGAAGCCCCUAGUUCGGAAGACCGAGUUCGGGGCGCUAUCCACGCCUUGGCCGGACAAAGCCGGCUCCUCGCUCGAAGCGGCAUAAGUCUUUAGGGACUCGAAAAACCUGUCGAACAGCGACCGGUCUCUCACCAUAUCAUGACAGUCAGUUUUACCUUUCUCCACUGAGGUGCUUAACCCAGCUCAACCGGGGCACAAUCGCAGUGGUUCUCCUAGUGCUACCUUAGCCGAUAUAGCGGAACGUAAGGCACCAAAACAUAGGAGCCAGGCAAACGCAACUAUUGACCCAAAUCAUGAUACGGAGCCGAUGCAUAUAGUGCUAUAAGUUCGGGGUGCCGUACUUGUGAAAGUGUACGGACUUCUCACGCCAUAUUUAUGGGUACUAAAGCCCCUGACGUAUUUUGCCGUACCACGGUGUACGGGUGCAACAUGUCAUAAACAUAUAUAUGAAAAGGUGAUAAUGCGAAAAAUAGACAGAAAGCUAUCCAUUGUUUAUAGAGAGGCUAUUUAUCAAAGCCGAACGAUACAAAUAGUGCGGUAAGCAAAAAAUAUUGGACUAUUUAGUAUGUCCUGACCAGGAGCAGGCCGCGGAAUUGUGUUUAAAACAGGUAUACCGCUCGUAACAGAGACCACCUGGGAGUUCCAUAAUGCGGCAUGGCUUGUCUUCCUCCCUGGAUCUUGCAUCGUUUGUGCGGCCGUCGAAUUGCCGAACAGGUCGUCCGAAGUAUGGAGUCCUGAAAGUAAGAAAAAAAUUAAAAAAAGAAUCCGGCAGCCCCUAGUACGUUUUAAGUCGUAUUUUGGGCGUGCCGUUAUUGCCCCUUCCCCUGUGCCCAUGGUAUUUCAAGGGCGUAGUUAUGUACGCGGGGUACUGGUUUCGCUAUGUCGCGAAAGCUGGGGUUGGGGCCACAUUGCUACGCUUGCUUAGAGUGUGCCAGGCGGUCCUGCUGUGGGUUACUCCAGGGGCGCCUGGCAGUGUCUGGCUUUUUAAUGGCCGGACUAGAGAAUUGCCUGAGAAGGCUACUUUGUACCUCCGCUGCGAGAGCCGCCGUAUGCUCCCCCAUAUGGAGGGAGCGUUCGGUGUUUCCGUUGACCGUAAUUACUCCUCGAGGGCCUGGCAUCUUGAGCUUGAUAUAUGCGUAGUGCAGCACCGCAUUGAACUUUGAGAAUGCAGUUCGUCCGAGCAGGGCGUGAUAGCCACUGCGAAACGGGACUAUAUCGAAGAUUAACUCUUCGCUUCGGAAAUUGUCCGGGGAUCCGAAGACCACGUCAAGUGUUACUGAGCCUGUACAGUUGGCUUCUACACCUGGUAUAAUGCCUUUAAAGGUCGUUCUUGUGGGCUUAAUCCUUGAGGGAUCUAUGCCCAUUUUCCGCACUGUAUCCCGAUAAAGCAGGUUCAGGCUACUGCUGCCGUCCAUGAGGACUCUUGUGAGAUGAAAUCCGUCGAUGAUUGGGUCGAGAACCAAUGCGACGAAGCCGCCAUGACGGAUGCUAGUGGGAUGGUCCCUUUGAUCAAAAGUGAUUGGGUAGGAGGACCAUGGGUUGAACUUUGGGGCGACUGGCUCCAUCGCGUAUAUGUCUCGCAGCGCACGCUUCCGCUCCCGCUUGGGAAUGUGGGUUGCAUUUAUCAUGUUCACCGUCCGCACUUGUGGGGGAAAGCCCUUCUGUCCAUUGUUGUUCGGCGGCUUGGGAUCCUCAUCGUCGUUGUGCAGCCCCUUUUUCUCUGUUUUUGGCCCUUAACUUGCCUGCCUGCUUGAACACCCAACAAUCCCUAUUAGUGUGAUUGGCUGGCCUUUCGGGGGUGCCAUGUAUCUGGCACAAGCGAUCGAGUAUUCGGUCCAAACUGGACGGGCCCUGAGUAUUCUUUUUGAAUGGCUUUUUCCGCUGACCGGAUUUAUAGCCUUUGAAUCCGGCAUUGACUGCCGUGUCUUCAUUGCUGUUGCUGCUAACGCGGCGUUUUUGCUUAUUCCGACGUGUCCUGCCACUUUUGUCCUUGGUAUCCGAAUUACCAGGGUUCUUUGAUAAGUUGUUACUGCGAGCUAGCCAGCUAUCUUCUCUCGCGCAAAAGCGGGUCAUGAGUGUCGUGAGGGCUGCCAUGGAUUUCGGCUUUUCCUGUCCCAGGUGCCGGGCAAGCCACUCGUCGCAGAUGUUAUGCUUCAAGGCUGCCAGGGCCUCUGCGUCCGGAUAGUCGACUAUCUGGUUUUUCUUUGUUAGGAACCAUGUCCAGAAUUGUCUGCCGAUUCCUCUGGCUGCUGAAUUAUGUGGCUUAAGUCGUCGGCAUCCGGUGGUCGCACGUAAGUGCCCUAGAAGUUGUCGAGGAAUGCGGCUUCCAGGUCCUCCCAAGAACCGAUUGAGUCUGCUGGCAAGCUGUUAAGCCAAUGCCGGGCCGGUCCUUUAAGUUUGAGCAGGAGCUAUUUGAUGGCGUGUAGAUCAUCGCCGCGUGCCAUGUGGAUGUGAAGGAGAUAAUCCUCGAUCCAUACCGCCAGAUCUGUUGUGCCAUCGUAUGAUUCGAUGUUUACGGGUUUGAAACCCUCUCGGAUUUUAUGAUCCAUUACUUCGUUCGUGAAGCAUAGCGGGUGUGCGGCGCCUCUGUAUUGGGCUAUAUCAUGACGCAGCUCGGAAGAGCUAUGUCUGUUGUGUUCGGCCCGGCCGGAUUUGUUGUAUCCGGAGUGAAGAUCAUUGUCACAUGCUGUAGGGUGGCUGCGCGAUCCGUAGAUCGAUCUUUUUUGUCUUGCCUUAUCCUCCAGUAUGUCUCGCAGAUCGGGCGCAUUUUCCCGUGCCUUAUUUACGCACCGUCGGGGCAUGGCUUGGGUGGAGGGCCGAGAGGCCUCUCUGUCGCGGCCGUGAGGUGGCCGGUCUGCCAUGUCAUUCGCUGGUGACGUAGGUACUUCCUCCUCUGAUCGGGGUAGCGGCCUGCGCUUCGGGUAACUCUUGGAGGGGCGUUCGUGUUCAUACUCUUCGGCUGCAAGGACUUCAGUCCAUCUGUCAGCUAGCAAAUCUUGGGCGGCUGUAAGCUGUUGCUGCUUUUUCUGGAGGCUGCUUGCCAUGGCUAAAAGCCUGUGUUUAAAACGCUCUUGUUCGGCGGGGUCUGAUGGUAUGACGAAUUUGUCGUCAUCGAGGCUUGCCUCGUCUCCAGAGGGAGGCGUAUAGUUAUCAUCCUCGACUUCUCGGUCUGCCGCUCUCUCAUGAGGGCUGGCUACUCCAUCUCCCUGUGCCGAAUCUUGCUGAGGUGGGUGUUCUUCGGCGUUAUCCGGGGUAGUAUUAUCUCCCGUGCCGGAAUCACCGUUUUUGCUUUGGCUGUUUCUUGGGGGCGUCAUCCCCCACUAUUCCAUCACCAUCUCCAUCUUUUGGAGUAUCCACCAUAUAUAUGUCAUAUGACGAGGUGGCCUUCCAGCGCCCUAUAGGUGUUGGUUCCUAUUCGUCUCCUACUUCGUCGUCCAUGCCGUCGAUGUCUUCGGAGCCGAAGUCACGCAUGUCGGUUAAAUCAUCGACAGUGGCUACAAAGUGGGUGGUGGGUGGGCUUUGAAUUUCCUCAUCGUCCGUAUCCCACCCUCGCUGACCGUAGUCCGGCCAGGGCUCUCUUGAUAAAGAGAGAGACUUAAGAGAAUUCCGGAUGUCACCAAAAGGCGAAUGCUGAAAGAUGUCUGCGGCGGUGAACUCCAUUAUCGGCGCCCAAUUGGAUUCGAUUGGCAGGGGCGCAGGGGGUUUGGAGUCCGGGAAGGAGUCCGGAUCCUCGGAGUCACGGGUCGUCCAGAGUGCGGGGCUAGCGUUCAGCUCGAUCGCUUUCGGGAUCGCAGCCCCUGAGGUGACGUCCAGCCACUCAUCCUCGAUUGGCGCAAUAGGCAUCGAGUUAGGGGUCAGAACCGAUGCGUGUGCGGCCUCCAGGACACUGUCCGGGGGCAGAGCUAGAUCAUGCCCCUCGAGAUAGUGCGGCGCGCUUGACCGUGGCUCGAGCCCGUCGAAGAUCAAGUCUCCGCGGAUGUCAGCCGUGUAGUUUAAGCUUCCAAACCUGACUUGAUGGCUAGGGGCGUAGCUUUCGAUCUGCUCCAGGUGGCCGAGCGAAUUGGCCCGCAGAGCAAAGUUGCCGAAGACGAAGAUCUGUUCGGGGAGAAAAGUAUCACCCUCGACCGCAUCGUUGUUGAUGAUCAAAGGAGCCAUCGGGCCUAAAGGCGACGACACAGAGGAACUCUCAAUGAAAGCACCAAUGUCGGUGUCAAAACCGGCGGAUCUCGGGUAGUGGGUCCCGAAUUGUGCGUCUAGGCCGGAUGGUAACAGGAGGCAGGGAACACGAUGUUUUACCCAGGUUCGGGCCCUCUUGAUGGAGGUAAAACCCUACGUCCUGCUUGAUUAAUAUUGAUGAUAUGGGUAGUACAAGAGUAGAUCUACCACGAGAUCAAGGAGGCUAAACCCUAGAAGCUAGCCUAUGGCAUGAUUGUUGUGUAUGGAGUUGAUUACCUACGGACUACAACCCUCCAGUUUAUAUAGACACCGGAUAGGGUUAGGGUUACAUAGAGUCGGUUAUAAUGGUAGGAGAUCUUGAAUAUCCACAUCGCCAAUCUUGCCUUCCACGCUAAGGAAAGUCCCAUCCGGACACAGGACAAAGUCUUCAAUCUUGUAUCUUCAUAGUCCAGGAGUCCGGCUGAAGGUCUAGUCCGGCUACCCGAACACCCCCUAAUCCAGGACUCCCUCACCGGUUCUUACACCAACUGGGAGAGAUGGGCUUCCACGUGGCCGCUGCGGCGAGCCCAGGCAGGAGGUCCUUUGGUCCCGGUUAGUGACACUGAUACGUCUCCGACAUAUCUAUAAUUUUUGAUUGCUCCAUGCUAUUAUGUUAUCCAUUUUGGAUGUUAAUGGGCUUUAUUUUACACCUUUAUAUCAUUUUUGGGACUAACCUACUAAUUGGAGGCCAAACCCAAAUUGCUGUUUUUUUUGCCUAUUUUAGGUUUUCGAAGAAGAGGAAUAUCAAACGGAGUCCAAACGGAAUGAAAACUUCGGGAACGUGAUUUUCUCAACGAACAUGAUCCAGGAGACUUGGAGUGUGCGCCAAGAAAUAAGGGAGGAAGGCACGAGGCAGGGGUCGCGCCUACCCCCCUUGGGCGUGCCCUCCACCCUCGUGGGCCCUCCACUGCUCCACCGACGUACUUCUUCCUCCUAUAUAUAUACACGUACCCCCCCAAACAACCAGGAGCACCAUGAAAACCUAAAUCCACCGCCGCAACCUUCUGUACCCGAGAGAUCCCAUCUUGGGGCCUUUUCCGGAGGGGGCAUCGAUCACGGAGGGCCUCUACAUCAACUGCAUGGCCUCUCCGAUGAUGUGUAAGUAGUUUACUUCAGACCUACGGGUCCAUAGUUAUUAGCUAGAUGGCUUCUUCUCUCUCUUUGGAUCUCAAUACAAAGUUCUCCUCGAUGUUCUUGGAGAUCUAUUCGAUGUAAUCUUCUUUUGCGGUGUGUUUGUCGAGAUCCGAUGAAUUGUAGGUUUAUGAUCCAGAUUAUCUAUGGACAAUAUUUGAUUCUCCUCUGAAUUCUUUUAUGUAUGAUUCGUUUAUCUUUGCAAGUCUCUUCGAAUUAUCAGUUUGGUUUGGCCUACUAAAUUGAUCUUUCUUGCAAUGGGAGAAGUGCUUAGCUUUGGGUUCAAUCUUGCGGUGUUCGAUCCCAGUGACUGAAAGGGAACCGAUAUUUAUUGUAUUGUUGCCAUCGAGGAUAAAAAGAUGGGGUUUAUAUCAUAUUGCAUGAGUUUAUCCCUCUACAUCAUGUCAUCUUCCUUAAAGCAUUACUCUGUUCUCUUGAACUUAAUACUCUAGAUGCAUGCUGGAUAGCGGUCGAUGUGUGGAGUAAUAGUAGUAGAUGCAGAAUCGUUUCAGUCUACUUGUCUCGGACCUGAUGCAUAUAUACAUGAGCAUAACUAUAUAUUCUCAUAACUAUGCUCAAUUCGAUCAAUUGCUCGACAGCAAUUCGUUUACCCACCGUAAUACUUAUGCUCUUGAGAGAAGCCACUAGUGAAACCUAUGGCCUCGGGGUCUAUCUUCUAUCAUAUUAAUCCUCCAAUACUUAGUCAUUUCUAUUUCUAUUUAUUUUAUUUUGCAUCUUUUAUUUCUCUUUAUCAUAAAAAUACCAAAAAUCUUAUCUUAUCAUAUCUAUCAGAUCUCACUGUCGUAAGUGACCGUGAAGGGAUUGACAACCCCUUUAUCGCGUUGGUUGCGAUGUUCUUAUUUGUUUGUGUAGGUUCGUGGGACUUGAGCAUGAUCUCCUACUGGAUUGAUACCUUGGUUCUCAAAAACUAAGGGAAAUACUUACGCCGAUUUAUUUCAUCACUCUUUCUUCUUCAAGGGAAAACCAACGCAAUGCUCAAGAGGUAGUGUCGGUGUCAAAACCGGCGGAUCUCGGGUAGUGGGUCCUGAACUGUGCGUCUAGGCCGGAUGGUAACAGGAGGCAGGGAACACGAUGUUUUACCCAGGUUCGGGCCCUCUUCAUGGAGGUAAAACCCUAUGUCCUGCUUGAUUAAUAUUAAUGAUAUGGGUAGUACAAGAGUAGAUCUACCAUGAGAUCAAGGAGGCUAAACCCUAGAAGCUAGCCUAUGGUAUGAUUGUUGUAUAUGGAGUUGAUUGCCUACGGACUACAACCCUCCGAUUUAUAUAGACACCGGAUAGGGUUAGGGUUACAUAGAGUCGGUUACAAUGGUAGGAGAUCUUGAAUAUCCGCAUCGCCAAGCUUGCCUUCCACGCCAAGGAAAGUCCCGUCCGGACACGGAACGAAGUCUUCAAUCUUGUAUCUUCACAGCCCAGGAGUCCGGCUGAAGGUAUAGUCCGGCUAUCCGAACACCCCCUAAUCCAGGACUCCCUCAGUAGCCCCUGAACCAGGCUUCAAUGACGACGAGUCCGGCACGCAAAUUGUCUUCGGCAUUGCAAGGCGGGUUCCUCCUCCAAGUCCUUCAUACAAGAUUGUAAGCACCAAGAGUAGUGUCCGACUCUGCAAAAUAAGCUUCCACAUAUCGCCAUAGAGAGAAUAAUAUUAACACAAAUCAAAUCCGCUGACGUAUUCCGCAGUGCGUCAUCACACUACAGCCAAGUCCUUCACUCGAAUCGUUUUCACUUUUCCACCCCAGUGUGUUUUGCGAGGUGGUUUCCUUGGCACGUCUUGUCAAAGCAGAGAUCGUGUCCCCUUUGUUUACGGGAUUCUCGUUAAUACGGACGUGGGUAACCCAACCGCGCCACUUAUCAUGGCGCUUGGGAGGCAAGCGAGUUCUACUAGGCUGGUGGGGACGCAUAGUCGCAUCCGCCCAUAUAAGGGGAUAAGGAUCCACCUUUUUACCUAUGCCUUCUUCCUCCUUUGCCUAUCCAUCUUCUGCGCACCCGAGCUCUAGUGCCCCAUCCCGCGCUUCCUACCUCAACCCUCUCCAACAAUGUCCGGAGCGGGAGGCAAGUGGAUGGUCUCCUCCGUCACGAAGGGCCAUGUCAAAAGGUUAAGGAAGGCCGGAUACUUGUCCAAAGACAUCGCGCACCGGCUUCCUGAGGAGGGGCAGCUUCUCCCCACCCCAAGGCCCCAUGAGAGGGUAGUAUUUCUUCCCCACUUCCUCCGCGGACUGGGUUUUCCUAUCCACCCAUUUGUCCGCGGGCUCCUGUUCUACUAUGGCCUAGAUUUCCAUGAUCUGGCCCCGAACUUCAUCCUGAAUAUCUCGGCAUUUAUCGUCGUGUGCGAGGCUUUCCUCUGCAUUCGCCCCCAUUUCAGCCUCUGGCUCAAGACCUUCAACGUCAAGCCAAAGGUGGUGCGCGGUAACCAGGCGGAGUGCGGAGGUGCCAUGGCGGGAGAAAUUGCCAACGUCCUAGGGCUCGAGGGCUCCUUUGUGGAGACCUUGAAGGGGUGGUAGUCAGGGUGAUUUUACAUCACCGAGCCACGCGAUCCGAAGUGGAUCGCAGCCCCUGAAUUCCGAUCCGGACCCCCUACACGGCUCACGUCCUGGAAGGAGACGAGCUUGUCGUGGGGCGACGAAGGAGAGUUGACCGGACUGCAAAAAUGCAUCCAGUCCCUGGUGAACAAGCAGCUCAAGCUUGUCAACGUAAUCUAGGUCAUGCUCGUCCGCCGGAUCCUUCCGUGUCAAGAACGGGACAUCAAUUUGUGGGAGUUCAACCCGGUGCAGCAACGAACUCUGAGAAGGCUCUUUGACACGACGUACGAAGUUGUCUGGAGGGGGCUAACCAAAGGCGCCGAGGCUCCCACAUCCGCCUCCGAUGACCGCGGAUUCAGCUCGCAGCGUCCUGCUGGCGAGGUAAGAUAUUUCCAUCUUUUACAGGAUAUUAAGUUUUUUCAUAGUUGACUCUAUGCGGGAUCUAAACUCCCUCACCUUUGACAGGAUUGGCGGGAGAAGUCCGGACAGAUUAACUGCCCGGCUCCCUUGCCAAGCCGGAGAAGAGGGCCAAGAAGAAGAAGGCCACGGGGACUCGAAAGAGUUCCUGGCAUAUGGUGGUGUCGGACUCGUCGUCCGACGAGUCCGAGAUGCACUCCUCCCGUGAAUACGAGGAGGAAGAAGAAACCUCUCCCCCUCCAGCGGGGGGAGGAGAGAAGAGGAAGGCCGCCCCAGUAGGGGAGGCCGAGGGGUCCAAGAAGAGGAAAACCCAUCCGCCGGACUACGUCCCCGACACCGACGAGGACGAAGAGGAGUGGCCGGACAGGGCCAAGCGUCCGGCGAGAUCGUAAUUCUUCGGAUACCAGAGUAACUCGUGAUAUUCCUUUUGUUGCACAGGUUUCGCUAAUGUCAGAUAUAAUCAUGCAGUCCACCCAAGGACGGGCACGACGAGUCGUCGAGCGGCUCCCUGGAUUCAUCGGACGCGAAUUCAGUUCCGCCUACUGCUUCCCCCUAUGCUGCAGAUGACGCCGAAGUGGCGUCGCGACAAGCUCCGGGGCGAGAGGAGGUGGUCCAGGAGGAGUCGCGAGGUGACCUCCCGGACUCCAGGAGUGAAGGGGACAAGACCCCCAUGGGCUCCAAGUCCGGCUUUAAGCUGGACACUGCGCCGGAAUCAUCAAUGGUUCCGGACCGCGGUAGGCGAACUCCUGCCAAGAGGAGCAAGCCUACUGAGCCGGCAUCCUCCGUCCAGCCGGAGGCGCCGCACAAUCUGGUGGAGGAGCUUAAGGGCGCCUCCAUCGACGAGGAGCAUCGUGCCGUCAUGAGUACGGUGAUCCAGAAGGUUCGGUCCGCCAAAAGCGGACUGACUGAAGCUUGUGCUAGCCUUCUAACAGGCUUCGAGGUAAGUAAAAAUAUGUAAAAAUAUUACCGUAUAGACAGUAGCCCCUGAUGCUCUGUUUGGCGUUUGUAAAGAAAAGCCAAAUAGAGGAUCUAUUAAAUAUCCCAGGAGUCUAACUAAAAAGGAGUCAAUAUACGUAUGUAGGCUUCGCUGCUGGCCAUCGCCGCACUGACUGCGGAGGUGGGUGCCCUUAAGCAGGGCCUCCAGCGGACCGAGCAAGAGCUCGGCCUUGCCAAACGGCAGCUCGAGGAGAAAGAAGGUAAGAUAUACCUUAGAGAAAAAGUGCCUAUAAAAAGGCUUGAUUGCAAAAAGAGUAACAGGAUUGUACUGCUUAUUGUAGGGGCUACGACUGAGGUGGCGACCUUUAAGCAGGUGUUGUCUGAGGCCGAAAAGAAAACGGCCGCGGAGCGCACCGAGCGAGACAGACUUGGGGCUCAGGUCAGCGAGGUGCAGCAAGAGCUUCAGGCUCUCAUGAAAAAACAUGAGAGUUUGGAGCUGGAAUCGAAGGCGCAAGCAUCCGAGCUUGCAAUGGCCCUAGAGGCUGCCAAGUCUGCCAAGGCCGAAGCCCUAAAGGCCCUCCAAGAGUUGGAGGAGAUGAGGAAGAUAGCAGCGGGUAAGGCAUUCUUUAUGCAAAGCAGAAAUAUAAAAGUGAACUACCUGUUACUUACCCAAAUCCGAAGCUCUCCAGGGGCAUUCGCAGAUCUUCCCAGCAGCGUAUCCGACGCCGCCGCAUUCUGCCAAGCUGAAGAGGGUAGCUCGACGGAGAAGGUGUUCUGGUUUCAGUAUUCUAAGGCCGGACACCCUGUGCCCUUGAGCGACCAGCUGAAACAGCUGGUUGAGCUCCACAAGGCGGCCGAGCAGGCCAUGAAGGGCUUCAUAGUUCGGCUGUGGCCCGGAGAGGCCCUACUUGGGAGCUAUUUCGGGCUAGUGCGGCGGCUUGUGGAGGCCUGUCCGAGGCUUGAGGUCAUCAAGUGCUCCGUCUGCAUCGAAGGUGCCCGUCGGGCCCUUGCCCGUGCAAAGGUGCACUGGGGUAAGCUGGAUGGUGAGAAGCUUGUGAAGGACGGGCCGCCGCCGGGGAAGGAGCAUCGCAAGCCCGAGAACUACUACAAGGAUGUUCUUGCAGGUGCCCGCCUUGUGGCGGAUGAAUGUACCAAGGAUGUGAUAUUUGAAUGAACUCGCUCGUGUUUAUCCUGUGCGCUGAAAACUUGUUCAUAUGCGCUAAGCAAUGCUUAUUGAAUUUAAAAUAUUACUUUCUGUGCGGCCAUUUAUCAAAAAUUGAGAGAUGGCCAGUCGUCGGCUUUUGCCCCCGUGCCACUAGUGCUGGGGUGUUCGGGAUAAACCUGAGCGCUCUUUUUCCCAUAGUUGGGUCCUUCGAGGGAGGCGCUCACCACAACGAAUCAGGCAAUCAGACUAUAAUGCUUGAACACUCUCACUUAGCCAUAGAGCUCUAUAAUUUUAAAUUUCGGUGAAGCUCCUAGUUUGGAAGACCGAGUUCGGGGCGCUAUCCACGCCUUGGCCGGACAAAGCCAGCUCCUCGCUCGAAGCGGCAUAAGCCUUUAGGGACUCGAAAAACCUCUCGAACAGCGACUGGUCUCUCGCCACAUCAUGACAGUCAGUUUUAGCUUUCUCCACUGAGGUGCUUAACCCAGCUGAACCGGGGCACAAUCGCAGUGGUUCUCCUAGUGCUACCUUAGCCGAUAGAGCGGAACGUAAGGCACCAAAACAUAGGAGCCGGGCAAACCCAACUAUUGACCCAAAUCAUGAUUCGGAGCCGAUGCAUAUAGUGCUAUAAGUUCGGGGUGCCGCACUUGUGAAAGCGUACGGACUUCUCACACCAUUAUGAGGGGUUCUGAAGCCCCUGGCGUGUUUGCCAUACCAUGGUGUACGGGUGCAAUCAUGUCAUUUAAUAAACAUAAAUGUGAAAAGAAGACAACGCAAAAAAUAGACUAGAAGCUAAGCAUUGUUUAUAGAGAGGCUAUUUAUCAAAGCCGGACGAUACAAAUACUGAAGUAAGCAAAAGAUAUUGGACUAUUCAGUAUGUCCUGACCAGGGGCAGGCCGCGGAAUUGUAUUUAAAACAGGUAUACCGCUCGUAACAGAGACCACAUGGGAGUUCCAUAAUGCGUCAUGGCUUGUCUGCCUCCCUGGAUCUUGCAUCGUUUGUGCGGCAGUCGAAUAUCCGAACAGGUCAUCCGAAGUAUGGAGUCCUGAAAGAAGAAAAAAUUAAAAAAAGAAUCCGGCAGCCCCUAGUACGUAUUAAGCCGUAUUUUGGGCAUGUCGUUAUUGUGCCCCUUCUCCUGUGCCCAUGGUAUUUCAAGGGCGUAGUUAUGUCCGCGAGGUACUGGUUUCGCUAUGUCGCGAAAGCUGGGGUUGGGGCCGCAUUGCUACGCUUGCUCAGAGUGUGCCAGGCGGUCCUGCUGUGGGUUACUCCGGGCGUGCUUGGCAGUGCCUGGCUUUUUAAUGGCCGGACCGGAGAAUUGCCUGAGAAGGCUACUUUGUACCUCCGCUGCGAGAGCCACCGUAUGCUCCUCCAUACGGAGGGAGCGUUCGGUGUUUCCGUUGACCGUAAUUACUCCUUGAGGGCCUGGCAUCUUGAGCUUGAGAUAUGCGUAGUGCGGCACCGCGUUGAUCUUUGCGAAUGCGGUUCGUUCGAGCAGGGCAUGAUAGCCACUGCGAAACGGUACUAUAUCGAAGAUUAACUCUUCGCUUCGGAAAUUAUCCGGGGACCUGAAGACCACAGCAAGUGUUACUGAGCCUGUACAAUUGGCUUCUACACCUGGUAUAACGCCUUUAAAGGUUGUUCUUGUGGGCUUAAUCCUUGAGGGAUCUAUGCCCAUUUUCCGCACUGUAUCCUGAUAAAGCAGGUUCAGGCUAAUGCCGCCGUCCAUGAGGACUCUUGUGAGAUAAAAUCCUUCGAUGAUUGGGUCGAGAACCAAUGCGGCAAAGCCGCCAUGACGGAUGCUAGUGGGAUGGUCCCUUCGAUCGAAAAUGAUCGGGCAGGAGGACCAUGGGUUGAACUUUGGGGCGACUGGCUCCAUCGCAUAUACGUCCCGUAGUGCAUGCUUCCGCUCCCGCUUGGGAAUGUGGGUUGCGUAUAUCAUGUUCACCGUCCACACUUGUGGGGGAAAGCCCUUCUGUCCAUUGUUGUUCGGCGGCUUGGGCUCCUCCUCGUCGCUGUGCAGCCCCUUGUCUCUAAUUUCGGCCCUUAACUUGCCUGCCUGCUUGAACACCCAACAAUCCUGUUAGUGUGAUUGGCUGGCCUUUCGGGGGUGCCAUGUGUCUGGCAUAAGCGAUCGAGUAUUCGGUCCAAACUGGACGGGCCCUGAGUAUUCUUUUUGAAUGGCUUUUUCCGCUGACCGGAUUUAUAGCCUUUGAAUCCGGCAUUGACUGCCGUGUCUUCAUUGCUGUCGCUGCUAACGCGGCGUUUUUGCUUAUUCCGACGUGUCCUGCCACUUUUGUCCUUGGUAUCCGAAUUACCAGGGUUCUUUGAUAAGUUGUUACUGCGAGCUAGCCAGCUGUCUUCUCCCGCGCAAAAGCGGGUCAUGAGUGUCAUGAGGGCUGCCAUGGAUUUCGUCUUUUCCUGUCCCAGGUGCCGGGCAAGCCACUCGUCGCAGAUGUUAUGCUUCAAGGCUGCCAGGGCCUUUGCGUCCGGACAGUCGACUAUCUGGUUUUUCUUUGUUAGGAACCGUGUCCAGAAUUGUCUGGCCGAUUCCUCUGGCUGCUGAAUUAUGUGGCUUAAGUCGUCGGCAUCCAGUGGUCGCACGUAAGUGCCCUGGAAGUUGUCGAGGAAUGCGGCUUCCAGGUCCUCCCAAGAACCGAUUGAGUCUGCUGGCAAGCUGUUAAGCCAAUGCCGGGCCGGUCCUUUAAGUUUGAGCGGGAGGUAUUUGAUGGCGUGUAGAUCAUCGCCGCAUGCCAUGUGGAUGUGAAGGAGAUAAUCCUCGAUCCAUACCGCCGGAUCUGUUGUGCCAUCGUAUGAUUCGAUGUUUACGGGUUUGUAACUCUCUGGGAUUUUAUGAUCCAUUACUUCAUUCGUGAAGCAUAGUGGUUGUGCGGGUCCUCUGUAUUGGGCUAUAUCACGACGCAGCUCGGACGAGCUAUGUCUGUUGUGUUCGGCCCGGGGCCGGAUUUGUCGUAUCCGGAGUGAAGAUCAUUUUCCCGUGCCUUAGUUGAGCGGUGUCGGGGCAUGCCUUGGGUGGAGGGCCGAGACGCCUCUCUGUCGGGGCCGCGAGGUGGCCGGUCUGCCAUGUCAUGCGCUGGUGAUGUAGGUGCUUCCUCCUCUGAUCGGGGUAGCUGCCUGCGCUUCGGGUAACUCUUGGAGGGGCGUUCGAGUUCAUACUCUUCGGCCGCAAGGACUUCAGUCCAUCUGUCAGGUAGCAAAUCUUGGGCAGCUCUAAGCUGUUGCUGCUUUUUCUUGAGGCUGCUUGCCGUGGCUAAAAGCCUGCGUUUAAACGCUCUUGUUCGGCGGGGUCUGAUUGUAUGACGAAUUCGUCGUCAUCGAGGCUUGCCUCGUCUUCGGAGGGAGGCGUAUAGUUAUCAUCCUCGACCUCUCAGUCUGCCGCUCUCUCAUGAGGGCUGGCUUCUCCAUCUUCCUGUGCCGAAUAUUGCUGAGGUUGGUGUUCUUCGGCGCUAUCCGGGGUAGUAUUAUCUCUCGUGUCAGAAUCACCGUUUUUGCUUUGGCGGGAUUUAGGGUGGCGCCGCUGGUGCCGGUGCUUUGGUUGUUUCUUGGGGGCGUCAUCCCCCACUGUUCCAUCGCCAUCUCCAUCUUUUGGAGUAUCCACCAUAUAUAUGUCAUACGACGAGGUGGCCUUCCAGCGCCCUACAGGUGCUGGUUCCUAUUCGUCUCCUACAUUGUCGUCCAGGCCGUCAAUGUCUUUGGAGCUGAAGUCAAGCAUGUCGGUUAGAUCGUCGAUACUGGCUACAAAGUGGGUGGUGGGUGGGCUUUGAAUUUCCUCAUCGUCCGUAUCCCACCCUCGCUGACCGUAGUCCGGCCAGGGCUCUCCUGAUAAAGAGAGAUACUUAAGAGAAUUCAGGAUGUCGCCAAAAGGCGAAUGCUGAAAGAUGUCUGUGGCGGUGAACUCCAUUAUCGGCGCCCAAUCGGAUUCGAUUGGCAGGGGCGCGGGUGGUUUGGAGUCCGGGGAGGAGUCCAGAUCCUCGGAGUCACCGGUCGUGCAGAGUGCGGGGCUAGCAUUCGGCUCGAUCGCUUUCGGGAUCGCAGCCCCCGAGGUGACGUCCAACCGCUCAUCCUCGAUUGGCGCAAUAGGUUCCGAGUUAGGGGUCGGAACCGAUGCGUGUGCGGCCUCCAGGACACUGGCCGGGGGCAGAGCUAGAUCAUGCCCCUCGGGAUAGUGCGGCGCGCUUGGCCGUGGCUCGAGCCCGUCGAAGAUCAAGUCUCCAUGGAUGUCUGCCGUGUAGUUUAAGCUUCCAAACCUGACUUGAUGGACAGGGGCGUAGCUUUCGAUCUGCUACAGGUGGCCGAGCGAAUUGGCUCGCAGAGCGAUGCCGCCGAAGACGAAGAUCUGUCCGGGGAGAAAAGUCUCACCCUGGACCGCAUCGUUGUUGAUGAUCAAAGGAGCCAUCGGGCCUAAAGGUGACGAGACAGAGGAACUCUCAAUGAAAGCACCAAUGUCGGUGUCAAAACCAGUGGAUCUCGGGUAGUGGGUCGCGAACUGUGCGUCUAGGCCGGAUGGUAACAGGAGGCAGGGAACACGAUGUUUUACCUAGGUUCCGGCCCUCUUGAUGGAGGUAAAACCCUAUGUCCUGCUUGAUUAAUAUUGAUGAUAUGGGUAGUACAAGAGUAGAUCUACCACGAGAUCAAGGAGGCUAAACCCUAGAAGCUAGCCUAUGGUAUGAUUGUUGUAUAUGGAGUUGAUUGCCUACGGACUACAACCCUCCGGUUUAUAUAGACACCGGAUAGGGUUAGGGUUACAUAGAGUCAGUUACAAUGGUAGGAGAUCUUGAAUAUCCACAUCGCCAAGCUUGCCUUCCACGCCAAGGAAAGUCCCGUCCGGACCCGGGACGAAGUCUUCAAUCUUGUAUCUUCAUAGCCCAGGAGUCCGGCUGAAGGUAUAGUCCGGCUACCCGAACACCCCCUAAUCCAGGACUCCCUCAGGUAGCAAGAUGGAUUUCUGGCGCCGUUGCCGGGGAGACUCGCGCCAAGUAAAGACAUACCAAGUACCCAUCACAAACCCUUAUCCCUCGCAUUACAUUAUUUUCCAUUUGCCUCUCGUUUUCCUCUCCCCCACUUCACCCUUGCCGUUUUAUGCGCCCUCUCUUUUUUCCUUCGCCUCUUUUCCACUUGCUUUGUCAUUAUGGCUAGUCCUUUAUCUACUCCUUUGUCUCCCGAGAAUGAAGUUCUUAAUUUUAAACAAAGGGAGGGAGAAAAUCUAAAAGAUGCUUGGUACAGAAUUUGCAACACGCAAAUUAGAUCUACUAGGAAACAAUCUACUUUUGUUCUUCUUCACAAUUUUUAUGUAGGCAUCACACCUAGGAAUAGAUAUAUUCUUGAUGCCAUUACCGGAGGGAAUUUCUUGGGUAGCCAUACUUUUGAUUCUUAUAAUGCUAUGAUAGAUCUGUUUGGCCCACCACCUCUUUUGGUUAAUGGAACUAUUUUAACUUUGGAACAUGUGAUGCAAUGGCUUGAAAUUAGUGAAAAUAAAGUUGCCACCAUAGAGUUAAUUGAAAAUUUGGAUAGAAAGAUCCACAACCAAAUUACCCAAUACGGAUCUAAGUUAGGAGUUGCUCUUAAAAGUUUUAAAGAAAAGGGACCUAUGGUUAAUGAAAAGAUAGAAAAAGAUUCCACUAGAAUUGUUAAAUUGAGGAUAUUAUUACCAACCUUGGGUCUUCCUUUUCUUCUAUUAUAAAUACUCUACCUAAUGCUAAGAUUGCCAAACUAAUGUAUGUUACAAAAAAUAAUGGUGAAACUUCUAAUAAGGAAAAUGCGGAUCUCAAAUCCAUAAGUGUUCACCCCAAUUUUCUCACUAUCCUGAAGGAACCUUUUGCUACAAAUGAUUUUCUUGAUUUCGUACCUAGGAGUUUGAUAAUUAAUAAAAACCAAGAAACUCCUAAAAGUUAUUGGUGUCUUAUUGAAGAAUCACCUUCCAAAGACGGCAAUACCUAGGUCUAUCUUCGCUUUUAUGCCUAGCUAGGGGCGUUAAACGAUAGCGCUUGUUGGGAGGCAACCCAGUUUUAUUUUUAUUCCUUGCUUUUUGCUCCUAUUUAGUAAUAAAUAAUUUAUGUAGCCUCUGUUUUGGUUUGUGUUUUUUGUGUUUAAUUUGUGUUUGUGCCAUGUAGAACCGUUGGGUAGACUUGGGGAAAGUCUUUUUGAUCUUGCUGUAAAAAACAGAAACGUUAGCGCUCACGAGAAUCGCUGACAUUUUUAUUUGGAAAGUGAUAUUUAGAUAAUUAUUUUUGCAGAUGAUUAAUAGAUAAAUUCCUCACGUCUAGAAAUUUAUUUUAUAAUUUUUGGGGUUACAGAAGUUUGCGUUAGGUACAGAUUACUACAGACUGUUCUGUUUUUGACAGAUUAUGUUUUUCGUGUAUUGUUUGCUUAUUUUGAUGAAUCUAUGGCUAGUAAAAGAGGUUAUAAACCGUAGAGAAGUUGGAAUACAGUAGGUUUAACACCAAUAUAAAUCAAGAUUGAGUUCAUAACAGUACCUUGAAGUGGUGUUUUGUUUUCUUUCGCUAACGGAGCUCACGAGAUUUUCUAUUUGAGUUUUCUGUUGUGAAGUUUUCAAGUUUUGGGUAAAGAUUUGAUGGAUUGUGGAACAAGGGGUGGCAAGAGCCUAAGCUUGGGGAUUCCCAUGGCACACCAAGGUAAAAUUCAAGGACACCAAAAAGCCUAAGCUUGGGGAUGCCCCGGAAGGCAUCCCCUCUUUCGUCUUCGUCUAUUGGUAACUUUACUUGGAGCUAUAUUUUUAUUCACCACAUGAUAUGUGUUUUGCUUGGAGCGUCUUGUAUGAUUUGAUUAUUUGAUUUUUAGUUUACCAAAAUCAUCCUUGCUGUACACACCUUUUGAGAGAGACUCACAUGAUUGGGAAUUUAUGAGAGUACUCGAUGUGCUUCACUUAUAUCUUUUGAGCUAUAUGGUUUUUGUUCUAGUUCUUCACUUAUAUAUUUUAGAGCACGGCGGUGGUUUUAUUUUAUAGAAAUAAUUGUUCUCUCAUGCUUCACUUAUAUUAUUUUGAGAGUCCUUUAGAACAACAUGGCAAUAAUAAAACUGUCAUACAAGUGCAUUGAAUACUAUGAGAAGUUUGAUACUUGAUAAUUGUUUUGAGAUAUGGAGAUGGUGAUAUUAGAGUCAUGCUAGUUGUGUAGUUGUGAAUUUGAGAAAUACUUGUGUUGAAGUUUGUGAUUCCCGUAGCAUGCACGUAUGGUGAACCGUUAUGUGACGAAGUCGGAGCAUGAUUUAUUUGUUGAUUGUCUUCCUUAUGAGUGGCGGUCGGGGAUGAGCAAUGGUCUUUUACUACCAAUCUAUCUCCCUAGGAGCAUGGGCAUAAUACUUUGCUUUGAUAACUUGUAGAUUUUUGCAAUAAGUAUGUGAGUUCUUUCUGACCAAUGUUGAGUCCAUGGAUUAUACGCACUCUCACCCUUCCACCAUUGCUAGCCUCUCUAAUACCGCGCACUUCUCGCCGAUAUCAUACACCCACCAUAUACCAUCCUCAAAACAGCCACCAUACCUACCUAUUAUUGCAUUUCCAUAGCCAUUCCGAGAUAUAUUGCCAUGCAACUUUUCAUCGUUCCAUUAUUAUGACACACUUCAUCAUUGUCAUAUUUGCUUGCAUGAUCAUGUAGUUGGCAUUGUAUUUGUGCAAAGCCACCGUUAAUAAUUCUUCAUACAUGUCACUCUUCAUUCACUUCAUAUCCCGGUACACCGCCGGAGGCAUUCACAUAGUCAUAUUUUGUUCUAAGUAUCGAGUUGUAAUUCUUGAGUUGUAAGUAAAUAAAAGUGUGAUGAUCAUCAUUAUUAGAGCAUUGUGCCAAGUGAGGAAAGGAUGGAGACUAUGAUUCCACAACAAGUCGGCAUGAGACUCCAGACGAAAAUAAAAAAAGAGGGGAAAAAGAGAAAGGCCAUAGAAAAAGAAGGCCCAAAAAAUGAGAGAAAAAGAGAGAAGGGGCAAUGUUACUAUCCUUUUUCCACACUUGUGCUUCAAAGUAGCACCAUCAUCUUCAUGAUAGAGAGUCUCCUAUGAUAUCACUUUCAUAUACUAGUGGGAAUUUUUCAUUAUAGAACUUGGCUUGUAUAUUCCAAUGAUGGGCUUCCUCAAAUUGCCCUAGGUCUUCGUGAGCAAGCAAGUUGGAUGCACACCCACUUAGUUUCUUUUGUUGAGCUUUCAUACACUUAUAGCUCUAGUGCAUCCGUUGCAUGGCAAUCCCUACUCACUCACAUUGAUAUCUAUUAAUGGGCAUCUCCAUAGCCCGUUGAUACGCCUGUUCCGGAGCUCCGCCGGAGGGGGCAUCGAUCACGGAGGGCUUCUACAUCAACAGCAUAGCCUCUUCGAUGAAGUGUGAGUAGUUGACCUCAGACCUAUGGGUCCAUAGUUAUUACCUAGAUGGCUUCUUUUCUCUUUUUGGAUCUCAAUACAAUGUUCUCCCCCUCUCUUGUGGAGAACUAUUCGAUGUAAUCUUCUUUUUGCGGUGUGUUUAUUGAGACCGAUGAAUUGUGGGUUUAUGAUCAAGUCUAUCUAUGAAUAAUAUUUGAAUCUUCUCUGAAUUCUUUUAUGUAUGAUUGUUUAUCUUUGCAAGUCUCCUCGAAUUAUCAGUUGGUUUGGCCUACUAGAUUGAUCUUUCUUACAAUGGGAGAAGUGCUUCGCUUUGGGUUCAAUCUUGCGGUGUCCUUUCCCAGUGACAAUAGGGGCAGCAAGGCAUGUAUUGUAUUGUUGCCAUCGAGGAAAACAAGAUGAGGUUUUCAUCAUAUUGCAUGAGUCUAUCCCUCUACAUCAUGUCAUCUAGCUUAAGGCGUUACUCUGUUUUUAACUUAAUACUCUAGAUGCAUGCUGGAUAGCGGUCGAUGAGUGGAGUAAUAGUAGUAGAUGCAGGCAGGAGUCGGUCUACUUGUCUCGGACGUGAUGCCUAUAUACAUGAUCAUACCUAGAUAUUCUCAUAAAUAUGCUCAAUUCUGUCAAUUGCUCAACAGUAAUUUGUUCACCCACCAUAGAAUAAUUAUGCUCUCGAGAGAAGCUACUAGUGAAACCUAUGGCCCCCGGGUCUAUCUUUAUCAUAUUAAUCUCCUACUACUUAGUUAUUUCCUUUGCUUUUUCCUUUGCCUUUAUUUUACUUUUCAUCUUUAUCACAAAAAUACCAAACAUAUUAUCUUUAUCAUAUCUAUCAGAUCUCACUCUCGUAAGUGGCCGUGUAGGGAUUGACAACCCCUAUUCACGUUGGUUGCGAGGAUUUAUUUGUUUUGUGCAAGUACGAGGGACUCGCGCGUAGCCUCCUACUGGAUUGAUAUCUUGGUUCUCAAAAACCGAGGGAAAUACUUACGCUACUUUGCUACAUCAUCCCUUCCUCUUCGGGGAAAACCAACGCAGUGCUCAAGAGGUAGCAAGAAGGAUUUCUGGUGCCAUUGCCAGGGAGGUCUACGCAAAAGUUAACAUACCAAGUACCCGUCACAUACCCUUAUCUCCCGCAUUAUAUUAUUUGCCAUUUGCCUCUCGUUUUCACCUCCCCCACUUCACCCUUGCCGUUUUAUUCGCCCUCUCUCUCUAUCCUCCCUCUCUUUCUCUAUUUGCCUCUUUUUUCCCGCUUGCUUUCUGUUUGCUUGUGUGUUAGUUGCUUGCUUGUCACGAUGGCUCAAGAUAAUACUAAAUUAUGUGACUUCACCAAUACCAACAACAAUGAUUUUAUUAGCACUCCGAUUGCUCCUCUUAUCGAUGCUGAAUCUUGUGAAAUUAAUACUGCUUUGCUGAAUCUUGUCAUGAAAGAUCUGUUUUCCGGCCUUCCUAGUGAAGAUGCCGGUACCCACCUAAAUAGAUUCAUUGAUUUGUGUGACAUGCAAAACAAGAAAGGUGUGGAUAAUGAUAUUGUUAAAUUGAAGCUAUUUCCUUUUUCGCUUAGAGAUCGUGCUAAACUUGGUUUUCGUCUUUGCCUAAAAAUAGUAUUGAUUCAUGGAAUAAGUGCAAAGAUGCUAUUAUCUCUAAGUAUUUUCCUCCUGCUAAGAUCAUCUCUCUUAGAAACGAUAUUAUGAAUUUUAAGCAACUUGAUCAUGAAUAUGUUGCACAAGCUUGGGAGAGAAUGAAACUAAUGGUACGUAAUUGCCCUGCCCAUGAUUUAAAUUUGUGGAUGAUUAUACAAAAUUUUUAUGCCGGAUUGAAUUUUGCUUCUAGAAAUCUUUUAGAUUCGGCCGCGGGAGGCACUUUUAUGGAAAUCACUUUAGGAGAAGCUACUAAACUCCUAGAUAAUAUUAUGGUUAAUUAUGCUCAACGGCAUACUAAAAGAUCUAAUAAUAAAAAGGUGCAUGCGAUAGAAGAAAUUAAUGUUUUGAGUGGAAAGAUGGAUGAACUUCUGAAAUUAUUUGCUAAUAAGAGUGUUUCUUCUGAUCCUAAUGAUAUGCCCUUGUCUACUUUGAUUGAGAAUAAUAAUGAAUCUGUGGAUGUGGAUUUUGUUGGUAGGAACAAUUUUGGUAACAGCGCGUAUAGAGGAAAUUUCAACCCUAGGCCUUAUCCUAGUAAUCUCUCUAAUAAUUACGGUAAUUCCUACAACAAUUCUUAUGGAAAUUAUAAUAAGAUGCCCUCUAAUUUUGAAUCUAAUAUUAAAGAAUUUAUUACUUUGCAAAAGAAUUUCAAUGCCUUGAUUGAAGAAAAAUUGCUUAAGAUUGAUGAUUUGGCUAGGAACGUUGAUAGAAUUACUCUUGAUGUUGAUUCUUUGAAACUUAGAUCUAUUCCACCUAAGCAUGAUGUCAAUGAGUCUCUCAAAGCCAUGAGAAUUUCCAUUGAUGAGUGCAAAGAAAGAACCGCUAAGAUGCGUGCUAAGAAAGAUGCCUUUAUAAGAGCGUGUUCUUCUAGUUCCUAUGAAAAUAAUGAUGAAGAUCUAAAAGUUAUAGAUGUGUUCCCUAUUAAAUAUUUGUUUUUCAAUAUGAAUCUUGAUAAUGAUGGGACUGAAUAUGAUCCACCUUUACCUAUAAGGCGUUCGAAGAAUUCAGAAUUUGUUGAUCUUGAUGCUAAAAUUGAUAAAGGUGGGAUUGAAGAAAUUAAAACCCUAGAUGUUGCUAAACCCACUAUUAUGGAUUUCAAGGAAUUUAACUAUGAAAAUUGCUCUUUGAUUGAUUGUAUAUCCUUUUUACAAUCCGUGCUAAAUUCUCCUCAUGCUUAUAGUCAAAAUAAAGCGUUUACUAAACAUAUCGUUGAUGCCUUGAUGCAAUCUUAUGAAGAAAAACUUGAAUUGGAAGUUUCUAUCCCUAGAAAGCUUUAUGAUGAUUGGGAACCAACUAUUAAAAUUAAAAUUAAAUAUCAUGAAUGCUAUGCUUUAUGUGAUUUGGGUGCUAGUGUUUCCACGAUUCCAAAGACUUUGUGUGAUUUGUUAGGUUUCCGUGAUUUUGAUGAUUGCUCUUUAAACUUGCGCCUUGUGGAUUCCACUAUUAAGAAACCUAUGGGAAGAAUUAAUGAUGUUCUUAUGGAUGCAAAUAGGAAUUAUGUGCCUGUAGAUUUUAUUCUUCUUGACAUAGAUUGCAAUCUUUCAUGUCCUAUUAUUCUUGGUAGACCUUUCCUUAGAAUGAUUGGUACAAUUAUUGAUAUGAAGGAAGGAAAUAUUAGAUUCCAAUUUCCAUUAAGGAAAUUCAUGGAACACUUUACUAGAAAGUAAAUUAAAUUACCUUAUGAAUCUAUUAUGAUAGCCACUUGUGGAUUGCCUACCAAAGAUGGCAAUACCUAGAUCUAUCCUUGCUUGUUAUGCCUAGCUAGGGGCGUUAAACGAUAGCGCUUGUUGGGAGGCAACGCAAUUUUGUUUUUAUUCCUUGAUUUUUGCUCCUGUUUAGUAAUAAAUAAUUUAUCUAUCCUCUGUUUUGGUUGUGUUCUUUGUGUUUAAUUAGUGUUGGUGCCAAGUAGAACCGUUAGGAAGACUUGGGGAAAGUCUUGUUACACUUGCUGUAAAAAACAGAAACUUCGGCGCUCAUGAGAACUGCUGCCAUUUUUAUUUGGAAAGUGCUAUUUAGUUAAUUAUUUCUGCAGAUGAUUAAUAGAUAAAUUCCUCACGUCCAGAAAUUUAUUUUAGAAUUUUUGGGGUUCCAGCUCUUGAGCUAGGUACAGAUUACUACAGAUUGUUCUGUUUUUGAAAGAUUCUGUUUUUUCGUGUGUUGUUUGCUUAUUUUGAUGAACCUAUGGCUAGUAAAAUAGUUCAUAAACCAUAGAGAAGUUGGAAUACAGUAGGUAUAACACCAGUAUAAAUAAAUAAUGAGUUCAUUAUAGUACCUUGAAGUGGUCUUUUAUUUUCUUUCGCUAACGGAGCUCACGAGAUUUUCUACUUUAAGUUUUGUGUUGUGAAGUUUUCAAGUUUUGGGUAAAGAUUUGAUGGUUUAUGGAACAAGGAGUGACAAGAGCCUAAGCUUGGGGAUGCCCAUGGCACCCCCAAGAUAAUCUAAGUACACCUAAAAGCCAAAGCUUGGGGAUGCCCCGGAAGUCAUCCCCUCUUUCGUCUACUUCUAUCGGUAACUUUACUUGGAGCUAUAUUUUUAUUCGCCACAUGAUAUGUGUUUUGCUUGGAGCGUCUUGUAUUAUUUGACUCUUUAUUUGUUAGUUUACCACAAUCAUCCUUCCUGUACACACCUUUUGAGAGAGCCAUACAUGAUUUGGAAUUUGUUAGAAUAGUCUAUGUGCUUCGCUUAUAUCUUUUGAGUUAUAUAGUUUUGCUCUAGUACUUCACUUAUAUAUUUUAGAGCACGGUGGUGGAUUUGUUUUAUAAAAACUAUUGAUCUCCCAUGCUUCACUUAGAUUAUUUUGAGAUGCUUAAUAGCAUGGUAACUUGCUUAAAAUCCUAAUAUGCUAGGUAUUCAAAGUUAGUAAAAUUUUCUUAAGAGUGUUUUGAAUACUAAGAGAAGUUUGAUGCUUGAUGAUUGUUUUGAGAUAUGGAGGUAAUAAUAUCAAAGUCGUGCUAGUUGAGUAGUUGUGAAAUUGAGAAAUACUUGUGUUGAAAUUUGCAUGUCCCGUAGCAUGCACGUAUGGUAAAUGUUGUGUAACAAAUUUGAAACAUGAGGUGUUAUUUGAUUGUCUUCCUUAUGAGUGGCGGUCGGGGACGAGCGAUGGUCUUUUCCUACCAAUCUAUCCCCCUAGGAGCAUGCGCGUAGUACCGAGGUUUUUGAUGACUUGUAGAUUUUUGCAAUAAGUAUGUGAGUUCUUUAUGACUAAUGUUGAGUCCAUGAAUUAUACGCACUCUCACCCUUCCAUCCUUGCUAGCCUCUUUGGUACCAUGCAUUGCCCUUUCCCACAUUGAUUGUUGGAGCAAACUUCGCCGGUGCAUCCAAACCCCGUGAUAUGAUACGCUCUUUCACACAUAAACCUCCUUAUAUCUUCGUCAAAAAAGCCACCAUACCUACCUAUUAUGGCAUUUCCAUAGCCAUUCCGACAUAUAUUGCCAUGCAACUUUCCACCAUUCCGUUCAUCAUGACACAUUCAUCAUUGUCAUAGUGCUUAGCAUAAUCAUGUAGUUGACAUAGUAUUUGUGGCAAGGCCACCGUUCAUAAUUCUUUCAUACAUGUCACUCUUGGUCCAUUGCAUAUCCCGGUACACCGCUGGAGGCAUUCAUAUAAGUCAUACUUUGUUCUAGUAUCGAGUAGUAAUUAUUGAGUUGUAAAUAAAACGAAGUGUGAUGAUCUUAAUUAAUAGAGCAUGGUCCCAAAAAGAGAAAAAAGGAAGGGCCAAAAAAAGGCCAAAUAAAAAAAUAUAAAAAGGGGGGCAAUGCUACUAUCCUUUUUUCCACACUUGUGAUUCAAAGUAGCACCGUAAUCUUCAUGAUAGAGAGUAUCUUGAUUUGUCACUUUCAUAUACUAGUGGGAAUUUUUCAUUAUAGAACUUGGCUUGUAUAUUCCAACAAUGGGCCUCCUCAAGUGCCCUAGGUCUUUGUGAGCAAGCAAGUUGGAUGCACACCCACUUAGUUUCUUUUGUUGAGCUUUCAUACAUUUAUAGCUCUAGUGCAUCCGUUGCAUGGCAAUCCCUACUCCUUGCAUUAACAUCAAUCGAUGGGCAUCUCCAUAGCCCAUUGAUUAGCCUCGUUGAUGUGAGACUUUCUCCUUUUUGUCUUGUCCACAUAACUCCACUCAUUAUAUUCUAUUCCACCCAUAGUGUUAUGUCCAUGGCUUACAAUCAUAUAUUCCGUGAAAGUUUAUAGGUUUGAGAUCACUAAAGUAUGAAACAAUUGCUUGGCUUGUCAUCGGGGUUGUGCAUGAUGAGAGCAUUGUUGUGUGACAAAAAUGAAGCAUGACUAAACUAUAUGAUUUUGUAGGGAUGAACUUUCUUUGGCCAUGUUAUUUUGAGAAGACAUAAUUGCUUAGUUAGUAUGCUUGAAGUAUUAUUAUUUUUAUGUCAAUAUGAACUUUUGUCUUGAAUCUUUCGGAUCUGAAUAUUCAUACCACAAUUAAGAAGAAUAACAUUAAAAUCAUGCUAAGUAGCACUCUGCAUCAAAAAUUCUGUUUUUAUCAUUUACCUACUCGAGGACGAGCAGGAAUUAAGCUUGGGGAUGCUUGAUACGUCUCCAACGUAUCUAUAAUUUUUGAUUGCUCCAUGCUAUAUUAUCUACUGUUUUGGACAAUAUUGGGCUUUAUUAUCCACUUUUAUAUUAUUUUUGGGACUAACCUAUUAACCGGAGGCCCAGCCUAGGAUUGCUGUUUUUUGCCUAUUUUAGGGUUUCGAAGAAAAGGAAUAUCAAACGGAGUCCAAACGGAAUGAAACCUUCGGGAACGUGAUUUUCUCAACGAACAAGACCCAGGAGAAUUGGACCCUCCGUCAAGACACAAAAGAGGAGGCCACGAGGUAGGGGGCGUGCCUACCCCCCCGGCGCGCCCUCCACCCUCGUGGGCCCCCUGUUGCUCCACCGACGUACUCCUUCCUCCUAUAUAUACCUACGUACCCCCAAAUGAUCAUAUACGGAGCCAAAACCCUAAUUACGCUGCCGCAACAUUCUGUAUCCACGAGAUCCCAUCUUGGUGCCUGUUCCGGAGCUCCGUCAGAGGGGGCAUCGAUCAUGGAGGGCUUCUACAUCAACACCAUAGCCUCUCUGAUGAAGUGUGAGUAGUUGACCUCAGACCUACGGGUCCAUAGUUAUUACCUAGAUGGCUUCUUCUCUCUUUUUGGAUCUCAAUACAAUGUGCUCCCCCUCUCUUGUGGAGAACUAUUCGAUGUAAUCUUCUUUUUGCGGUGUGUUUGUUGAGACCGAUGAAUUUUGGGUUUAUGAUCAAGUCUAUCUAUGAAUAAUAUUUGAAUCUUCUCUGAAUUCUUUUAUGUAUGAUUGGUUAUCUUUGCAAGUCUCUUCGAAUUAUCAGUUUGGUUUGGCCUACUAGAUUGAUCUUUCUUGCAAUGGGAGAAGUGCUUAGCUUUGGGUUCAAUCUUGCGUGUCCUUUCCCAGUGAUAGUAGGGGUAGCAAGGCACGUAUUGUAUUGUUGCCAUCGAGGACAACAAGAUGGGGUUUUCAUCAUAUUUUAUGAGUCUAUCCCUCUACAUCAUGUCAUCUUACUUAAGGCGUAAUAGUAGUAGAUGAGUGGAGUAAUAGUAGUAGAUGCAGGCAGGAGUCGGUCUACUUGUCUCGGACGUGUUGCCUAUAUACAUGAUCAUACCUAGAUAAUCUCAUAACUAUGCUCAAAUCUAUCAAUUGCUCAAUAGUAAUUUGUUCAUCCACCGUAGAAUACUUAUGCUCUCGAGAGAAGCCACUAGUGAAACCUAUGGCCCCCGGGUCUAUCUUUAUCAUAUUAAUCUCCUACUACUUAGUUAUUUCCUUUGCUUUUUUACUUUGCCUUUAUUUUACUUUGCAUCUUUAUCACAAAAAUAAAAAUAUCUUUAUCAUAUCUAUCCAAUCUCACUCUCGUAAGUGGCCGUGUAGGGAUUGACAACCCCUAUUCACGUUGGUUGCGAGGAUUUAUUUAUUUUGUGCAGGUACGAGGGACUGGCGCAUAGCCUCCUACUGGAUUGAUACCAUGGUUCUCAAAACCUGAGGGAAAUACUUAUGCUACUUUGCUGCAUCAUCCCUCACUCUUCGGGGAAAACCAACGAAGUGCGCAAGAGGUAGCAAGGGUUCCUUUUUGUCGACGAUCUGAUGUUUCAACCUUGUUUUCCAGGCGGCCAACGCAUCACUCAACUUGGUCAUGGCGUGUUUGUUUAUCUUCUUCAUUGCCAGGUCCUUAUCUGGAUCUUUAUUAUCCUUUUCAUUACGGUCCGGGAACAAGAAUAUCUGGUGCAGCUUCUUCAGGAGGGAGGGCCUCAUAUUAUCUAUCUUCUAUAGUUUCCCAUCGUUGAUCAUGGCAGUUGUCCGUACAAUGCAACCUAUUUGAUUGCCGUAACACGAUUGCGCUUCCUCGGGUGCUAUUGUCUCAAAAAUACUGUCGUCCAUCUCCGUGACCACCAGUCUAGUACUCAUGAGCUGGUUUAGGCGUCGUGGCCUCUUUGCUGUCGGUUCUAGACUAACUCCCCUAGUCUCGGCACCGGUCUCAGUCUCAUCGCCGGUCUGCAUGUCGGUAUCAGUCCCCGAUGCGACAACACAGUCGCUGCAACAUGGGUAAGGGAGACCACAUCAGUGCUGGGGGUCCGAAAAUUGGGACACACUUUCGCGCGUCGCGGGCCGCCUCUCAGACAGCUAAUGGGGAGGCGGCGGAGUACCUGGGUGCGCGGCGAAUCCCCAAGAACUCGGUGACCAACUUCCUUCCCGUGUGGCGCAUGGAGACGACGGCGACCCUGGCGAAGAGCAGCUUAGCCGCGAGCUGCACAGCCUCGUCCACCUCCUAAGUUGGGACCUCCGUGCGAGCGUUGCGGGGCCGCCGCUCGGAUGGCUUCUGGAAGGCCGUUGUACAUGGGCACAGGGUGAAUCCCGACGAGAGCUGGCCAUUGGCGCGCGCAAGUAGACGACGACGUCCCCGACGAAGAGCUGCCCGGCCAGCUCGCCUCACUCGCCUUUGAUUAGAAAUGAAAGAUUGGGAAGAAGCAGACUUGAGCCUGCAGGGAAAGGAUAAGGUGACGAUGCAGUCUCCACUCGUUCGGGGCGACACGCGUACUGAAUGUAUGAGAAACGUGACGUGGCAGAGACCCCAAGAUACUCCCUCCAUUUAUUUUUAGUCUGCAUAUAAAGUUUGGUCAAAGUCAAGAUUUGUAAAUUUUAACGAACUUUAUAAUAAAAAAAUAUCAGCAUUCACAAUAUGAAAUCAAUAUUACCAGAUGCGUCAUGAAAUGUAUUUCCAUACUAUAUAGUUUUGGUAUUGUAGAGGCACUCUUCCAUAUAAUGAAGUUUAUAAUAUAUGUGCUUAUAUUGUAUUACAAUUGUUUGAAUAGCUUAGCAUAUGUUCAGAUGUAUGAUAUCUGUAAUUUAAGCGCUUGAAUUUUACAUAUAAAUAUUUAUUAAUAAAUAUGUACCCCUAUAAUAGCUAGGCCGUGCCGUUGCACGGGUAGAUGACUAGUGAUUACAAUCUUGUUUGUGUGCAAGUCAAGCUUAUAUAGUUUACACGUAACAACUUGUAGAACAUUACAAAAUUUAUGCUUGCUAAUAACUUCUAGAACACUAGAACACUUGACAUGUAAAAGGAAUUUGACGAGUCAUGGCCUACUAAAGCAAGUUACAUUACUAGUCUUAUCUAUCUUAACAGACCACACAAGAUUACAAACUAAGUACCGUGACAGCCAUGCUUAUCUAGUUUAUGCGUAACAAUUUGCAGAAAAUUAGAAACUUGGUUUCAGAAAAAUACGCAAUCUAGAUUAGUGUUUGAGCUGUAAAGUGAAUAAGAUGAGUCAUGCAUGUUAUCACACCUUUUUGGUGGUGGAAUGAUAGUGCAACAACAAGGAACUUUAAUGACCAGUCCAAGAAUACACUUGUAAGUAGUGCCACCAAACAGAACAUACCAAAUGAUGAUUUUUAGAAGCAUCCAAGCACUUUCCACACAAACAAAUGCCAAUUGUGAAAGAGAUCAUUCCAUGGCAGCUAUAAAUAGCCCCAUAGCAUGAGGUUCAUCCUUCCUCAUCCAUCAUUUUCAUUAGUAGAGCGCAUCAUUUAAGCCAAGCAAGCUGUGGUCAAUACAAAUCCACCAUGAAGACCUUUCUCAUCCUUGCCCUCCCUGCUAUCGUGGCGACCACCGCCACAACUGCAGUUAGAGUUCCAGUGCCACAAUUGCAGCCACAAAAUCCAUCUCAGCAACAGCCACAAGAGCAAGUUCCAUUGGUACAACAACAACAAUUUCUAGGGCAGCAACAACCAUUUCCACCACAACAACCAUAUCCACAGCCGCAACCAUUUCCAUCACAACAACCAUAUCUGCAGCUGCAACCAUUUCCGCAGCCGCAACUACCAUAUUCGCAGCCACAACCAUUUCGACCACAACAACCAUAUCCACAACCGCAACCACAGUAUUCGCAACCACAACAACCAAUUUCACAGCAGCAGCAGCAGCAGCAACAACAACAACAACAACAACAACAACAACAAAAGCAAAUCCUUCAACAAAUUUUGCAACAACAACUGAUUCCAUGCAUGGAUGUUGUAUUGCAGCAACACAACAUAGCGCAUGGAAGAUCACAAGUUUUGCAACAAAGUACUUACCAGCUGUUGCAAGAAUUGUGUUGUCAGCACCUAUGGCAGAUCCCUGAGCAGUCGCAGUGUCAGGCCAUCCAAAAUGUUGUUCAUGCUAUUAUUCUGCAUCAACAACAAAAACAACAACAACAACCAUCGAGCCAGGUGUCCUUCCAACAGCCUCUGCAACAAUAUCCAUUAGGCCAGGGCUCCUUCCGGCCAUCUCAGCAAAACCCACAGGACCAGGGCUCUGUCCAGCCUCAACAACUGCCCCAGUUCGAGGAAAUAAGGAACCUAGCGCUACAGAUGCUACCUGCAAUGUGCAAUGUCUACAUCCCUCCAUAUUGCACAAUCGCGCCAUUUGGCAUCUUCGGUACUAACUGAGAAGAAAAUAACUCUAGUACUAGAUAUAUGAAACACCGUUUUCUCAGUCCAUGGUUUGGUCAUUGUAGCGUCGAAAAAAUAAUGUGACAUGCACUAUCAUAUAAGAAUCCGAACUAUACUAGUUCAAACUUGGGAAUAAAAGACAAACACAUGUCUUGUCUACAUAUUUAUGUUGCAUCUAUUUAUAUAUUAAAAGUAAUAUAAGGUGAACCAGGAGCAAGGUAAAUAUGCUAGAAAAUUGCACGUUAAUUAGAAAUUACUUGCCCUCGAUCUGGUAAAUCUUAACAAAUAGAAUUAUCUUGACCGUUAGAUUUAUAUAACAUAUAUAAUGCUCUGGGCCUCCAACGACUGUACGUGACACAUCUGAACGAACAUAUGGUAAAGAAAAUAUAUUUGGUAAAUGGUGGGCCUGUUUAAAAAGAGAACUCACGUACAUGCACCAACUAAGAAAAACACAUACAUGUAAACGGGAAAAGGAUGAGAUUUUCUCACGUACGUGCUCCCUGGCUCCACCCCGUUGAAAAAAUAUACAUCUGGAGGCCACUUUGUUUCCUCAUCAAAAAAACUUACGUUAAAAAGAUUGCAUGCAUCCCAGGGAAAAUAGUCAAGAAGAAGUCGGACUUUUCCUUACAAAAACAAGGAACGUGUUAAGUUGACUUCAAAGAAAAAAGGAACAUGUUAAGUUAAAAAAAAACAAGAAACCUGUUAAGUUAGAAAAAAACAAGGAACGUGUUGUCCAAGGAAAGAUAUGUGUCAAAUCUUACAAAAAAAAAGAAUACACACACGUACGUUCAUGCACUUGGAAAAUAGAAAAAAAGGAACAUCACGUAUGUAUACACUUCGGAAACUCAUUACAUGACCAUGUCUGAUAUACUCCUCUAAUGCUUAAUAUUAGUGCCUAAUAAUUUAUAUUUAAAAUUUAAUUUACUGAUCAAAUAUCCCCACUGUUUAAAUUUUAAUUUGGCACAUUGUUUGGCUAUAGUAUGAACCUGAAUUUCCUCUUAUUAUUAUAUAUCAUGGUAAUAAUCCAAAGGCGACUAAUCUGCACCGGCGCACCGGCGCAAUCAAUUCGGCUGGACACAGCGCGGCCGUUUGAUUAGAUUGCAUUUAACCAUCAGAUCUGGAAUCGUUUUCUUUCCAAUUAAACGGAUUCAACCAAACAGCAGAGGGGAAAACAAAGCAGCGCCGCCGCCAACACUAGCCAUGGACGACCGAUGUAGCAAAACCUUGAAGAACCGCCGCCGGUCGCCACCCUCGCCUCUGGUCGCUGCCCUCGCCGUCGGUCACCGCCGGUCGCCGCCCUCGCCGCCUGCGUUUCUCAUCGGCUUCAUGCAUGCAACAACAUGCACUCGUGGUUGCAGGCUUGCAUCUCCGGCUCCGGGGACAUGGCCGCAUCUCCGGUAGCGCCGGCCGCCGGCCGCAGCACCUGUCGUUGUGGUCGCGCUGUACCUCGCCGUGUGCCCUCCCGAGGCUCUUGCUGGUUCCAACAAAAAACGAUACCUGUUGUAGCAAAAAAGUAUCGCUUCCAGCAAAAAAGCUUACCGCUACAGCCCGCCAUCGUCAUUGUAGCAAAAAUGUUAACCCGAUGUAGCUUCUGUGGUUGCCGACUGCAGCAAAAAAUGACAUGGCUGUAGCAAAACACAAAAGAAAAACACUGGCCGGCCGCUGUGUAUGGUGGUAACAAACCCUAUAGCCGGUGGUAGCGAAAAACUUCAUAGUGUGCUGCAAAAAAAUGUUGUCACCCGUCGUCGAGGUUGCAUCAUCUUCAUGAAUUAUGCCGCAAAAAAACGUUGUCGCCGGUAGUAGCAAAUGAAGCCGCCGGUAGUAGCAAAACAAGACACUGGUUCCAGCCAAAAAAAAAAUCAGCGACAGAACCUUUGGUUGGUUCCAACAAAAAAACUUGUCGGUUGUAACAUCCCUCGCCGCCGGAUGUAGCAUCUCCCGGGGCUGGUUGCAACACUCCAUAAAAAAAGUUGUCUAUGAGCGCAUCCAUGGUGACUGCUGCACCGUCAGCAAUGAGGGGAAGAGGAGGCAAUGAAAAUCAUUCGAGUCAUAGCUCCACAGGACGCGGCUGCAGCAUGGGGAGUCCAAAAAUCUGUCACAAGCAACAUGCGCCGCGCCAUCCUCCUGCGCAGGAGAGAGAAGAAAAAGGAAUAAGAGGAAGAAGAAAGGAAACAGGAGAAAGAAAAAAGAAAGGAUUGGUGGUUGGCUCAGGCAAUUAGUCAAGCGAGGGGCACGCGGGGCCGCAGGACACAGCGCAAUCGAACGAAGCGCGCGCGUCCGGGCGAAGACUCGGCCGGACUGCCGUCUGGAAACGUUUCCCUAAUCCAAAGGCUUUAUCUGAAUGACAAGUCGUCUGGGUUACCGGCUAACUAGAAAAAAGAUAAAUAUGCUAGAGAAUUCCAUAAUAAUUAGAAAUAUCUAGCCUUUAAUUAUGUAAACCAGAAAAUCACAACCGUUGGAUUUACUUUAAAGGUAAAUUUCUAUAAAUUCCCACCAUUGCCAGUAUGUAGAAACAUGUGCUGCUUCAAUUCUCCCAUAAUCACCAAUCAAUCAACAACACAAAACAUACCUCAGUUAAAAAAACUGAACAAAAAAAAGAAAAAAAGAAGAAAGGACAAGAUACACGCAUGUACACGACAGCCUUGGCUUGAAACACAUCAGUAGAUCAAGUGUCCGCCUCCCUUACACGUACGUCCCAUGAGGUUUACUAGCCUACCGCCGCCGCAUCAUGCCAUCCUCUCCUUUCAGCUCCCAUGCUCUCCAGCACCCUCAUUGCGGCGCCACUACUCGCCUAGGGAUAUUGCUGCUCAGACCGUGGAGCUUAACCACAUCAGCAUCAGCACGUAUGGGCCUCAUUAUACUGCAGCACGUAUUGCGCCCCCUUAAGUCCAGGUCUGUUUGCUGGCACAUAUGCUUUGGAAAUAGGCCACUAUGUUUGUACUUCAAAAUUGUUUCUGUAUUCUUGAGUGGUACAUCCUUUUAAGCGCCAGUUUUUUAUGUUAAUUCAUGCUGACAACACUUAACCUAGCCUUUCAUGUUCACGUACUAAAUACAGGAGCAAGUAAAAACAACAGACCACCUAAUUGCUCUGCAUGUACUACAUAGGAAAAUUUGUCAUGUUCUACGAUCGCACCAUCCCACCCUUCUCUCUUGGUAUGGGCGCCAAUUGAGGGAUUGAUAAAACUGAAACGAAGACGUCACAGGGCUGGAAGUACCGCUAGCCUGGUUUGCACUGCAACCUACCCAACGCCAUCAGAAACUAGCAACUGAGUCAGGUGUUGAUCGAUUCUCUCAAAUUGCUCUCAUGUAAGUACUACCCCUUGCAUGUGCGUACAUACCUUUGUUGCAUUCUCAAACAGAUAGAACAUGUUUGAUCGGUGCAUGGCUAUUUUUCAUCACAUGACAUCCAGAUAACAAGCAUGAAAGGACUACAUUGGAGAUCAAAAAAUAUUGGUUCCUGGCUAGAGUACCACUACCUAUGGACUUGUCUCCAUAGAAUUUGUUCCCAAGAUGUUAUUUUAAUUAAUCUCUUUAGCUUUCUUCCAUUGCAAACGGUGAUGUGCAUCAUGGUAUAUACGUGACCAUCUUGCACAUGUAUACACAAGAGGCUCAGAUGGAGGUGCUGGAUUCUGGACGAGGGAAUAUGAAGCAGGAGUGAGCGAAGAGUAAAUAAUGGUGGGAGUACCGAUUGGUGUUAUGAAGAAAAAUGCCAUCCAAAGAUUGAUUAGUGUCAUGGAAGAUUAAUUUCUGAAUGCGAAUAUAUAUGUUACAUUGGUUUGGAUCUUUUUGAGAUAAUUCCACCUAAAUUAGGUUCUUUCUUAUUUCAUAUGUAUACCUUAUUUCAGUAAAAGUUCACAACGAACUUAGUAGGACAAAUAUAAUUUUGUUUGUUCUUUCUGUUGUCCGCCACCAAAGCUCAAUUUGAACUCUCUAGAAAUGGACAAUGAUUUAUGCAUUCUAUAUCUUCUUGAUUGAUUAGCCAUGACAAGGAAAUAAAAGGAUUGACUGAUAUAGCAUAACUUUGGAACGAUUAGAGGUUACUACAAAUAAGAGUAGUGUCUGUUGGAAUUUUGCUAGUAGGCCUUUGGCCCAAAGCCCAACUAAAAUUCUGAAAUUCUCUUGGCUCAUUUAUGCACACAUGUGAGUUGAGUGAGUGAGACUAAAGUUUAGUCCCACCCUGGAAGUUGAGAGAGAGUUGCACCUCUUUAUAAGGUGAGCUCUUCUACCACUUGUAUGAGCAUGAGAAGAGGAGACCUACACGCGCGCUCCUCCUCCACGCUCGCCACGCCUCGUCGCGCCGCGCCGUGCCGCGGGUUGCGGGAUUGAGCCGAGCCGAGGACGUUUUCUAUAUUUUUGCUGCUCGGGAAAAAUUAAUGAGUCAUUAAUUAAUAAUUAAUGGACACAUUAAUUACUGAACCGUUUCCGAUUUUUUUGGAUCGUGACGACUCGGACGUGGGGUUUACUCCCAGGACCUACCCGGCCCGCACUAUAUAGUCAGGAAGACGUCUACCCUAGCCGCCGCCGCUUCGUAUGGUUUCUCACCAUCGUUACAGAUCAUUGCGCCGCCAAGCAAGUUUUCUCCAUCCCUCCUUUCGGCGUGCACCGGGAGAAGGGACAGCAGACCUCCGGAACCCCGCCUCUCGUGAUCCUAUACGGGAGAGGGGCGAUCAGGUUUUUGGGGAGCGCACUCGCAUGACUGCUGGCAGCGACGACUUCGCAAACGACGACUUCUUCCCCGACCUCGGCAACCUCAUCCUCGACGACAUGGGCGACAACGUCAACGCCGGCGGUGCUACACCCACUGCACCGUAUGUUAUUCUCUCCUUCUUGUUCGAGAUCAUGGUAGAAUUCAUGUUUCUAGUAUAUGUGCCCUAGAUGUGAUCUGUUCAUCUACUAUGGUAGUUCGCAUGAUUAGUUUAAUCUCUGUUAUUGCUGUCAUGAUCUAUUUCCUAUUUAUUCGGAUUAAAUCUCGUAGUAAUUUUCUCAUUUUUCCAACAAUCCAAAAACCUGAUUAUAGGAAAUUUACUCCGAGUGGUUUUGCUGCGCAUCUGAAAGCCGCUUGCCUUUAAGGGGGCGCAAUAUAAGAGGUGGCGCACCAGAGCAGUCUACUGGUUUCAGAUCAUGGGCUGCUAUGACGCCACCAAGGGCAAGCCUGAGGGCGAUCUUAAUCCAGCACAGCUGGAAGCUUUCAAGAAGAUCAAUACCCUCUUUAAAGGCACGCUUCUGAGUGUUCUUGAUGACUCCAUUGUAGAUUCGUAUAUGUCGUUUGACAAUGGCAAGAACAUGUGGGCUACGCUCGAGGCCAAGUUUGGUGCCUCGGACGCCGGCAGCGAGUUGUACGUCAUGGAGCAAUUCUAUGACUCCAAGAUGACUGAUGGGCGCCCUGUUGUACAGCAGGCUCAUGAGAUACAGUUGCUCGCAAAAGAACUUGAGUACUUCAAGUGUGUGUUGGCGAACAAAUUUGUUGCCGGAGGCAUCAUUGCCAAGCUUCCACCUUCGUGGAACAAUUUUGCUACUUCCCUGAAACACAAGAGACAGGAGUUUUUCGUUGCGGAUCUCAUUGGUACUCUUGAUGUUGAAGAGAAGGCGAGAGCAAAGGAUACACGUGCUUGAGUUGCUAAGGGAGGUUCUAGUGCCCACAUGGUACAGAAGAAGAACUUCCAGCCCAACAAGUUCAAAAACAACAAGAACAAAACUUAGGGCAAAGGCAAGUUCGAUACAAAGAACAAGCCAUCACAUUCUACCAACUUCAAGAAGAACUCUCAUAAGAAGGGGAAGGGACUUUGCCAUGUCUAUGGUGAUCCUAAUCACUGGGCUCCGAAGUGUCCCAACCGCUUUGAGGAGCGCGAACAUGAGAAGAGCGGCAAGUCUGCUAAUGUUGUCAUCGGUGAUACUGAUAUGAAGGAAUCAGGGUACGGUAUUUUUCCUACCAUCCUUUCAGUAUUCCAAACCCCUGACUGGUUAAUUGACACCGGUGCCAAUGUACAUGUUUGUGCUGAUGCCUCCAUGUUUUCUUCUUACCAGGCCACUGGGACUUCUCCUAUGCUGAUGGGGAACGGGUCACAUGCCAUCGUUCGAGGUGUUGGUACGGUCGAUCUGAAGUUUACUUCGGGGAAGACCGUGCGUCUGAAGAACGUUCAUCAUGUGCCGUCCAUCAAUAAAAAUCUCGUUAGCGGUUCCCGUUUAUGUCGAGAUGGUUUUAAGUUGGUUUUCGAAUCCAAUAAAGUUAUAAUUUCUAAGUAUGGACAAUUUGUUGGAAAAGGCUAUGAGAGCGGAGGCUUGUUUCGCCUGUCUUUGUCAGAUAUUUGCACUAAAGUUAUUAAUAAUGUUUGCCACAACAAUGAGUCUGAUAUUUGGCAUUCACGACUUUGUCACAUUAACUUUGGUUGCAUGACGCGGCUAGCCAAUAUGAAUUUAAUUCCGAAAAUCUCUACUGUCAAAGGAUCUAAGUGCCAAGUAUGUGUGCAAGGUAAGCAACCUCGCAAGUCCCAUAAGACUGCAGAGGCAACAGACUUGGCGCCACUAGAGCUUAUACAUUCUGAUAUUUGUGAGAUGAAUGACGUGUUGACAAAAGGUGGAAAGAGAUACCUCAUGACGUUGAUUGAUGACUCCACUAGAUAUUGUUAUGUGUAUCUUAUGAAAUCAAAAGAUGAGGCUUUGGCUUUCUUCAAAAACUAUAGAGCUGAGGCAGAGAACCAACUUGAUCGAAAAAUUAAACGGCUUAGGUCCGAUCAUGGUGGAGAGUAUUUUUCCAAUGAAUUUGAUCUAUUUUGUGCGGAACAUGGUAUAAUCCAUGAGAGGAUGCCUCCCUACUCACCCCAGUCAGAUGGGGUAGCCGAAAGAAAGAACCAAACUCUAACUGAUAUGGUUAACACCAUGUUAGACACUUCGGGUCUAUCCAAGGAAUGGUGGGGGGAGGCGCUAAUGACUGCGUGUCAUGUCCUAAACCGAGUUCCCACAAAGCAUAAGACCAUGACUCCAUUUGAGGAAUGUUAAAGGAAAAGGUUGAAACUCUCUUACCUACGUACUUGGGGUUGUUUGGCGAAAGUCAAUAUACCAAUUCCCAAGAAGCGCAAGCUUGGACCAAAAAUCGUGGGUUGUGUUCUUCUUGGCUAUGCUUUUCAUAGCAUCGGCUAUAGAUUUUUGAUAAUAAAAUCUGAGGUAUCCGACAUGCAUGUUGGUACGAUUAUGGAGUCGAAUGAUGCAACUUUUUUUGAGGACAUAUUUCCUAUGAAGGAUAUGUCGAGUUCAUCAAAUCAGGAGACACCUACUCCAUCUAGUGAGGAAUUCAUUGUAAUUCCUGAACCCACCAUUGCGAUGGAACACAUUGAGAAUCCUGUUGAGGGUGACAAUGGAACUCUUGUGAGGAGUAAGAGACAUAGGACUACAAAGUCCUUUGGUGAUGAUUUCAUUGUGUACCUCGUGGAUGACACACCCAGGACUAUUUCAGAAGCCUGUGCAUCUCUUGAUGCUGACUACUGGAAGGAAGCUGUACGUAGCGAGAUGGAUUCCAUCUUAGGUAACGGAACCUGGGAGAUCACUGACCGUCCUUAUGGGUGAAAACCUGUAGGAUGUAAGUGGGUGUUCAAGAAGAAGCUUAGACCUGAUGGUACGAUUGAAAUGUACAAGGCACGGCUUGUGGCCAAGGGUUAUACCCUGAAAGAAGGUGUAGACUUCUUUGAUACUUACUCACCCGUGGCUAGACUGACCACAAUUGGGUGCUACUAUCACUUGUUGCCUCACAUGGUCUUCUCGUUCAUCAAAUGGACGUUAAGAACGCUUUCCUCAAUGGAGAGUUGAAGGAGGAAAUUUACAUGGAUCAGCCAGAUGGUUUUGUAGUACCUGGUUAGUAAGGAAAGGUGUGCAAGUUAUUAAAGUAUUUAUAUGGCCUUAAACAAGCUCCUAAAGAGUGGCAUGAGUAGUUUGAAAGAACAUUAACUGCUACCGGCUUUGUAGUAAACGAUGGUGACAAGUGCGUGUACUAUCGCUAUGGUGGGGGCGAAGGAGUUAUUCUUUGUUUGUAUGUCGACGACAUAUUGAUCUUUCGAACCAAACUUGAUUUAAUCAAGGAGGUUAAGGAUUUCUUAUCUCGCUGUUUUGAGAUGAAGGAUCUAGGAGUAGCUGAUGUUAUCUUAAACAUCAAGCUGUUGAGAGAUGAGAAUGGUGGGAUCACACUGCUUCAGUCACACUAUGUGGAAAAGGUCUUGAAUCGUUUUGGGUAUAGCGACUGCACACCUUCUCCAACCCCAUAUGAUGCUAGCAUGUUGCAUCGAAAGAAUCGACGGAUUGCUAGAGAUCAACUGAGGUAUUCUCAUAUUAUUGGCUCGCUUAUGUAUUUGGCGAGUGCCACGAGGCCAAACAUCUCGUUUGCUGUUAGCAAGCUGAGUCGGUUUGUGUCAAAACCAGGAGAUGAUCAUUGGCAUGCACUUGAGAGAGUUAUGUGCUAUUUGAAAGGCACCGCGAGCUAUGGGAUUCACUACACCGGGUAUCCAAGAGUACUGGAGGGUUAUAGUGACUCAAACUGGAUAUCUGAUGCUAAUGAGAUUAAGGCCACAAGUGGUUAUGUUUUUACACUUGGUGGUGGCGCUGUUUCUUGGAAGUCCUGCAAGCAGACCAUCUUAAUGAGGUCAACUAUGGAAGCAGAACUCACAACAUUAGAAACUGCCACUGUUCAAGCAGUGUGGCUUCAUGAGCUCUUGAUGGACUUUCCUAUGAUUGAAGAACCAAUACCCCCUAUCCCAAUGAACUGUGAUAAUCAAACUAUGAUCGUCAAGAUAAAUAGUUCUAAGGACAAUAUGAAGUCCUCAAGGCAUGUGAAGAGGAGACUGAAAUCUGUCAGAAAAUUGAGGAACUCCGGAGUUAUUACGUUGGAUUAUAUCCAAACGUCAAAAAAAUUGGCAGAUCCCUUCACAAAGGGUCUAUCACGUAAUGUGAUAGAUAAUGCAUCGAUGGAGAUGGGUCUGAGACCCACCGCAUGAGUUGUCCAUAGUGGUAACCCACUCUUUGUGAUCGGAUAUCCCGUGAAGUAUAAGUGGGAGACAAGCUGUUGGUCAGCUGGGAGGAGAGUAUCCCUAUAUUACCUGUCCCACUCCAUGAAGAUGCAAUACUCUCCUAAUCUGCAUGGCAGGUUGAUACUUAUCUUAAUGUGUUCCAAGUGGCUUAUUCGGGUAAGCAGAGAUGUUGUCCUGCAGAACAUCUUCUGAGGAACACACCUAUAUGAAUUUGACUGUUAACGUCGCAGUCUGUGAGAAUUGGGUGUUCUCUAAUAAAUUCAUGAAAAGGCCCUGGAGUAUGACGUAUACGCUCCACCCGCAGGGAAGCCUUGCGGCAGCCCAGUAUCGGUCAAGAAUUUGUGUGAAACUAGUUGCGCAGAAAAUUUGUAGUUCAAGGCAUAGUCCACUAUUCAAGUUGUGAUCUAGUGUAGCAUAAAUCUCUAAGUGGAAGUUCAACUUCACAGUCUCCACUAAGCCCCGGUAUAUAAACAAUGUUUUGGAACUAAAUGAUGAGAUGUGCCAAUGAGACUUUGUGGGGGAUUGUUGGAAUUUUGCUAGUAGGCCUUUGGCCCAAAGCCCAACUAAAAUUCUGAAAUUGUCUUGGCCCAUUCAUGCACACAUGUGAGUGGAGUGAGUGAGACUAAAGUUUAGUCCCACCCCGGAAGUUGAGAGAGAGCACCUCUUUAUAAGGUGAGCUCUUCUACCACUUGUAUGAGCAUGAGAAUAGGAGACCUACACACGCGCUCCUCCUCCUCGCUCGCCACGCCACCCCUCGUCACGACGCGCCGCGGGUUGCGGGAUUGAGCCGAGCCGAGGACAGAGCUAUGCACAUUGUCUAUUUUUUGCUACCCGAAAAAAUUAAUGAGUCAUUAAUUAAUAAUUAAUGGACACGUUAAUUACUAAACCGUUUUCGAUUCUUUUGGAUCAUGAAGACUCGGACAUGGGGUUUACUCCCACGACCUACCGGGCCCGCAUUAUAUAGUCCGGCAGACGUCUACCCUAGCUGCCGCCGCUUCAUAUGGUUUCUUACCACCGUUCCAGAUCAUUGCGCCGCCAAGCAAGUCUUCUCCAUCCGUCCCUUCGGCGUGCAUCGGGAGAAGGGACAACAGGCCUCCGGAACCCCGCCUCUCGUGAUCCUGUACGGGAGAGGGGCGAUCAGGUUUUUGGGGAGCGCACUCGCGCGACUGCUGGCAGCGACGACUUCGCGAAUGACGACUUUUUCCCUGACCUCGGCAACCUCAUCCUCGACGACAUGGGCGACAACGUCAACGCCGGCGGUGCUGCACCCGCUGCACCUUAUGUUAUUCUAUCCUUCUUGUUCGAGAUCAUGGUAGAAUUCACGUUUCUAGUAUAUGCCCUAGAUGUGAUCUGUUCAUCUACUAUGCUAGUUCGCAUGAUUAGUUUAAUAUCUGCUAUUGCUGUCAUGAUCUAUUUCCUAUUUAUUCGGAUUAAAUCUCGUAGUAAUUUGCUCAUUUUUCCAAUAGUACCAUCUAAUAGAUGAUGUAAAUCUCCUCUAGUUUGACGUUGUUGAGCUAAUUUACAAAAAAAACCUCAUCAUUAUUGGACGUCCUUAACAGCUCAAGAACAAGUUGGGGUCGAACUAAUGGAUUUUACACUUUUACAUUAAAGGUUUAGCUAAAGCUAGCAGGUGUUUUUAAACCUGAAUUUUUUUCCUCCUGAAUUUCUUUGUAUUUUCUUAUUGACACUAUUUAUACAAUCAUCUGACAAAGAUUAGCUAAAGCUGUUUGUAGAUACGUUGAAACCUGAAAAGCUUCUUUGGUUAUCCUUUUAAUAGUUCUACGUUUAUUUUCUCAUAGGUCAUAAUUCUUAUGUAAUACCAAGAUGCAUUGUGGUAGUGUACAUGUGUUAAAUUCAGGUUGUUAUUCACAAUUUGCGACAAAAUUUAGCUCACGCUACAUUCAAAUAUGUUGAAAUGUGAAAGCUUUUUUUUCUUCUCCUUUCUACACCUUGCAUCGGAUUGCAUCCCUUUAGUUAUCCAACAUUUUGUACAACAUGUAGAGAUUAGGAAGUUCAUCAUAGUUUGUUUAUUUCGGUGCUAAUAAAUGUAUGAAAUCUGCAUUUCCAAGCUACUAGGACAAGUAAAAAAUAAUAAUUUUACUAUAGGAUUCAAAAACAGCAGUUCUGAAGUGCACUUUAUUUAUUUUUGAAAGUGAUCACAUUUUGUUUCAUUUUUCUAUAGACAAAUCUACUAAUACAUACUCACGAUAAAACUAUAAAAGUUCUAGUCCGCACAUUGGGCGGGCCACCCGGCUAGUUAGUCUAAAGAUAACAAAAUGAGUCUGGAAUUUGAAUUAAAUUGAAGUAUUUUCUUGGACUUUCAAAUUGAGUUUUAUUAAAGUAGUAAGGACUAUCCACAUCCUUGGCUUGCCCCUGAUCAAUUAUUUCCAGAGAAGCAUUCAAUUCAUCAAUCAAUUACAUUGAUUUUAGUGGCUGGUACUUCUCCUCAACAUCAGUAUAUUCACCGUGGCCACUCCAAAUCGGCAAGAAUGAGGUACCAGUGCUCUGGAGCAGUGCAAGCUAAUUGCUUCUCAUCUGAAGGGGUGCGGCCGCAGGAGAGGUAUUUCUGGUGGGCCAAGGGACUAAGAAGCGACUGUGGCAGCGGUAUAGACGCCCGCAAAGCCCCAUAAUUUGUUUUUGGUUUACAGGAAAAAUGCACAUCCAUACCAGCCUGGGGAAUAUAGGACCGUAUUGGAUGGAAAACCAUGUCCGGAUGGUUGCGAGCGGUUUAAGGGUUAGCUUUUGUAACGCCCGGUUAGUUAUGCUAUAGCAAUUCCCUGCUAAUGAUGUCACGUUACCACGAUUACUGUUGUUAACCUCACAAUGAUUCAAUCCCCUUCAAAUUGAAAUUUAAAAUAAAGGCAAACAUCAAAAGUUUUCAAAUAUUAAAACUAAAAUCUUUGAGAGGUGACAAAUAAUGCAUAAGUAAUUAUGGUGGAGAAACCACACUUUAAUCAAAUGUUUAAAUACUCUAAAAUGAAAAAAAACAGUUGCUUAAACUAUUAUUUAAAUGCUUUUAAAAUAGUAAAAAUCUUCUAACUAAAUUAUUUGGGUACCAAACUUUUGGUGGCAGUGGUAUAUUUAGUACAACUAAUUUAGAUGCUAAUUAUAUAAAAAGGAAAAGCAAAAGGGGGCAACCCCUCGCUGGGCCUCGGCCUAGCUGCCACUAGGCUAGCUAGGCUGGCCCCGCCGCCUCCCUUAACCCCCCCCCCCCACUCCCCAUCGAACCCAAGCCCGAUCGCCCCACUUCCCCCANNNNNNNNNNNNNNNNNNNNNNNNNNNNNNNNNNNNNNNNNNNNNNNNNNNNNNNNNNNNNNNNNNNNNNNNNNNNNNNNNNNNNNNNNNNNNNNNNNNNNNNNNNNNNNNNNNNNNNNNNNNNNNNNNNNNNNNNNNNNNNNNNNNNNNNNNNNNNNNNNNNNNNNNNNNNNNNNNNNNNNNNNNNNNNNNNNNNNNNNNNNNNNNNNNNNNNNNNNNNNNNNNNNNNNNNNNNNNNNNNNNNNNNNNNNNNNNNNNNNNNNNNNNNNNNNUUGAUCCCAUCUGGAUCGGGGAGGGUAAUGCCCCAAUCGACCCCGUUGCCGUCGCGGGAUUGCCCGCCGACGUCGCCAGGCCUCCUCCCCGCCACCCGUCUCCGGCUCGCCUCCCCUCUCGCUCCUCUUCCCCGACCCGAUCUGGAUCGUGAACGAGCAAUGAGCUCGAAGCCCCCUUCACCGGCGCCAUCACCGUGCGCCACCACCACCGCCUGAAGACCUCACCGUCGCCGAACCUUGCGUCGCCUCCUCGUAUCCCUCCCCUACUCGCGUCCUCAAGCCAGGCCGAGCCCCUUCUCGGCAACGCCGUGAGACGCCCCCGUCUCCCUCCUCUUUCCACUGCGUUCACCGCGCCGCCCGCCGUGCCCCUCGCCGUGCGCACGCCCACCACCGCACCAGCCCCCGCUCCGCGCACGACCCUACCCGCGUCCGCGCCAUGAUCCCCUUUUCCACCCUACCUUCCUGCGCUCGCCGCGGUCCUGAUGCUCCCCCGCGCCCUCUUUUGGGGGCGCCGACUGCCCCUGUCCCACUGCUCGCCGCCGUGCCUCGCCAUCGCUCUACUGCUAAGUUAUUGCUGCGCUGCGGCCGUCGCCUCUUCCCGCUGCUCCGCCAGCGCCGAAGCUCCCGAUUGGCUCCACCACUUCUCACGUUAAACCGCCGGCCUAAAUGGCCUAACCCCCGGCUAAUGAACCCCCACUAUCCCACUGACACCGGGACCCACAUUCCCUAAUUAACCAUUUAAUAAAUUAAAACUCUUAAAUUAACAUUAGUGUAUGACAUGUGCGUCCCCUAUUAAUUUAUAAUUUUACUGCUAGUUUUAUUAGUUUCUGUUUUUUCUGCAUAUUUCUUUUGUAUUUGAACAGGCUUUAUAUAAUAAUAUUUAGCGUCUCAUACACAUAUAAAUGUAAUUAUAGCAUAUACAUACAAAUAGUCUCAUCAAAUCAUGUCAUCACCAUAAUCAUCAUCCAUCACAAAGUGAUCUCUCGUCAUCAUCUCGAAAAUAGCAAUACAAGUCUCGAUUACUUGCAACUACAUCGUCAUCCAUCUAAACAAUGAUAUACGCGAGAAGCGCUAUCACUAUGAGUGAGAGCGGAACUAUGCAGUACAUGAGUUUGUAUCCCUCUCUCACAUUAGCGUGAACCUAAACUAACUACUGGCUGUUGCUCGGAAACCGGAAACCGGUACACCUGGGCCUGACACUCCGGCCACUCGUCGUAUACUCCUGGCGUAGCACUUCUUCGCCAUCGAUGAUCUAUAAACCUACAUCGUCAGAUGAGUCGAUGAUAUGCAACAUAUAUAGUUGAGCAACAGAAAGAGACAGACUUGGCAAAAAUAGAAGCAACAUAUCAUAAGCAUAAAUAACAAAGUUCAUCGUACGCAAAAUGCCCUAACUAGAGUGAUCUUCGCUAGUCGAGGAGGACGGUUUAAUUACAUCACAAAUAAUUUUUCGUCGUGCAUAACUCAAAGUUCCGUCAUACAGAAAGUAUGAACUAAAUGGACACAUUGUCAUAUUUCAAAAAUCACUCCCACAUGUCGUGCCAUCCAUCCAAGUCAAGGAGAUAGUGCCCGAGCUUAGUGAAAGGCUUUAGGUCGAGACGCUGAGCGGCUAUGCGUGUUCGGACGUCUUCCCACGACAUUUGUCCUUCUUCAUAGAACAUCCCUGUUUUUUCGACGACCUCCUUCAUCACUGGAAGAAAAAGGGCCUGUUGUCCCGGUUCUGGAACCGGGACUAAAGGGUCGGUACUAAUGCCCUGUCCCUUUAGUCCCGGUUCAAUCCAGAACCAGGACAGUUGGGCCUCCACGUGGCCUGUGCGCGGAGCCUAGGCGGGAGACCCUUUGGUCCAAUAAGCAUCCACGCAUCAGCAUUUAUGUGGUUGGGGUUUUUGUUUUUUUUGAAGGGGGGGGCAUUGGGGGUUUUGGGGGGUUAAUUUUGGUGUUUCAUAUAUUGUGUUAGCUAGCUAUAAUUAAUAGAGAGAAUUGUCCUCUCUUAUGUCCGUGCUUGCUCGACGCUACGUACUAUACAUACGUAUAGAGAGGACUAGACACGGUAGCUAGCUAGUAAGCAAACGAAGGAAAUAGAAGAUCGUCAUGAACAUAUAUGCAUACAGAGAGAAGUAAUAUCGACCACCUCUCCUUCUCCGAGAGAUUGGUCGAACAACAAGUUCUCAUAUAUCUAUCCGACACUACCGGCUACAUAUAUACAAUAAUUAUCUCUUACAAAUAUAAUCAUACGGAUUCAGGGUCCACAUAGUAUUCUCUGUCUUCAAGGAUCACGUGGUCAAGAAAGAAUGCCGCCAAUUCCUCUUGAAUUGCUCGCAUGCGAGCUGGUGCUAGGAGUUCAUCCCGCUUCCGAAACAUCUAAUUUAAAGAAGGGGGUUAAUACAUAUAUACAUAUAUAUAUAUAUAUAUAUAUAUAUAUAUAUAUAUAUAUAUAUAUAUGAAUGAAUGAAACUCAACACGAAUGAUGGUAAUAAAAUAAAAUUGUGAAUGUUGUUAUUUACGUACUUCAUAUUGUUCGUCAGUGUAGCCCCGCUCAUAGGUCGUGUGGCGGAUGGACUCGCAAACGUAGUAUCCACAGAAAUCAUUCCUUUGUUCCUGCCACAACCACUUUAUAAGAAAUAGAGGUCAAUCAAACUGAUAAGCAAGAAUGCCAAAUGGUAUUGAUGAAACUUGUCAGGACCCCGAUUCCAAGCCACAUCGAUCUAGCCGGUAACACCUCAUAUCACUUUGCGGCCUCACGCACGAUAUUCCACGGGUGUCGCCUUACCAUGGCCCGGGACCGUUUGCGCCUUUUGGCUCACGUAUAUGAUAGUGUUGCUAGCAUCCAUAUGACAGAGAACCCGGGCCGACAUGGCUAGUCGUGAACCCAAAGUGGCACAGACCUAUGGAGACAGGCAUACAUGAAUCACAUCGAGCAUGUCGGUCAUCAGUGUGUGAUUCCGGGCUGUAGCACUGGGCUAACAGGACUCCGGGGAACCCGGGCUGUAGCAGGCUAGGCAGGACUCCGGAAGUCACCGCGUGACAUUUACCCGAAGGGACAGACAUAGGAACGAAGUGAAUCACAUGCCGGCAAGUCAAGUGUCCUGAGCAGUAGUACUGGGCUAGCAGGACUCCGGUGAACCGGGCUGUAGCGGACUACUAUGGCUCGAGGAACACUAGACUACAUUUCCCCAUAAGAAAGGCUGCCAAGGAUAAACAACUAGAUUGUCGGAUCCCACUCAUACCAAGCAUUUCAAUCAUACACACAAUAUGCCCGAUAUGAGUACAUACAACAUGGCAUCACAACAAAACUCUACAACUCAAGUACUUUAUUUAAAGGCUCUAGAGAGCCAUACAUAACAUGUUCAUACAGAUAGGGGUCACAUGACCCGACACUCAAGUCAUACAAUCAUACAAGCACAUGCGGAAGCAACCGGUCUGAGUACAGACACUAGAAAGAAAGAAGGCUCCUCGAGGCCUGUCUAUCUACAUAGGGCCCUCCAUGGCCAGGAUCACCACCUGGGUGGCUAGUCACUCGUCGAUGUCAAGGUCUACAUAGAACCCAUCGAAGGGGGCUGUGUUGUCGUCUGAAAACAGUAAUUAAGCAAACAUGAGUACAAAGGUACUCAGCAAGUCUUACAAAAGAACCUACUAUACAUGCUUAUUCUCAAGAAGGUGGUGGGGAUAUUGCAGCAAGCCAGUUUUCACUCUUGGCUAAACUAUCCUACAGAACUUCUCUAGUAAAAUAGUUUUCGCACACGAGUCCACUACUCACCAACACAAUACUCCACCGGGGAUCCUCCCUCGUCAUCCUAUGAGAGGGCCAUCCUCGGUACUCACACUUAUCUUGACUAUUUUAGUAGUAUCCAUUUAAUUGUCUAUGAACUGUAUAGGCAACCAAGUAGUCCUUUACCGCGGACGCGGCUAUUCGAAUAGUUUUAUACCCUGCAGGGGUGUACUUCGUCAUACAUGCUUUCACCACUUAUCGUCGUUUACACGACAUGUACUCGGCAACCUUCAAGCGAAAGCCCAGCGAGGGUGUCGGCCACGGCCUACCUAAACACUUAAGUCUCUAGUCCAGGUUUAUCGCCUAUCUAGGUUCCAUCCGCAGGGAGUCCGGGCGAGGUUUCCACAUACGGCCCCGAACGAUGUGAACAGGGUCCCGAGACGCCAAACGGGCGCCCGGCAUACCCGGCCAUGGUGUAUCUACCGCAACAUAGCCCACCCUUAGGGUCAGCGCUACGCACGGCCGCCAACACAUAACCUACAAACACCAGAAACUAUUUGCAACUCCUAGACAGAGUACAAGGGUGAUUAAGAAGCCGAGAGGGUCAAUUAAGGAUCCCAAUGCAUGGUAGUAGCUGAAUCUUAAAUCACACAUACCGAUCUCAGUUCUUAGGGACGGUCUCAAUGAAACAACCCACCAUGUACUCCUACAUGGCCUCUCAUCGAUACCUUUACCAAAACAUGUUCAACACAUUCCUCAUAUUACCGACAUAAUCAUAUCACCCUAGCCCAUCACCCAGAUGAACCAGACCUGACACAACUAUAAGCAUAGCAGGCAUAGCAAGGUAGGAAUCACAUACAUGGCUCAAUCAACUCCUACACAUGCUAGUGGGUUUCAUCUAGUUACUGUGGCAAUGACAGGUCAUGCAGAGGAUAAGGGUUCAACUAUCGUAGCACACAGCAGUUUGAAUCACAUUGUCUUAAUGCAGUAAACAAGAGCAGAGGCAAGAACAUGGGUUGUAUCGGAAUGAUCAAUGGGUUGCUUGACUGAUGGAGUGGUAGUGGGAUACUGCCCUUCAGUUGGAUACUCAUGAAUAUCCUCGGAGGCAGAACCUACCACGAAGAACACAUCGGAACACAAUCAACACAUGAUGAUAUGCAACAAUAUGAUGCAUGCUAUGACAUGGCAAUAUGAAUGUGUCUUGGCCUAAUGCAAGCUAAAAUAGAAAGGGAUGAACUCAUUUGAAUCAAAGAUUCAAAUAUUAGCUCAUUAAACAUGGCCUUAGUAGUGCAUUUCCUUAUUCUGCUUAAACAGCAAGGUAAACUUGUUUUUUCAUGCUUGAAACCAUUACAGAUGGAUAUAUUGAAUUUUUCUGAUAAUUUUUCAUAUAUAAAUUAUUUCAUUUGGAGUUACGGUUGAAUUUCUAUGAUUUUUAGAAGUUUCAAACAUUUUCUGGAAUUUCUUGAAUAAAAAUAAAUCCAGAAAAUGCAUUACUGCGUCAGCAUUGCAUCAUGCUGACCUCCGCAGGUCAAAGGCACCAGCCUAGGUCAAACCUGACUGGUGGGCCCCUUCUGUCAGUCUCUCAGUUAAAUAACAGGAUUAGAUUAACACUAAUUAGCUGUCAGUGGGGCCUGGGCCCACAUGUCACUGACUGAUUAAAAUAAAAUUAGUUAAAACUAAUCCUAGAUUAGUUAGCAAACCGGCCCCACCUGUCAUAGACUUAGGGGGGGUCUACCUGGGCCCACCCAGGGUCAAACUGGGUCAAACUCGCCGGCGCAGCUCGGAAAACGCCUACAGGGCACGAGCGAGGCCGUUCUUGGGCUCAUUGGAGAGCUCUUGCAGUCGCGCAUCUAGUGGCGGUGGUGGCCGGAGACGACGACGGCGAGCUCCAAGGCGGCGGCCGGAGUUCGGCCAUGUGCGGGGUGUCGGCUGUGGCGUGCAAACGUGGAAACUGAGGCACUAGCGAGGCACUACGCGAUGCGGCAAGCACGUUGCAUAGCACGGGAUAAUCAAAUGGUUGCCGGAGCGGCACCGGUGACAAGCUCGAGCGGAGACGAGCUUCGGCCAUGGUGGAACUAUGGCCUAGAGGGUGCAAACGCGUGGAAAAGAAGAGGGGAAAGGUGGCGGAGCUCACAGGGAGGUCGAUGAGCAGCUCAGUGGGCUCGGGGGCGACAGAAGUGAGGCGAAUCGAUGAGCAGCGUCCGGCGGGUACCGAGGUUGAAGACGAUCCGAUGGCGGCGAUGCAGGGCCUCCGGCGAUGCGUGGCUCGGUGGGAAGGGCGAGGGGGUGACGGAGGGCGCGACUACGGCGGUGAGACGGCGACGGGUGCGUCGGCCAUCGCGGGAGAGGGAGAGGGAGAUGAGUGGGAGAGUGAGAGAGGAUGAGAGGGGGACGUGGGGGUCGCGUGGCAUUCCCUGGACGUCUCCCGGCAUCGGCGGAAGCAGGAGGUGGCCGGCGUGUGGCCGCGGGCGCCGGCCACGCGCUCUGCGUCCUUCUGGCGCGAGGAGGACGACGACUGGCAGCGCCAGUAGGCUGGGCCGAGCCAGGUGGGCUGGCCAGCACAGGUAAGGCUCAGGUGGGCUUCUCCCUCUUUUUUUUAAUUUGUUUCUGUUUUCUAUUUAACUGUAAAUGUUGGGCUUUAUUUAAAAUACUAAAACAUUUCCAAAAAUCCUGAAAAUAAUUGUGGGCUCUGUUUGGAUUAUUUCCAAUAGCAAACAUUUAUUUGCAGAAUUAUUUGAGCAUUUAAAUGCCCAAAUUCAAAUACUUAUGAUUUAAAUCAAUGACCUUCUGUUGACCUAGAAAAGUUGUGCACCAAUUUUGCCAGAGGUUCUAACCCAAGACAAAGAGGGUGAACUUUUUAGAAGGGCAUUUCAGGUUCAUUGAAAAUAAUUUUAGUAAUCCCUAGUUGUUUCCAGGGGGGUGUUGGGGGUUUCUGCCUUCCCCAAUUCAAAUUUAAGAGGAAUUUAAACAUGAUGCACAUUCUAAUGCUUGAACUAGCUAGGGUGUGACAACUCACCCCCACUCAAAAGAAUCUCGUCCCGAGAUUUAGGAUCCUCUGGAAAGAAGGUGGGGUACUCGAGUCGAAGACGAUCCUCCCUUUCCCAAGUGGCUUCUUUCUCGGAAUGGUGUGUCCAUUGAACCUUGAGAAACUUGAUAUUAUGACGUCGAGUGGUACACUCGGCUUGAUCAAGGAUACGAACGGGAUAUUCCCGAUAAGAGAGGUUAUCUUGUAGAUCAAGCAUUUCGUGGUCCACUCCACGGAUAGGAUCCGCGAAGCAACGCCUGAGUUGUGAAACGUGGAAGACAUCAUGAACUCUGGAAAGAUGCGGAGGUAGUUCCAAUUGGUAGGCAACUUCUCCUCGUUUGGCAAGAAUGCGAAAGGGUCCAAUGUAACGAGGAGCCAAUUUGCCUUUGAUACCGAAAUGAUGGGUUCCUUUUAAUGGGGUAACCCGAAGGUAAGCCUUCUCGUCGAUUCAUAAGUCAUAGGCUUAUGUUUACGAUCAUAUUGACUCUUUUGACGAGAUUGGGCUGUUUUCAAUUUCUCACGAAUAACGCGAACCUGCUCUUCCGCUUCCUGAAUCAUAUCCGGGCCAAAGAGUUGUCUUUCCCCGGUUUCUGACCAGUUAAGAGGCGUUCGACAUUUUCGUCCAUAGAGAACUUCGAAAGGAGCUUUGCCCAAGCUAGCUUGAUAACUAUUGUUAUAAGCAAACUAUGCGAAUGGGAAGCAUUUCUCCCAACUCAUUCCGAAUGAGAUAACAGAAGCUCGGAGCAUAUCUUCUAGAAUUUGAUUGACUCGCUCUACUUGACCACUUGAUUGAGGAUGGAAGGCGGUACUAAAAGAGAGACGAGUUCCCAUAGCAUUUUGGAAACUUUCCCAAAAUCGAGAGGUGAAGAGACUCCCACGGUCUGAGUUAAUUUCCAAUGGGACACCAUGGAGAGACACUAUUCGGGAGAUGUAUAAAUCGGCUAGCUGGCUAGCAGUGAUACUCGCACGAACAGGUAGGAAAUGGGCUACUUUGGAAAGACGGUCGAUCACGACGAAGAUGGCAUUAUUCCCUCUCUUGUUCCUGGGAAACCCAGUAAUGAAAUCCAUACUGAUUUUAUCCCAUUUCCAUUCAGGAAUAGCCAAAGGUUGAAGGGUGCCAGCAGGCCGUUGAUGCCCUGCUUUAACACGAUGACAGACGUCGCAGCUAGCAAUGUAUCGAGCGAUUUCUCUCUUCAUCCUAGUACAUCAAAACCUCUGGCGUAGGUCUUGAUACAUUUUAUUGCUACCGGGAUGAAUGGUGAGAGGGGAUUCAUGAGCUUCCUUAAGGAUCAAUUGGCGUAGAUGUUGUUUCUUGGGAACCACCAAACGGUUCUCAAAGAAGACAGCACCCCGCUUAUCCAUGGAAAAACAUUUAGCAACUCCGCUAGCAAUGUUUUCCUUAAUCCGGGAUAUGCCCUUAUCAUACCGCUGGGCAGUUAUGAUCUGAUCCAUAAGGUUAGGUUUCGCCACCAGGGUGGAUAGGAAUCCUCGAGGAACAAUGUGAAGAUUAAGCUUACGGAAUUCCUCAUGGAGAAGUGGUUGACUUUGUUGUAACAUCAGGUUGUUACAAUAGGAUUUACGGCGUAGUGCAGCAGCCAUGACAUUGGCUUUGCCCGGUGUGUAGGUUAUUCCUAAGUCGUAAUCCGAGAUCAACUCAACCCAACGUCUUUGCCUGAGAUUCAAAUCUGGUUGGGUGAAGAUAUAUUUCAAGCUUUGGUGAUCGGUGAAGAUCUCGCAACGAUUAAGUGCAUGGACUACAGCUGCCAGCUCUAGAUCAUGUGUGGGAUAAUUUUCCUCAUGUGGGUGUAAUUGCCGUGAAGCGUAGGCAAUUACCUGACGAUCUUGCAUGAGUAUGCAACCUAGUCCUUGUCGCGAGGCGUCACAAUAGAUAAUAAAGUCCUUGGAUAAAUCAGGUGGUACCAGUACGGGAGCAGAUGUCAGGCGUCUUUUCAGUUCCUAAAAGCUGAACUCGCACUGUGGAGUCUACUCGAACUUUUUAUCUUUCUUGAGGAGUUUAGUUAGAGGUUUAGCAACCUUGGAGAAAUUCUCGACGAAGCGGCGGCAAUAGCUCGCUAAGCCAAGGAAGCUCCAAACUUGCUUGACCGUCUCAGGUGGAGUCUAAUCAAGGACGGCUUGAACUCGCUCGGGAUUGACGGCAAUACCCUUACCAGAGAUUACAUGGCCUAGAUAGGUUACUUCUGGCAACCAAAAUUCACACUUGGAGAAUUUGGCAUAAAGGCGAUGCUCUCGAAGUUUCAUCAAUACCAGCCUUAGAUGUUCGGCAUGUUCCUCUUCAUUCUUGGAGUAGAUUAGUAUGUCAUUGAGGUAUACUACGAUGAAUUUAUCCAAGUACUCCAUGAAAACCGAGUUCAUUAGCCGGGAGAAGGUAGCCGGGGCAUUGGUUAAACCGAAGGACAUAACGGUGUACUCGUAUUGGCCAUAACGAGUAACAAAGGCCGUUUUGGGAAUGUCCCCGUUUCUGAUUUAGAUUUGAUGGUAGCCCAACCUCAAAUCCAUCUUGGAAAAGACUGAGGAUCCAGCAAACUAAUCAUACAGAUCAUUGAUCCUGGGAAGUGGGUAUUUGUUCUUGAUGGUGACCAAGUUGAUAGGUCGGUAAUCCACAACCAUUCGAUCUGUUCCAUCCUUCUUGACGAAGAGGACGGGGCAAGCCCAAGGAGAGGAACUAGGACGGAUGAAACCCUUUUUCAAGGACUCAUCGAGUUGGUUCUCAAGCUCGGCUAGUUCUAAGGGUGCCAUCUUGUAGGGUCUUCUAGAAAUUAGAAUGGUUCCUGGAACAAGGUCUAUCACAAACUCGACAUCCCUGUCAGGUGGAACACCUGGCAGUUCUUCUGGAAAGGCAUCCGGAAAGUCUCGGACUACCGGAACAUCCUCAAGGUCUGGAAGGGGGUUGGCAUUUAGGGAGUAAAGUUGGCACUUGGCCACUCGAGUUAAGACAUUAACUGUCUUGCCCGAUGGGUGAGUAAGUUGAACGGUUCUAGUGGCACAGUCAAUCUUAGCAUAAUGAGCUGACAUCCAGUCCAUACCUAAGAUGAUGUUUAUGUCCGAGGACUUGAGAGCUAUUAAGGAUGCAAGGAAGACAAGUCUAUCGACAAGAAUUUCGUUCCCAUGGCUUACUCUAGAAGUUUGCCAUCUAGAGCCAGGGGUUUGAAUUUCCAUGGUAGAGGGCAUGUCACAGAAUGUCGUGUUGUGCAAUCGAGCAUAGUUCUCGGAUAUGAAUGAAUGAUAUGCUCCAGUAUCGAAAAGAACAGAUGCCGGAUGGCAGUUAACAAGGAGCGUACCAAGGACGACGUUGGGAUCCUCAUGAGCCUCCUCGGCUGAAACAUAGUUGACAUGGCCACGUGCAGUGGUGGCUGGCUUAGCGUAGAAUGUUUUUCCCGCGGGCUUACCACGGCCAACGGACUUUCCAGUUUGAUUGGGGUUGUUGUUCUGGGGACACUCUCGGCUAUAGUGACCCGGCUCUCCACACUUAAAGCAUGUCACCACAUUGGGGCGUGGAGCAGCAUUAGCAGCGGGGCCACCAUAGGGCUUGGGCGGUGCAAAUUGCUGGUUGGGACGUGGUGCCUCAAAGGAUGGCCUCGGGAUGAACCUGGGUGGCAGUGCCGUGCUUGGAAUCCACACCCGGCGCUUCUGAGCUCCAGAGCCGAUGAAGAGCCAAAAUCACGGGAGUGCUUGCGUGAAGUGUCAUAAUCAGUCUGGCCUUUCUCAGCACUGAUGGCUUUAUGGACCAACUUCUAAAAGGAGGUGCACUUGUGCAGACGAAGACCACGGUGAAGCUCAGGGCUAAGUCCCUUGCGGAACCUUGCCUGCUUCUUAGCAUCAGUAGAUACCUCUUCAGGGGCAUAACGUGCCAGAUUCCCAAAUUCACGACUGUAAGCAUCCACAGUCAGUCUUCCUUGGGUGAAGUUGCAGAACUCCUCCCUCUUGCGAUCCAUGAGACCUUCCGGAAUGUGAUGCUCACGGAAAGCCUCACUGAAUUCAGCCCAAGUAGUGAUUUGGCCGACCGGGCGCAUAGCUUCGAAGUUUUCCCACCAAAGGCUAGCAGGGCCUUUGAGGUGAUAGGCAGCAUAAGUAACCUUGUCGGCUUUGGCUACGUUGGCAGAACGUAGCUUGUGGGUGAUGCUGUGAAGCCAGUCAUCCACGUCGAGGGGCUCGACGGAAUGGUUAAACUUUGGUGGGUACAUCUUGAUAAAGUCAUUGAUUGACACCAACUCAUUUCGCGGGUGGCGUGCAGUGUUCUGCUCAAUCCGCUCCAGCAGGCGGUUGGUCUCACGCUUCUUUCUUUCUGCCUCCAGCAUUACUUCGGCCAGAGAAGGCGGGUGAGGCAGAUUUUCACCUCUAGCAGCACUGGCUUCCCCCUGCUCCGGGGCAACAGGGUUGCUGCGAGUAUUGACCAUCCUAGGAGAAAACAAGACAACGGUUUAGACAAGGAUGGCUCAAACUGAGCAAGGAUGUGCAGAAUGUAAUGGAUAACACGGAACACAGAGAUGUUCAUCCGUAUGUCAUGGUAAUAUAAAACUGCCAUAUAUAUACCAACGGUCAUACACAUCACACAUAGUUUAGUACAAGCCCAGGCUACAGUACAACUAUGAUGAAAGACGUUACAUCUCAUCGGAGGCAUUCCAAGCUCCUAUACAUUAUUGUCUACACCUUCGGAAUUGAUUACACGCAAAGUCAUAUUCCAAAAGUCACGCAGGACAGUGGAGAUACAACUACUACAAUACUAGUGGUACUACUACUAACUCAGACAGCUCCGUACUAGUCCUCAUAGAAGUCACCUCCAUAGCCUGGAAGUUCAACGUGACCAUCCGGGAACAGACGGUCCUGAGGAGCCUGUGGACCAUAGGGGCUUGGAUGGGGUCUUGGACCAACAAACGGUGGCCUGCGGGGACCACAGGGUGGGGUGAUGCCUCCCACAUCACGCCAAUCCACCACGUCUGGCAAAGCAGACCUCACAGGAUACAAAUCCCUUGUAUCCAUACAUCCAGCUUGCACCACAGGUGCAAACCGAGUCAAUGUGGCCCAAUGAUCAGCACGGGUAUUAAAAAGCUCCAGCCUCAAGGCCUGAUUCUCUCGGUCCUUAUAUUCGAGCAUCUCGGCAGUGGUACGAGUUAAUGAAUCCUCCUGAGUGGAGUCAGCAUAGAUAGCCUGAAGAUACCCUUGCGCUCCCGGAAGUGAAGCUAGCAUGUAUCGGAAGUCGGUGUUCCGAAGCAGGCCAGUCCGGACUCGCAUGAUUGUCAUCAUGGAAUAGGCAGCAUCCUGCACAGCCAUCUCAACAGUAACCCCGAGUCCAUAGGAACAGUGAAGGGGCUCGGUAGAUCCAGGAUAAGAAGGAAAUAUCUUGACGGUGCAGAAAUACUGGCUUUGAUUAAAGUCUCAGAAUUGCUCUUCGACGGUGUAUUCGGGAUACCAACGGUAACCCGUCUCGAUCAUGACCCGGACUAACAUAGCAGUAUGACCGGGCACGUCGAGCCACCGGGUCAGGCGAACCACUUUGUUUUGAGCACGGUUGGGCAUCUGAAAGCACAACCACAAUGCAAAGACAUCAGAAUUUCUAGGGAAAAUUGGACAGCAUAACAGCUGUAAAUGCUCAGAAAAAGAUUUGAGACAUCCACAACAGUUCGCAAUACCACUCAACAACAUCAUAUCAAGGUUCUGAUCCAAAUAGCAGCAUACUAAAAAUAGUAGAAACUGAACUGGGGCUUGUAACAACAAUCCUAUAAGCUACUACGGAUUAGUAACACGUGAACCUGAUAGAAGAAGAGAGACUAGUCCUUAACCCACAUUGAAUGAAAAGGGAAUGACUCAGAUAAGAGGCAUAGGGUAAAGGAGUAAAAGAGCCUUACGUUCCCUCCCACAAUCAAUUCCCCUACAUAUAACUAAAGCAUUUCCAGACUCGACAUCGACCAGUUUGGCUCAACGAACCUACAGGCAGUCCGGCACUGAUGCCAACGCUGUCAGGACCCCGAUUCCAAGACACAUCGAUCUAGCUGGUAACACCUCAUAUCACUUUGCGGCCUCACGCACGAUAUUCCACGGGUGUCGCCUUACCAUGGCCCGGGACCGUUUGCGCCUUUUGGCUCACGUAUAUGAUAGUGUCGCUAGCAUCCAUAUGAUAGAGAACCCGGGCCGACAUGGCUAGUCGUGAACCCAAAGAGGCACAGACCUAUGGAGACAGGCAUACAUGAAUCACAUCGAGCAUGUCGGUCAUCAGCGAGUGAUUCCGGGCUGUAGCACUGGGCUAACAGGACUCCGGGGAACCCGGGCUGUAGCAGGCUAGGCAGGACUCCGGAAGUCACCGCGUAACAUUUCCCCGAAGGGACAGACAUAGGAAUGAAGUGAAUCACAUGCCGGCAAGUCAAGUGUCCUGAGCUGUAGUGCUGGGCUAGCAGGACUCUGGUGAACCGGGCUGUAGCGGACUACUAUGGCUCAAGGAACACUAGACUACAUUUCCCCAUAAGAAAGGCUGCCAAGGAUAAACAACUAGAUUGCCGGAUCCCACUCAUACCAAGCAUUUCAAUCAUACACGCAAUAUGUCCGAUAUGAGUACAUACAACAUGGCAUCACAACAAAACUCUACAACUCAAGUACUUUAUUUAAAGGCUCUAGAGAGCCAUACAUAACAGGUUCAUACAGAUAGGGGUCACAUGACCCGACACUCAAGUCAUACAAUCAUACAAGCACAUGCGGAAGCAACCGGUCUGAGUACAGACACUAGAAAGAAAGAAGGCUCCUCGAGGCCUGUCUAUCUACAUAGGGCCCUCCAUGGCCAGGAUCACCACCUGGGUGGCUACUUACUCGUCGACGUCAAGGUCUACAUAGAACCCAUCGGAGGGGGCGGUGUUGUCGUCUGAAAACAGUAAUUAAGCAAACAUGAGUACAAAGGUACUCAGCAAGUCUUACAACAGAACCUAGUAUACAUGCUUAUACUCAAGAAGGUGGUGGGGAUAUUGCAGCAAGCCAGCUUUGACUCUUGGCUAAACUAUCCUACGGAACUUCUCUAGUAAAAUAGUUUUCGCACACGAGUCCACUACUCGCCAACACAAUACUCCACAGGGGAUCCUCCCUCGUCAUCCUAUGAGAGGGCCAUCCUCGGUACUCACACUUAUCUUGAGUAUUUUAGUAGUAUCCAUUUACUUGUCUAUGAACUGUAUAGGAAACCAAGUAGUCAUACACGCUAUUCGGAUAGUUUUAUACCCUGCAGGGGUGUACUUCGUCAUACACGCUUUCACCACUUAUCGCCGUUUACAUGACAUGUACUCGGCAACCUUCAAGCGGAAGCCCAGCGAGGGUGUCGGCCACGGCCUACCUAAACACUUAAGUCUCUAGUCCAGGUUUAUCGCCUAUCCAGGUUCCAUCCACAGGGAGUCCGGCCGAGGUUUCCACAUACGGCCCCGAACGAAGUGAACAUGGUUUCGAGACGCCAAACGGGCGCCCGGCAUACCCGGCCACGGUGUAUCUACCGCAACAUAGCCCACCCCUAGGGUCAGCGCUAUGCACGGCCGCCAACACAUAACCUACAAACACCAGAAACUAUUUGCAACUCCUGGACAGAGUACAAGGGUGAUUAAGAAGUCGAGAUGGUCAAUUAAGGAUCCCAAUGCAUGGUAGUAGUGAAUCUUAAAUCGCACAUACAGAUCUCAGUUCUUAGGGACGGUCUCAAUGAAACAACCCACCAUGUACUCCUACAUGGCCUCUCAUCGAUAUCUUUACCAAAACAUGUUCAACACAUUCCUCAUAUUACCGACAUAAUCAUAUCACCCUAGCCCAUCACCCAGAUGAACCAGACCUGACACAACUCUAAGCAUAGCAGGCAUAGCAAGGUAGGAAUUAUAUACAUGGCUCAAUCAACUCCUACACAUGCUAGUGGGUUUCAUCUAGUUACUGUGGCAAUGACAGGUCAUGCAGAGGAUAAGGGUUCAACUACUGUAGCACACAGCAGUUUGAAUCACGUUGUCUUAAUGCAGUAAACAAGAGCACAGGCGAGAACAUGGGUUGUAUCGGAAUGAUCAAUGGGUUGCUUGCUUGAUGGAGUGGUAGUGGAAUACUGCCCUUCAGUGGGAUACUCGUGAAUAUCCUCGGAGCCAGAACCUACCACGAAGAACACAUCGGAACACAAUCAACACAUGACGAUAUGCAACAAUAUGAUGCAUGCUAUGACGUAUCUUGGCCUAAUGCAAGCUAAAAUAGAAAGGGAUGAACUCAUUUGAAUCAAAAAUUCAAAUAUUAGCUCAUUAAACAUGACCUUAGUAGUGCAUUUCCUUAUUCUGCUUAAACAGCAAGGUAAACUUGUUUUGUCAUGCAUGAAACCAUUACAGAUGGAUAGAUUGAAUUUUUCUGAUAAUUUUUCAUAUAUAAAUUAUUUCAUUUGGAGUUACGGUUGAAUCUCUAUGAUUUUUAGAAGUUUUAAACAUUUUCUGGAAAUUACUGAAUAAAAAUAAAUCCAAAAAAUGCAUUACGGCGUCAGCAUUGUGUCAUGCUGACCUCAGCAGGUCAAAGGCGCCAGCCCAGGUCAAACCUGACUGGUGGGCCCCUUCUGUCAGUCUCUCAGUUAAAUAACAGGAUUAGAUUAACACUAAUUAACUGUCAGUGGGGCCUGGGCCCACAUGUCAGUGACUGAUUAAAAUAAAAUUAGUUAAAACUAAUCCUAGAUUAGUUAGCAGACCGGCCCCACCUGUCAUAGACUCAGGGGGGUCUACCUGGGCCCACCCAGGGUCAAACUGGGUCAAACUCGCCGGCGUUGAGCCGCCGGCGAGACCCGAGACAGUGGCGCAGCUCGGAAAACGCCUACAGGGCACGAGCGAGGCCGUUCUUGGGCUCGUUGGAGAGCUCUUGCAGUCGCGCAUCUAGUGCUGGUGGUGGCCGGGCCUACGGUGGCCGGAGACGACGACGGCGAGCUCCAAGGCGGCGGCCGGAGUUCGGCCAUGUGCGGGGUGUGGGCUGCGGCGUGCAAACGUGGAAACUGAGGCGCUAGCGAGGCACUACGUGAUGCGGCAAGCACGUUGCGUAGCACGGGAUGACCAAAUGGUCGCCGGAGCGGCGCUGACGACAAGCUCGAGCGGAGACGAGCUUCGGCCAUGGUGAAACUAUGGCCUAGAGGGUGCAAACGCGUGGAAAAGAAGAGGGGAAAGGUGGCGGAGCUCACAGGGAGGUCGAUGAGCAGCUCAGUGGGCUCGGGGCGACCGGAGUGAGGCGAAUCGACGAGCGGCGUCCGGCGGGUACCGAGGUUGAAGACAAUCCGAUGGCGGCGAUGCAGGGCCUUCGGCGAUGCGUGGCUCGGUGGGGAGGGCGAGGGCGUUACGGCGGAGCUUCUGGACAGGUCAGAGAGGCGAGGUGGUGAUGGAGGGCGCGACUAUGAUGGUGAGACGGCGAUUAAAAAGAAAGAUCUGGUUCACUCGUACGUGAAAAAAGUAGCAAGCGCUCGAUGCCUUCCUUUGCAUCGAUGCCAGACGCGGUGCUGGGAAUCGACAAGAUAACCGCCAAUCUACCACGAUUAAAUUCCUAGCGCCUCCUUCUAGCGCCUCCCACUGAAAAUGCCCUAAAGGUUUUGGAGGGAUUUUUUUACUGUGUCCUACUUCACGAAUCACGAGGCAAAUCAAGUAGCCGGCAUGGCCUGGCCGGUGAGUGCCAUUGCACUUACUUGCCCCAGCAAUUUUCCGCGUGCAUUGUAGAAUUCUUUCUCCGAGUCCUGUGAAUUAAAGAUGGUGCAGACAAAAAUAUAUCCUAUAUGCGUACAUGUGCAUGAUCAGAACAUGUUUUUACGUGCGUCUACUAUAAAUCAUGACCAUUUUUAACACAAAUCAUGACCAUUCAUGAUUAGUGAAUCAUACUGUCUUAACUUAUGUGAAAUCAUGUGGAGUAAUAUAAUAUAAUAUAAUAAAUAGAUAGAUCCAUGUUGUAUUAUUUUUUGUUUACAAAAAAUAUCUGUCAUUACACAUUUUGAUUUAUGCAUUUGUUUACAAAAAAAACAGUAACAUUUCAUGGUGGAAAGUUUGUAUUGUUUCAUACUGAACACCAAUGUUUUCCUGUAAAAGAAAAUAAUGCCUACGCAUAUGCUUUUAUAUUAUUAUUAUUCUUUCAAACUUAUUCAUACAGUAUUUUUGAUUGUGCAACCAUAAUUUUUAUUGUCUCUCUCGUUCCACUACAUGCUCUUACUCAAUGAUUUUUUUAUAACGGGUGUUUUUAUUAACUCAAAAUAUAGUAUCAAGCGGAUACAAAACAUAAUGAGCCACACCUGGUCUCUGCAUAACUAAGAUGCACACAGCCAAAAGCAGAUGUCUGACAAAAAUAAGAUAAGAAAAUCGACAUAUCGACAACAGUGAGUCAUAUAGUCCCGACACUAUGCCCCCGUUGAAGGACGGGGUGGAGCGAUCUGGAGAUUAUGCUGCCCUCCAUGUUGAGUAAAUACCUCCCUGGCCACUUGUUCCAAACGCAUAGACGCCGCCACGAAUAAUGGUCGGUACUCUGUUCAGUGUAGCAUACACCAUGUAGGAAGUGAGUGCUCACUCCUAGUUACUAAAUUAUGUACACACUAGUAGAAAAAGGGCCAUUUGUCCCGGUUCGUAAGGCCCAUUUGUCCCAAUUGGGGAACCGGGACUAAAGGGUCGGUACUAAAGCCCUACACCUUUAGUCCCGGUUCUUACACCAACCGAGACAGAUGGGGCUCCACGUGGCCGCUACAGCUUGCCGUGGCAGGGGGGCCUUUUGUCCCGGUUGGUAGCACCAACCGGGACCAAUAAGCUACCACGCGUCCGCAUUUGAGGGGCUAGGGUUUUUGUUUUUUUUCUGAAGGGGGGGGGGUGGGUUUGUAUGGUUAAUUUUGGGGGGUUUCACAUAUUGUGUUAGGUAGCUAAUUAAUUAAUAGAGAGAAGUGUCCUCACUUAUCUCCGUGCUUGGUCGACGCUACGUACUAUACGUAUAGAGAGGCCCUCAACACGCUAGCCAGUAAGCAAAUGAAGUAAACCAUUAAGUACAGAAGUUCGUCAUGAACAUAUGCAUACAAACAUAAGUGAUAUCGACCUCUCCUUCUCCGAGAGAUAGGUCGAACAACAAGUUUCCGUAUAUCUAUCCGGCGCUACUAGCUACAUAUAUACAAUAUUAAGAUCUCUUACAAUAUAAUCCCCUAAUUAUAUAUGAACUCAGCUUCCAGAUGGUAUUCUCCGGCUUUAUUGAUGGCGUGGUCAAGAAAGAUUCCCUCCAAUUCCUCUUGAAUUGCUUUGAUGCGAUCUUGUGGUAGGAGUUCAUCUCGCAUCUGCCACAUCUAAUUUGAAGAAGGGGGUCAAUCACCAGUAGAAUAACAACCAUUUGUCCUGGUUCAUAAGGUUAAUUUGUCCCGGUUGGGGAACCGAGACUAAAGGGUCUUUACUAAAGCCCUACACCUUUAGUCCUGGUUCUUACACCAACUGGGACAGAUGGGCCUCCAUGUGGCUGCUGCGGCGAGCCCAGGCCGGAGGUCCUUUGGUCCCGGUUAGUGGCACUGAUACGUCUCCAACGUAUCUAUAAUUUUUGAUUGCUCCAUGCUAUUAUGUUAUCUAUUUUGGAUGUUAAUGGCUUUAUUUUACACCUUUAUAUCAUUUUUGGGACUAACCUACUAAUCGGAGGCCCAACCCAAAUUGUUGUUUUCUACCUAUUUUAGGUUUUCGAAGAAAAGGAAUAUCAAACGGAGUCCAAACGGAAUGAAACCUUCGAGAACGUGAUUUUCUCAAUGAACAUGAUUCAGGAGAAUUGGAGUGUGCUCCAAGAAACAAGGGAGGAAGGCACGAGGCAGGGGGCGCGCCUACCCCCUUGGGCGCGCCCUCCACCCUCGUGGGCCCUCCGCUGCUCCACCGACGUACUUCUUCCUCCUAUAUAUAUCCACGUACCCCCAAACAUCCAGGAGCACCACGAAAACCUAAUUCCACCGCUGCAACCUUCUGUACCCGAGAGAUCCCAUCUUGGGGCCUUUUCCGGAGGUCCACCGGAGGGGGCAUCGAUCAUGGAGGGCCUCUACAUCAACUCCAUGGCCUCUCCGGUGAUGUGUGAGUAGUUUACUUCAGACCUAGGGGUCUAUAGUUAUUAGCUAGAUGGCUUCUUCUUCUCUCUUUGGAUCUCAAUACAAAGUUCUCCUCGAUUUUCUUGGAGAUCUAUUUGAUGUAACCUUCUUUUGCGGUGUGUUUGUCGAGAUCCGAUGAAUUGUGGGUUUGUGAUCCAGAUUAUCUAUGAACAAUAUUUGAUUCUCCUAUGAAUUCUAGUAUGUAUGAUUGGUUUAUCUUUGCAAGUCUCUUCGAAUUAUCAGUUUGGUUUGGCCUACUAGAUUGAUUUCUUGCAAUGGGAGAAGUGCUUAGCUUUGGGUUCAAUCUUGCAGUGUUUGAUCCCAGUGACAGAAAGGGAACCGAUACGUAUUGUAUUGUUGCCAUCGAGGAUAAAAAGAUGGGGUUUAUAUCAUAUCGCAUGAGUUUAUCCCUCUACAUCAUGUCAUCUUCCUUAAAGCAUUACUAUGUUCUCUUGAACUUAAUACUCUAGAUGCAUGCUGGAUAGCGGUCCAUGUGUCGAGUAAUAGUAGUAGAUGCAGAAUCGUUUCGGUCUACUUGUCUCGGACGUGAUGCCUAUAUACAUGAUCAUACCUAGAUAUUCUCAUAACUAUGUUCAAUUCUGUACAAUAUGGUGCACGGGGUUACAUCGGCCUGCAAAGACAUUUCUGCGAUGUGAGACAUCCGAAAAGCAACGAAAACGGGAGAUUAUACAUUUAUUGAAGAGGGCAGGUGUGACAGAUACCGUGAGGGCGUCGAGCUCAGCCAAAGACGAUGGACAGCUGAGCACGGCCUGUGUCAGAGCCGGUGCGGGAGCAGGUGCAGGUGCAGGUGCUGGUGCAACGCUAGUCGAGCUGCUCCUGAAGAAGUCAACAAUGGGAAAGUCCGCUGCAUUUUUUCUGCAUUUUGCGUGCUCCAAUUGAAAAUGGCUGGAACCAAGACAGUAGACAUAUCUGCAACCACCUGUUUUCCGGCAGCUACCGCUGUCGCGACUGUCUCAGAUGAUUUCUUCUCAACCGCAAUCUCAACCUUCUUGUCGAUGUUUUAUUCGGUUAACCUCCAUCUUUCCUUUCUCUCCUCCGUGGUCUCACGGUAGUACUUCUUCCACGUGGCCCCGUCUCCGACACCGUGAACGCGUCCAUACGACGACCGAGUCUCCACGGGGAGUCCUUUCAAUAUGUUCAAUGCCCGGUUGAAUGGAGUGUCCCACUUGGGCCUUGCCAAUGCCUCAGACGGCGAGUCGCUUUCGGCCGCAAUCUUAUGCUGCUCUCUCUACAAAAGGAACACGGAUCAUUUACAAAUAUGACUAAACGUGCAGUCGAACUGAUCAGAAACUAAAAUUACCAGCAGUCUCAUGAACUCCGUCGUGAUCGGGUCCGUCUUGAAAACCUUCUUGACUGAGUCCCAAUGGUGUCGUGCCCUGAGGACGUCAUGCUCCUACGGGACGGUGAAGUCCGCCAAGGGGUCUGGGAUGCCAGAUUUUCGCGUUUCGUGUCCUCCUUGGCCCAUAUGGACCUCUUCCUGCCGUAACCACUGCUUCCGAGGUGGUGGCGCCCCAUGUUCCUUUGUGGAAGCCCCUUCAUGUACUUCGACUUUGUUUUGGCAGCUUCGGCCUCGCAAGCCGCCUUGAAUAUUUCAAAGUGUUCUCUAGUGAUUGUCAGAUUAUCCUUUACAAUCUCGGAGUAGGGUUGAUACGUCUCCAACGUAUCUAUUAUUUUUGAUUGCUCCAUGCUAUAUUAUCUACUGUUUUGGACAUUAUUGGGCUUUAUUAUCUACUUUUAUAUUAUUUUUGGGACUAACCUAUUAACCGGAGGCCCAGCCUAGAAUUGUUGUUUUUUGACUGUUUUAGGGUUUCGAAGAAAAGGAAUAUCAAACGGAGUCCAAACGGAAUGAAACCUUCGGGAACGUGAUUUUCUGAAUGAACAAGACCCUGGAGACUUGGACCCUACGUCAAGACACAAAAGAGGAGGACACGAGGUAGGGGGCGCGCCUAACCCCCCCCCCCCCUCGAGGCACGCCCUCCACCCUCGUGGGGCCCCUGUUGCUCCACCGACGUACUCCUUCCUCCUAUAUAUACCUACGUACUUCCAAACGAUCAGAUACGGAGCCAAAACCCUAAUUCCACUGCCGCAACUUUCUGUAUCCACGAGAUCCCAUUUGGUGCCUGUUCCGGAGCUCCGCCGGAGGGGGCAUCGAUCACGGAGGGCUUCUACAUCAACACCAUAGCCUCUCCGAUGAAGUGUGAGUAGUUCACCUCAGACGUACCGGUCCAUAUUUAUUACCUAGAUGGCUUCUUCUCUCUUUUUGGAUCUCAAUACAAUGUUCUCCCCCUCUCUUGUGGAGAACUAUUCGAUGUAAUCUUGUUUUUGCAGUGUGUUUAUUGAGAUUGAUGAAUUGUGGGUUUAUGAUCAAGUCUAUGUAUGAAUAAUAUUUGAAUCUUCUCUAAAUUCUUUUAUGUAUGAUUGUUUAUCUUUGCAAGUCUCUUCGAAUUAUCAGUUUGGUUUGGCCUACUAGAUUGAUCUUUCUUACAAUGGGAGAAGUGCUUAGCUUUGGGUUCAAUCUUGCGGUGUCCUUUCCCAAUGACAGUAGGGGCAGCAAGGCAUGUAUUGUAUUGUUGCCAUCGAGGACAACAAGAUGGGGUUUUCAUCAUAUUGCAUGAGUCUAUCCCUCUACAUCAUGUCAUCUUGCUUAAGGCGUUACUCUGUUUUUAACUUAAUACUCUAGAUGCAUGCUGGAUAGCGGUCGAUGAGUGAAACCUAUGGCCCCCGGGUCUAUCUUUAUCAUAUUAAUCUCCUACUACUUAGUUAUUUCCUUUGCUUUUUCCUUUGCCUUUAUUUUACUUUUGAUCUUUAUCACAAAAAUACCAAACAUAUUAUCUUUAUCAUAUCUAUCAGAUCUCACUCUCGUAAGUGGCUGUGUAGGGAUUGACAACCCCUAUUCGCGUUGGUUGCGAGGAUUUAUUUGUUUUGUGCAAGUACGAGAGACUCGCGCGUAGCCUCCUACUGGAUUGAUACCUUGGUUCUCAAAAACUGAGGGAAAUACUUACACUACUUUGCUGCAUCAUCCUUCCUCUUCGCGGAAAACCAACGUAGUGCUCAAGAGCUGGCAAUAAGGAUUUCUGGCGCCGUUGCCGGGGAGGUCUAAGCAAAAGUCAACAUACCAAGUACCCAUCACAUACCCUUAUCUCCUGCAUUACAUUAUUUUCCAUUUGCCUCUCGUUUUCCUCUCCCCCACUUCACCCUUGCCGUUUUAUUCGCCCUCUCUCUCUCUCUCUAUCCUCCCUCUCUUUCUCUAUUUGCCUCUUUUUUCCCACUUGCUUUCUGUUUGCUUGUGUGUUAGUUGCUUGCUUGUCACGAUGGCUCAAGAUAAUACUAAAUUACGUGACUUCACCAAUACCAACAACAAUGAUUUUAUUAACACUCCGAUUGCUCCUCUUACCGAUGCUGAAUCUUGAGAAAUUAAUACUGCUUUGCUGAAUCUUGUCAUGAAAGAUCUGUUUUUCGGCCUUCCUAGUGAAGAUGCCGCUACCCACCUAAAUAGAUUCGUUGAUUUGUGUGACAUGCAAAAGAAGAAAGGUGUGGAUAAUGAUAUUGUUAAAUUGAAGCUAUUUCCUUUUUCGCUUAGAGAUCGUGCUAAAGCUUGGUUUUCGUCUUUGCCUAAAAAUACUAUUGAUUCAUGGAAUAAGUGCAAAGAUGCUUUUAUCUCUAAGUAUUUUCCUCCUGCUAAGAUCAUCUCUCUUAGAAACGAUAUUAUGAAUUUUAAGCAACUUGAUCAUGAACAUGUUGCACAAGCUUGGGAGAGAAUGAAACUAAUGAUACGUAAUUGCCCUGCCCAUGGUUUAAAUUUGUGGAUGAUUAUACCAAAUUUUUAUGCCGGAUUGAACUUUGCUUCUAGAAAUCUUUUAGAUUAGGCCGCGGGAGGCACUUUUAUGGAAAUCACUUUAGGAGAAGCUACUAAACUCCUAGAUAAUAUUAUGGUUAAUUAUUCUCAACGGCAUACCGAAAGAUCUACUAAUAAAAACGUGCAUGCGAUAGAAGAAAUUAAUGUUUCGAGUGGAAAGAUGGAUGAACUUCUGAAAUUAUUUGCUAAUAAGAGUAUUUCUUCUGAUCCUAAUGAUAUGCCCUUGUCUACUUUGAUUGAGAAUAAUAAUUAAUCUAUGGAUGUGGAUUUUGUUGGUAGGAACAAUUUUGGUAACAACGCGUACAGAGGAAAUUUCAACCCUAGGCCUUAUCCUAGUAAUCUCUCUAAUAAUUAUGGUAAUUCCUACAACAAUUCUUAUGGAAAUUAUAAUAAGAUGCCCUCUGAUUUUGGAUCUAAUAUUAGAGAAUUUAUUACUUUCCAAAAGAAUUUCAAUGCUUUGAUUGAAGAAAAAUUGCUUAAGAUUGAUGAUUUGGCUAGGAACGUUGAUAGAAUUACUCUUGAUGUUGAUUCUUUGAAACUUAGAUCUAUUCCACCUAAGCAUGAUGUCAAUGAGUCUCUCAAAGCCAUGAGAAUUUCCAUUGAUGAGUGCAAAGAAAGAACCACUAGGAUGCGUGUUAAGAAAGAUGCCUUUAUAAGAGCGUGUUCUUCUAAUUCCUAUGAAAAUAAUGAUGAAGAUCAAAAAGUUAUUGAUGUCCUCCCUAUUAAAUCUUUGUUUUGCAAUAUGAAUCUUGAUAAUCAUGGGACUGAAUAUGAUCCACCUUUACCUAGAAGGCGUUCCAAUAAUUCAGAAUUUGUUGAUCUUGAUGCUAAAAUUGAUAAAGGUGGGAUUGAAGAAAUUAAAACCCUAGAUGUUGCUAAACCCACUAUUAUGGAUUUCAAGGAACUUAACUAUGAAAACUGCCCUUUGAUUGAUUGUAUAUCCUUGUUACAAUCCGUGCUAAAUUCUCCUCAUGCUUAUAGUCAAAAUAAAGCAUUUACUAAACAUAUUGUUGAUGCCUUGAUGCAAUCUUAUGAAGAAAAACUUGAAUUGGAAGUUUCUAUCCCUAUAAAGCUUUAUGAUGAGUGGGAACCAACUAUUAAAAUUAAAAUUAAAUAUCAUGAAUGCUAUGCUUUAUGUGAUUUGUGUGCUAGUGUUUCCACGAUUCCAUAGACUUUGUGUGAUUUGUUAGGUUUCCGUGAUUUUGAUGAUUGCUCUUUAAACUUGCACCUUGCGGAUUCCACUAUUAAGAAACCUAUGGGAAGAAUUAAUGAUGUUCUUAUUGUUGCAAAUAGCAAUUAUGUGCCCGUAGAUUUUAUUGUUCUUGACAUAGAUUGCAAUCUUUCAUGUCCUAUUAUUCUUGGUAGACCUUUCCUUAGAACGACUGGUGCAAUUAUUGAUAUGAAGGAAGGAAAUAUUAGAUUCCAAUUUCCAUUAAGGAAAGGCAUGGAACACUUUCCUAGAAAGUAAAUUAAAUUACCUUAUGAAUCUAUUAUGAUAGCCACUUAUGGAUUGCCUACCAAAGAUGGCAAUACCUAGAUCUAUCCUUGCUUGUUAUGCCUAGCUAGGGGCGUUAAACGAUAGCGCUUGUUGGGAGGCAACCCAAUUUUAUUUUUAUUCCUUGAUUUUUUCUCCUGUUUAGUAAUAAAUAAUUUAUAUAGCCUCUGUUUUGGUUCUGUUCUUUGUGUUUAAUUAGUGUUUGUGCCAAGUAGAACCGUUAGGAAGACUUGGGGAAAGUCUUGUUACACUUGCUGUAAAAAACUGAAACUUCAGCGCUCACGAGAACUGCUGCCAUUUUUAUUUGGAAAGUGCUAUGUAGUUAAUUAUUUUUCAGAUGAUUAACAGAUAAAUUCCUCACGUCCAGAAAUUUAUUUUAGAAUUUUUGGGGUUCCAGCUCUUGAGCUAGCUACAGAGUACUACAGGCUGUUCUGUUUUUGAAAGAUUCUGUUUUUCGUGUGUUGUUUGCUUAUUUUGAUGAACCUAUGGCUAGUAAAAUAGUUUAUAUACCAUAGAGAAAUUGGAAUACAGUAGGUAUAACACCAAUAUAAAUAAAUAAUGAGUUCAUUACAGUACCUUGAAGUGGUCUUUUAUUUUCUUUCGCUAACGGAGCUCAUGAGAUUUUCUACUUUAAGUUUUGUGUUGUGAAGUUUUCAAGUUUUGGGUAAAGAUUUGAUGGAUUAUGGAACAAGGAGUGACAAGAGCCUAAGCUUGGGGGUUCCCAUGGCACCCCCAAGAUAAUCUAAGUACACCUAAAAACCAAAGCUUGGGGAUGCGCCGGAAGUCAUCCCCUCUUUCAUCUACUUCUAUCGGUAACUUUACUUGGAGCUAUAUUUUUAUUCGCCACAUGAUAUGUGUUUUGCUUGGAGCGUCUUGUAUUAUUUGAGUCUUUAUUUGUUAGUUUACCACAAUCAUCCUUGCUGUACACACCUUUUGAGAGAGCCAUACAUGAUUUGGAAUUUGUUAGAAUACUCUAUGUGCUUCGCUUAUAUCUUUUGAGUUAUAUAGUUUUGCUCUAGUACUUCACUUAUAUCUUUUAGAGCACGGUGGUGGAUUUGUUUUAUAGAAACAAUUGAUCUCUCAUGCUCCACUUAGAUUAUUUUGAGAUUCUUAAUAGCAUGUUAAUUUGCUUAAAAUCCUAAUAUGCUAGGUAUUCAAAGUUAGUAAAAUUUUCUUAAGAGUGUUUUGAAUACUAAGAGAAGUUUGAUGCUUGAUGAUUGUUUUGAGAUAUGGAGGUAAUAAUAUCAAAGUCGUUCUCGUUGACUAGUUGUGAAAUUGAGAAAUACUUGUGUUGAAGUUUGCAUGUCCCGUAGCACGCACGUAUGGUAAACGUUGUGUAACAAAUUUGAAACAUGAGGUGUUAUUUGAUUGUCUUCCUUGUGAGUGGCGGUCGGGGACGAGCGAUGGUCUUUUCCUACCAAUCGAUCCCCCUAGGAGCAUGCGAAUAGUACCAAGGUUUUUGAUGACUUGUAGAUUUUUGCAGUAAGUAUGUGAGUUCUUUAUGACUAAUGUUGAGUCCAUGAAUUAUACGCACUCUCACCCUUCCAUCCUUGCUAGCCUCUUCGGUACCGUGCAUUGCCCUUUCCCACAUUGAGAGUUGGAGCAAACUUCGCCAGUGCAUCCAAACCCCGUGCUAUGAUACGCUCAUUCACACAUAAACCUCCUUAUAUCUUCCUCAAAACAGCCACCAUACCUACCUAUUAUGGCAUUUCCAUAGCCAUUCCGACAUAUAUUGCCAUGCAACUUUCCACCAUUCCGUUCAUCAUGACACAUUCAUCAUUGUCAUAUUGCGUAGCAUAAUCAUGUAGUUGACAUAGUAUUUGUGGCAAGGCCACCGUUCAUAAUUCAUUCAUACAUGUCACUCUUGGUCCAUUGCAUGUCCCGGUACACCGCCGGAGGCAUUCAUAUAGAGCCAUACUUUGUUCUAGUAUCGAGUAGUAAUUAUUGAGUCGUAAAUAAAUAGAAGUGUGAUGAUCAUCAUUAAUAGAGCAUGGUCCCAAAAAGAAAAAAAAGGAAGGGCCAAAAAAAGGCCAAAUAAAAAAAUAUAAAAAAGGGGGCAAUGCUACUAUCCUUUUUUUCCAAACUUGUGCUUCCAAGUAGCACCGUAAUCUUCAAGAUAGAGAGUCUCUUGAUUUGUCACUUUCAUAUACUAGUGGGAAUUUUUCAUUAUAGAACUUGGCUUGUAUAUUCCAACAAUGGGCGUCCCCAAGUUCCCUAGGUCUUCGUGAGCAAGCAAGUUGGAUGCACACCCACUUAGUUUCUUUUGUUGAGCUUUCAUACAUUUAUAGCUCUAGUGCAUCCGUUGCAUGGCAAUUCCUACUCCUUGCAUUAACAUCAAUCAAUGGGCAUCUCCAUAGCCCAUUGAUUAGCCUCGUUGAUGUGAGACUUUCUCCUUUUUGUCUUCUCCACAUAACCCCACUCAUUAGAUUCUAUUCCACCCAUAGUGUUAUGUCCAUGGCUUGCAAUCAUAUAUUGCGUGAAAGUUUAUAGGUUUGAGAUCACUAAAGUAUGAAACAAUUGCUUGGCUUGUCAUCGGGGUUGUGCAUGAUGAGAGCAUACUUGUGUGACGAAAAUGAAGCAUGACUAAACUAUAUGAUUUUGUAGGGGUGAACUUUCUUUGGCCAUGUUAUUUUGAGAAGACACAAUUGCUCAGUUAGUAUGCUUAAAGUAUUAUUAUUUUAUGUCAAUAUGAACUUUUGUCUUGAAUGUUUCAGAUCCGAAUAUUCAUACCACAAUUAAGAAGAAUUACAUUAAAAUCAUGCCAAGUAGCACUCCACAUCAAAAAUUCUGUUUUUAUCAUUUACCUACUCGAGGACGAGCCGGAAUUAAGCUUGGGGAUGCUUGAUACAUCUCCAACGUAUCUAUAAUUUUUGAUUGCUCCAUGCUAUAUUAUCUACUGUUUUGGACAAUAUUGGGCUUUAUUAUCCACUUGUAUAUUAUUUUUGGGACUAACCUAUUAACCGGAGGCCCAGCCCAGAAUUGUUGUUUUUUGCCUGUUUUAGGGUUUCGAAGAAAAGGAAUAUCAAACGGAGUCCAAACGGAAUGAAACCUUCGGGAACGUGAUUUUCUCAACGAACAAGAUCUAGGAGACUUGGACCCUCCAUCAAGACAUAAAAGAGGAGGCCACGAGGUAGGGGGCGUNNNNNNNNNNNNNNNNNNNNNNNNNNNNNNNNNNNNNNNNNNNNNNNNNNNNNNNNNNNNNNNNNNNNNNNNNNNNNNNNNNNNNNNNNNNNNNNNNNNNNNNNNNNNNNNNNNNNNNNNNNNNNNNNNNNNNNNNNNNNNNNNNNNNNNNNNNNNNNNNNNNNNNNNNNNNNNNNNNNNNNNNNNNNNNNNNNNNNNNNNNNNNNNNNNNNNNNNNNNNNNNNNNNNNNNNNNNNNNNNNNNNNNNNNNNNNNNNNNNNNNNNNNNNNNNNNNNNNNNNNNNNNNNNNNNNNNNNNNNNNNNNNNNNNNNNNNNNNNNNNNNNNNNUGGGCCCCCCUGUUGCUCCACCGACGUACUCCUUCCUCCUAUAUAUACCUACUAUUGGGGAACGUAGCAGAAUUUUAAAAUUUUCUACGCAUACCAAGAUCAAUCUAUGGAGUCAUAUAGCAACGAGGGAGAGAGGAGUGCAUCUACAUACCCUUGUAGAUCGCGCGCGGAAGCGUUCAAGAGAACGGGGUUGAUGGAGUCGUACUCGUCGUGAUCCAAAUCACCGAUGACCAAGUGCCGAAUGGACAGCACCUCCGCGUACAACACACGUACGGUUGGGAAGACGUCUCCUCCUUCUUGAUCCAGCAAGGGGGAAGGAGAGGUUGAUGAAGAUCCAGCAGCACGACGGCGUGGUGGUGGAUGCAGCAGGAUCCCGGCAGGGCUUCGCCAAGCGCAAGCGGGGAGGAGAGGUGUUACGGAAGGAGAGGGAGGCGCCAAGAGCAAGGGUGCGGCUGCCCUCCCUCCCCCCCCUCUUUAUAUAGGGGCCUUGGGGGGGCGCCGGCCCUAGGAGAUGGAUCUCCAAGGGGGGCGAAGGCCAAGGGGUGGCUUCCCCCCCAAGCCAAGUGGGGGGCGCCCCCACCCCUAGGGUUUCCCAACCCUAGGCGCAUGGGAGGCCCAAGGGGGGCGCACCAGCCCACUAGGGGCUGGUUCUGCUCCCAAUUCAGCCCAUGGGGCCCUCCGGGAUGGGUGGCCCCACCCGGUGGACCCCCGGGACCCUUCCGGUGGUCCUGGUACAAUACCGGUGACCCCCGAAACCUUCCCGAUGGCCGAAAUUGUACUUCCUAUAUAUAAAUCUUUACCUCCGAACCAUUCCGGAACUCCUCGUGACGUACGGGAUCUCAUCCGGUACUCCGAACAUAUCCUUGGUUACUACAUACUAAUAUCUCUACAACCCUAGCGUCACCGAACCUUAAGUGUGUAGACCCUACGGGUUCGGGAGACAUGCAGACAUGACAGAGACGCCUCUCCGGUCAAUAACCAACAGCGGGAUCUGGAUACCCAUGUUGGCUCCCACGUGCUCCACGAUGAUCUCAUCGGAUGAACCACGAUGUCGAGGAUUCAAUCAAUCUGUGUAGAAUUCCCUUUGUCAAUCGGUACGUUACUUGCCCGAGACUCGAUCGUCGGUAUCCCAAUACCUCGUUCAAUCUCGUUACCAGCAAGUCACUUUACUCGUGCCGUAAUGCAUGAUCCCAUGAUCAACCACUUGGUCACAAUGAGCUCAUUAUGAUCAUGCAUUACCGAGUGGGCCCAGAGAUACCUCUCCGUCAUACGGAGUGACAAAUCCCAGUCUCGAUUCGUGCCAACCCAACAGACACUUUCGGAGAUACCUGUAAUGUACCUUUAUAGUCACCCAGUUACGUUGUGACGUUUGGCACACCCAAGGCACUCCUACGGUAUCCGGGAGUUGCCCAAUCUCAUGGUCUAAGGAAAUGAUACUUGACAUUCGGAAAAGCUACAGCAAACGAACUACACGAUCUUUGAGCUAUGCUUAGGAUUGGGUCUUGUCCAUCACAUCAUUCUCCUAAUGAUGUGAACCCGUUAUCAAUGACAUCCAAUGUCCAUAGUCAGGAAACCAUGACUAUCUUUUGAUCAACGAGCUAGUCAACUAGAGGCUCACUAGGGACGUGUUGUCGUCUAUGUAUUCACACAUGUAUUACGAUUUCCGGAUAACACAAUUAUAGCAUGAAAAAUAGACAAUUAUCAUGAACAAAGAAAUAUAAUAAUAACCAUUUUAUUAUUGCCUCUAGGGCAUAUUUCCAACAGUCUCCCACUUGCACUAGCGUCAGUAGUCUAGUUACAUUUUGAUGAAUCCAACACCCAUGAAGUUCUGGAGUUGAUCAUGUUUUGCUCUAGGGAGAGGUUUAGUCAAUGGAUCUGCCACAUUCAGGUCCGUAUGUACUUUACAAAUCUCUAUGUAUCCAUUUUGAACACUUUCAUGAAUGGAGUUGAAGUGACGCUUGAUAUGCCUGGUCUUCCUGUGAAAUCUGGGCUCCUUGGCAAGUGCAAUAGCUCCAGUGUUGUCACAGAAUAGAGUCAUCGGGCCCGGUGCAUUGGGUGUGACUCCUAGGUCGGUAAUGAACUCCUUCACCCAGAUUGCUUCUUGUGCUGCCUCCGAGGCUGCCAUGUACUCUGCUUCACAUGUAGAUCCCGCCACAACGCUUUGCUUGCAACUCCACCAGCUUACUGCCCCACCAUUCAAAAUAUACACGUAUCCGGUUUCCGACUUAGAGUCAUCCAGAUCUGUGUCGAAGCUAGCAUCAACGUAACCCUUUACGACGAGCUCUUCGUCACCUCCAUAAACGAGAAACAUAUCCUUAGUCCUUUUUAGGUACUUGAGGAUAUUCUUGACUGCUGUCUAGUGUUCCAUGCCGGGAUUACUUUGGUACCUUCCUACCAAACUUACGGCAAGGUUUUCAUCAGGUCUGGUACACAGCAUAGCAUACAUGAUAGACCCUAUGGCCGAGGCAUAGGGGAUGACACUCAUCUUUUCUCUAUCUUCUGUCGUGGUCGUGCAUUGAGCCUCGCUCAAUCUCGUACCUUGCAAUACAGGCAAGAACCCUUCUUUUACUGAUCCAUUUUGAACUUCUUCAAUAUCUUAUCAAGGUAUGUACUCUGUGAAAGACCAAUGAGGCGUCUCGAUCUAUCUCUAUAGAUCUUGAUGCCUAAUAUAUAAGCAGCUUCUCCAAGAUCCUUCAUUGAAAAACACGUGUUCAAGUAGGCCUUUAUGCUUUCCAAGAAUUCUAUAUCAUUUCCCAUCAACAAUAUGUCAUCCACAUCCAAUAUGAGAAAUGCUACAAAGCUCCCACUCACUUUCUUGUAAAUGCAGACUUCUCCAUAAGUAUGCGUAAACCCAAACGCUUUGAUCAUCUCAUCAAAACGAAUGUUCCAUCUCCGAGAUGCUUGCACCAGCCCAUAAAUCGAAUGUUGGAGCUUGUACACCUUGUCAGCAUUCUUAGGAUCGACAAAACCUUCCGGCUGCAUCAUAUACAAUUCUUCCUUAAGGAAACCAUUAAGGAAUGUUGUUUUGACGUCCAUUUGCCAUAUUCAUAAUCAUAGAAUGCGGCAAUUGCUAACAUCGUAGUCAACCCCUUGAACUUGCCGAUAACCCUUAGCGACAAGCCGAGCUUUAUAGAUGGUCACAUUACCAUCCGCGUCUGUCUUCUUCUUAAAGAUCCAUUUAUUUUCUAUGGCUCGCCGAUCAUCGGGCAAGUCAGUCAAAGUCCAUACUUUGUUUUCAUACAUGGAUCUUAUCUCGGAUUUCAUGGCUUCCAGCCAUUUGUUGGAAUUCAGGCCCGCCAUCGCUUCUUCAUAGUUCGAAGUUCACCGUUGUCUAACAACAUGAUUUCCAAGACAGGGUUGCCGUACCACUCUGGUGCGGGACGUGUCCCCGUGGACCUACGAAGUUCAGUAGCAACUUGAUCUGAAGUUUCAUGAUCAUCAUCAUCAAUUUCCUCUCUAGUCGUUGCAGGCACCUUAGGAACAUUUUCUUGAGCUGCGCCACUUACCGGUUCAAGAGGUAAUAAUACUUCAUCAAGUUCUACUUUCCUCCCACUUAUUUCUUUCGAGAGAAACUCUUUCUCUAGAAAGGACCCAUUCUUGGCAACAAAGAUCUUGCCUUCGGAUCUGAGGUAGAAGGUAUACCCAAUAGUUUCUUUAGGGUAUCCUAUGAAGACGCAUUUUUCCAAUUUGGGUUCGAGCUUUUCAGGUUGAAGUUUCCUUACAUAAGCAUCGCAUCCCCAAACUUUUAGAAAUGACAUCUUAGGUGUCUUCCCAAACCAUAAUUCAUACGGUGUCAUCUCAACGGAUUUCGACGGAGCCCUAUUUAAAGUGAAUGCGGCAGUCUCUAAAGCAUAGCCCCAAAAUGACAGCGGUAAAUCGGUAAGAGACAUCAUAGAUCGCACCAUAUCUAAUAGAGUGCGAUUAUGACAUUCCGACACACCAUUACGCUGAGGUGUUCCAGGCGGCGUGAGUUGUGAAACUAUUCCACAUUUUCUUAAGUGUGUGCCAAAUUCGUGACUCAAGUAUUCUCCCCCACGAUCUGAUCGCAAGAACUUGAUUUGCCUGUCACGUUGAUUCUCAACCUCACUUUGAAAUUCCUUGAACUUUUCAAAGGUCUCAGACUUGUGUUUCAUUAAGUAGACAUACCCAUAUCUACUCAAGUCAUCAGUGAGGGUGAGAACAUAACGAUAGCCACCGCGCCUCAACACUCAUUGGACCGCACACAUCAGUAUGUAUGAUUUCCAAUAAGUUGGUUACUCGCUCCAUUGUUCCUGAGAACGGAGUCUUGGUCAUUUUACCCAUGAGGCAUGGUUCGCACGUGUCAAAUGAUUCGUAAUCAAGAGACUUUAAAAGUCUAUCUGCAUGGAGCUUCUUCAUGCGUUUGACACCUAUGUGACCAAGGCGGCAAUGCCACAAGUAUGUGGGACUAUCAUUAUCAACCUUACAUCUUUUGGUAUUCACACUAUGAAUAUGUGUAACAUUAUGCUCGAGAUUCAUUAAGAAUAAACCAUUCACCAAUGGAGCAUGACCAUAAAACAUAUCUCUCAUAUAAAUAGAACAACCAUUAUUCUCGGAUUUAAAUGAGUAGCCAUCUCAAAUUAACCGAGAUCCUGAUACAAUGUUCAUGCUCAAAGCUGGCAGUAAAUAACAAUUAUUGAGGUUUAAAACUAAUCCCAUAGGCAAAUGUAGAGGCAGCGUGCCGACGGCGAUCACAUCAACCUUGGAACCAUUCCCGACGCACAUCGUCACCUCGUCCUUCGCCAGUCUCCGUUUAAUCCGCAGCUCCUGCUUUGAGUUACAAAUGUGAGCAACUGCACCGGUAUCAAAUACCCAGGAGCUACUACGAGUACUGGUAAGGUACACAUCAAUUACAGGUAUAUCACAUAUACCUUUAGUGUUGCCGGCCUUCUUGUCCGCUAAGUAUUUGGGGCAGUUCCGCUUCCAGUGACUACUUCCCUUGCAAUAAAAACACUCAGUCUCGAGCUUGGAUCCAUUCUUUGGCUUCUUCCCGGAAACUUGCUUAGCGGGCGCGGCAACUCCCUUGCCGUCCUUCUUGAAUUCUUCUUACCCUUGCCUUUCUUGAACUUAGUGGUUUUAUUCACCAUCAACACUUGAUGUUCCUUUUUGAUUUCCACCUCUGCUGAUUUCAGCAUUGAAUAUACCUCAGGAAUGGUCUUUUCCAUCCCCUGCAUAUUGAAGUUGAUCACAAAGCUCUUGUAGCUCGGUGGAAGCGACUGAAGGAUUCUGUCAAUGACCGCGUCAUUCGGGAGGUUAACUCCCAGCUGAGUCAAGCGGUUAUGCAACCCAGACAUUUUGAUUAUGUGCUCACUGACAGAACUAUUUUCCUCCAUCUUAUAGCUGAAGAACUUGUCGGAGACUUCAUAUCUCUCGACCCGGGCAUGAGCUUGAAAAACCAUUUUCAGCUCUUCGAACAUCUCAUAUGCUCCAUGUCUCUCAAAAUGCUUUUGGAGCCCCGGUUCUAAGCUGUAAAGCAUGCCGCACUGAACGAGGGAGUAAUCAUCAGCACGUAACUGCCAAGCGUUGAUAAUGUCUUGGUUCUCUGGGACAGGUGCGUGACCUAACGGUGCUUCUAGGACAUAAUAUUUCUUGGCAGCUACGAGGAUGAUCCUCAGGUUCCGGACCCAGUCCGUAUAGUUGCUGCCAUCGUCUUUCAGCUUGGUUUUCUCUAGGAACGCGUUGAAAUUGAGGACAACGUGGGCCAUUUGAUCUACAAGACAUAUUGUAAAGAUUUUAGACUAAGUUCAUGAUAAUUAAGUUCAUCUAAUCAAAUUAUACAAUGAACUCCCACUCAGAUAGACAUCCCUCCAGUCAUCUAAGUGAAACAUGAUCCAAGUUAACUAGGCUGUGUCGGAUCAUCACGUGAAACGGACUAGUCAACAUCGGUGAACAUCUUCAUGUUGAUCGUAUCUUCUAUACGACUCAUGCUCGACCUUUCGGUCUUCUGUGUUCCGAGGCCAUGUCUGUACAUGCUAGGCUCGUCAACUAAACCUAAGUGUAUUGCGUGUGUAAAUCUGGCUUACACCCGUUGUAUUCGAACGUUAGAAUCUAUCACACUCGAUCAUCACGUGGUGCUUCGAAACAACGAACCUUCGCAACGGUGCACAGUUAGGGGGAACACUUUCUUGAAAUUAUUUCGAGGGAUCAUCUUAUUUAAGCUACCGUCGUUCUAAGCAAAUAAGAUGUAAAACAUGAUAAACAUCACAUGCAAUCAAAUAGUGACAUGAUAUGGCCAAUAUCAUUUGCUCCUUUUGAUCUCCAUCUUUGGGGCUCCAUGAUCAUCGUUGUCACCAGCAUGACACCAUGAUCUCCAUCAUCAUGUCUUCUUGAAGUUGUCUCGUCAUCUAUUACUUCUACUACUAUGGCUAAUGCUUUAGCAAUAAAGUAAAGUAAUUACAUGACGUUUAUGUUGACACGCAGGUCAUAAAAAAAUAAAGACAACUCCUAUGGCUCCUGCCGGUUGUCAUACUCAUCGACAUGCAAGUCGUGAUUCCUAUUACAAGAACAUGAUCAAUCUCAUACAUCACAUAUAUCAUUCAUCACAUCCUUUUGGCCAUAUCACAUCAGACGGCACAUGCUGCAAAAACAAGUUAGACGUCCUCUAAUUGUUGUUGCAAGUUUUUACAUGGCUGCUAUAGGUUUCUAGCAAGAACGUGUCUUACCUACGCCAAAACCACAACGUGAUAUGCCAAUUUCUAUUUACCCUUCAUAAGGACCCUUUUCAUCGAAUCCGAUCUAACUAAAGUGGGAGAGAUAGACACCCGCCAGCCACCUUAUGCAAGUAAUGCAUGUCAAUCGGUGGAACCAGUCUCACGUAAGCGUACGUGUAAGGUCGGUCCGGGCCGCUUCAUCCCACGAUGCCGCCGAAUCAAGAUAAGACUAGUAACGGCAAGCAAAGUGACAAUAUCCACGCCCACAACUGCUUUGUGUUCUACUCGUGCAUAGAAACUACGCAUAGACCUGGCUCAUGAUGCCACUAUUGGGGAAUGUAGCAGAAUUUUAAAAUUUUCUACGCAUCACCAAGAUCAAUCUAUGGAGUUAUCUAGCAAUGAGGAAGAGAGGAGUGCAUCUACAUACCCUUGUAGAUCGCGCGCGGAAGCGUUCAAGAGAACGGGGUUGAUGGAGUCGUACUCGUCGUGAUCCAAAUCACCGAUGACCAAGUGCCGAACGGACAGCACCUCCGCGUUCAACACACGUCCGGUUGGGAAGACGUCUCCUCCUUCUUGAUCCAGCAAGGGGGAAGGAGAGGUUGAUGAAGAUCCAGCAGCACGACGGCGUGGUGGUGGAUGCAACAGGAUCCCGGCAGGGCUUCGCCAAGCGCAAGCGGGGAGGAGAGGUGUUACGGAGGGAGAGAGAGGCGCCAAGAGCAAGGGUGCGGCUGCCUUCCCUCCCCCCUCUUUAUAUAGGGGCCAUGGCGGGCGCCGGCCCUAGGAGAUGGAUCUCCAAGGGGGGCGAAGGCCAAGGGGUGGCUCCCCCCCCCAAGCCAAGUGGGGGGCGCCCCCACCCCUAGGGUUUCCCAACCCUAGGCGCAGGGGAGGCCCAAGGGGGCGCACCAGCCCACUAGGGGCUGGUUCCCCUCCCAAUUCAGCCCAUGGGGCCCUCCGGGAUGGGUGGCCCCACCCGGUGGACCCCCGGGACCCUUCCGGUGGUCCCGAUACAAUACCGGUUACCCCCGAAACCUUCCCGAUGGCCGAAACUGUACUUCCUAUAUAUAAAUCUUUACCUCCAAACCAUUUCAGAACUCCUCGUGACGCCCGGGAUCUCAUCCGGGACUCCGAACAACUUUCGGCUUACUACAUACUAAUAUCUAUACAACCCUAGCGUCACCGAACCUUAAGUGUGUAGACCCUACGGGUUUCGGAGACAUGCAGACAUGACUGAGACGCCUCUCCAGUCAAUAACCAACAGCGGGAUCUGGAUACCCAUGUUGGCUCCCACAUGCUCCACGAUGAUCUCAUCGGAUGAACCACGAUGUCGAGCAUUCAAUCAAUCUGUAUACAAUUCCCUUUAUCAAUCAGUACGUUACUUGCCCGAGACUCGAUCGUCAGUAUCCCAAUACCUUGUUCAAUCUCGUUACCGGCAAGUCACUUUACUCAUACCAUAAUGCAUGAUCCCGUGAUCAACCACUUGGUCACAUUGAGCUCAUUAUGAUGAUGCAUUACCGAGUGGGCCCAGAGAUACCUCUUCAUCACGCGGAGUGACAAAUCCCAGUCUCGAUUCAUGCCAACCCAAUAGACACUUUCGGAGAUACCUGUAAUGUACCUUUAUAGUCACCCAGUUACGUUGUGACGUUUGGCACACCCAAGGCACUCCUACGGUAUCCGGGAGUUUCACAAUCUCAUGGUCUAAGGAAAUGAUACUUGACAUUCGGAAAAGCUACAGCAGAUGAACUACACGACCUUUGAGCUAUGCUUAGGAUUGGGUCUUGUCCAUCACAUCAUUCUCCUAAUGAUGUGAUCCCAUUAUCAAUGACAUCCAAUGUCCAUAGUCAGGAAACCAUGACUAUCUUUUGAUCAACAAGCUAGUCAACUAGAGGCUCACUAGGGACGUGUUGUGGUCUAUGUAUUCACACAUGUAUUACGAUUUCCGGAUAACACAAUUAUAGCAUGAACAAUAGACAAUUAUCAUGAACAAAGAAAUAUAAUAAUAACCAUUUUAUUAUUGCCUCUAGGGCAUAUUUCCAACACCUACGUACCCCCAAACGAUCAUAUACGGAGCCAAAACCCUAAUUCCACCGCCGCAACUUUCUGUAUCCACGAGAUCCCAUCUUGGGGCCUGUUCCGGAGCUCCGCCAGAGGGGGCAUCGAUCACGGAGGGCUUCUACAUCAACACCAUAGCCUCUCUGAUGAAGUGUGAGUAGUUCACCUCAGACCUACGGUUCCAUAGUUAUUAGCUAGAUGGCUUCUUCUCUCUUUUUGGAUCUCAAUACAAUGUUCUCCCCAUCUCUUGUGGAGAACUAUUCGAUGUAAUCUUCUUUUUGCGGUGUGUUUGUUGAGACCGAUGAAUUGUGGGUUUAUGAUCAAGUCUAUCUAUGAAUAAUAUUUGAAUCUUCUCUGAAUUGUUUUAUGUAUGAUAGGUUAUCUUUGCAAGUCUCUUCGAAUUAUCAGUUUGGUUUGGCCUACUAGAUUGAUCUUUCUUGCAAUGGGAGAAGUGCUUAGCUUUGGGUUCAAUCUUGCGGUGUCCUUUCCCAGUGACAGUAGGGGCAGCAAGGCACGUAUUAUAUUGUUGCCAUCGAGGACAACAAGAUGGAGUUUUCAUCAUAUUGCAUGAGUCUAUCCCUCUACAUCAUGUCAUCUUGCUUAAGGCGUUAAUCUGUUUUUAACUUAAUACUCUAGAUGCUUGCUGGAUAGCGAUCGAUUAGUGGAGUAAUAGUAGUAGAUGCAGGCAGGAGUCGGUCUACUUGUCUCGGACGUGAUGCCUAUAUACAUGAUCAUACCUAGAUAUUCUCAUAACUAUGCUCAAUUCUGUCAAUUGCUCAACAAUAAUUUGUUCACCCACCGUAGAAUAUUUAUGCUCUCGAGAGAAGCCACUAGUGAAACCUAUGGCCCCGGGUCUAUCUUUAUCAUAUUAAUCUCCUACUACUUAGUUAUUUCCUUUGCUUUUUACUUUGCCUUUAUUUUACUUUGCAUCUUUAUCACAAAAAUACGAAAAAAAUUAUCUUUAUCAUAUCUAUCAAAUCUCACUCUCGUAAGUGGCCGUGUAGGAAUUGACAACCCCUAUUCGCGUUGGUUGCGAGGAUUUAUUUGUUUUGUGCAGGUACGAGGGACUCGCGCGUAGCCUCCUACUGGAUUGAUACCUUGGUUCUCAAAACCUGAGGGAAAUACUUACGCUACUUUGCUGCAUCAUCCCUUCCUCUUCGGGGAAAACCAAGGCAGUGCUCAAGAGGUAGCAAGGGUUCCUUUUUGUCGACGAUCCGAUGUUUCAACCCUGUUUUCCAGGUGGCCAACGCGUCGCUAAACUUGGUGACGGCGUGUUUGUUUAUCUUCUUCAUUGCCAGGUCCUUAUCUGGAUCUUUAUUAUCCUUUUCACUGCGGUCUGGGAACAAGAUUAUCUGGUGCAGUUUCUUAAGGAGGGAGGGCCUCAUAUUAUCUAUCUUCUGUAGUUUCCCAUCGUUGAUCGUGGCAGUUGUCCGUACGAUGCAACCUAUUUGAUUGCCGUAGCACGAUCGCGCUUCCUCGGGCGCUAUUGUCUCAAAAAUACCGCCGUCCAUCUCCGUGACCGCCAGUCUACUACUCAUGAGCUGGUUUGGGCGCUGUGGCCUCUUUGCUUUCGGUUCUAGACCAGCUCCGCUAGUCUCGGCGCCUGUCUCAGUUUCAUCAUCGGUCCGCAUGUCGGUAUCAGUCCCCGAUGCGACACCACAGUUGCUGCAACAUGGGUAAGGGAGACCACGUCAGUGGUGGGGGGUCUGAAAAUCAGAACACACUUUCGCGCGUCGCGGGCCGCCUCUCAGACAGCUACUGGGGAGGCGGUGGAGUACCUGGGUGCGCGGCGAAUCCCCGGGAACUCGGUGACCAACUUCCUUCCCGUGUGGCGCAUGGAGACGACGGCGACCCCGGCGAAGAGCAGCUUAGCCGCGAGCUGCACAGCCUCGUCCACCUCCUAAGUUGGGACCUCCGCGCGAGCGUUGCGGGGCCGCCACUCGGAUGGCUUCUGGAAGGCGGUUGUACAUGGGCACAUGGUGAAUCCCGGCGAGAGCUGGCCAUUGGCGCGCGCAAGUAGACGACGAUGUCCUCGAAGAAGAGCAGCCCGGCCAGCUCGCCUCACUAUCCUUUGAUUAGAAAUGAAAGAUUGGGAAGAAGCAGACUUGAGCCUGCAGGGAAAGGAUAAGGUGACGAUGCAGUCUCCACUCGUUCGGGGCGACACUCGUACUGAAUGUAUGAGAAACGUGACGUGGCAGAGACCCCAAGAUACUCCCUCCAUUUAUUUUUAGUCUGCAUAUAAAGUUUGGUCAAAGUCAAGAUUUGUAAAUUUUAACUAACUUUAUAAUAAAAAAAUAUCAACAUUCACAAUAUGAAAUCAAUAUUACCAGAUGCGUCAUGAAAUGUAUUUCCAUACUAUAUAGUUUUGGUAUUGUAGAUGUUCAUAUUUUUUUAUAUAUAUGGGAAGUAGAGGCACUCUUCUAUAUAAUGAAGUUUAUAAUAUAUGUGCUUAUAUUGUACUAUAAUUGUUUGAAUAACUUAGCAUAUAUUCAGAUGUAUGAUAUCUGUAAUUUAAACGCUUGAAUUUUACAUAUGAAUAUUUAUUAAUAAAUAUGUACCCCUAUAAUAGCUAGGCCGUGCAGUUGCACGGGUAGAUGACUAGUGAUUACAAUCUUGCUUGUGUGCAAGUCAAGCUUAUCUAGUUUACACGUAACAACUUAUAGAACAUUACAAAAUUUAUGCUUGCUAAUAACUUCUAGAACACUACAACACUUGACAUGUAAAAGGAAUUUGAUGAGUCAUGGCCUACUAAAGCAAGUUACAUUACUAGUCUUAUCUAUCUUAACAGACCACACAAGAUUACAAACUAUGUACCGUGACAGCCAUGCUUAUCUAGUUUAUGCGUAACAAUUUGCAGAAAAUUACAAACUUAGUUUCAGAAAGAUAGGCAAUCUAGAUUAGUGUUUGAGCUGUAAAGUGAAUAAGAUGAGUCAUGCAUGUCAUCACACCUUUUUGGUGGUGGAAUGAUAGUGCAACAACAAGGAACUUUAAUGACCAGUCCAAGAAUACACUUGUAAGUAGUGCCACCAAACAGAACAUACCAAAUGAUGAUUUUGAGAAGCAUCCAAGCACUUUCCACACAAACAAAUGCCAAUUGUGAAAGAGAUCAUUCCAUGGCAGCUAUAAAUAGCCCCAUAGCAUGACGAUCAUCCUUCCUCAUCCAUCAUUCUCAUAAGUAGAGCACAUCAUUUAAGCCAAGCAAGUUGUGGUCAAUACAAAUCCACCAUGAAGACCUUUCUCAUCCUUGCCCUCCUUGCUAUCGUGGCGACCACCGCCACAACUGCAGUUAGAGUUCCAGUGCCACAAUUGCAGCCACAAAAUCCAUCUCAGCAACAGCCACAGGAGCAAGUUCCAGUGGUACAACAACAACAAUUUCUAGGGCAGCAACAACCAUUUCCACCACAACAACCAUAUCCACAGCCGCAACCAUUUCCAUCACAACAACCAUAUCUGCAGCUGCAACCAUUUCCGCAGCCGCAACUACCAUAUUCGCAGCCACAACCAUUUCAACCACAACAACCAUAUCCACAACCGCAACCACAGUAUUCGCAACCACAACAACCAAUUUCACAGCAGCAGCAGCAGCAGCAGCAGCAGCAACAACAACAACAACAACAACAACAACAACAACAACCACAACAAAUCCUUCAACAAAUUUUGCAACAACAACUGAUUCCAUGCAUGGAUGUUGUAUUGCAGCAACACAACAUAGCGCAAGGAAGAUCACAAGUUUUGCAACAAAGUACUUACCAGCUGUUGCAAGAAUUGUGUUGUCAGCACCUAUGGCAGAUCCCUGAGCAGUCGCAGUGCCAGGCCAUCCACAAUGUUGUUCAUGCUAUUAUUCUGCAUCAACAACAAAAACAACAACAACAACAACAACAACAACAACCAUCGAGUCAGGUCUCCUUCCAACAGCCUCAGCAACAAUAUCCAUUAGGCCAGGGCUCCUUCCGGCCAUCUCAGCAAAACCCACAGGCCCAGGGCUCUGUCCAGCCUCAACAACUGCCCCAGUUCGAGGAAAUAAGGAACCUAGCGCUACAGACACUACCUGCAAUUUGCAAUGUCUACAUCCCUCCAUAUUGCACCAUCGCGCCAUUUGGCAUCUUCGGUACUAACUGAGAAGAAAAUAACUCUAGUACUAGAUAUAUGAAACACCGUUUUCUCAGUCCAUGGUUUGGUCGUUGUAGCGGUGAAAAAAUAAUGUGGCAUGCACUAUCAUGUAAGAACCCAAACUAUACUAGUUCAAACUUGGGAAUAAAAGACAAACACAGGUCUUGUCUACAUAUUUAUGUCGCAUCUAUUUAUAUAUUAAAAGUAAUAUAAGGUGAACCAGGAGCAAGGUAAAUAUGCUAGAAAAUUGCACGUUAAUUAGAAAUUACUAGCCCUCAAUCCGGUAAAUCUUAACAAAUAGAAUUAUCUUGACCGUUAGAUUUAUGUAACAUAUAUAAUUCUCUGGGCCUCCAACGACUGUACGUGACACAUCUGAACGCACAUAUGUUAAAGAAAAUAUAUUUGGUAAAUGGUGGGCCUCUUUAAAAAGAGAACUCACGUACAUGCACCAACUAAGAAAAACACAUACAUGUAAACGGGAAAAGGGCUCCACCCCGUUGAAAAAAUAUACAUCUGGAGGCCACUUUGUUUCCUCAUAAAAAAAAACUUACGUUAAAAAGAUUGCAUGCAUCCCAGGGAAAAUAGUCAAGAAGAAGUCGGACUCUUCCUUACAAAAACAAGGAACGUGUUAAGUUGACUUCAAAGAAAAAAGGAACAUGUUAAGUUAAAAAAAACAAGAAACCUGUUAAGUUAGAAAAAAACAAGGAACGUGUUGUCCUAGGAAAGAUAUGUGUCAAAUCUUACAAAAAAAAGAAUACACACACGUACGUUCAUGCACUUGGAAAAUAGAAAAAAAAAGGAACAUCACGUAUGUAUACACUUCGGAAACUCAUUACAUGACCAUGUCUGAUAUACUCCUCUAAUGCUUAAUAUUAGUGCCUAAUAAUUUAUAUUUAAAAUUUAAUUUACUGAUCAAAUAUCCCCACUGUUUAAAUUUUAAUUUGGCACAUUGUUUGGCUAUAGUAUGAACCUAAAUUUCCUCUUAUUAUUAUAUAUCAUGAUAAUAAUCCAAAGGCGACUAAUCUGCGCCGGCGCACCGGCGCAAUCAAUUCGGCCCGACACAGCGCGGCCGUUUGAUUAAAUUGCAUUUAACCGUCAGAUCUAGAAUCAUUUUAUUUCCAAUUAAACGGAUUCAACCAAACAGCAGAGGGGAAAACAAAGCAGCACCGCCGCCAACACUAGUCAUGGACGACCGAUGUAGCAAAACCUUGAAGAACCGCCGCCGGUCGCCACCCUCGCCGCUGGUCGCCGCCCUCGCCGCCUGCGUUUCUCAUCGGCUUCAUGCAUGCAACAACAUGCACUCGUGAUUGCAGGCUUGCAGCUCCGGCUCCGGGGGACAUGGCCGCAUCUCCGGUAGCGCCGGCCGCCAGCCGCAGCACCUGUCGUUGUGGUCACGCUGUACCUCGCCGUGUGCCCUCCCAAGGCUCUUGCUGGUUCCAACAAAAAACGAUACCUAUUGUAGCAAAAAAGUUUAUCGCUUCCAGCAAAAAAGCUUACCGCUAUAGCCCGCCAUCAUCAUUGUAGCAAAAAUGUUAACUCGAUGUAGCUUCUGUGGUUGCCGACUGCGGCCAAAAAUGACGUGGUUGUAGCAAAACACAAAAGAAAAACGCCGGCCGUCCGCUGUGUAUGGUGGUAACAAACCCUAUAGCCGGUGGUAGCGAAAAACUUCACUGUUUGCAGCAAAAAAAUGUUGUCGCCCGUCGUCGAGGUUGCAUCAUCUUCAUGAAUUAUGUCGCAAAAAAACGUUGUCGCCGGUAGUAGCAAAUGAAGCCGCCGGUAGUAACAAAACAAGACACUGGUUCCAGCCAAAAAAAUCAGCGACAGAACCUUUUGUUGGUUCCAACAAAAAAACUUGUCGGUUGUAACAUCCCUCGCCGCCGGAUGUAGCAUCUCCCAGGGCUAGUUGCAACACUCCAUAAAAAAAGUUGUCUAUGAGCGCAUCCAUGGCAACUGCUGCACCGUCAGCAACGAGGGGAAGAGGAGGCAAUGAAAAUCGUUCGAGUCGUAGCUCCACUGGACACGGCUGCAGCAUGGGGAGUCCAAAAAUCUGUCACAAGCAAGAUGCGCCUCGCCAUCCUCCUGCGCAGGAGAGAGAAGAAAAAGGAAUAAGAGGAAGAAGAAACGAAACGGGAGAAAGAAAAAAAGAAACGAUUGGUUGUGGGCUCAGGCAAUUAGUCAAAUGAGGGGCACGCGGGGCCGUAGGAUACAGCGCAAUCGAACGAAGUGCGCGCGUCCGGCCGAAGACUCAGCUGGACUGCCGGUCCAGCUGGAAAUGUUUCCCUAAUACAAAGGCUUUUCUGAAUGACAAGUCGUCUGAGUUAUCGGCUAACUAGAAAAAAGAUAAAUAUGCUAGAUAAUUCCAUAAUAAUUAGAAAUAUCUAGCCUUUAAUUAUGUAAAUCAGAAAAUCACAACCGUUGGAUUUACUUUAAAGGUAAAUUUCUCUAAAUUCCCACCAUUGCCAGUAUGUAGAAACAUGUGCUGCUUCAAUUCUCCCUUAAUCACCAAUCAAUCAACAACUGAAAACAUACCUCAGUUAAAAAAACUGAACAAAAAAAAGAAAAAAAGAAGAAAGGACAAGAUACACGCAUGUACACGACAGCCUUGGCUUGAAACACAUCAGUAGAUCAAGUGUCCGCCUCCCUUACACAGAAUAAAUUCUAGGGAAGAAAAUAAUAGUGCAACCUAACCUUAUACGUACUAUUCUAUCCUCACGUCCCAUGAGGUUUACUAGCCUACUGCCGCCGCAUCAUGCCAUCCUCUCCUUUCAGCUCCCUCCUUGCGGCGCCACUACUCGCCUAGGGAUAUUGCUGCUCAGACCGUGGAGCUUAACCUGCUUCUUCUUCAGCAAAUAUGGAACUGCUUUAGGAUCCUUCUGACAUCAGCGCGUAUGGGCCUCAUUAUACUGCAGCUCCUGGACCUCCUACAAUUGGUUGGCUAUGGCCAGUUGAUCGAUGUGCUGAAGUCCAGGUCUGUUUGCUGGCACAUAUGCUUUGGAAAUAGGCCACUAUGUUUGUACUUCGAAAUUGUUUCUGUAUUCUUCAGUGGUACAUCCUUUUAAGCGCCAGUUUUUUAUGUUAAUUCAUGCUGACAACACUUAACCUAGCCUUUCAUGUUCACGUACUAAAUACAGGAGCAAGUAAAAACAACAGACCACCUAAUUGCUCUGCAAGUUCUACAUAGGAAAAUUUGUCAUGUUCUACGAUCGCACCAUCCCACCCUUCUCUCUUGGUAUGGGCGCCAAUUGAGGGAUUGAUAAAACUGAAACGAAGACGUCACAGGGCUGGAAGUACCGCUAGCCUGGUUCGCACUGCAACCUACCCAACGCCAUCAGAAACUAGCAACUGAGUCAGGUGUUGAUCGAUUCUCUCAAAUUGCUCUCAUGUAAGUACUACCCCUUGCAUGUGCGUACAUACCUUUGUUGCAUUCUCAAACAGAUAGAACAUGUAUGAUCGGUGCAUGGCUAUUUUUCAUCACAUGACAUCCAGAUAACAAGCAUGAAAGGACUACAUUGGAGAUCAAAAAAUAUUGGUUCCUGGCUAGAGUACCACUACCUAUGGACUUGUCUCCAUAGAAUUUGUUCCCAAGAUGUUAUUUUAAUUAACCUCUUUAGCUUUCUUCCGUUGCAAACGGUGAUGUGCAUCAUGGUAUAUACGUGACCAUCUUGCACAUGUAUACACAAGAGGCUCAGACGGAGGUGCUGGAUUCUGGACGAGGGAAUAUGAAGCAGGAGUGAGCGAAGAGUAAAUAAUGGUGGGAGUACCGAUUGGUGUUAUGAAGAAAAAUGCCAUCCAAAGAUUGAUUAGUGUCAUGGAAGAUUAAUUUCUGAAUGCGAAUAUAUAUGUUACAUUGGUUUGGAUCUUUUUGAGAUAAUUGCACCUAAAUUAGGUUCUUUCUUAUUUCAUAUGUAUACCUUAUUUCAGUAAAAGUUCACAACGAACUUAGUAGGACAAAUAUAAUUUUGUUUGUUCUUUCUGUUGUCCGCCACCAAAGCUCAGUUUGAACUCUCUAGAAAUGGACAAUGAUUUAUGCAUUCUAUAUCUUCUUGAUUGAUUAGCCAUGACAAGGAAAUAAAAGGAUUGACUGAUAUAGCAUAACUUUGGAACGAUCUGUUCGUAGAGGUUACUACAAAUUAGAGUAGUGUCUGUUGGAAUUUUGCUAGUAGGCCUUUGGCCCAAAGCCCAACUAAAAUUCUGAAAUUCUCUUCGCUCAUUCAUGCACACAUGUGAGUGGAGUGAGUGAGACUAAAGUUUAGAGAGAGUUGCACCUCUUUAUAAGGUGAGCUCUUCUACCACUUGUAUGAGCAUGAGAAGAGGAGACCUAUACACGCGCUCCUCCUCCUCGCUCACCACGUCUCGUCACGCCGCGCCGCGCCGCGGAUUGCGGGAUUGAGCCGAGCCGAGGACGUUGUCUAUAUUUUUGCUGUUUGGGAAAAAUUAAUAAGUCAUUAAUUAAUAAUUAAUGGAUGCGUUAAUUACUGAACCAUUUUCGAUUCUUUUGGAUCGUGACGACUCGGACGUGGGGUUUACUCCCACGAUCUACCCGGCCCACACUAUAUAGUCAGGCAGACGUCUACCCUAGCCGCCGCCACUUCGUAUGGUUUCUCACCACCGUUACAGAUCGUUGCGCCGCCAAGCAAGUUUUCUCCAUUCCUCCUGUCGGCAUGCACUGGGAGAAGGGACAGCAGGCCUCCGGAACCCCGCCUCUCGUGAUCCUGUACGGGAGAGGGGCGAUCAGAUUUUUGGGGAGCGCACUCGCACGACUGCUGGCAGCGACGACUUCGCAAACGACGACUUCUUCCCCGACCUCGGCAACCUCAUCCUCGACUUCUGCACCGUAUGUUAUUCUAUCCUUCUUGUUCGAGAUCGUGGUAGAAUUCAGAUUUCUAGCAUGUUCCCUAGAUGUGAUUUGUUCAUCUACUAUUCUAAUUCGCAUGAUUAGUUUAAUCUUUGCUAUUGCUGUCAUGAUCUAUUUCCUAUUUAUUCGGAUUAAAUCUCGUAGUAAUUUGCUCAUUUUUCCAACAGUGCCAUCUAAUAGAUGAUGUAAAUCUCCUCAAGUUUGACGUUGUUGAGCUAAUUUACAAAAAAAACCUCAUCAUUAUUGGAUGUCCUUAACAGCUCAAGAACAAGUUGGGGUCGAAAUAAUGGAUUUUACACUUUUACAUUAAAGGUUUAGCUAAAGCAAGCAGGUGUUUUUAAACCUGAAUUUUUUUCCUCCUGAAUUUCUUUGUAUUUUCUUAUUGACACUAUUUAUACAAUCAUCUGACAAAGAUUAGCUAAAGCUGUUUGUAGAUACGUUCAAACCUGAAAAGCUUCUUUGGUUAUCCUUUUAAUAGUUCUACGUUUAUUUUCUCAUAGGUCUUAAUUCUUAUGUAAUACCAAGAUGCAUUGUGGUAGUGUACAUGUGUUAAAUUCAGGUUGUUAUUCACAAUUUGCGACAAAAUUUAGCUCACGCUACAUUUAAAUAUGUUGAAAUGUGAAAGCUCUUUUUCUUCUCCUUUCUACACCUUGCAUCGGAUUGCAUCCCUUUAGUUAUCCAACAUUUUGUACAACAUGUAGAGAUUAGGAAGUUCAUCAUAGUUUGUCUAUUUCCGUGCUAAUAAAUGUAUGAAAUCUGCAUUUCCAAGCUACUAGGACAAGUAAAAAAUAAUAAUUUUACUAUAGGAUUCAAAAACAGCAGUUCUGAAGUGCACUUUAUUUAUUUGUGAAAGUGAUCACAUUUUGUUUCAUUUUUCUAUAGACAAAUCUACUAAUACAUACUCACGAUAAAACUAUAAAAGUUCUAGUCCGCACAUUGGGCGGGCCACCCGGCUAGUUAGUCUAAAGAUAACAAAAUGAGUCUGGAAUUUGAAUUAAAUUGAAGUAUUUUCUUGGACUAUCCACAUCCUUGGCUUGCCCCUGAUCAAUUAUUUCCAGAGAAGCAUUCAAUUCAUCAAUCAAUUACAUUGAUUUUAGUGGCUGGUACUUCUCCUCGACAUCAGUAUAUUCACCGUGGCCACUCCAAAUCGGCAAGAAUGAGGUACCAGUGCUCUGGAGCAGUGCAAGCUAAUUGCUUCUCAUGUGAAGGGGUGCGGGCGCGGGAGAGGUAUUUCUGGUGGGCCAAGGGAUAAGAAGCGACCGUGGCAGCGGUACAGACGCCCGCAAAGCCCCAUAAUUUGUUUUUGGUUUACAGGAAAAAUGCACAUCCAUACCGGCCUGGGGAAUAUAGCACUGUAUUGCAUGGAAAACCAUGUCCGGAUGGUUGUGAGCGGUUUGAGGGUUAGCUUUUGUAACGCCCGGUUAGUUAUGCUAUAGCAAUUCCCUGCUAAUGAUGUCACGUCACCACGAUUACUGUUGUUAACCUCACAAUGAUUCAAUCCCGUUCAAAUUCAAAUUUGAAAUAAAGGUAAACAUCAAAAGUUUUCAAACAUUAAAACUAAAAUCUUUGAGAGGUGACAAAUAAUGCAUAAGUAAUUAUGGUGAAGAAACCACACUUUAAUCAAAUGUUUAAAUACUCUAAAAUGAAAAAAAAACAGUGACUUAAACUAUUAUUUAAAUGCUUUUAAAAUAGUAAAAAUCUUCUAACUAAAUUAUUUGGGUACCAAACUUUUGGUGGCAGUGGUAUAUUUAGUAGAACUAAUUUAGAUGCUAAUUAUAUAAUUUACAAAAUUAGAGUAAAUUGAAAAAUAGGAUAAAACGGAAAAAGGAAAGACAAAACAAAUAAAAGCAAAAGGGGGCAACCCCUCGCUGGGCCUCGGCCUAGCUGGCCACUAGACUAGCUAGGCUGGCCCCGCCGCCUCCCUUAACCCCCCACUCCCCAUCGAACCCAAGCCCGAUCGCCCCAUUUCCCACACACCCCCUCGCUAGUCUCCCCACCUCUUGAUCCCAUCUGGAUCGGGGAGGGUAUUGCCCCCAUCAACCCCGUUGCCGUCGCCGGAUCGCCCGCCGACGUCGGCAGGCCUCCUCCCCGUCGCCCGUCUCCGGCUCACCUCCCCUCUCGCUCCUCUUCCCCGACCCGAUCUGGAUCGUGAACGAGCAAUGAGCUCGAAGCCCCCCUUCACCAGCGCCAUCACCGUGCGCCACCACCACCACCUGAAGACCUCACCGUCGCUGAACCUUGCGUCGCCUCCUUGUAUCCCUCCCCUACUCGCAUCCUCAAGCCAGGCCGAGCCCCUUCUCGGCAACGCUGUGAGACGCCCCCGUUUCCCUCCUCUUUCCACCGCGUUCACCGCGCCGCCCGCCGUGCCCCUCGCCGUGCAUGAGCCCACCACCGCACCAGCCCCCGCUCCGCGCACGACCCUACCCGCGCCCGCGCCAUGAUCCCCUUUUCCGCCCUACCUUCACGCGCUCGCCGCGAUCCCCAUGCUCCCCCGCGCCCUCUUUCGGGGGCGCCGACUGCCCCUGUCCCGGUGCUCGCCGCCGUGCCUCGCCACCGCUCUACUGCUACGUUACUACUGCGCUGCGGCCGCCGCCUCUUCCCGCUGCUCCGCUAGCGCCGAAGCUCCCGGUUGGCUCCACCACUGCUCACGUUAAACCGCCGGCCUAAAUGGCCUAACCCUCGGCUAAUGAACCCCCACUAACCCACUGACACCGGGACCCACAUUCCCUAAUUAACCAUUUAAUAAAUUAACAUUAGUGUAUGACAUGUGCGUCCCCUGUUAAUUAAUAAUUUUACUGCUAGUUUUAUUAGUUUCUGUUUUUCUGCAUAUUUCUUUUGUAUUUGAACAGGCUUUAUACAAUAAUAUUUAGCGUAUCAUACACAUACAAAUGUAAUCAUAGCAUAUACAUACAAAUAGUCUCAUCAAAUCAUGUCAUCAUCAUAAUCAUCAUCCAUCACAAAGUGGUCUCUGGUCAUCAUCUCGAAAAUAGCGAUACAAGUCUCGAUUACUUGCAACUACAUCGUCAUCCAUCUAAACAAUGAUAUACACGAGAAGAGCUCUCACUAUGAGUGAGAGCGGAACUAUGCAGUACAUGAGUUUGUAUCCCUCUCUCGCAUUAGCGUGAACCUAAACUAACGACUGGCUGUUGCUCGGAAACCGGAAACCGGUACACCUGGGCCUGACACUCCGGCCACUCAUCGUAUACUCCUGGCGUAGCACUUCUUCGCCAUCGAUGAUCUAUGCACCUGCAUCGUCACAUGAGUCGAUGAUAUGCAACAUAUAUAGUUGAGCAACAGAAAGAGACAGACUUGGCAAAAAUAGAAGCAACAUAUCACAAGUAUAAAUAACAAAGUUAAUGUUUUGCAGGAUUACAACUCAACCCAUUGCAGAUUAGAAAACAAGCCCGUAUGAAUGCACAGGCUGACGACUAGUCUAUCUAUACCUAUACCUAUACCUAUACCUAUACCUACCUAUACUAAUUACAGACUCCCAAGGAAUUCCCACGUUAAUUAGUAAUUAGGAGUCGUUAAUCUUGUGGGACCAAAUUAUUACGACAGUCCACGAUCUCUUUUCUCUCUGUGUAAAAAAAGGUCCACGAUCUCUUUUCUCGGUUGUAAAAGAUAAAGGCAACUCAGGUCCACGAUCUCUUUUCACGGUUGUGAAAGAUAAAGACAACUCCCGUCUUCUUCUAAUCUAUAGUUCUAUACCUCCACGACCCCUUUCUCUCCCCAUUUAAAAGGAACAAGCUGAACCAAUAUCUAAGCAUGCAAUUGGUUCCUGUGCGGUCUUGACCUUCCAUCCGUCCACUGCUCGAUCGGCCCUCCCUCAACUACAAGCUGACAAGCCACCAUCGCCAUCCAGCGGCACGCCACCGUUCAUGCAUGUGUUUUUGCCCUUCAAUCUGAAGGAGAUGCGUUGGCUACUCAAGUAACUCUGUUUGUUUUGUUCAAACCAAUUUCGUUAAUUCGGUUCUUUGAUUAUCUAAUUGACAUGGCCUGUGAGUUUUGUGCUAGUGAUACAGGGCCUGUCUACUAGAUUCUCUCCUUGCAACUUCUAUUGUUGUCUCGAUUUGGUGUGGUCAAGAUCCUUGCCCCACCACAAGCAGCACCUUUGCACCAUCGGGGAAAUCUGUCAUAGCAAACAGAGGUAUGUAACAUGCUUUGGUGUUUUCCUCUUUCGUUUAGAUCACUAGAGUUGCUCAACCACACCAUUCAUUGAUUAGUAGUUGGCCUGAGAAGUUGCUCGGUCACCUGCAGCGUCUGAUCCCCUUCUUGACCCUCUCCUUCUGGUCAUUAUCCACCGGCAGGUCAAUGCAAAACGGAUCGUUCGUUGCCGCCACCUUGCGGAGACCGAUGUUUGGCUGCCCUCCUGCCAUCCUGGCACUCUGGUACCGGUCACUGUGCCGUUGUUCUAGAAGAACUAUGUCACACGAAGCGAGAUAUCUUCUUACUAAUCUGGAACAUAAGUGUUUCUUCUUACUAGGAUUCGCUCACCGGUGCAUUCAUCUCUUUUUGGAAAAUACGGCCUUCAUAUUUCACACGCCUAUACAUGGGUGCUGUCCCAACAAUAAUCCAUCUAAUCCAUGAUGCACAUUCAUGAAGACUGAUGUGACUGAAUUAAUAUAUCAAUCUGGUGCUUCCGGAUCAGCACUUGAAGAAGCAACCCCUUUAGUUCAUAAAUUUAUCAUACGAAAGUCAGGGGAAAAAUCAACUAAGUCAUGUGUGCUUUUCUAAUUAAUUACUAUACACUAAUUCCAUUUUUUUCAGUAGCAGGCUAGGAUACGUGGAUUGUGGCAGCACAGAAGUAAACCGAUGAGCUACAUUGGCCGUUCACCAGUCAUCGGAUCAGAAGCCAUGUCGACCAGAGGGACGGAACAGUUCUAUAUUAGGCGAUGGAUACAUGUGGAAGCAACUAAGCAUAUGUGGAUGCAUGUGAUCGCAUAGGUAAGGCCAUAGCUGUUCAAGCCCUACAGGAUCUUUAUUGCUGGUUUUAAUUAUGAGUUUACAACACCAUCUAUACAUACUACUUAUCCAUUUAUUUCCUUACCUUCUUUGUUUCUUUCUCUCCUUGAUCCCCUGUCAAAAGGGCAUCAACAUCCAUAUGCGCAACGGCACACGCAACAAACUAUGACUUCGGUUGCACGUCCAAUGGCAACCACAGUACAUGAUGAUAUCAUGUUUGCUGCAAGACGAAGUACAAGUUCAUAAUUUGGUCUUUUGCAUGGUCCCUUAGUAAAUUAUAUUUGUCCACAUACACCACAUACAUAAAAACAGGUAGAAGCGGUUGCAUGAUGAAAAUGUCCUCUCAAUAUGCAUGCCUAUGAAUACUAUCACCAGAAAGCCAAGGACUAACAAUUAUUCAGGGGUCAAGAUUGAAGACAGACGUCCAAGAUUGGCAGUCGGCCGGCCUAAGAGGGGCAAAACCGUUGUACAUUAUAUUGUAUGGACCUAGCAAGAUCCUAAAGAUAAGUGAUAAUGGAGAUCAUGGGGGCCACCCUUAUAACCAUAUGUCCAAAUGUUCUUAUUUGUUUAUUUUUCUUUUCUCUUUUCGGAAGAAUCCAUCCUGCCUCUAUGGUCAUCCUGACCACUUCGUAUUGUUAUCUAAUCUCCUCCCUUAAUUAAUAUAAAGAAUUACCGCAGCUGAAUUCACUAAAAAAAGUAUUCAGUUUAUUUUAAUUUAUUCAACUAUUAUGGCAUAUCAAUUGGAUUGCAAGUUCUUGGCGGUUGCAUUUGAAUCAUAUUUGAUGUGCACAAAGGCUUCAGUGUCAAGGUGGUCGGACGAGUAUUUAUGUCCAUUAUAUAUGUGUUAGCUUGAGAUCAUCAGGCACCUGUUAUGCAUCUGUCCAGUUAAAAGGAUGUUCAGACUCAGGCUUGCCCUACCAUAUAUGGCUGUGACACUCUGAACCAAGCAAGUUGGUCAUAUGUGUCGAGCACUAUUAACUCUUUGGAAGAGGAUCCACCAAGUACAGGAAACAAAUCAAAUAUCUUCUUAACCUUAUCACCAGAAAAAUUAGCAAGAGAUGAAUAGUAACAUUUUAAAGAAGAAAGAUAUGUUUGAAAAGGGAUAUAUAUUAUGGCGACGAUUAGAAGAGCCCUUGACGAAUGGUGCCUAGCCUGCGAAAGUUUCUUAUGAAUAUAGUCAACACUCUAUAUCAACUGUUGUAAGAUUUUAGAAAUAUUUUUGGGGACAUAUGAUACAUGUCUAUUAUACAUAUGAUUCAACAGAAGUUUGAUUGAAUACAUAUUUAAAACGUGACUGACUUCUAUAUGGACGGAGUAUUUCACAAAGGACUCACUGCCAACUGUGUGAAUAUUCCAAGAUAGUUAGUGCACAUAAAUGUUCAAAUCCAUAGCCUGCAUAAAUAUACAAAAGCAAUGUGUUAGACCACUACACAUGCUUCUGAAAGGAGGCAAAAAAAUGUAUGCUUGAUUGAUGACCGUUCAUGCAUGAAAUUAAUUUCUGAUUUCUAAUUAUUUUGGUCAUAUAAUGGAAAUAGAGACAUUAUAAAGAUCCAACAGCAUGCUAUCACACACGUGUGAACACAGACACACACAAAUAACAUUUGCCGAGCACUCACAAAUAAAAGGUGUGGCUACUCUUGGGUGUUCUACAGCUGGCUUAAAAAAACACGUAUGAAACAUGAUCCCCAAAAAUCUGAAAUUCGCAACAUAUGAAAAUCCACCCUCAAACAUAUUUCUGGUGUCUCAAUUCUUUUAGUUUCAGAUGGUAUGUCCAGCCAAAGUAGUUGUACACAUACAUUACUAUGUUCUAUUAUUUGAGAUUCUAAGACAACAUUUAGUAACUAGCCCGUGCGAUGCACGGGUUCACGACUAGUAUAUAUAAAGCUUAAUGGUGCCUAAGAAAGCUCGCACAAUUUUACAGUGGCUGUGGAGAUGUGUUGCCAAACUGAGACAUAAGAUUUUCGUUUGGCAUCCAGAGUUGCAGACCGCUUGUGUUAUCCUUAAUCCAUGGCCACUCUAAUUUUUCCGGCUGGGCCUUCCCUGUGGUACGGCAGCAAGGCUUGCGUGUGUAUAUGUUUCCUUUAACUACCACUAGCACAUAUGCCCGUGCGUGCGUUGCAAGGGGAGAGAUAAUGGCGUAUCCACCAAUAUAUCUAGCAGCAUGACCCAACAACAUCCGAAUGAUGUCACCCGACGACGGCAGGAAGGCACACACAGAGGUCUAGUAAAAACUCAACAAUUGUACGGGCAUGGUUAAUUCGCGUGAAUUCAAGGGUGUGAGAUUAGUUAGUGUUGGUCCCACAAUUGAAUUCGGGGGCUGAUUAGUUAGUGUGGGCCCACCCUUGAAUUCACCGGGGGAGACAAAAUAAUUAGGGUGAGGAGAGAUUUACGGGGCUUGGUCCCCAGAUGCGUUGCGGCAGUCAUUAUUCGAGCAUUGCAAUGCUCGCACGUGAGGAGCUCUUUUUCCAAUUGUAUAUUGAGAAGCAUUGCUACAGAUACAAUGUUUUUGAUACGUUUUUGUACGAUGAUCCUGAUCUUAAAGGGCCUUCUAAUUUUUAAAUCUUAAAGGCAUUAUUUGUAAGUUGUCGUGAAAAAAAUCUCGCUAAAAGGGUUAUGUUAGACCAUCUUCAGUACAUUAGAAAUAACGAAUUAUAAUUCCUUGGCAUUUGAACAAACAAUCCCUACUUAUUUACACAUACAAUACUUUUGGUAUGAUUUUGAAAUCUUGAAGGCAUUAUUUGUAAGUUGAAGCAAUUUUGAAAUCUCACUAAAAGGUCUGUUAGACCAUCUAUAGCUUUAGAAAUAACUAAUUAUAAUUUUGCAAAAAAAAGAAAUAACUAAUUAUAAUUCCUUAAGCAUCUGACCGAAACGACCCCGAUUUAUUGUCUGGGUAGUAAUUCCUUUGCAACAUUAUUCUCUCCUUUCUUGAAGGAACUCUUGCCUGGGUAGUAAUUCCUUUGCCCACGUAUUUGCAAGGUUAUUCUCUCCUUCAUUUUUACAGGAGCUCUCCUUCCUUAUACUAAUUGGUCAUUAUCCUCUCCUUCCUUUUUCUUUUUGCCAAACUCUCUUUCCAUAUUUAUGCCGCUAACCACGCCACUCUUUUUCCUUAUUUAUGCCCUUUGAUCACGCCACACAUCUCAUGAAAUCUAAGCCAUAUAUAUCACCCAUCUUUUUUCCUUAUUCCGGUGCUUUCCUCACAAACAGUAGUUCUCUAGGAUGCUUAACGAUUUUGAAACAGAAACAUAUAUAAAUCGGUAGAACGGGUUGUAAAGCAGCGAGGUGGUACUAAUUUAUAAAGAAACAAACCUUUUCUUUUUGUGUAAUGAUGCCUUGGUUCGGCUGGUUGCGUUGGGAAAAGGACCGGCGAAGUGGGCGAACCAAAAACGGAUAAAAUUACGGUGGUAAGAAGCGAUAGCCCUUUUAUUAGUAGGUAUGAGGAUGUCUAGGAUGUCUAGGAUGAGGAUUUACUGCACACAAGUGCGGGGGCACUCAGGUCCUGAUGCCGCCUUUUUAUUUUGGCUUCCGAUUUUCAAACUUCUAUAUCUUUUAAACAAAAAAUUCAAUUUAAGUUACGUUUUCAUAUUCGUGCUUCUCGCGGCCAGCGCUUUCAAAUAAGAUCCAUUUUGCAUACAUUUUGGUGGCUUUUGGAAACGGGCGAAUAGCUCCUAUGCGACGUUGUUGGUGUGUAUUGUCUCUCAUGCGACGUUGUUGGCUGUAAUAGCUCUCAUGCGACAUCUGCGUUGGAAAAAAUAGCUCCCAUGCGACACACCAUUUACGCGGCUAGUUGGCUGUUAGUUAGGCUGAGGUUUGGUUAGGACACUGGGGGUUAUGUGCUCUGACUGGUGGGGUCCACCUAUGGUCACGUAGACAAGAGUCAACCGUCCACGACUCGACCUGGGACUGUGUGACCGUGCUCGACUCACCCGUGCUGGACUGAGUGAGCGGUGCCGCCGUAAGCAUCUUCUCCGACAGCGGUUUCUUCUCCGCGGUGGUGGAGCGCAUUUCUCGGCAGCGGCAGAGCUAUUGCGAGGUGAGCCCGAAACCCUAGUCCCACUCCCCAGAAUUUUGGGGGAUCUGUGGCCUCAUGCUGCCCUCUGUUUCUUGGCGAUUUAGAAUCGGGCUCCAUUGGAUCCGGGGGUUGUUUCUUCUCCGUGGCCCGGUGGUGGAGCGCCUAUCUCUGUAGCGGCUAUUGCGAGUGAGUAUUUUCCAAACACUACUCGCAUUCCACUAAAUUUUGGAUAAAUCUGUGGCCUCAUGCUGCCCCUAUUUCUUGGCGUUUUAGAAUCUCGAUUGGAUAGGAGAUGGAGCGAGGGCUGGAUGAGAUGGAGCGAGGAGACAGUGCUUCAAAUCGGUAAUGCCACACUCUUUUCUUGGCGAUUUAGAAUCGAACUCGAUUUGGUAGUGACUGCCGCCGCUGCCUGCCAUUGACAAAACAGGGGAGGUUCAAGUUCUGCCACCACAUUCACAAUUAUAGUGGAAUUUUUUCCCUGUAAAGCCAAGCUCAGUGAUGGCAGUGUCCAAGACAUUGAUAGAGAUACCACCGUGAGGUUCGAUGUCGAAUUUGCAGAUGUUGAUCCCCAGGAAUUGGAGAGCAUGAAGGAGAAGGCCGUGGGCAAUUUGGUGGAGAGAAUUGGGGAGAAUAUUGUUUGGGGUCCAGAACAAGAGGUAUGUCUGCAACGUUUCGAUAACUAUAAUGGUGAAUAUGUGAGAAUUGAAGAUGGAGAAUCCAUGGUUGCUGAAAUUGAUCAGCAAGAAGGGUGGGCAACUAAACAAGUAACAUUUUAUGCAGAGCUAAUUGAUCUACAAACUCAUUCCAGAGUUGGUUAUGUGCAAUCAAAGAGGGCUGCACAGAUGGAAGAUGAUGAGUGGGUUUCACAAAAGAAGAUGUUGGCAUUGUUGACUGAACCGACUGUAGUAGCUGAAGAUACAGGGAUUGAUGCAGAUGGAGAGGAGGGAACCCAUGGUGCUAGGAAGAUUGUUGUUGACUGGAAUGUAGUAGAGUUGAAUGAAAAAACAGAUUUGGUCAUUACACCAAUAUCUGACAUUGAUAUGGCCGAAAUGUUUGGCAUUCAAGUUGAUGACAAAGAUAAGGAGAAGGAUGACAGUUCUUUGCCUGCUGAAGGAACAUAGGCCCUAGAAAUGCAAAUGAGGAUGAAGAACAGCUGAUGAGAGAGGCUGCAGAUGAUGUGGAUGAUGCAGAUGAUAAUGAGUUGGUUUGUUUGUAUGACAAAGAGAACCCAGUUAUUGAGGUGGGAAAGUUGUGGCCAAGCAUGAAGGAGUUUAGGAUGUCUUUCAGGACCUAUGCAGUGAAAAAGAGUUUGAUGCCAAGACUAUGUGGACUGAUUGAAAGAAAUUUUAUGCUCGGUGCAAAGGUUAUGAUGGUGGUGGCAAUCCUUGCAAAUGGUACUUGUCUGCCAGACUACAACCUGAUUGAAGUACAGUAAGGGUAAAUCAAAUACCACACCAGCAUACAUGUAUGACCACUUCACAGAGAGUUUCAAAGAUGACAUCACAGCUUUGGGUUACAGAGAAGAUUACUCCUAUUUUAGCCAAGACUCCAAACACUACUGCAAAGAGGCUUAAAGUUGACUUGGAGAAGCUGUACCCCAUCCAGCUGCAAUAUACCACAGUGUGGAAAGCAAAACAAAGGGCCAUGAAAUCAUUGUAUGGUGACUGGGCAAAUACAUUUAGGAUGUUGUAUAGUUUUAAAGCAGAGGUGGAGAAGAGGUCACCUGGGAGUGUGGUGGAGAUAGAUACAGAGGUAACAGAGGAUGUCAUGGUUUUAUUCAGCAAGUUUUUUAUGUGUUUGAAGCCAUGCAUAGAUGGAUUCAAAGCAGGUUGUCGUCCAUAUUUGAGCAUAGACUCAUCUUUUUUGACUGGAAAGUGGAAUGGUCAGUUGGCUGCAUGCAAUGCUCUAGAUGGACGCAACUGGAUGUUCCCAAUUGCAAUAGGAAUGUUUCAAUCAGAGACAGAGGCAUCAUGGAUAUGGUUCAUGAUGCAACUGAAAAGAUGUAUAGGGCCAGUUUCUCCUUUAGCCAUCCACACAGAUGCAUGUAAAGGGUUCGAAAAUGCAGUAAAAAAUGUUGUCCCCCAUGCUGAGCAGAGGGAGUGCUUUGGACAUAUGUGGAUGAAUCUGAUAAAAAAAUUAGAGGAGAUGAAUUUGGGCGCAUGUGGCCAGCAGCAAGAUCCUACACCAGACAGACACAUUCCUAUCACCUUGGUAAGAUAUUGGCAUCAUGUAGUGAUAAUGAAUUUGCUUCAUGGUUGAACACCCGCCAUUCUCUGUUGUGGUAUAGAUCAGGUUUUAAUACUGCCAUAAAAUGUGAUAAUAUCAAUAACAACUUGGCAGAAAGUUUUAACAACAAAGUGAAGGAUUUGAAAGACUUGCCUGUGCAUGACAUGGUGGACCAAAUAAGGAUCAUGAUCAUGCGUUUGUGGGAGUUGAGAGGAAAAAUUGCUAAUAUUUUGGAAGGGGACAAGCUUCCAGCAGUGGUACAAUAGGUGGUCAACAGGAGUAGAAAUCUUUCACAUCUAUCUGUUGAGAAAUCUUCCUUGUGGGGUGCUGAAGUUAGAGAUACAAAGAGUGGCAAGAGGCAUGUGGUAAAUACUGAGUUGCAUGAGUGUACUUGCCGAGAGUGGCAACACACUGGAAAACCAUGUGAGCAUGCCAUACUUUUUUUGGCAUCUAAACCCAGGUUAAAUAUGCACCCAUAUUUGCAUGAGUAUUAUUCAGUACAAAAAUUCAAAGCUGCAUAUGCAAGUCCAAUUCCUGCACUGACUGACCAAUCUCAGUGGCCUGAGGUGGAAAUAGAAUUUACCUUGUGUCCCCUGUCACUAGAAGAAAGGCUGGGAGGCCUAAACAGAGCAGAUUCAAAGCUUGGUUUGAGAAAGGUGGUUGUAGUAAGAAGGGGAAAAAAGAAAAGAAAAAGAAUGAUAAGCCCAAAAGGGCUCAAAAAGGUAAGAAAAAUAGGUGCAAGUUGUGUGAGGUACUUGGGCACAGAAUUGGUUCAUCCAAGUGCAUCUAUACUCCUCAGAGGACAAAGUAUGUUCAUGUUACUGUUUUUACAAGUUUUUGAUUUUGUUACUUGUUCUAGUAUCUAACCAAGUCAAAUGCUUUAUUUUUUAGGAGGAAGCGUGCAGAAAAAGCCCCACCUCUUGUUGUUGAACAAUGCUGGCCAGUGAAAAAAGCAAGACUCAAUGGCUAUAUAGAAGGAAGAGCACUAAGCAGAUAAUGUUUGGUGACAAAGAUAUGGAGCUAACUGAAACUGUUACUGCUGAACAUGAGCUAAGUGUUUCUGUUUUGGACGAUGUGAUGCAUACUGAAUCUGUUUUGCAGACGCUAGGGCAAUCUGAAACUGUUGCAGAUGAAGCAACGGUUGUGCUGCCAUGCGAAUCUGCUUUGACAACUGUGUUGCCAUGUUUGGAGGUUGUGCUGCCAAGUGUUGAGUUGCAAACUGAAGUAGUUGAACAAUUUGUGCCAUCUACUCAAUCUGCAGAAGUGCAAACUGAAGAAGUGCAAACUGAAGAAGUGGGACAUGGUCAGGUGAAAAAGUUGAGGGGGCCUAGUGGAGUUUGCAAGGGGCCAAAAAGCAAGAGCAUCAACAUCAACAAACUAUGCGCCGUGGAACCAAACGAUGGAAAAAAGCAGAAGAAAUCGAGUGGUAGAAAGAAGCAAAAGAAAUAGAGUCGAAAUCAUUCAAAUUUGAUGUGAAAACUUAAGUUUGUUGUCAUUUGAUGUGAAAACUUAUGUUCUUUCAUGUGAAAACUUAUGUGCUAUGAUGUUGAUUUGACUUGAAAUAAAAUUCAAAUUUGAACCGACAUUCAAAUUUGAACCUAUCUCCAAAUUUUUUUGAGUUCAUUUGUUUGUUCUGUGAUGUUGCAUCGUUUUAUGUACUACUAUGCACUUUGUGAAGUCCAACUCAUAGUCACUGAAAAUGCUGUACAAACAGGCUCCAAAGUAAGGGAAAACGGCCCCAUUUCUAAGCAAGUUUUUUUCGAUCUUCUCAAAAUCACCCAAAAAAGAUUUUCUUAGCUUAUAUUAUACCUAUAUAGGAUCAAUACAAAGUCUCACCUUUUUUGAAUAAGUAUUCAUAUUAUUUAAUUUAUUUUUGAAAAAACACCCUUUAAUACAAAGUCAGCAAUAAAACAAGUUUAAAAAUUUUAAAUGCAAAAAUAACUUCAGAUCCUCCUUAGUCACUCUAAAAUGAAGCUAAGGUGAUGUUUUUUGAUUUUUUUGCAUUUUCAAAACCUCAAACCCUCUUCUCACUCCUUUGAACUCUAUGCAACCUCAGUCGAGAUAGUCCAAUUUGUGAAGGUUUUUUCAUGCAAAGAUCAUUAGAUCAAGUUUAUCAUUUUAUAUCAUAACUAUGUAACAUAAAAAGGCUAUAUGCGCAGGUUUUUCAUUUUUUAGAUUUUUUUGAAUUAGUUAUACACAUUUGAAUGUUCGGUCAAACCUUUCAAAACCCCGUUGACUGCCUCAAAACCCCAUGUAACCCUAGCGCCAAACGUCCACCGUCGAUCUAACCCUAACGCCAAACUGCGGCCGUCGGAUGGGACUUCUAGAAGGAUUCCGCGGGGGCGAUCCAUGGGCUCCAAUCUGAUUGGCCAUUGUUUUUUCUCUCUGACGAACAGAUAACGUUGAGCGGGGGAGCAUCUAAGUGACCGUUGGGCCGAGUGGAUUGGGCCUGGCAAAGCCUGGCGUGCGUGCACACGGCUGUUGAGAGGGGGGAUGGGCUGCAUGCGAGCGGGUCAAUGACAUGUGGGCCAUCCUUGUCCCAUGCAUGCCAUGCAACGUCGCAGCCUAGCUAUUCUUUGCUCGUGAAAGCCUAGCCAUUUGCAUGCGGGCUUGCAUGCACGCAUCGACGCAGAGUACGGCAAGGGUGCAGCGUAUAGGUACGUCGCAUCUAAGCUAUUUUAACAAAUGCAUGUUUGAACGAGAUGGACGCGUCGGUGGUGCAGCUCCUUUUUCAGUGUCACGCGCGGAUGAACGGGCCUGUUUCCCAUGCGGCAUCACCGCCGAUGCAAGUGCCCGUGCCUCUUUGGAUGCUCUGGCCGCCGUUUUUUGAAUUAAUGCCCGCAAUUACUUAUGCCAUGCGAACGGAGAAGAGAAAAAGAUCGAGAAGGGGCACCGUGUACACAUUGACCAUGGUUGCAAUGCGGCUAUAAAAGGGCACCAUUUCCUCAUCCUCUCACACUCAUCUCUCAAGCCUCCUCCCCUUCUUCUUUUCGAGCCAAAUCCACCACUCGAGCCACCAUGCAGUUCAACGGCCCUACCUACCGUCGCCCUUGCACCGUGCCGGAGAGGCAGUACCCAGCCGGAGUCGUCGUGGAGAACAGCCUGAGGGUGUGGGCCAUCUCUAGGUGGAGGGGCCCUAGAGAGUUGGCUCGCUUCUUCCUCCAAGCUGGCUACCGCCACCUCCCUCCGGGCACUCCGCCCAUGUUCCACCUCCACGAGCAGUACGAUGGCAAUGCCGGCCCCGACGGCUUCGUCAUCGGCCUCUAUGUCACCUUCACCAACCCCUACGACGCUCACCACCUCCCCGGGGAGGUGUUCUGGUGUGGAUGCGAGUUUAUCGCGUUCACGACCUACAACAUCUUCACCAACUUCCACCACAUCUUCCCUCACCACAACGGCAUGCACACCCUCCCCUAUCAGAUGCCGGAGGACGACGAGUGAGGGGCCCAAGGAGGAGGGUCCAAGGAGUGGCAAGGAGGAGGGGCCAAGGAGUUGUUCAAGCGGCGAGUCUUCUAUCUAUCUAGUUUGGGGCUCUAGUUUGUGUUUGUGUUGGUUCGGGCGUGUGUGCCCGUGUCUUUUAUAUAUCUAGUUUUAAUUAUUUUACUUUCAUGUUUUAUGAACUAUAUGUAGUGGGGGGAUGCCCCUCUAUAAGUUUUAUCUAUCUAUGCUACUAGGGUACCCGAUGCCCCUCUAUCUAUCUAUAUGUUUUUUCGGUCCUAAAGUUUCUCCAUUGCAUUUUAUUUAUGUGGCCAUGUGUACUAAAAAACAAUUGAUCUGGUAUCUAAAAUGUACGUUACCAAGAAAUUGACAAUAAAGAUUAUAUACUGUACUACAUAAUCAUACAGUUGGUAUACAAUGCAUUUGAAGACAAUGGGCAAGAAAAAUGCUAAUUAUCUGGUGCUGGUGACAUGCGUAAGUGUUGUCUGAUGUUUAAAUCAUGCUUGCUAUGUCAUUUUUUGCUGCCAAACAUGGCAUUAGCGAGAAAGGUCAUUUGGGCACUGAAUGUAUUAAAGUAUACACCAUAUAUAAAAAUGUCUAGCCAAAAGAUUUGGGUGUACAACUGUACACCAAUGACCAAGUAUGGAUCCGCCCCUGGUUGUAAGGGGAUGCCCCUCUAUGUUGUAAGGAGAUGCUACUAGGGGCACACUAGAUGUCUUCUUUUUUUGAGAGAGGCACAACCUUUUUCGGUUGAAACACACGAGUAAAAACUUUGAAAACACCAUAGCACAAGUAAAAAAAUAUAUUAAGAAAUGGUGCUUGGUUGAAAUAAACUAGAACCAAACAAUUGCAACUUUCUUGGUUCACAAAGACUGCUCAAAUAAUUAUCUCAAAUAGCUUAUGCAUAAAAAUAUCUCAAAUAAUUAUUAGAUGAGUUAUCUCAAAAAAGGUGACUGCAGGAAACUUAAAAUUUGUGAAAUGAUCUAAAGCCGAAAAGAUAUAUCGAUGAAUUAUCUCAAAUAGCUUAUGCAUAAAAAUAUCUCAAAUAAUUAUUAGAUGAGUUAUCUCAAAAAAGGUGACUGCAGGAAACUUAAAAUUUGUGAAAUGAUCUAAAGCCGAAAAGAUAUAUCGAUGUCAAUGACCGUGUGCACUUUUUUUGCACUCCUUUUAUCAAUGGGCCUGGAUAUGUUCUAUUCGGCCCUGCCUAACUUCUAUAUGGGCCUGGCCUUUUCGGGCAACUAUGGACGAACCUUUUUUUUCCUUUUCUCCCUCUACCACUGAAACUGAAACUGAUGACGAACUGAAGAACUAAAAAACGGGGCCGAAACAGAGUGGAGAGGACAUGCUGAAUUCGUACAACGCAACACUUUUAUUCAAAUAUACAUAUCAUUAGGAUUACAAAUGAUGCCCAAUCUAUUCACUUACGACUAAUUAUCAUCACAUAAACAAAUGCGAGAGCAAUUACACAAACAUAAAAAAGUCCGGCCAUCAGCCCCAUCAAAUUGCCCUGCUUCUGCAAUUUGAUGAGUUUCUUCAUCUGCUUGUUUAGCUUCUUCAGCUCUGCCGUCACUACUGCAUCCCCCACAGUAGCCCCAAUGGAAUGGGCACAUCCAGGGGCCCCAGAUCCAGAAGCGCCCGAUCCAAACUUGCCCAACUUCUCCACCUCCAGCGGUAAAUCGAGCUCCCCUGAUGCACCCUCCAGUUGAAUCCGCUCUAUGUACUCAUUUAGCCACUCAAAAUGGGUGCAUUGCUUCAAUUUCUGAAAUUGGAAAGAUGAACCCUAAAUCCCAAAUCCGAUGAAAAAUGGGGAAAAAUUGUGAUAUGAAAUUGGGAUACAAAAACCAAAAUUGGCAUAUUGAGAAGUAAAAUCUCACCUUUCCCUGCUCUGGUUUGCUCUCGCAUUUCACGAAUUCCCGCCCAAGGUUGCCAUUCUUGUCGGUCGUUGUGACUAGCCGCUUCAGGGGUGUGAUACGUGGGCCUGCAGGGCACCUUGUCAUGGGCACUGCGCCAUAGCGCGGCCAUGAGCGGCGGGAGGCUGAAGCGGAGCUCGACAUUGCUAGGUCGCGGCCCGGAACGGCGUUGCUGCGCGUCGUCGCCGGAGAAGAAGAACAACAACGGUCGGGGAGGGGGGGUGGGGGCGGGGGCGAGGAUGGGCCACGGCUCGGGCCACGGCUCGGUGUCCUCUUGUACCAAUGCUGACCUGGAUAAGUUAGUGGGUCCCACGCAGUGGGUCCCGCUCACCUGACCAAUGCUGAGUUGGAUAAGUUAGUGGGUCCCGCGCUGUGGGUCCCGCUCACCUGAUUCGAGUUUUAAACAUGUGUCUUUGGAUUAGACAGCAGUGUCGCAUGGGAGCUAUUUUUUCCUAUGCAGAUGUCGCAUGAGAGCUAUUACAACCAACAACGUCGCAUGAGAGACAAUACACACCAACGAUGUCGCAUAGGAGCUAUUCGCCCUUUGGAAACAUUGCUAAGUUUCAUUGUUUGAAACUUAGUACGAGCGACCGAUAAAAUUUAAUUAUUUUGUGUCUACGACCAACAGGAGAAAUUGCUUAAAAUUACAUCUUUGAAACUGGUCAUUUUUUGAUGCAAAAAUGUAAGUUUCAUCAUUGAAACUUAAGGGCAUGUCCAAUGCUGGAUGCUUAUCCAGGCGCUUAUCGUGUGGAAAAAAAAAAUGCCACGAAGUUAGCUCUCGCUUGUCCAACAGCCAAUGCUAACAACGGGCGCUAACCACGGCUGGAGCUAUAGAUUAGAAAGAAAGAUCUGGUUCACUUGUACGUGAAAAAAGGAGCAAGCGCUCGAUGCCUUGCUUUGCAUCGAUGCCAGACUGAGGUGCUGGGAAUCGACAAGAUAACCGCCAAUCUACCAGGAUUAAAUUCCUAGCGCCUUCUUCUAGCGCCUCCCACUGAAAAUGCCCUAAAGGUUUUUGAGGGAUUUUUUUACUGUGUCCUACUUCACGUAUCACGAGGCAAAUCAAGUAGGCGGCAUGGCCUGGCCGGUGAGUGCCAUUGCACUUACUUGCCCCAGCGAUUUUCCGCCUGCAUUGUAGAAUUCUUUCUCCGAGUCCUGUGAAUUAAAGAUGGUGCAGACAAAAGUAUAUCCUAUAUGCGUACAUGUGCAUGAUCAGAACAUGUUUUUACGUGCGUCUACUAUAAAUCAUGACCAUUUUUAACACAAAUCAUGACCAUUCAUGAUUAGUGAAUCAUACUGUCUUAACUUAUGUGAAAUCAUGUGGAGUAAUAUAAUAUAAUAUAAUAGAUAGAUAGAUCCAUGUUGUAUCAUUACACAUUUUGAUUUAUGCAUUUGUUUACAAAAAAAACAGUAAAAUUUCAUGGUGAAAAGUUUGUAUUGUUUCAUACUGAACACCAAUGUUUUCCCGUAAAAGAAAAUAAUGCCUACGCAUAUGCUUUUAUAUUAUUAUUAUUCUUUCAAACUUAUUCAUAUAGUAUUUUUGAUUGUGCAACCAUAAUUUUUAUUAUCUCUCUUGUUCCACUACAUGCUCUUACUCAAUGAUUUUUUUAUAAUGGGUGUUUUUAUUAACUCAAAAUAUAGCAUCAAGCGGAUACAAAACAUAACGAGCCACGUCCGGUCUCUGCAUAACUAAGAUGCACACAGCCAAAAGCAGAAGUCUGACAAAAAUAAGAUAAGAAAAUCAACAUAUCGACAACAGUGAGUCAUAUAGUUCCGACACUAUGCCUCUGUUGAAGGACGGGGUGGAGCGAUCUGGAGAUUAUGCUUCCCUCCAUUUUGAGUAAAUACCUCCCUGGCCACUUGUUCCAACCGCAUAGACGCCGCCACGAAUAAUGGUUGGUACUCUGUUCGGUGUAGCAUACACCAUGUAGGAAGUGAGUGCUCACUCCUAGUUACUAAAUUAUGUACACACUAGUAGAAAAAGGGCCAUUUGUCCCGGUUCGUAAGGCCCAUUUGUCUCAGUUAGGGAACCGGGACUAAAGGGUCGGUACUAAAGCCCUACACCUUUAGUCCCGGUUCUUACACCAACCGAGACAGAUGGGGCUCCACGUGGCCGCUGCGGCUUGCCAUGGCAGGGGGGCCUUUUGUCCCGGUUGGUAGCACCAACCGGGACCAAUAAGCUACCACGCGUCAGCAUUUGAGGGGCUUGGGUUUUUGUUUUUUUCUGAAGGGGGGGAGGGGGGUUGGGGGUUUUGGGGGGUUUUGUAUGGUUAAUUUUGGGGGGUUUCAUAUAUAGUGUUAGGUAGUAAUUAAUUAAUAGAGAGAAGUGUCCUCUCUUAUCUCCGUGCUUGGUCGACGCUACGUACUAUACGUAUAGAGAGGCCCUCGACACGCUUGCCAGUAAGCAAAUGAAGGAAACCAUUAAGUACAGAAGUUCGUCAUGAACAUAUGCAUACAAACAUAAGUGAUAUCGACCUCUCCUUCUCCGAGAGAUAGGUCGAAGAACAAGUUUCCGUAUAUCUAUCCGGCGCUACUAGCUACAUAUAUACAAUAUUAAGAUCUCUUACAAUAUAAUCCCCUAAUUAUAUAUGAACUCAGCUUCCAGAUGGUAUUCUCCGGCUUUAUUGAUGACGUGGUCAAGAAAGAAUCCCUCCAAUUCCUCUUGAAUUGCUUUGAUGCGAUCUUGUGGUAGGAGUUCAUCCUGCAUCUGCCACAUCUAAUUUGAAGAAGGGGGUCAAUCACUAGUGGAAUAACAGCCAUUUGUCUAGGUUCGUAAGGCUCAUUUGUCCCGGUUGGGGAACCGAGACUAAAGGGUCGUUACUAAAGCCCUACACCUUUAGUCCCGGUUGUCGGUGUCAAAACCGGCGGAUCUCGGGUAGUGGGUCCUGAAUUGUGCGUCUAGGCCGGAUGGUAACAGGAGGCAGGGAACACGAUGUUUUACCCAGGUUCGGGCCCUCUUGAUGGAGGUAAAACCCUACGUCCUGCUUGAUUAAUAUUGAUGAUAUGGGUAGUACAAGAGUAGAUCUACCACGAGAUCAAGGAGGCUAAACCCUAGAAGCUAGCCUAUGGCAUGAUUGUUGUGUAUGGAGUUGAUUGCCUACGGACUACAACCCUCCGGUUUAUAUAGACACCGGAUAGGGUUAGGGUUACAUAGAGUCGUUUACAAUGGUAGGAGAUCUUGAAUAUCCGCAUCACCAAUCUUGCCUUCCACGCCAAGGAAAGUCCCAUCCGGACACAGGACGAAGUCUUAAAUCUUGUAUCUUCAUAGUCCAGGAGUCCGGCUGGACGUAUAGUCCGGCUACCCGAACACCCCCUAAUCCAGGACUCCCUCACCGGUUCUUACACCAACUGGGAGAGAUGGGCCUCCACGUGGCCGCUGCGGCGAGCCCAGGUAGGAGGUCCUUUGGUCCCCGUUAGUGACACUAAUACGUCUCCAACGUAUCUAUAAUUUUUGAUUGCUCCAUGCUAUUAUGUUAUCCAUUUUGGAUGUUAAUGGGCUUUAUUUUACACCUUUAUAUCAUUUUUGGGACUAACCUACUAAUCGGAGGCCUAGCCCAAAUUGCUAUUUUUUGCCUAUUUUAGGUUUUUGAAGAAGAGGAAUAUCAAACGGAGUCCAAACGGAAUGAAACCUUCGGGAACGUGAUUUUCUCAACGAACAUGAUCCAGGAGACUUGGAGUGUGCGCCAAGAAAUAAGGGAGGAAGGCACGAGGCAGGGGGGCGCGCCUACCCCCCUUGAGCAUGCCCUCCACCCUCGUGGGCCCUCCACUGCUCCACCGACGUACUUCUUCCUCCUAUAUAUAUCCACGUACCCCCCAAACAACCAGGAGCACCACGAAAACCUAAUUCCACCACCGCAACCUUCUGUACCCGAGAGAUCCCAUCUUGGGGCCUUUUCCGGAGGGGGCAUCGAUCACGGAGGGCCUCUACAUCAACUGCAUGGCCUCUCCGAUGAUGUGUAAGUAGUUUACUUCAGACCUACGGGUCCAUAGUUAUUAGCUAGAUGGCUUCUUCUCUCUCUCUUUGGAUCUUAAUACAAAGUUCUGCUCGAUUUUCUUGGAGAUCUAUUCGAUGUAAUCUUCUUUUGUGGUGUGUUUGUCGAGAUCCGAUGAAUUGUAGGUUUAUGAUCCAGAUUAUCUAUGGACAAUAUUUGAUUCUCCUCUGAAUUCUUUUAUGUAUGAUUCGUUUAUCUUUGCAAGUCUCUUCGAAUUAUCAGUUUGGUUUGGCCUACUAAAUUGAUCUUUCUUGCAAUGGGAGAAGUGCUUAGCUUUGGGUUCAAUCUUGCGGUGUUCGAUCCCAGUGACUGAAAGGGAAGCGAUAUGUAUUGUAUUGUUGCCAUCGAGGAUAAAAAGAUGGGGUUUAUAUCAUAUUGCAUGAGUUUAUCCCUCUACAUCAUGUCAUCUUCCUUAAAGCAUUACUCUGUUCUCUUGAACUUAAUACUCAAGAUGCAUGCUGGAUAGCGGUCGAUGUGUGGAGUAAUAGUAGUAGAUGCAGAAUCGUUUCGGUCUACUUGUCUGGGACCUGAUGCCUAUAUACAUGAGCAUACCUAUAUAUUCUCAUAACUAUGCUCAAUUCUAUCAAUUGCUCGACAGCAAUUCGUUUACCCACCGUAAUACUUAUGCUCUUGAGAGAAGCCACUACUGAAACCUAUGGCCUCGGGGUCUAUCUUCUAUCAUAUUAAUCCUCCAAUACUUAGUUAUUUAUAUUUCUAUCUAUUUUACUUUCCAUCUUUUAUUUCUCUUUAUCAUAAAAAUACCAAAAAUCUUAUCUUAUCAUAUCUAUCAGAUCUCACUGUUGUAAGUGACCGUGAAGGGAUUGACAACCCCUUUAUCGCGUUGGUUGCGAUGUUCUUAUUUGUUUGUGUAGGUUCGUGGGACUUGAGCGUGAUCUCCUACUGGAUUGAUACCUUGGUUCUCAAAAACUAAGGGAAAUACUUACGCUAAUUUACUUCAUCACUCUUUCCUCUUCAAGGGAAAACCAACGCAAUGCUCAAGAGGUAGUGUCGGUGUCAAAACCGGCGGAUCUCGGGUAGUGGGUCCCGAACUGUGCGUCUAGGCCGGAUGGUAACAGGUGGCAGGGAACACGAUGUUUUACCCAGGUUCGGGCCCUCUUCAUGGAGGUAAAACCCUACGUCCUACUUGAUUAAUAUUGAUGAUAUGGGUAGUACAAGGGUAGAUCUACCACAAGAUCAAGGAGGCUAAACCCUAGAAGCUAGCCUAUGGUAUGAUUGUUGUAUAUGGAGUUGAUUGCCUACGGACUACAACCCUCCGGUUUAUAUAGACACCGGAUAGGGUUAGGGUUACAUAGAGUCGGUUACAAUGGUAGGAGAUCUUGAAUAUCCGCAUCGCCAAGCUUGCCUUCCACACCAAGGAAAGUCCCGUCCGGACACGGAACGAAGUCUUCAAUCUUGUAUCUUCAGAGCCCAGGAGUCCGGCUGAAGGUAUAGUCCGGCUAUCCGAACACCCCCUAAUCCAGGACUCCCUCAGUAGCCCCUGAACCAGGCUUCAAUGACGACGAGUCCAGCGCGCAAAUUGUCUUCGGCAUUGCAAGGCGGGUUCCUCCUCCAAGUCCUUCAUAGAAGAUUGUAAGCACCAAGAGUAGUGUCCGGCUCUGCAAAAUAAGCUUCCACAUAUCGCCAUAGAGAGAAUAAUAUUAACACAAAUCAAAUCUGCUGACGUAUUCCGCAGUGCGUCAUCACACUACAGCCAAGUCCUUCACUCGAAUCGUUUUCACUUUUCCACCUCAGCGUGUUUUGCGAGGCGGUUUCCUUGGCACGUCUUGUCAAAGCAGAGAUCGUGUCCCCCUUGUUUACGGGAUUCUCGUUAAUACGGACGUGGGUAACCCAACCGCGCCACUUAUCACGGCGCUUGGGAGGCAAGCGAGUUUUACUAGGCUGGUGGGGACGCAUAGUCGCAUCCGCCCAUAUAAGGGGAUAAGGAUCCACCUUUUUACCUACGCCUUCUUCCUCCUUUGCCUAGCCAUCUUCUGCGCACCCGAGCUCUAGCGCCCCAGCCCGCGCUUCCUACCUCAACCCUCUCCAACAAUGUUCGGAGCGGGAGGCAAGUGGAUGGUCUCCUCCGUCACGGAGGGCCAUGUCAAAAGGUUAAGGAAGGCCGGAUACUUGUCCAAAGACAUCGCGCACCGGCUUCCUGAGGAGGGGCAGCUUCUCCCCACCCCAAGGCCCCAUGAGAGGGUAGUAUUUCUUCCCCACUGCCUCCGCGGACUGGGUUUUCCUCUCCACCCAUUUGUCCGCGGGCUCAUGUUCUACUAUGGCCUAGAUUUCCACGAUCUGGCCCCGUACUUCAUCCUCAAUAUCUCGGCGUUUAUCAUCGUGUGCGAGGCUUUCCUCUGCAUUCGCCCCCAUUUCGGCCUCUGGCUCACGACCUUCAACGUCAAGCCAAAGGUGGUGCGCGGUAACCAGGCGGAGUGCGGAGGUGCCAUGGCGGGCAAAAUUGCCAACGUCCUAUGGCUCGAGGGCUCCUUUGUGGAGACCUUGAAGGGGUGGCAGUCAGGGUGGUUUUACAUCACCGAGCCACGCGAUCCGAAGUGGAUCGCAGCCCCUGAAUUCCGAUCCGGACCCCCUACGCGGCUCAUGUCCUGGAAGGAGACGAGCUUGUCGUGGGGCGACGAAGGAGAGUUGACCAGACUGCAAAAAUGCAUCCAGUCCCUGGUGAACAAGCAGCUCAAGCUUGUCAACGUAAUCUAGGUCAUGCUCGUCCGCCGGAUUCUUCCGUGUCAAGAACGGGACUUCAAUUUGUGGGAGUUCAACCCGGCGCAACACCGAACUCUGAGAAGGCUCUUCAACACGACGUACGAAGAUGUCUGGAGGGGGCUAACCAAAGGCGCCGAGACUCCCACAUCCGCCUCCGAAGACCGCGGAUUCAGCUCGCAGCGUCCUGCUGGCGAGGUAAGAUAUUUCCAUCUUUUACAGGAUGUUAAGCUUUUUCAUAGUUGACUCUAUGCGGGAUCAAAACUCCCUCACCUUUGACAGGAUUGGCGGGAGAAGUCCGGACAGAUUAAAUGCCCGGCUCCCUUGCCCGAAGACCUAGCCCCUGCUCUCCUAGAGAAGCUGCUGGUUUCGGCACCUUAUGUGGUGCCGGAGAAGAGGGCCAAGAAGAAGAAGGCCACGGGGACUCGAAAGAGUUCCUGGCAUAUGGUGGUGUCGGACUCGUCGUCCGACCAGUCCGAGACGCACUCCUCCCGUGAAGACGAGGAGGAAGAGUGUCGGACUCGUCGUCCGACGAGUCCGAGACGCACUCCUCCCGUGAAGAGGAGUGGCCGGACUACGUCCCCGACGCCGACGAGGACGAAGAGGAGUGGCCAGACAGGGCCAAGCAUCCGGCGAGAUCGUAAGUGUUCGGAUACCAGAGUAACUCGUGAUAUUCCUUUUGUUGCACAGCUUUCCCUAAUGUCGGAUAUAAUCAUGCAGUCCGCCCAAGGAUGGGCUCGACGAGUCGUCGAGCGGCUCCCUGGAUUCAUCGGACGUGAAUUCAGUUCCGCCUACUGCUUCCCCCUGUGCUGCAGAUGACGCCGAAGUGGCGUCGCGACAAGCUCCGGGACGAGAGGAGGUGGUCCAGGAGGAGUCGCGAGGUGACCUCCCGGACUCCAGGAGUGAAGGGGACAAGACCCCCCUGGGAUCCAAGUUCGGCUUUAAGCCGGACACUGAGAUGGAAUCAUCAACAGUUCCGGACUGCGGUAGGCGAACUCCUACCAGGAGGAGCAAGCCUACUGAGCCGGCAUCCUCCGUCCAGCCGGAGGCGCCGGACAAUCUGCUGGAGGAGCUUAAGGGCGCCUCCACCGACGAGGAGCACCGUGCCGUCAUGAGUACGGUGAUCCAGAAGGUUCGGUCCGCCAAAAGCGGACUGACUGAAGCUUGUGCUGGCCUUCUAACAGGCUUCGAGGUAAGUAAAAAUAUGUAAAAAUAUUACCGUAUAGACAGUAGCCCCUGAUGCUCUGUUUGGCGUUUGUAAAGAAAAGCCAAAUAGAGGAUCUAUUAAAUAUCGCAGGAGUCUAACUAAAAAGGAGUCAAUAUAUGUAUGCAGGCUUCGCUGCUGGCCACCGCCGCACUGACUGCGGAGGUGGGUGCCCUGAAGGAGGGCCUCCAGCGGACCGAGCAAGAGCUCGGCCUUGCCAAACGGCAGCUCGAGGAAAAAGAAUGUAAGAGAUACCUUACAGAAAAAGUGCCUAUAAAAAGGCUUGAUUGCAAAAAGAGUAGCAGGAUUGUACUGCUUAUUGUAGGGGCCACGACUGAGGUGGCGACCUUUAAGCAGGUGUUGUCUGAGGCCGAAAAGAAAACGGCCGCGGAGCGCACCGAGCGAGACAGACUUGGGGCUCAGGUCAGCGAGGUGCAGCAAGAGCUUCAGGCUCUCAUGAAAAAACAUGAGAGUUUGAAGCUGGAGUCGAAGGCGCAAGCAUCCGAGCUUGCAACGGCCCUAGAGGCUGCCAAGUCUACCAAGGCCGAUGCCCUAAAGACCCUCCAAGAGUUGGAGGAGAUGAGGAAGAUAGCAACGGGUAAGGCAUUCUUUAUGCAAAGCAGAAAUAUAAAAGUGAACUACCUGUUACUUACCCGAAUCCGAAGCUCUCCAGGGGCAUUCGCAGAUCUUCCCUGCAGCGUAUCCGAUGCCGCCGCAUUAUACCAAGCUGAAGAGGGUAGCUCGACGGAGAAGGUGUUCUGGUUUCAGUAUUCUGAGGCCGGACACCCUGUGCCCUUGAGCAACCAGCUGAAACAGCUGGUUGAGCUCCACAAGGCGGCCAAGCAGGCCAUGAAGGGCUUCAUAGUUCGGCUGUGGCCUGGAGAGGCCCUACCUGGGAGCUAUCUCGGGCUGGUGCGGCGGCUGGUGGAGGCCUGUCCGAGGCUUGAGGUCAUCAAGUGCUCCGUCUGCAUCGAUGGUGCCCGUCGGGCCCUUGCCCGUGCAAAGGUGCACUGGGGUAAGCUGGACGGUGAGAAGCUUGUGAAGGACGGGCUGCCGCCGGGGAAGGAGCAUCGCAAGCCCGAGAACUACUACAAGGAUGUUCUUGCAGGUGCCCGCCUUAUGGCGGAUCAAUGUACCAAGGAUGUGAUAUUUGAAUGAACUCGCUCGUGUUUAUCUUGUGCGCUGAAAACUUGUUCAUAUGUGCUAAGCAAUGCUUAUUGAAUUUAAAAUAUUACUUUCUGUGCGGCCAUUUAUCAAAAAUUGAGAGAUGGCCAGUCGUCGGCUUCUGCCCCCGUGCCACUAGUGCUGGGGUGUUCGGGAUAAACCUGAGCGCUCUUUUUCCCAUAGUUGGGUCCUUCGAGGGAGGCGCUCAGCACAACGAACCAGGCAAUCGGACUAUAAUGCUUGAACACUCUCACUUAGCCAUAGAGCUCUAUAAUUUUAAAUUUCGGUGAAGCCCGUAGUUCGGAAGACCGAGUUCGGGGCGCUAUCCACGCCUUGGCCGGACAAAGCCGGCUCCUCGCUCGAAGCGGCAUAAGCCUUUAGGGACUCGAAAAACCUCUCGAACAGCGAUCGGUCUCUCGCCACAUCAUGACAGUCAGUUUUAGCUUUCUCCACUCAGGUGCUUAACCCAGGUGAACCGGGGCACAAUCGCAGUGGUUCUCCUAGUGCUACCUUAGCCGAUAGAGCGGAACGUAAGGCACCAAAACAUAGGAGCCACGCAAACCCAACUAUUGACCCAAAUCAUGAUUCGGAGCCGAUGCAUAUAGUGCUAUAAGUUCGGGGUGCCGCACUUGUGAAAGUGUACGGACUUCUCACACCAUUAUGAGCGGUACUGAAGCCCCUGGCAUGUUUGCCAUACCAUGGUGUACGGGUGCAAUCAUGUCAUUUAAUAAACAUAAAUGUGAAAAGAAGAUAAUGCAAAAAAUAGACUAGAAGCUAAGCAUUGUUUAUAGAGAGGCUAUUUAUCAAAGCCGAACGAUACAAAUAGUGCGGUAAGCAAAAGAUAUUGGACUAUUCAGUAUGUCCUGACCAGGGGCAGGCCGCGGAAUUGUAUUUAAAACAGGUAUACCGCUCGUAACAGAGACCACCUGGGAGUUCCAUAAUGCGUCAUGGCUUGUCUGCCUCCCUGGAUCUUGCAUCGUUUGUGCGGCAGUCGAAUUGCCGAACAGGUCGUCCGAAGUAUGGAGUCCUGAAAGAAGAAAAAAUUAAAAAAAGAAUCCGGCAGCCCCUAGUACGUAUUAAGCCGUAUUUUGGGCGUGUUGUUAUUGUGCCCCUUCCCCUGUGCCCAUGGUAUUUCAAGGGCGUAGUUAUGUACGUGAGGUACUGGUUUCGCUAUGUUGCGAAAGCUGGGGUUGGGGCCGCAUUGCUACGCUUGCUUAGAGUGUGCCAGGCAGUGUCUGGCUUUUUAAUGGCCGGACUGGAGAAUUGCCUGAGAAGGCUACUUUGUACCUCCGCUGCGAGAGCCGCCGUAUGCUCCUCCAUAUGGAGGGAGCGUUCGGUGUUUCCGUUGAACGUAAUUACUCCUUGAGGGCCUGGCAUCUUGAGCUUGAGAUAUGCGUAGUGCAGCACCGUGUUGAUCUUUGCGAAUGCGGUUCGUCCGAGCAGGGCAUGAUAGCCACUGCGAAACGGUACUAUAUCGAAGAUUAACUCUUCGCUUCGGAAAUUGUCCGGGGAUCGGAAGACCACAUCAAGUGUUACUGAGCAUGUACUGUUGGCUUCUACACCUGGUAUAACGCCUUUAAAGGUCGUUCUUGUGGGCUUAAUCCUUGAGGGAUCUAUGCCCAUUUUCUGCACUGUAUCCUGAUAAAGCAGGUUCAGGCUACUGCCGCCGUCCAUGAGGACUCUUGUGAGAUGAAAUCCGUCGAUGAUCGGGUCGAGAACCAAUGCGGCGAAGCCGCCAUGACGGAUGCUAGUGGGAUGGUCCCUUCGAUCGAAAGUGAUCGGGCAGGAGGGCCAUGGGUUGAACUUUGGGGCGACUGGCUCCAUCGCAUAUACGUCCCGUAGCGCAUGCUUCCGCUCCCGCAUGGGAAUGUGGGUUGCGUAUAUCAUGUUCACCGUCCACACUUGUGGGGGAAAGCCCUUCUGUCCAUUGUUGUUCGGCGGCUUGGGCUCCUCGUCGUCGCUGUGCAGCCCCUUGUCUCUGUUUUCGGCCCUUAACUUGCCUGCCUGCUUGAACACCCAACAAUCCCUGUUAGUGUGAUUGGCUAGCCUUUCGGGGGUGCCAUGUAUCUGGCACAAGCGAUCGAGUAUUCGGUCCAAACUGGACGGGCCCUGAGUAUUCUUUUUGAAUGGCAUUUUCCGCUGACCGGAUUUAUAGCCUUUGAAUCCGGCAUUGACUGCCGUGUCUUCAUUGCUGUCGCUGCUAACGCGGCGUUUUUGCUUAUUCCGAUGUGUCCUACCACUUUUGUCCUUGGUAUCCGAAUUACCAGGGUGCUUUGAUAAGUUGUUACUGCGAGCUAGCCAGCUGUCUUCUCCCGCGCAAAAGCGGGUCAUGAGUGUCGUGAGGGCUGCCAUGGAUUUCGGCUUUUCCUGUCCCAGGUGCCAGGCAAGCCACUCGUCGCAGAUGUUGUGCUUCAAGGCUGCCAGGGCCUCUGCGUCCGGACAGUCGACUAUCUGGUUUUUCUUUGUUAGGAACCGUGUCCAAAAUUGUCUGGCCGAUUCCUCUGGCUGCUGAAUUAUGUGGCUUAAGUCGUCGGCAUCCGGUGGUCACACGUAAGUGCCCUGGAAGUUGUCGAGGAAUGCGGCUUCCAGGUCCUCCCAAGAACCGAUUGAGUCUGCUGGCAAGCUGUUAAGCCAAUGCCGGGCCGGUCCUUUAAGUUUGAGCGGGAGGUAUUUGAUGGCGUGUAGAUCAUCGCCGCGUGCCAUGUGGAUGUGAAGGAGACAAUCCUCGAUCCAUACCGCCGGAUCUGUUGUGCCAUCGUAUGAUUCGAUGUUUAUGGGUUUGUAGCCCUCUGGGAUUUUAUGAUCCAUUACUUCAUUCGUGAAGCAUAGCGGGUGUGUGGCGCCUCUGUAUUGGGCUAUAUCACGACGUAGCUCGGAAGAGCUAUGUCUGUUGUGUUCGGCCCGGCCGGAUUUGUUGUAUCCAGAGUGAAGAUCAUUUUCCCGUGCCUUAGUUGAGAGGUGUCGGGGCAUGGCUUGGGUGGAGGGCCGAGACGCCUCUCUGUCGCGGCCGCGAGGUGGCCGGUCUGCCAUGUCAUGCGCUGGUGAUGUAGGUGCUUCCUCCUCUGAUCGGGGUAGCGGCCUAUGCUUCGGGUAACUCUUGGAGGGGCGUUCGAGUUCAUACUCUUCGGCCGCAAGGACUUCAGUCCAUCUGUCAGCUAGCAAAUCUUGGGCAGCUCUAAGUUGUUGCUGCUUUUUCUUGAGGCUGCUUGCCAUGGCUAAAAGCCUGCGUUUAAAAAGCUCUUGUUCGGCGGGGUCUGAUGGUAUGACGAAUUCGUCGUCAUUGAGGCUUGCCUCGUCUUCGGAGGGAGGCGUAUAGUUAUCAUCCUCGACCUUUCCGUCUGCCGCUCUCUCAUCAGGGCUGGCUUCUCCAUCUUCCUGUGCCGAAUCUUGCUGAGGUGGGUGUUCUUCGGCGCUAUCCGGGGUAGUAUUAUCUCUCAUGUCGGAAUCACCGUUUUUGCUUUGGCGGGAUUUAGAGCGGCGCCGCUGGUGCCGGCGCUUUGGCUGUUUCUUGGGGGCGUCAUCCCCCACUGUUCCAUCGCCAUCUCCAUCUUUUGGAGUAUCCACCAUAUAUAUGUCAUAUGAUAAGGUGGCCUUCCAGCGCCCUACAGGUGCUGGUUCCUGUUCGUCUCCUACAUUGUCGUCCAUGCCGUCGAUGUCUUUGGAGCUGAAGUCAACCAUGUAGGUUAGACCGUCGAUAAUGGCUACAAAGUGGGUGGUGGGUGGGCUUUGAAUUUCCUCAUCGUAUGUAUCCCACCCUCGCUGACCGUAGUCCGGCCAGGGCUCUCCUGAUAAAGAGAGAGACUUAAGAGAAUUCAGGAUGUCGCCAAAAGGCGAAUGCUGAAAGAUGUCUGUAGCGGUGAACUCCAUUAUCGGCACCCAAUCGGAUUCGAUUGGCAGGGGCGCGGGGGGUUCGGAGUCCGGGGAGGAGUCCGGAUCCUCGGAGUCACGGGUCGUGCAGAGUGCGGGGCUAGCGUUCGGCUCGAUCGCUUUCGGGAUCGCAGCCCCCGAGGUGACGUCCAACCGCUCAUCCUCGAUUGGCGCAAUAGGUUCCGAGUUAGGGGUCGGAACCGAUGCGUGUGCGGCCUCCAGGACACUGGCCGGGGGCAGAGCUAGAUCAUGCCCCUCGGGAUAGUGCGGCGUGCUUGGCCGUGGCUCGAGCCCGUCGAAGAUCAAGUCUCCGUGGAUGUCAGCCGUGUAGUUUAAGCUUCCAAACCUGACUUGAUGGCCAGGGGCGUAGCUUUCGAUCUGCUACAGGUGGCCGAGCGAAUUGGCUCAUAGAGCGAUGCCGCCGAAGACGAAGAUCUGUCCGGGGAGAAAAGUCUCACCCUGGACCGCAUCGUUGUUGAUGAUCAAAGGAGCCAUCGGGCCUAAAGGCGACGAGACAGAGGAACUCUCAAUGAAAGCACCAAUGUCAGUGUCAAAACCGGUGGAUCUCGAGUAGUGGGUCCCGAACUGUGCGUCUAGGCCGGAUGGUAAUAGGAGGCAGGGAACACGAUGUUUUAUCCAGGUUCGGGCCCUCUUGAUGGAGGUAAAACCCUACGUCCUGCUUGAUUAAUAUUGAUGAUAUGGGUAGUACAAGAGUAGAUCUACCACGAGAUCAAGGAGGCUAAACCCUAGAAGCUAGCCUAUGGUAUGAUUGUUGUAUAUGGAGUUGAUUGCCUACGGACAACAACCCUCCGGUUUAUAUAGACACCGGAUAGGGUUAGGGUUACAUAGAGUCGGUUACAAUGGUAGGAUAUCUUGAAUAUCCACAUCGCCAAGCUUGCCUUCCACGCCAAGGAAAGUCCCGUCCGGACACGGGAUGAAGUCUUCAAUCUUGUAUCUUCAUAGCCCAGGAGUCCGGCUGAAGGUAUAGUCCGGCUACCUGAACACCCCCUAAUCCAGGACUCCCUCAGGUAGCAAGAUGGAUUUCUGGCGCCAUUGCCGGGGAGAUUCGCGCCAAGUCAAGACAUACCAAGUACCCAUCACAAACCCUUAUCCCUCGCAUUACAUUAUUUUCCAUUUGCCUCUUGUUUUCCUCUCCCCCACUUCACCCUUGCCAUUUUAUGCGCCCUCUCUUUUUCCGUUCCCCUCUUUUCCACUUGCUUUGUCGUUAUGGCUAGUCCUUUAUCUACUCCUUUGUCUCCCGAGAAUGAAGUUCUUAAUUUUAAACAAAGGGAGGGAGAAAAUCUAAAAGAUGCUUGGUACAGAAUUUGCAACACACAAAUUAGAUCUACUAGGAAACAAUCUACUUUUGUUCUUCUUCACGAUUUUUAUGUAGGCAUCACACCUUGGAAUAGAUAUAUUCUUGAUGCCAUUACCGGAGGGAAUUUCUUGGGUAGCCAUACUUUUGAUUCUUAUAAUGCUAUGAUAGAUCUGUUUGGCCCACCACCUCUUUUGGUUAAUGGAACUAUUUUAACUUUGGAACAUGUGAUGCAAUGGCUUGAAAUUAGUGAAAAUAAAGUUGCCACCAUAGAGUUAAUUGAAAAUUUGGAUAGAAAGAUCCAUAACCAAAUUACCCAAUACGGAUCUAAGUUAGGAGUUGCUCUUAAAAGUUUUAAAGAAAAGGGACCUAUGGUUAAUGAAAAGAUAGAAAAGGAUUCCACUAGAAUUGAUAAAAUUGAGGAUAUUAUUACCAACCUUGGGUCUUCCUUUUCUUCUAUUAUAAAUACUCCGCCUAAUGCUAAGAUUGCCAAACUAAUGUAUGUUACAAAAAAUAAGGGUGAAACUUCUAAUAAGGAAAAUGCGGAUCUCAAAUCCAUAAGUGUUCACCCCAAUUUUCUCACUAUCCUUAAGGAACCUUUUGCUACAAAUGAUUUUCUUGAUUUCAUACCUAGGAGUUUGAUAAUUAAUAAAAACAAAGAAACUCCUAAAAGUUAUUGGUGUGUUAUUGAAGAAUCACCUUCCAAAGACGGCAAUACCUAGGUCUAUCUUCGCUUUUAUGCCUAGCUAGGGGCGUUAAACGAUAGCGCUUGUUGGGAGGCAACCCAGUUUUACUUUUAUUCCUUGAUGUUUGCUCCUAUUUAGUAAUAAAUAAUUUAUGUAGCCUAUGUUUUGGUUGUGUUUUUUGUGUUUAAUUUGUGUUUGUGCCAUGUAGAACCAUUGGGUAGACUUGGGGAAAGUCUUUUUGAUCUUGCUGUAAAAAACAGAAACGUUAGCGCUCACGAGAAUCGCUGACAUUUUUAUUUGGAAAGUGAUAUUUAGAUAAUUCUUUUUGCGGAUGAUUAAUAGAUAAAUUCCUCACGUCCAGCAAUUUAUUUUAUAAUUUUUGGGGUUACAGAAGUUCGCGUUAGGUACAGAUUACUACAGACUGUUCUGUUUUUGACAGAUUCUGUUUUUCGUGUAUUGUUUGCUUAUUUUGAUGAAUCUAUGGCUAGUCAAAGAGGUUAUAAACCGUAGAGAAGUUGGAAUACAGUAGGUUUAACACCAAUAUAAAUCAAGAUUGAGUUCAUAACAGUACCUUGAAGUGGUGUUUUGUUUUCUUUCGCUAACGGAGCUCACGAGAUUUUCUGUUUGAGUUUUUUGUUGUGAAGUUUUCAAGUUUUGGGUAAAGAUUUGAUGGAUUAUGGAACAAGGAGUGGCAAGAGCCUAAGCUUGGGGAUUCCCAUGGCACACCAAGGUAAAAUUAAAGGACACCAAAAAGCCUAAGCUUGGGGAUGCCCCGAAAGGCAUCCCCUCUUUCGUCUUCGUCUAUUGGUAACUUUACUUGGAGCUAUAUUUUUAUUCACCACAUGAUAUGUGUUUUGCUUGGAGCGUCUUGUAUGAUUUGAUUAUUUGAUUUUUAGUUUACCAAAAUCAUCCUUGCUGUACACACCUUUUGAGAGAGACUCACAUGAUUGGGAAUUUAUGAGAAUACUCUAUGUGCUUCACUUAUAUCUUUUGAGCUAUAUGGUUUUUGUUCUAGUUCUUCGCUUAUAUAUUUUAGAGAAUGGCGGUGGUUUUAUUUUAUAGAAAUAAUUGUUCUCUCAUGCUUCACUUAUAUUAUUUUGAUAGUCCUUUAGAACAACAUGGCAAUAAUAAAACUGUCAUACAAGUGCAUUGAAUACUAUGAGAAGUUUGAUACUUGAUAAUUGUUUUGAGAUAUGGAGAUGGUGAUAUUAGAGUCAUGCUAGUUGUGUAGUUGUGAAUUUGAGAAAUACUUGUGUUGAAGUUUGUGAUUCCCGUAGCAUGCACGUAUGGUGAACCGUUAUGUGACGAAGUCAGAUCAUGAUUUAUUUGUUGAUUGUCUUCCUUAUGAGUGGCGGUCGGGGAUGAGCAAUGGUCUUUUACUACCAAUCUAUCUCCCUAGGAGCAUGGGCAUAAUACUUUGCUUUGAUAACUUAUAGAUUUUUGCAAUAAGUAUGUGAGUUCUUUCUGAGCAAUGUUGAGUCCAUGGAUCAUACGCACUCUCACCCUUCCACCAUUGCUAGCCUCUCUAAUACCGUGCACUUCUCGCCGAUAUCAUACACCCACCAUAUACCAUCCUCAAAACAGCCACCAUACCUACCUAUUAUCACUAGUGCAGAACCGGGCAAUAGCACCGGUUCGUAAGGCCCUUUAGUGCCGGUUUAGGAACCGGCACUAUUAUUUCGGCACUAAACCCCCCCCCCUUUAGUACCGGUUCAGCACGAACCGGUGCUAAAGGGGUACCACGUGGCACGAGCCAGCUCCGGGGGCCGGGAGCCCUUUAGUACCGGUUGGUAAAACCAACCGGUACUAAAUGGUUGUGGGUUUUUGUUUUAUUUUGUAUUUUUCAAUUAAAUUUGUGUUAUCAAUUUAAAUUAGGAUUGUUUUACGUUAUAAUGAGUUGUAGUCGUCAUCAUCAUCAUCAUCAUCGCAUAUUAAUAAAUAAAUAAACUCUAGCUAGCUAAAAAUCAUCGUGGUCGUCUAAUUACCACUAUUUAAUCAUCAUAGUCAUUACCGCUAGCUAUGUAAUCAUCAUCAACGUUGGCUAGCUUAAAGAGGAAACAUUCACUUUGUAACAGAAGCAAAGAGAUAUCAUCAAGUUCAACAUAAUCAUCACCAACAUCGAAGUUCAGGACACGGAUCCAUGAGACGAGUACUAAUUAAGAGCAUGAAGUAGUAGCUACUGAUCCUGCUUCUCCCUCUCAGGUAGAAUAGCACAGAACAUGUAUAGCUCUCCUGAUUCAUCAUACUGAAGCAUGCAGAUGAAUCUGUCUCCUAAUCUUGGGUUGCGCUUCUCCUUACUGCCCCCUAGUACUUCUCUGCGAUCGUUAACAAUUUUGCUCCAAUCUUUCACUAUUAAGCAUUCUUCGCUUUUAGAAAUCCUGAAUGCACUCAUGUGCAAUGUAGGAAAUCUUGGUCGUAAGCUAACCAUUGACAUGCGACCUUUUGUCUCGAUCCACUAAGGCACAACUGUCAUCGGAAGUCCCUGUUGAACAACAUCGUAUAGUAAUUAAUAUACUAAGCAAUGAAAGUUUAGCUUUAAAAAUAAUGUACGCAAAAGAUGCACUAAUUAAGGACAAAUAUUUAAAAUCUUACCAUCUUUUGAUUAUAGAUGUGACCGUAGUUCAAGGCGAUCACCAUUGGUCGCACGUUUUGAGUACUAACAUUUCUAAGUUUAGAAAAAAAAUUGUCUUGACAGUAUUAAGAUCCUCAAGCCAUGAAACACAAUGACUUAUUUCCUCGCAGUUUAGUUGAGCCCCGAGGUAGUAGUAGGUCCUGUCUACCAAGCGCCGGACAUGUUUGCUUGAACCGAAAUAAGCUGACAAUACACAUCAGUUGUCAACUAUUUUUGAAUAAACUGUACGAAAGACAUAAACGUAUAUAUGCAUGCAUGGUUGAGAAAAACUCACCAAAUGGUAGAACUGGAGGCGUUUGCACAUCGACCCAGAUGUCUAUAUUACCUUCAAUAUCAUCUUCCGGACGAAUAUCAAAGGUGAUAACCAUAUCAGGCUCAAAUGCAUAAGCCUUGCAUAGUGCUUGCCAAGUUUUGCAUUCAAAAUGGGUGUAUGUGCCUCCAUUAUAUAAUUUGACGUUGAAAGUAUACCCAUGCUCCGUCUUCAAGUAAACUCUCUUUACCUCCAUAUCAUCUAUAGCACUAAAACCUAUCUUAUAUAAUACAAAAAUUCUUGUAUGGCAGGGGAUGCGCUAGUAGAAUAGUGAAAAUUUAAAAUUAUAAGUUGAAGCAAAUGAAGCAUAAGUUUUGCAUUCAAAUAAUAAUUGACAAAGUGGCUUACUGUAUCAACUUCAAAUGUCUCAUCCAGCUUGAUGUUGAAGCGCCUACCAUCAACAAGGAAAUUUUGGUCGCACAGGCCGCGCUGGUCUUCACAGUGUUCGCACAUAAUAAAAUCUUUUUAGUUGUCAGAUGACAUUUCCUAUGUUCAUAUAGGUGAAACAUUAAACACCUAUAUCUAGCCAAAUAUAUAUUCAUCUAACAUUUGACAUUAAUAUAUCUAACUAUAUAUUCAAUUGACAUUACUAUAUAUUUAACUUUUCUAUCUAAUUCAUCUAACAUUCGACAUUAAUCUAACAUUUAUAUAAACUCAAAAUAUAUAAAAAAUUAAAUAAACAGAAAAACUCAUUAACAAAUAAUAUUUUAAUUAGAUCAUCAAAUCUCAUAUACCUAAAUUUUCUUACUAAAAAUAAACUAGUUAUAUUAAUUAUUCAACUAGUUCUAAUCUNNNNNNNNNNNNNNNNNNNNNNNNNNNNNNNNNNNNNNNNNNNNNNNNNNNNNNNNNNNNNNNNNNNNNNNNNNNNNNNNNNNNNNNNNNNNNNNNNNNNNNNNNNNNNNNNNNNNNNNNNNNNNNNNNNNNNNNNNNNNNNNNNNNNNNNNNNNNNNNNNNNNNNNNNNNNNNNNNNNNNNNNNNNNNNNNNNNNNNNNNNNNNNNNNNNNNNNNNNNNNNNNNNNNNNNNNNNNNNNNNNNNNNNNNNNNNNNNNNNNNNNNNNNNNNNNNNNNNNNNNNNNNNNNNNNNNNNNNNNNNNNNNNNNNNNNNNNNNNNNNNNNNNNNNNNNNNNNNNNNNNNNNNNNNNNNNNNNNNNNNNNNNNNNNNNNNNNNNNNNNNNNNNNNNNNNNNNNNNNNNNNNNNNNNNNNNNNNNNNNNNNNNNNNNNNNNNNNNNNNNNNNNNNNNNNNNNNNNNNNNNNNNNNNNNNNNNNNNNNNNNNNNNNNNNNNNNNNNNNNNNNNNNNNNNNNNNNNNNNNNNNNNNNNNNNNNNNNNNNNNNNNNNNNNNNNNNNNNNNNNNNNNNNNNNNNNNNNNNNNNNNNNNNNNNNNNNNNNNNNNNNNNNNNNNNNNNNNNNNNNNNNNNNNNNNNNNNNNNNNNNNNNNNNNNNNNNNNNNNNNNNNNNNNNNNNNNNNNNNNNNNNNNNNNNNNNNNNNNNNNNNNNNNNNNNNNNNNNNNNNNNNNNNNNNNNNNNNNNNNNNNNNNNNNNNNNNNNNNNNNNNNNNNNNNNNNNNNNNNNNNNNNNNNNNNNNNNNNNNNNNNNNNNNNNNNNNNNNNNNNNNNNNNNNNNNNNNNNNNNNNNNNNNNNNNNNNNNNNNNNNNNNNNNNNNNNNNNNNNNNNNNNNNNNNNNNNNNNNNNNNNNNNNNNNNNNNNNNCGGCGGCGGGGACAGCGACGAUGACGACGGACGACGGUACGGGCGACGGGCGGCGACGACGGGAUCGAGCGGUCCGCGCGGCGGAGGUGGGAGACGAAGUGGGGAGUUGAAACUGAAAUUUUCGUAAGUGCUAUAUAUAUAUAUAUAUAUAUAUAUAUAUAUAUAUAUAUAUAUAUAUAUAUAUGAUUGGCCUUUAGUACCGAAUCGUGGCUCCAACCGGUACUAAAGGCCUAUUUUCGCCAGGCCAAGCGGCGGGAAACGAAGGCUUUUAGUACCGGUUGGAGCCACCAACCGGUACUAAAGGGGGGCCUUUAGUACCGGUUGGAGCCACCAACCGGUACUAAAGGCCUUGCGCUGCCACCCCAAAAUUUAGUCCCACCUCGCCCGGCGAAGGGCAGCCGCACUGGUUUAUAAACCUAGCCGCGGCUACCUCUUCGAACUCCUCUAUAUAGCAGCCUUCUGGGCCUAAUUAAUUAGGGCGCGCUGCCAUGUGAGUCUGCUGGCCCUUCUGGGCCUGCAUUUGCACACCCUAGGUCUGGUAGACCCACAGGGCAGUGCGCCAACAAAUUUUUUAUAUAGUUUUAUCUUUUCUGCAUUACUUAUUUUCUUUUAUUUAUUUUUGAGUAGUUUUUUAUAUAGUUUUUGUUUUCUGCAUUAUUUAUUUUCUUCUAUUUAUUUUUGAGUAAUUUUUUUGUAUAGUUUUUUUAUUUUCUGCAUUACUUAUUUUUGCAUAGUCCGAAACCCUGAUACUCGGAAAGAGUUUGUCCAGUUUGUACACGAAGUGCGUCCAGUUUUUGCCGUGACCCUCUCUACUCUUUCGCGCAUGCUAUGCGGGUGAUACGAUGAUACCAUGCCAAGUUUCAACAUUUUCAGGAUUCAUUUUGUAGUGAUUUUCAAUUUCACGGUCAUUUAGCUCUCUAAACAAUUAGGUAAAUGACUGAAAAACAACAAAUGAUGUCAGAACAUGUUGAAAAUUGAUGACGUCGCUUUAAAUGCUGCAUACUGAACACAAAAGAAGUCCGGAGUACAAAUAAGUUUAAAAAACAUUGAAGUGGCCAUGUAACAGAUGAGUUCUCGUCCGAAACCCUGAUACUCGGAAAGAGUAUGUCCAUUUUGUACACGAAGUGCGUCCAGUUUUUGCCGUGACCCUCUCUACUCUUUCGCGCAUGCUAUGCGGGUGAUAUGAUGAUACCAUGCCAAGUUUCAGCAUUUUCAGGAUUCAUUUUGUAGUGAUUUUCAAUUUCACGGUCAUUUAGCUCUCUAAACAAUUAGGUAAAUGACCGAAAAACAACAAAUGAUGUCAGAAUAGACUGCACUGCACAUAGCUCAGUGUAGACUACACUGCACAUAGCUCAGUGCAAUCUAUGUUAUUCCGCAAGGCUUGAAGCUAAUCAACAUGUAGAUGAGCAUUGCAAUUCUUCGUCAUUGUCUGUGCACUCACGGCUUAUAAACCGCUCAUACUGCCUCUCUCUUGGCGAGGUGGGACUAAAAACAACUUGCCAUAACCUCAUCAAUUUCCUCUUGAAGCUUGUCCUUGCCUUUUUGCUUGUAUUCUUGUGGUGGAAGAUCAUCUUGAGCUUGUGUCCCCUUGAAGGAAGUAGGAUACUUCUCUUGUUGAGGAACAAACUUUGUCUUGGGGUAUUGAUCUUCUUCCCACUCAACUCCAUUGGCAUUGAACUUUCGUUCAAAACCAACACCUUGAUUCUUCCAGUGCCUUCCUUGCUUGCGCACAAUUUCCUCGAAUUGCUUACUCCCGGCAAGGCUUUUGUACAUUCCUUUCUCUAUAAUUCCCUUCAAUAAGCUAUUUUCUUGCUCAAGUGUAACUUGGCUAAGAGAAUCAUUAGUGGAAUCAAGAGAACUACUAGAAGCAACAAUGUUAGAUCUUAUGUCACAAAAAAGAAGUCGUAUCAAACCUUUUAUGUCGGAUCUAGAACAAACCAAUCGGUAUCGCCAUCAUACAGCCCUACCGUGGCUUGUGAUGCAUAUAUAUAUGCAUAUCAAAUGCACGGUUGGGCGUAUGAUGGCGAAUCCGAAUGAUUUGUAUUCAGUCGAUGAACUGGUAGAUGUAUGCAGUCGAUGAACUGGUAGAUGUAUGUAGUCGAUGAACUGAAAGACUUAUGCAGGGAAGGCGAGAGAUGGGCUAUAUAUAGGGUCGUCUGGCUCACAAAGUGAUUGUGGUAGUUUCGAUCCAACGACUCACAUGAGCUAGGAAGAAGCACACCCUUGAUCCAACGACUCGCAAGAGCUAUAAAGAAACACACGAUCCAUGUGAUUCUUCCUGAUUGGUGGGAUGCACAUUAGUAUCGGUUUGUGCCAUGAACUGGUGCUAAAGAUUGGCAAUGAACCGGUACUAAUGGUAGCAGCCCGCCUAGCCGUUGGAAUCGGCACUAAUGGUCACAUUUGUGCCGGCUCAAAUUCAAACCGGCACUAUAAUGUGCUUCACAUUUGACUGUUUUUCUACUAGUCAAUAGAGUUUGCCAAACUUGAGUUUCCCAAGUCACUUACACAAAAAGCUAUGAUUCAUGGUUGUCAAAUCCAUAAUUUACAAACCACAACAACCUUGAGGCAUAACAAGCUUUAAAUGCUGCAUACUGAACACAAAAGAAGUCCAGAGUUUAAAUAAGUUAUUAAAAAUAAAAAAGAGGUGCAAUGCUGGUUAAUUUGCUUCAAGCUAUUCGGAAUAGUGUAGAUUGCACUAAGCCACUGCACAUAGCUCAGUGCAAUCUAUGCUAUUCCGCAAGGCUUGAAGCUAAUCAACAUGUAGGUGAGCAUUGCAACUCUUCGUCAUUGUCUGUGCACUCACGGCUUAUAAACCGCUCAUACUACCUCUCUCUUGGCGAGGUGGGACUAAAAACAUCUUGCCAUAACCUCAUUAGUACUGGUUCAUGGUACGAACCGGCACUAAAUGGUGAUGGUGGGGCCAUAGCCUGACCGCAGGCUGACACAGCCUCUUUAGUACCGGUUCGUGGCAUGAACCGGUACUAAAGGUUCGCCACGAACCGGUACUAUUGAUCGCCGCCACGAACCGGCACUAAUGUACACAUUAGUGCCGGCUCUAAUUCAAACCGGCACUAAUGUGCUUCACAUUUGACCCUUUUUCUACUAGUGUAUGGCAUUUCCAUAGCCAUUCCGAGAUAUAUUGCCAUGCAACUUUCCAUCGUUCCAUUAUUAUGACACACUUCAUCAUUGUCAUAUUUGCUUGCAUGAUCAUGUAGUUGGCAUCGUAUUUGUGCAAAGCCACCAUUCAUAAUUCUUCAUACAUGUCACUCUUGAUUCACUGCAUAUCCCGGUACACCGCCGGAGGCAUUCACAUAGAGUCAUAUUUUGUUCUAAGUAUCGAGUUGUAAUUCUUGAGUUGUAAGUAAAUAAAAGUGUGAUGAUCAUCAUUAUUAGAGAAUUGUCCCAAGUGAGGAAAGGAUGGAGACUAUGAUUCCACAACAAGUCGGCAUGAGACUCCGGACGAAAAUAAAAAAAGAGGGAAAAAAGAGAAAGGCCAUAAAAAAGAAGGCCCAAAAAAUGAGAGAAAAAGAGAGAAGGGGCAAUGUUACUAUCCUUUUUCCACACUUGUGCUUCAAAGUAGCACCAUCAUCUUCAUGAUAGAGAGUCUCCUAUGAUAUCACUUUCAUAUACUAGUGGGAAUUUUUCAUUAUAGAACUUGGCUUGUAUAUUCCAAUGAUGGGCUUCCUCAAAUUGCCCUAGGUCUUCGUGAGCAAGCAAGUUGGAUGCACACCCACUUAGUUUCUUUUGUUGAGCUUUCAUACACUUAUAGCUCUAGUGCAUCCGUUGCAUGGCAAUCCCUACUCAAUCACAUUGAUAUCUAUUAAUGGGCAUCUCCAUAGCCCGUUGAUACGCCUGUUCUGGAGCUCCGCCAGAGGGGGCAUCGAUCACGGAGGGCUUCUACAUCAACAGCAUAGCCUCUCCGAUGAAGUGUGAGUAGUUGACCUCAGACCUACGGGUCCAUAGUUAUUACCUAGAUGGCUUCUUCUCUCUUUUUGGAUCUCAAUACAAUGUUCUCCCCCUCUCUUGUGGAGAACUAUUCGAUGUAAUCUUCUUUUUGCGGUGUGUUUAUUGAGAUCGAUGAAUUGUGGGUUUAUGAUCAAGUCUAUCUAUGAAUAAUAUUUGAAUCUUCUCUGAAUUCUUUUAUGUAUGAUUGUUUAUCUUUGCAAGUCUCCUCGAAUUAUCAGUUUGGUUUGGCCUACUAGAUUGAUCUUUCUUACAAUGGGAGAAGUGCUUAGCUUUGGGUUCAAUCUUGCGGUGUCCUUUCCCAGUGACAGCAGGGGCAGCAAGGCAUGUAUUGUAUUGUUGCUAUCGAGGACAACAAGAUGAGGUUUUCAUCAUAUUGCAUGAGUCUAUCCCUCUACAUCAUGUCAUCUAGCUUAAGGCGUUACUCUGUUUUUAACUUAAUACUCUAGAUGCAUGCUGGAUAGCGGUCGAUGAGUGGAGUAAUAGUAGUAGAUGCAGGCAGGAGUCGGUCUACUUGUCUCGGACGUGAUGCCUAUAUACAUGAUCAUACCUAGAUAUUCUCAUAAAUAUGCUCAAUUAUGUCAAUUGCUCAACAGUAAUUUGUUCACCCACCAUAGAAUUAUUAUGCUCUCGAGAGAAUCUACUAGUGAAACCUAUGGCCCCCGGGUCUAUCUUUAUCAUAUUAAUCUCCUACUACUUAGUUAUUUCCUUUGCUUUUUCCUUUGCCUUUAUUUUACUUUUCAUCUUUAUCACAAAAAUACCAAACAUAUUAUCUUUAUCAUAUCUAUCAGAUCUCACUCUCAUAAGUGGCCGUGUAGGGAUUGACAACCCCUAUUCGCGUUGGUUGCGAGGAUUUAUUUGUUUUGUGCAAGUACGAGGGACUCGCGCGUAGCCUCCUACUGGAUUGAUACCCUUGGUUCUCAAACUGAGGGAAAUACUUACGCUACUUUGCUACAUCAUCCCUUCCUCUUCGGGGAAAACCAACGCAGUGCUCAAGAGGUAGCAAGAAGGAUUUCUGGUGCCAAUGCCGGGGAGGUCUACGCAAAAGUCAACAUACCAAGUACCCGUCACAUACCCUUAUCUCCCGCAUUACAUUAUUUGCCAUUUGCCUCUCGUUUUCACCUCCCCCACUUCACCCUUGCCAUUUUAUUCGCCCUCUCUCUCUCUCUAUCCUCCCUCUCUUUCUCUAUUUGCCUCUUUUUUCCCGCUUGCUUUCUGUUUGCUUGUGUGUUAGUUGCUUGCUUGUCACGAUGGCUCAAGAUAAUACUAAAUUAUGUGACUUCACCAAUACCAACAACAAUCAUUUUAUUAGCACUCCGAUUGCUCCUCUUACCGAUGCUGAAUCUUGUGAAAUUAAUACUGCUUUGCUGAAUCUUGUCAUGAAAGAUCUGUUUUCCGGCCUUCCUAGUGAACAUGCCGGUACCCACCUAAAUAGAUUCAUUGAUUUGUGUGACAUGCAAAAAAAAGAAAGGUGUGGAUAAUGAUAUUGUUAAAUUGAAGCUAUUUCCUUUUUUGCUUAGAGAUCGUGCUAAAGCUUGGUUUUCGUCUUUGCCUAAAAAUAGUAUUGAUUCAUGGAAUAAGUGCAAAGAUGCUAUUAUCUCUAAGUAUUUUCCUCCUACUAAGAUCAUCUCUCUUAGAAACAAUAUUAUGAAUUUUAAGCAACUUGAUCAUGAACAUGUUGCACAAGCUUGGGAGAGAAUGAAACUAAUGGUACGUAAUUGCCCUGCCCAUGAUUUAAAUUUGUGGAUGAUUAUACAAAAAUGUUAUGCCGGAUUGAAUUUUGCUUCUAGAAAUCUUUUAGAUUCGGCCGCGGGAGGCACUUUUAUGGAAAUCACUUUAGAAGAAUCUACUAAACUCCUAGAUAAUAUUAUGGUUAAUUAUGCUCAACGGCAUAGUAAAAUAUCUAAUAAUAAAAAGGUGCAUGCGAUACAAGAAAUUAAUGUUUUGAGUGGAAAGAUGGAUGAACUUCUGAAAUUAUUUGCUAAUAAGAGUGUUUCUUCUGAUCCUAAUGAUAUACCCUUGUCUACUUUGAUUGAGAAUAGUAAUGAAUCUAUGGAUGUGGAUUUUGUUGGUAGGAACAAUUUUGGUAACAACGCGUAUAGAGGAAAUUUCAACCCUAGGCCUUAUCCUAGUAAUCUCUCUAAUAAUUAUGGUAAUUCCUACAACAAUUCUUAUGGAAAUUAUAAUAAGAUGCCCUCUAAUUUUGAAUCUAAUAUUAAAGAAUUUAUUACUUUGCAAAAGAAUUUCAAUACCUUGAUUGAAGAAGAACCGCUAGGAUGCGUGCUAAGAAAGAUGCCUUUAUAAGAGCGUGUUCUUCUAGUUCCUAUGAAAAUAAUGAUGAAGAUCUAAAAGUUAUUGAUGUGUUCCCUAUUAAAUCUUUGUUUUUCAACAUGGAUCUUGAUAAUGAUGGGAUUGAAUAUGAUCCACCUUUACCUAUAAGGCGUUCCAAGAAUUCAGAAUUUGUUGAUCUUGAUGCUAAAAUUGAUAAAGGUGGGAUUGAAGAAAUUAAAACCCUAGAUGUUGCUAAACCCACUAUUAUGGAUUUCAAGGAAUUUAACUAUGAAAAUUGCUCUUUUAUUGAUUGUAUAUCCUUUUUACAAUCCGUGCUAAAUUCUCCUCAUGCUUAUAGUCAAAAUAAAGCGUUUACUAAACAUAUCGUUGAUGCCUUGAUGCAAUCUUAUGAAGAAAAACUUGAAUUGGAAGUUUCUAUCCCUAGAAAGCUUUAUGAUGAGUGGGAACCAACUAUUAAAAUUAAAAUUAAAUAUCAUUAAUGCUAUGCUUUAUGUGAUUUGGGUGCUAGUGUUUCCACGAUUUCAAAGACUUUGUGUGAUUUGUUAGGUUUCCGUGAUUUUGAUGAUUGCUCUUUAAACUUGCGCCUUGUGGAUUCCACUAUUAAGAAACCUAUGGGAAGAAUUAAUGAUGUUCUUAUUGAUGCAAAUAGGAAUUAUGUGCCUGUAGAUUUUAUUGUUCUUGACAUAGAUUGCAAUCUUUCAUGUCCUAUUAUUCUUGGUAGACCUUUCCUUAGAACGAUUGGUGCAAUUAUUGAUAUGAAGGAAGGAAAUAUUAGAUUCCAAUUUCCAUUAAGGAAAGUCAUGGAACACUUUACUAGAAAGUAAAUUAAAUUACCUUAUGAAUCUAUUAUGAUAGCCACUUAUGGAUUGCCUACCAAAGAUGGCAAUACCUAGAUCUAUCCUUGCUUGUUAUGCCUAGCUAGGGGCGUUAAACGAUAGCGCUUGUUGGGAGGCAACGCAAUUUUGUUUUUAUUCCUUGAUUUUUGCUCCUGUUUAGUAAUAAAUAAUUUAUCUAGCCUCUGUUUUGGUUGUGUCCUUUGUGUUUAAUUAGUGUUGGUGCCAAGUAGAACCGUUAGGAAGACUUGGGGAAAGUCUUGUUACACUUGCUGUAAAAAACAGAAACUUCAGCGCUCACGAGAACUACUGCCAUUUUUAUUUGGAAAGUUCUAUUUAGUUAAUUAUUUCUGCAGAUGAUUAAUAGAUAAAUUCCUCACGUCCAGAAAUUUAUUUUAGAAUUUUUGGGGUUCCAGCUCUUGAGCUAGGUACAGAUUACUACAGACUGUUCUGUUUUUGAAAGAUUUUGUUUUUCAUGUGUUGUUUGCUUAUUUUGAUGAACCUAUGGCUAGUAAAAUAGUUGAUAGACCAUAGAUAAGUUGGAAUACAGUAGGUAUAACACCAAUAUAAAUAAAUAAUGAGUUCAUUAUAGUACCUUGAAGUGGUCUUUUAUUUUCUUUCGCUAACGGAGCUCACGAGAUUUUCUACUUUAAGUUUUGUGUUGUGAAGUUUUCGAGUUUUGGGUAAAGAUUUGAUGGUUUAUGGAACAAGGAGUGACAAGAGCCUAAGCUUGGGGAUGCCCAUGGCACCCCCAAGAUAAUCUAAGUACACCUAAAAGCCAAAGCUUGGGGAUGCCCCGGAAGUCAUCCCCUCUUUCGUCUACUUCUAUCGGUAACUUUACUUGGAGCUAUAUUUUUAUUCGCCACAUGAUAUGUGUUUUGCUUGGAGCAUCUUGUAUUAUUUGACUCUUUAUUUGUUAGUUUACCACAAUCAUCCUUCCUGUACACACCUUUUUUAGAAUACUCUAUGUGCUUCGCUUAUAUCUUUUGAGUUAUAUAGUUUUGCUCUAGUACUUCACUUAUAUCUUUUAGAGCACGGUGGUGGAUUUGUUUUAUAAAAACUAUUGAUCUCUCAUGCUUCACUUAGAUUAUUUUGAGAUGCUUAAUAGCAUGGUAAUUUGCUUAAAAUCCUAAUAUGCUAGGUAUUCAAAGUUAGUAUAAUUUUCUUAAGAGUGUUUUGAAUACUAAGAGAAGUUUGAUGCUUGAUGAUUGUUUUGAGAUAUGGAGGUAAUAAUAUCAAAGUCGUGCUAGUUGAGUAGUUGUGAAAUUGAGAAAUACUUGUGUUGAAAUUUGCAUGUCCCGUAGCAUGCACAUAUGGUAAACGUUGUGUAACAAAUUUGAAACAUCAGGUGUUAUUUGAUUGUCUUCCUUAUGAGUGGCGGUCGGGGACGAGCGAUGGUCUUUUCCUACCAAUCUAUCCCCCUAGGAGCAUGCGCGUAGUACCGAGGUUUUUGAUCACUUGUAGAUUUUUGCAAUAAGUAUGUGAGUUCUUUAUGACUAAUGUUGAGUCCAUGAAUUAUACGCACUCUCACCCUUCCAUCCUUGCUAGCCUCUUCGGUACCGUGCAUUGCCCUUUCCCACAUUGAGUGUUGGAGCAAACUUCGCCGGUGCAUCCAAACCCCGUGAUAUGAUACGCUCUUUCACACAUAAACCUCCUUAUAUCUUCCUCAAAACAGCCACCAUACCUACCUAUUAUGGCAUUUCCAUAGCCAUUCCGACAUAUAUUGCCAUGCAACUUUCCACCAUUCCGUUCAUCAUGACACAUUCAUCAUUGUCAUAUUGCUUAGCAUAAUCAUGUUGUUGACAUAGUAUUUGUGGCAAGGCCACUGUUCAUAAUUCUUUCAUACAUGUCACUCUUGGUCCAUUGCAUAUCCCGGUACACCGCUGGAGGCAUUCAUAUAGAGUCAUACUUUGUUCUAGUAUCGAGUAGUAAUUAUUGAGUUGUAAAUAAAUAGAAGUGUGAUGAUCAUCAUUAAUAGAGCAUGGUCCCAAAGAGAGAAAAAAGGAAGGGCCAAAAAAGGCCAAAUAAAAAAUAUAAAAAAGGGGGGCAAUGCUACUAUCCUUUUUUCCACACUUGUGAUUCAAAGUAGCACUGUAAUCUUCAUGAUAGAGAGUAUCUUGAUUUGUCACUUUCAUAUACUAGUGGGAAUUUUUCAUUAUAGAACUUGGCUUGUAUAUUCCAACAAUGGGCCUCCUUAAGUGCCCUAGGUCUUCGUGAGCAAGCAAGUUGGAUGCACACCCACUUAGUUUCUUUUGUUGAGCUUUCAUACAUUUAUAGCUCUAGUGCAUCCGUUGCAUGGCAAUCCCUACUCCUUGCAUUAACAUCAAUCGAUGGGCAUCUCCAUAGCCCAUUGAUUAGCCUCGUUGAUGUGAGACUUUCUCCUUUUUGUCUUCUCCACAUAACUCCACUCAUUAUAUUCUAUUCCACCCAUAGUGUUAUGUCCAUGGCUUGCAAUCAUAUAUUGCGUGGAAGUUUAUAGGUUUGAGAUCACUAAAGUAUGAAACAAUUGCUUAGCUUGUCAUCGGGGUUGUGCAUGAUGAGAGCGUUGUUGUGUGACAAAAAUGAAGCAUGACUAAACUAUAUGAUUUUGUAGGGAUGAACUUUCUUUGGCCAUGUUAUUUUGAGAAGACAUAAUUGCUCAGUUAGUAUGCUUGAAGUAUUAUUAUUUUUAUGUCAAUAUGAACUUUUGUCUUGAAUCUUUCGGAUCUGAAUAUUCAUAUCACAAUUAAGAAGAAUUACAUUAAAAUCAUGCUAAGUAGCACUCUGCAUCAAAAAUUCUGUUUUUAUCAUUUACCUACUCGAGGACGAGCAGGAAUUAAGCUUGGGGAUGCUUGAUACGUCUCCAACGUAUCUAUAAUUUUUGAUUGCUCCAUGCUAUAUUAUCUACUGUUUUGGACAAUAUUGGGCUUUAUUAUCCACUUUUAUAUUAUUUUUGGGACUAACCUAUUAACCGGAGGCCCAGCCCAGGAUUGCUGUUUUUUGCCUAUUUUAGGGUUUCGAAGAAAAGGAAUAUCAAACGGAGUCCAAACGGAAUGAAACCUUCGGGAACGUGAUUUUCUCAACGAACAAGACCCAGGAGACUUGGACCCUCCGUCAAGACACAAAAGAGGAGGCCACGAGGUAGGGGGCGUGCCUACCCCCCGGGCGCGCCCUCCACCCUCGUGGGCCCCCUGUUGCUCCACCGACGUACUCCUUCCUCCUAUAUAUACCUACGUACCCCCAAAUGAUCAUAUACGGAGCCAAAACCCUAAUUACACCGCCGCAACAUUUUGUAUCCACGAGAUCCCAUCUUGGCGCCUGUUCCGGAGCUCCGCCGGAGGGGGCAUCGAUCAUGGAGGGCUUCUACAUCAACACCAUAGCCUCUCCGAUGAAGUGUGAGUAGUUGACCUCAGACCUACGGGUCCAUAGUUAUUACCUAGAUGGCUUCUUCUCUCUUUUUGGAUCUCAAUACAAUGUGCUCCCCCUCUCUUGUGGAGAACUAUUCGAUGUAAUCUUCUUUUUGUGGUGUGUUUGUUGAGACCGAUGAAUUUUGGGUUUAUGAUCAAGUCUAUCUAUGAAUAAUAUUUGAAUCUUCUCUGAAUUCUUUUAUGUAUGAUUGGUUAUCUUUGCAAGUCUCUUCGAAUUACCCGUUUGGUUUGGCCUACUAGAUUGAUCUUUCUUGCAAUGGGAGAAGUGCUUAGCUUUGGGUUCAAUCUUGCGGUGUCCUUUCCCAGUGACAGUAGGGGCAGCAAGGUACGUAUUGUAUUGUUGCCAUCGAGGACAACAAGAUGGGGUUUUCAUCAUAUUUUAUGAGUCUAUCCCUCUACAUCAUGUCAUCUUACUUAAGGCAUUAAUCUGUUUUUAACUUAAUACUCUAGAUGCAUGCUGGAUAGCGGUCGAUGAGUGGAGUAAUAGUAGUAGAUGCAGGCAGGAGUCGGUCUACUUGUCUCGGACGUGAUGCCUAUAUACAUGAUCAUACCUAGAUAAUCUCAUAACUAUGCUCAGUUCUGUCAAUUGCUCAAUAGUAAUUUGUUCACCCACCGUAGAAUACUUAUGCUCUUGAGAGAAGCCACUAGUGAAACCUAUGGCCCCCGGGUCUAUCUUUAUCAUAUUAAUCUCCUACUACUUAGUUAUUUCCUUUGCUUUUUUACUUUGCCUUUAUUUUACUUUGCAUCUUUAUCACAAAAAUAAAAAUAUCUUUAUCAUAUCUAUCAAAUCUCACUCUCGUAAGUGGCCGUGUAGGGAUUGACAACCCCUAUUCACGUUGGUUGCGAGGAUUUAUUUGUUUUGUGCAGGUACGAGGGACUGGCGCAUAGCCUCCUACUGGAUUGAUACCUUGGUUCUCAAAACCUAAGGGAAAUACUUACGCUACAUUGCUGCAUCAUCCCUCACUCUUCGGGGAAAACCAACGCAGUGCGCAAGAGGUAGCAAGGGUUCCUUUUUGUCGACGAUCUGAUGUUUCAACCUUGUUUUCCAGGCGGCCAACGCAUCGCUCAACUUGGUCAUGGCGUGUUUGUUUAUCUUCGUCAUUGCCAGGUCCUUAUCUGGAUCUUUAUUAUCCUUUUCAUUACGGUCCGGGAACAAGAAUAUCUGGUGCAGCUUCUUUAGGAGGGAGGGCCUCUGGUGCAGCUUCUAUAGUUUCCCAUCGUUGAUCAUGGCAGUUGUCCGUACAAUGCAACCUAUUUGAUUGCCGUAGCACGAUUGCGCUUCCUCGGGUGCUAUUGUCUCAAAAAUACCGUCGUCCAUCUCCGUGACCACCAGUCUAGUACUCAUGAGCUGGUUUAGGCGUCGUGGCCUCUUUGCUUUCGGUUCUAGACUAACUCCGCUAGUCUCGGCGCUGGUCUCAGUCUCAUCGCCGGUCUGCAUGUCGGUAUCAGUCCCUGAUGCGACAACACAGUCGCUGCAACAUGGGUAAGGGAGACCACAUCAGUGCUGGGGGGUCCGAAAAUCGGGACACACUUUCGCGCGUCGCGGGCCGCCUCUCAGACAGCUACUGGGGAGGCGGCGGAGUACCUGGGUGCGCCGCGAAUCCCCGGGAACUCGGUGACCAACUUCCUUCCCGUGUGGCGCAUGGAGACGACAGCGACCCCGGCGAAGAGUAGCUUAGCCGCGAGCUGCACAGCCUCGUCCACCUCCUAAGUUGGGACCUCCGCGCAAGCGUUGCGGGGCCGCCGCUCGGGUGGCUUCUGGAAGGCGGUUGUACAUGGGCACAGGGUGAAUCCCGACUAGAGCUGGCCAUUGGCGCGCGCAAGUAGACGACGACGUCCCCGACGAAGAGCUGCCCGGCCAGCUCGCCUCACUCUCCUUUGAUUAGAAAUGAAAGAUUGGGAAGAAGCAGACUUGAGCCUGCAGAGAAAGGAUAAGGUGACGAUGCAGUCUCCACUCGUUCGGGGCGACACGCGUACUGAAUGUAUGAGAAACGUGACGUGGCAGAGACCCCAAGAUACUCCCUCCAUUUAUUUUUAGUCUGCAUAUAAAGUUUGGUCAAAGUCAAGAUUUGUAAAUUUUAACUAACUUUAUAAUAAAAAAAUAUCAAUAUUCACAAUAUGAAAUCAAUAUUACCAGAUGCGUCAUGAAAUGUAUUUCCAUACUAUAAAGUUUUGGUAUUGUAGAGGCACUCUUCCAUAUAAUGAAGUUUAUAAUAUAUGUGCUUAUAUUGUACUACAAUUGUUUGAAUAGCUUAGCAUAUGUUCAGAUGUAUGAUAUCUGUAAUUUAAGCGCUUGAAUUUUACAUAUAAAUAUUUAUUAAUAAAUAUGUACCCCUAUAAUAGCUAGGCCGUGCAGUUGCACGGGUAGAUGACUAGUGAUUACAAUCUUGUUUGUGUGCAAGUCAAGCUUAUCUAGUUUACACGUAACAACUUGUAGAACAUUACAAAAUUUAUGCUUGCUAAUAACUUCUAGAACACUACAACACUUGACAUGUAAAAGGAAUUUGACGAGUCAUGGCCUACUAAAGCAAGUUACAUUACUAGUCUUAUCUAUCUUAACAGACCACACAAGAUUACAAACUAAGUACCGUGACAGCCAUACUUAUCUAGUUUAUGCGUAACAAUUUGCAGAAAAUUAGAAACUUAGUUUCAGAAAAAUACGCAAUCUAGAUUAGUGUUUGAGCUGUAAAGUGAAUAAGAUGAGUCAUGCAUGUUAUCACACCUUUUUGGUGGUGGAAUGAUAGUGCAACAACAAGGAACUUUAAUGACCAGUCCAAGAAUACACUUGUAAGUAGUGCCACCAAACAGAACAUUCCAAAUGAUGAUUUUUAGAAGCAUCCAAGCACUUUCCACACAAACAAAUGCCAAUUGUGAAAGAGAUCAUUCCAUGGCAGCUAUAAAUAGCCCCAUAGCAUGACGAUCAUCCUUCCUCAUCCAUCAUUCUCAUUAGUAGAGCGCAUCAUUUAAGCCAAGCAAGCUGUGGUCAAUACAAAUCCACCAUGAAGACCUUUCUCAUCCUUGCCCUCCUUGCUAUCGUGGCGACCACCGCCACAACUGCAGUUAGAGUUCCAGUGCCACAAUUGCAGCCACAAAAUCCAUCUCAGCAACAGCCACAAGAGCAAGUUCCAUUGGUACAACAACAACAAUUUCUAGGGCAGCAACAACCAUUUCCACCACAACAACCAUAUCCACAGCCGCAACCAUUUCCAUCACAACAACCAUAUCUGCAGCUGCAACCAUUUCCGCAGCCGCAACUACCAUAUUCGCAGCCACAACCAUUUCGACCACAACAACCAUAUCCACAACCGCAACCACAGUAUUCGCAACCACAAGAACCAAUUUCACAGCAGCAGCAACAACAACAACAACAACAACAAAUCCUUCAACAAAUUUUGCAACAACAACUGAUUCCAUGCAUGGAUGUUGUAUUGCAGCAACACAACAUAGCGCAUGGAAGAUCACAAGUUUUGCAACAAAGUACUUACCAGCUAUUGCAAGAAUUGUGUUGUCAGCACCUAUGGCAGAUCCCUGAGCAGUCGCAGUGCCAGGCCAUCCAAAAUGUUGUUCAUGCUAUUAUUCUGCAUCAACAACAAAAACAACAACAACAACCAUCGAGCCAGGUCUCCUUCCAACAGCCUCUGCAACAAUAUCCAUUAGGCCAGGGCUCCUUCCGGCCAUCUCAGCAAAACCCACAGGACCAGGGCUCUGUCCAGCCUCAACAACUGCCCCAGUUCGAGGAAAUAAGGAACCUAGCGCUACAGACGCUACCUGCAAUGUGCAAUGUCUACAUCCCUCCAUAUUGCACCAUCGCGCCAUUUGGCAUCUUCGGUACUAACUGAGAAGAAAAUAACUCUAGUACUAGAUAUAUGAAACACCGUUUUCUCAGUCCAUGGUUUGGUCAUUGUAGCGUUGAAAAAAUAAUGUGACAUGCACUAUCAUGUAAGAAUCCGAACUAUACUAGUUCAAACUUGGGAAUAAAAGACAAACACAGGUCUUGUCUACAUAUUUAUGUUGCAUCUAUUUAUAUAUUAAAAGUAAUAUAAGGUGAACCAGGAGCAAGGUAAAUAUGCUAGAAAAUUGCACGUUAAUUAGAAAUUACUAGCCCUCGAUCUGGUAAAUCUUAACAAAUAGAAUUAUCUUCACCGUUAGAUUUAUGUAACAUAUAUAAUGCUCUGGGCCUCCAACGACUGUACGUGACACAUCUGAAUGAACAUAUGUUAAAGAAAAUAUAUUUGGUAAAUGGUGGGCCUGUUUAAAAAGAGAACUCACGUACAUGCACCAACUAAGAAAAACACAUACAUGUAAACGGGAAAAGGAUGAGAUUUUCUCACGUACGUGCUCCCUGGCUCCACCCCGUUGAAAAAAUAUACAUCUGGAGGCCACUUUGUUUCCUCAUCAAAAAAAACUUACGUUAAAAAGAUUGCAUGCAUCCCAGGGAAAAUAGUCAAGAAGAAGUCGGACUUUUCCUUACAAAAACAAGGAACGUGUUAAGUUGACUUCAAAGAAAAAAGGAACAUGUUAAGUUAAAAAAAACAAGAAACCUGUUAAGUUAGAAAAAAACAGGGAACGUGGUGUCCUAGGAAAGAUAUGUGUCAAAUCUUACAAAAAAAAAGAAUACACACACGUACGUUCAUGCACUUGGAAAAUAGAAGAAAAAAAAGGAAACAUCACGUAUGUAUACACUUCGGAAACUCAUUACAUGACCAUGUCUGAUAUACUCCUCUAAUGCUUAAUAUUAGUGCCUAAUAAUUUAUAUUUGAAAUUUAAUUUACUGAUCAAAUAUCCCCACUGUUUAAAUUUUAAUUUGGCACAUUGUUUGGCUAUAGUAUGAACCUAAAUUUCCUCUUAUUAUUAUAUAUCAUGGUAAUAAUCCAAAGGCGACUAAUCUGCACCGGGGCACCCGCGCAAUCAAUUCGGCUAGACACAGCGCAGCCGUUUGAUUAGAUUGCAUUUAACCGUCAGAUCUGGAAUCGUUUUCUUUCCAAUUAAACAGAUUCAACCAAACAGCAGAGGGGAAAACAAAGCAGCGCCGCCGCCAACACUAGCCAUGGACGACUGAUGUAGCAAAACCUUGAAGAACCGCCGCCGGUCGCCACCCUCGCCGCUGGUCGCAGCCCUCGCCGUCGGUCACCGCCGGUCGCCGCCCUCGCCGCCUGCGUUUCUCAUCGGCUUCAUGCAUGCAACAACAUGCACUCGUGGUUGCAGGCUUGCAUCUCCGGCUCUGGGGGACAUGGCCGCAUCUCCGGUAGCGCCGGCCGCCGGCCGCAGCACCUGUCGUUGUGGUCGCGCUGUACCUCGCCGUGUGCCCUCCCGAGGCUCUUGCUAGUUCCAACAAAAAACGAUACCUGUUGUAGCAAAAAAGUAUCGCUUCCAGCAAAAAAAGCUUACCGCUACAGCCCGCCAUCGUCAUUGUAGCAAAAAUGUUUACCCGAUGUAGCUUCUGUGGUUGCCGAUUGCAGCAAAAAAUGACAUGGUUGUAGCAAAACACAAAAGAAAAACGCCGGCCGGCCGCUGUGUAUGGUGGUAACAAACCCUAUAGCCGGUGGUAGCGAAAAACUUCAUAGUUUGCAGCAAAAAAAAAUGUUGUCACCCGUCGUCGAGGUUGCAUCAUCUUCAAGAAUUAUGUCGCAAAAAAACGUUGUCGCCGGUAGUAGCAAAUGAAGCCGCCGGUAGUAGCAAAACAAGACACUGGUUCCAGCCAAAAAAAAUCAGCGACAGAACCUUUGGUUGGUUCCAACAAAAAAACUUGUUGGUUGUAACAUCCCUCACCGCCGGAUGUAGCAUCUCCCGGGGCUGGUUGCAACACUCCAUAAAAAAAAGUUGUCUAUGAGCGCAUCCAUGGCGACUGUUGCACCGUCAGCAACGAGGGGAAGAGGAGGCAAUGAAAAUCGUUCGAGUCAUAGCUCCACAGGACGCAACUGCAGCAUGGGGAGUCCAAAAAUCUGUCACAAGCAAGAUGCGCCUCGCCAUCCUCCUGCGCAGGAGAGAGAAGAAAAAGGAAUAAGAGGAAGAAGAAAGGAAACGGGAGAAAGAAAAAAGAAACGAUUGAUGGUUGGCUCAGGCAAUUAGUCAAACGAGGGGCACGCGGGGCCGCAGGAUACAGCGCAAUCGAACGAAGCGUGCGCGUCCGGCCGAAGACUCGGCUGGACUGCCGGCUGGAAACGUUUCCCUAAUCCAAAGGCUUUGUCUGAAUGACAAGUCGUCUGGGUUACCGGCUAACUAGAAAAAAGAUAAAUAUGCUAGAGAAUUCCAUAAUAAUUAAAAAUAUCUAGCCUUUAAUUAUGUAAAUCAGAAAAUCACAACCGUUGGAUUUACUUUAAAGGUAAAUUUCUCUAAAUUCCCACCAUUGCCAGUAUGUAGAAACAUGUGCUGCUUCAAUUCUCCCUUAAUCACCAAUCAAUCAACAACACAAAACAUACCUUAGUUAAAAAAAACUGAACAAAAAAAAAGAAAAAAAGAAGAAAGGACAAGAUACACGCAUGUACACGACAGCCUUGGCUUGAAACACAUCAGUAGAUCAAGUGUCCGCCUCCCUUACACAGAAUAAAUUCUAGGGAAGAAAAUAAUAGUGCAACCUAACCUUAUACGUACUAUUCUAUCCUCGAGUCCCAUGUGGUUUACAAGCCUACCGCCGCCGCAUCAUGCCAUCCUCUCCUUUCAGCUCCCAUGCUCUCCAGCACCCUCCUUGCCGCGCCACUACUCGCCUAGGGAUAUUGCUGCUCAGGCCGUGGAGCUUAACCUGCUUCUUCUUCAGCAAAUAUGGAACUGCUUUAGGAUCCUUCUCACAUCAGCACGUAUGGGCCUCAUUAUACUGCAGCUCCUGGACCUCCUACAAUUGGUUGGCUAUGGCCAGUUGAUCGAUGUGCUGAAGUCCAGGUCUGUUUGCUGGCACAUAUGCUUUGGAAAUAGGCCACUAUGUUUGUACUUCAAAAUUGUUUCUGUAUUCUUGAGUGGUACAUCCUUUUAAGCGCCAGUUUUUUAUGUUAAUUCAUGCUGACAACACUUAACCUAGCCUUUUCAUGUUCACGUAAUUGCUCUGCAUGUUCUACAUAGGAAAAUUUGUCAUGUUCUACGAUCGCACCAUCCCACCCUUCUCUCUUGGUAUGGGCGCCAAUUGAGGGAUUGAUAAAACUGAAACGAAGACGUCACAGGGCUGGAAGUACCGCUAGCCUGGUUCGCACUGCAACCUACCCAACGCGAUUGGAGCAGGUGGCUAUGGAGAUUUUACCCAACAUGGGUGGCAGCAUAAUCUCCGGAUCGGUCCACCAACCGUUUCGACAUAGGCAUAUUGUCGGUCUAUAGGACUCUACUGUUGCCGAAUUGUCGGGUUUUUUUCUUAUCAGAUUUUUUAUGUUUGGCUGUGUGCAUCCUAGUUAUGCAGAGGCCGGGUGGUACUCUAAAUGCUUUGUAUCGCUUGAUGCUACAUUUUGAGAUAAUAAAAACGUCCUUUAUCAAAAAAAAAUUGUAAGUACUACCCCUUGCAUGUGCGUACAUACCUUUGUUGCAUUCUCAAACAGAUAGAACAUGUAUGAUCGGUGCAUGGCUAUUUUUCAUCACAUGACAUCCAGAUAACAAGCAUGAAAGGACUACAUUGGAGAUCAAAAAAUAUUGGUUCCUGGCUAGAGUACCACUACCUAUGGACUUGUCUCCAUAGAAUUUGUUCCCAAGAUGUUAUUUUAAUUAACCUCUUUAGAUUUCUUCCAUUGCAAACGGUGAUGUGCAUCAUGGUAUAUACGUGACCAUCUUGCACAUGUAUACACAAGAGGCUCAGACGGAGGUGCUGGAUUCUGGACGAGGGAAUAUGAAGCAGGAGUGAGCGAAGAGUAAAUAAUGGUGGGAGUACCGAUUGGUGUUAUGAAGAAAAAUGCCAUCCAAAGAUUGAUUAGUGUCAUGGAAGAUUAAUUUCUGAAUGUGAAUAUAUAUGUUACAUUGGUUUCCAUCUUUUUGAGAUAAUUGCACCUAAAUUAGGUUCUUUCUUAUUUCAUGUGUAUACCUUAUUUCAGUAAAAGUUCACAACGAACUUAGUAGGACAAAUAUAAUUUUGUUUGUUCUUUCUGUUGUCCGCCACCAAAGCUCAGUUUGAACUCUCUAGAAAUGGACAAUGAUUUAUGCAUUCUAUAUCUUCUUGAUUGAUUAGCCAUGACAAGGAAAUAAAAGGAUUGACUGAUAUAGCAUAACUUUGGAACGAUCUGUUCGUAGAGGUUACUAUAAAUUAGAGUAGUGUCUGUUGGAAUUUUGCUAGUACGCCUUUGGCCCAAAGCCCAACUAAAAUUCUGAAAUUCUCUUGGCUCAUUUAUGCACACAAGUUAGUCCCACCCCGGAAGUUGAGAGAGAGUUGCACCUCUUUAUAAGGUGAGCUCUUCUACCACUUGUAUGAGCAUGAGAAGAGGAGACCUACACGCGCGCUCCUCCUCGCUCGCCCCGCCGCGCCGCGGGUUGCGGGAUUGAGCCGAGCCGAGGACGUUGUCUAUAUUUUUGCUGCUCGGGAAAAAUUAAUGAGUCAUUAAUUAAUAAUUAAUGGACGCGUUAAUUACUGAACCAUUUCCGAUUCUUUUGGAUCGUAACGACUCGGACGUGGGGUUUACUCCCACGACCUACCCGGCCCGCACUAUAUAGUCAGGCAGACGUCUACCCUAGCCGCCGCCGCUUCGUAUGGUUUCUCACCAUCGUUACAGAUCAUUGCGCCACCAAGCAAGUUUUCUCCAUCCCUCCUUUCGGCGUGCACCGGGAGAAGGGACAGCAGGCCUCCGGAACCCCGCCUCUCGUGAUCCUGUACGGGAGAGGGGCGAUCAGGUUUUUGAGGAGCGCACUCGCACGACUGCUGGCAGCGACGACUUCGCGAACGACGACAUCUUCCCCGGCCUCGGCAACCUCAUCCUCGACGACAUGGGCGACAACGUCAACGCCGGCGGUGCUACACCCACUACACCGUAUGUUAUUCUAUCCUUCUUGUUCGAGAUCGUGGUAGAAUUCAUAUUUCUAGUAUAUGUGCUAUAGAUGUGAUCUGUUCAUCUACUAUGCUAGUUCGCAUGAUUAGUUUAAUCUCUGCUAUUGCUGUCAUGAUCUAUUUCCUAUUUAUUCGGAUUAAAUCUCGUAGUAAUUGGCUCAUUUUUCCAACAAUCCAAAAACCUGAUUAUAGGCAAUUUACUCCGAGUGGUUUUACUGCGCAUCUAAAAGCCGCCUGCCUUUAAGGGGGCGUAAUAUAAGAGGUGGCGCACCAGAGCAGUCUACUGGUUUCAGAUCAUGGGCUGCUAUGAUGCCACCAAGGGCAAGCCUGAGGGCGAUCUUAAUCCAGCACAGCUGGAAGCUUUCAAGGAGAUCAAUACCCUCUUUAAAGGCACUCUUCUGAGUGUUCUUGAUGACUCCAUUGUAGAUUCGUAUAUGUCAUUUGACAACGGCAAGAACAUGUGGGCUACGCUCGAGUCCAAGUUUGGUGCCUCAGACGCCGGCAGCAAGUUCUACGUCAUGGAGCAAUUCUAUGACUCCAAGAUGACUGAUGAGCGCCCUAUUGUACAGCAGGCUCAUGAGAUACAUUCGCUCGCAAAAGAACUUGAGUACUUCAAGUGUGUGUUGCCGGACAAAUUUGUUGCCGGAGGCAUCAUUGCCAAGCUUCCACCUUCGUGGAACAAUUUUGCUACUUCCCUGAAACACAAGAGACAGGAGUUUUUCAUUGCGGAUCUCAUUGGUACUCUUGAUGUUGAAGAGAAGGCGAGAGCAAAGGAUACACGUGCUCGAGUUGCUGAGGGAGGUUCUAGUGCCCACAUGGUACAGAAGAAGAACUUCCAGCCCAACAAGUUCAAAAACAACAAGAACAAAACUUAGGGCAAAGGCAAGUUUGAUACAAAGAACAAGCCAUCACAUUCUACCAACUUCAAGAAGAACUCUCAUAAGAAGGGGAAGGGACUUUGCCAUGUCUGCGGUGAUCCUAAUCACUGGGCUCCGAAGUGUGCUAACCGCUUUGAGGAGCGCGAAGAUGAGAAGAGCCGCAAGUCCGCUAAUGUUAUCAUCGGUGAUACUGAUAUGAAGGAAUCAGGGUACGGUAUUUUUCCUACCAUCCUUUCAGUAUUCCAAACCCCUGAUUCGUUAAUUGACACCGGUGCCAAUGUACAUGUUUGUGCUGAUGCCUCCAUGUUUUCUUCUUACCAGGCCACUGGGACUUCUCCCGUGCUAUUGGGGAACGGGUCACAUGCCAUCGUUCGAGGUGUUGAUACGGUCGAUCUGAAGUUUACUUCAGGGAAGACCGUGCGUCUGAAGAACGUUCAUCAUGUGCCGUCCAUCAAUAAAAAUCUCGUUAGCGGUUCCCGUUUAUGUCGAGAUGGUUUUAAGUUGGUUUUCGAAUCCAAUAAAGUUGUAAUUUCUAAGUAUGGACAAUUUGUUGGAAAAGGCUAUGAGAGCGGAGGCUUGUUUCGCCUGUCUUUGUCAGAUAUUUGCACUAAAGUUAUUAAUAAUGCUUGCCACAACAAUGAGUCUGAUAUUUGGCAUUCACGACUUUGUCACAUUAACUUUGGUUGCAUGACGCGGCUAGCCAAUAUGAAUUUAAUUCCGAAAAUCUCUACUAUCAAAGGCUCUAAGUGCCAAGUAUGUGUGCAAGCUAAGCAACCUCGCAAGUCCCAUAAGACUGCAGAGGCAACAGACUUGGCGCCACUAGAGCUUAUACAUUCUGAUAUUUGUGAGAUGAAUGGCGUGUUGACAAAAGGUGGAAAGAGAUACUUCAUGACGUUGAUUGAUGACUCCACUAGAUAUUGUUAUGUGUAUCUUGUGAAAUCAAAAGAUGAGGCUUUGGCUUUCUUCAAAAACUAUAAAGCUGAGGCAGAAAACCAACUUGAUCGAAAAAUUAAACGGCUUAGGUCCGAUCAUGGUGGCGAGUAUUUUUCCAAUGAAUUUGAUCUGUUUUGUGCGGAACAUGGUAUAAUCCAUGAGAGGAUGCCUCCCUACUCACCCCAGUCAAAUGGGGUAGCCGAAAGAAAGAACCGAACUCUAACUGAUAUGGUUAACACCAUGUUAGACACUUCGGGUCUAUCCAAGGAAUGGUGGGGGGAGGCGCUAAUGACUGCGUGUCAUGUCCUAAACCGAGUUCCCACAAAGCAUAAGACCAUGACUCCAUUUGAGGAAUGUGAAAGGAAAAGGUUGAAACUCUCUUACCUAUGUACUUGGGGUUGUUUGGCAAAAGUCAAUAUAUCAAUUCCCAAGAAGCGCAAGCUUGGACCAAAAACCGUGGAUUGUGUUCUUCUUGGCUAUGCUUUUCAUAGCAUCGGCUAUAGAUUUUUGAUAAUAAAAUCUGAGGUAUCCGACAUGCAUGUUGGUACGAUUAUGGAGUCGAAUGAUGCAACUUUCUUUGAGGACAUAUUUCCUAUGAAGGAUAUGUCGAGUUCAUCAAAUCAGGAGACACCUACUCCAUCUAGUGAGGAGUUCACUGCAAUUCCUAAACCCAUCAUUGCGAUGGAAUACGUUGAGAAUCCUGUUGAGGGUGACAAUGGAACUCCUGUGAGGAGUAAGAGACAUAGGGCUACAAAGUCCUUUGGUGAUUAUUUCAUUAUGUACCUCGUGGAUGACACACCCAGGACUAUUUCAGAAGCCUGUGCAUCUCUUGAUGCUGACUACUGGAAGGAAGCUGUACGUAGCGAGAUGGAUUCCAUCUUAGGUAACGGAACCUGGGAGAUCACUGACCGUCCUUAUGGGUGAAAACCUGUAGGAUGUAAGUGGGUGUUCAAGAAGAAGCUUAGACCUGAUGGUAUGAUUGAAAAGUAUAAGGCACGGCUUGUGGCCAAGGGUUAUACCCAGAAAGAAGUUGAAGACUUCUUUGAUAGUUACUCACCCGUGGCUAGACUGUCCACAAUUCGGGUGCUACUAUCACUUGCUGCCUCACAUGGUCUUCUCGUUCAUCAAAUGGACGUUAAGACAACUUUCCUCAAUGGAGAGUUGAAGGAGGAAAUUUACAUGGAUCAGCCAGAUGGUUUUGUAGUACCUGGUUAGGAAGGAAAGGUGUGCAAGUUAUUAAAGUCUUUAUAUGGCCUUAAACAAGCUCCUAAAGAGUGGCAUGAGUAGUUCGAAAGAACAUUAACUACUGCCGGCUUUGUAGUAAACGAUGGUGACAAGUGCGUGUACUAUCGCUAUGGUGGGGGCGAAGGAGUUAUUCUUUGUCUGUAUGUCGAUGACAUAUUGAUCUUUGGAACCAAACUUGAUUUAAUCAAGGAGGUUAAGGAUUUCUUAUCUCGCUAUUUUAAGAUGAAGGAUCUAGGAGUAGCUGAUGUUAUCUUAAACAUCAAGCUGUUGAGAGAUGAGAAUGGUGGGAUCACACUGCUUCAGUCUCACUAUGUGGAAAAGGUCUUGCUUCGUUUUGGGUAUAGCGACUGCACACCUUCUCCAACUCCAUAUGAUGCUAGCGUGUUGCAUCGAAAGAAUCGAUGGAUUGCUAGAGAUCAACUAAGGUAUUCUCAUAUUACUGGCUCGCUUAUGUAUUUGGCGAGUGCCACGAGGCCUAACAUCUCGUUUGCUGUUAGCAAGCUGAGUCGGUUUGUGUCAAAACCGGGAGAUGAUCAUUGGCAUGCGCUUGAGAGAGUUAUGCGCUAUUUGAAAGGCACCGCGAGCUAUGGGAUUCACUACACCGGGUAUCCAAGGGUACUGGAGGGUUAUAGUGACUCAAACUGGAUAUCUGAUGCUAAUGAGAUUAAGGCCACAAGUGGUUAUGUUUUUACACUUGGUGGUGGCGCUGUUUCUUGGAAGUCCUGCAAGCAGACCAUCUUAACGAGGUCAACUAUGGAAGCAGAACUCACAUCAUUAGAAACUGCCACUGUUAUAGAAGAGUGGCUUCGUGAGCUCUUGAUGGACUUACCUAUGGUUGAAAAACCAAUACCCCCUAUCCCGAUGAACUGUGAUAAUCAAACUGUGAUCGUCAAGAUAAACAGUUCUAAGGACAAUAUGAAGUCCUCAAGGCAUGUGAAGAGGAGACUGAAAUCUGUCAGAAAAUUGAGGAACUCCGGAGUUAUUAUGUUGGAUUAUAUCCAAACGUCAAAAAAAUUAGCAGAUCCCUUCACAAAGGGUCUAUCACGUAAUGUGAUAGAUAAUGCAUCGAUGGAGAUGGGUCUGAGACCCACCGCAUGAGUUGUCCAUAGUGGUAACCCACUCUAUGUGAUCGGAGAUCCCGUGAAGUAGAAGUGGGAGACAAGUUGUUGGUCAGCUGGGAGGAGAGUAUCCCUAUAUUACCUAUCCCACUUCAUGAAGAUGCAAUACUCUCCUAAUCUGCAUGGCAGGUUGAUACUUAUCUUAAUGUGUUCCAAGUGGCUUAUUCGGGUAAGCAGAGAUGUUGUCCUGCAGAACAUCUUCUAAGAAACACAUCUAUAUGAAUUUGACUGUUAACAUUGCAGUCUGUGAGAAUUGGGUGUUCUCUAAUAAAUUCAUGAAAAGGCCCUGGAAUAUGACGUAUACACUCCACCCGCGGGGAAGCCUUGCGGCAGCCCAGUAUCGGUCAAGAAUUUAUGUGAAACUAGUCUCGCAGAAAAUUUUUAGUUCAAGGCAUAGUCCACUAUUCAAGUUGUGAUCUAGUGUAGCAUAAAUCUCUAAGUGGAAGUUAAACUUCACAGUCUCCACUAAGCCCUGGUAUAUAAACAAUGUUUUGGAACUAAAUGAUGAGAUGUGCCCAUGAGACUUUGUGGGGGAUUGUUGGAAUUUUGCUAGUAGGCCUUUGGCCCAAAGCCCAACUAAAAUUCUGAAAUUCUCUUGGCCCAGUCAUGCACACAUGUGAGUGGAGUGAGUGAGACUAAAGUUUAGUCCCACCCCGGAAGUUGAGAAAGAGCACAUCUUUAUAAGGUGAGCUCUUCUACCACUUGUAUGAGCAUGAGAAUAGGAGACCUACACACGCGCUCCUCCUCCUCGCUCGCCACACCACGCCUCGUCACGACGCGCCGGCCGUGGGUUCGGGAUUGAGCCGAGCCGAGGACAGAGCUAUGCACAUUGUCUAUUUUUUGCUACCCCGGAAAAAUUAAUGAGUUAUUAAUUAAUAAUUAAUGGACGCAUUAAUUACUGAACCGUUUCCGAUUCUUUUGGAUCGUGAUGACUCGGACGUGGGGUUUACUCCCACGACCUACCUGGCCCGCACUAUAUAGUCGGGCAGACGUCUACCCUAGUUGCCGCCGCUUCGUAUGGUUUCUCACCACUGUUCCAGAUCAUUGCGCCGCCAAGCAAGUCUUCUCCAUCCCUCCUUUCGGCGUGCACCGGGAGAAGGGACAGCAGGCCUCCGGAAUCCCGCCUCUCGUGACCCUGUACGGGAGAGGGGCGAUCAGGUUUUUGGGGAGCGCACUCGCGCGACUGCUGGCAGCGACGACUUCGCGAAUGACGACUUCUUCCCUGACCUCGGCAACCUCAUCCUCGACGACAUGGGCGACAAUGUCUACGCCGGCGGUGCUGCACCCGCUGCACCAUAUGUUAUUCUAUCCUUCUUGUUCGAGAUCGUGGUAGAAUUUAGAUUUCUAGUGUGUGCCCUAGAUGUGAUCUGUUCAUCUACUAUGCUAGUUCGCAUGAUUAGUUUAAUCUCUGUUAUUGCUGUCAUGAUCUAUUUCCUAUUUAUUCGGAUUAAAUCUCAUAGUAAUUUGCUCAUUUUUCCAACAGUGCCAUCUAAUAGAUGAUGUAAAUCUCCUCAAGUUUGACGUUGUUGAGCUAAUUUACAAAAAAAAACUCAUCAUUAUUGGACGUCCUUAACAGCUCAAGAACAAGUUGGGGUCGAACUAAUGGAUUUUAAACUUUUACAUAAAAGGUUUAGCUAAAGCUAGCAGGUUUUUUUAAACCUGAAUUUUUUUCCUCCUGAAUUUCUUUGUAUUUUCUUAUUGACACUAUUUAUACAAUCAUCUGACAAAGAUUAGCUAAAGCUGUUUGUAGAUACGUUGAAACCUGAAAAGCUUCUUUGGUUAUCCUUUUAAUAGUUCUACGUUUAUUUUCUCAUAGGUCUUAAUUCUUAUGUAAUACCAAGAUGCAUUGUGGUAGUGUACAUGUGUUAAAUUCAGGUUGUUAUUCACAAUUUGCGACAAAAUUUAGCUCACGCUACAUUUAAAUAUGUUGAAAUGUGAAAGCUCUUUUUCUUCUCCUUUCUACACCUUGCAUCGGAUUGCAUCCCUUUAGUUAUCCAACAUUUUGUACAACAUGUAGAGAUUAGGAAGUUCAUCAUAGUUUGUCUAUUUCCGUGCAAAUAAAUGUAUGAAAUCUGCAUUUCCAAGCUACUAGGACAAGUAAAAAAUAAUAAUUUUACUAUAGGAUUCAAAAACAGCAGUUCUGAAGUGCACUUUAUUUAUUUGUGAAAGUGAUCACAUUUUGUUUCAUUUUUCUAUAGACAAAUCUACUAAUACAUACUCACGAUAAAACUAUAAAAGUUCUAGUCCGCACAUUGGGCGGGCCACCCGGCUAGUUAGUCUAAAGAUAACAAAAUGAGUCUGGUGUUUGAAUUAAAUUGAAGUAUUUUCUUGGACUUUCAAAUUGAGUAUUAUUAAAGUAGUAAGGACUAUUCACAUCCUUGGCUUGCCCCUGAUCAAUUAUUUCCAGAGAAGCAUUCAAUUCAUCAAUCAAUUACAUUGAUUUUAGUGGCUGGUACUUCUCCUCAACAUCAGUAUAUUCACCGUGGCCACUCCAAAUCGGCAAGAAUGAGGUACCAGUGCUCUGGAGCAGUGCAAGCUAAUUGCUUCUCAUGUGAAGGGGUGCGGGCGCAGGAGAGGUAUUUCUGGUGGGCCAAGGGACUAAGAAGCGACCGUGGCAGCGGUACAGACGCCCGCAAAGCCCCAUAGUUUGUUUUUGGUUUACAGGAAAAAUGCACAUCCAUACCGGCCUGGGGAAUAUAGGACCGUAUUGGAUGGAAAACCAUGUCCGGAUGGUUGCGAGCGGUUUGAGGGUUAGCUUUUGUAACGCCCGGUUAGUUAUGCUAUAGCAAUUCCCUGCUAAUGAUGUCACGUCACCACGAUUACUGUUGUUAACCUCACAAUGAUUCAAUCCCCUUCAAAUUCAAAUUUAAAAUAAAGGCAAACAUAAAAAGUUUUCAAACAUUAAAACUAAAAUCUUUGAGAGGUGACAAAUAAUGCAUAAGUAAUUAUGAUGGAGAAACCACACUUUAAUCAAAUGUUUAAAUACUCUAAAAUGAAAAAAAACAGUGGCUUAAACUAUUAUUUAAAUGCUUUUAAAAUAGUAAAAAUCUUCUAACUAAAUUAUUUGGGUACCAAACUUUUGGUGGCAGUGGUAUAUUUAGUAGAACUAAUUUAGAUGCUAAUUAUAUAAUUUACAAAAUUAGAGUAAAUUGAAAAAUAGGAUAAAACGGAAAAGGAAAGACAAAACAAUAAAAGCAAAAGGGGGCAACCCCUUGCUGGGCCUCGGCCUAGCUGGCCACUAGGCUAGCUAGGCUGGCCCCGCCGCCUCCCUUNNNNNNNNNNNNNNNNNNNNNNNNNNNNNNNNNNNNNNNNNNNNNNNNNNNNNNNNNNNNNNNNNNNNNNNNNNNNNNNNNNNNNNNNNNNNNNNNNNNNNNNNNNNNNNNNNNNNNNNNNNNNNNNNNNNNNNNNNNNNNNNNNNNNNNNNNNNNNNNNNNNNNNNNNNNNNNNNNNNNNNNNNNNNNNNNNNNNNNNNNNNNNNNNNNNNNNNNNNNNNNNNNNNNNNNNNNNNNNNNNNNNNNNNNNNNNNNNNNNNNNNNNNNNNNNNNNNNNNNNNNNNNNNNNNNNNNNNNNNNNNNNNNNNNNNNCAUCUGGAUCGGGGAGGGUAUUGCCCCCAUUGUCCCCGUUGCCGUCGCCGGAUCGCCCGCCGACGUUGCCAGGCCUCCUCCCCGCCGCCCGUCUCCGGCUGACCUCCCCUCUUGCUCCUCUUCCCCGACCCGAUCUGGAUCGUGAACGAGCAAUGAGCUCGAAGCCCCCCUUCACCGGCGCCAUCACCGUGCGCCACCACCACCGCCUGAAGACCUCACCGUCGCCGAACCUUGCGUCGCCUCCUCGUAUCCCUCCCCUACUCGCGUCCUCAAGCCAGGCCGAGCCCCUUCUCGGCAACGCUGUGAGACGCCCCCGUUUCCCUCCUCUUUCCAGCGCGUUCAUCGCGCUGCCUGCCGUGCCCCUCGUCGUGCGCACGCCCACCACCGCACCAGCCCCCGCUCCGCGCACGACCCUACCCGCGCCCGCGCCAUGAUCCCCUUUUCCGCCCUACCUUCCCGCGCUCGCCGCGAUCCUGAUGCUCCCCCGCGCCCUCUUUCGGGGGCGCCGACUGCCCCUGUCCCGGUGCUCGCCGCCGUGCCUCGCCACCGCUCUACUGCUACGUUACUACUGCGCUGCGGCCGCCGCCUCUUCCCGCUGCUCCGCUAGCGCCGAAGCUCCCGGUUGGCUCCACCACUGCUCACGUUAAACCGCCGGCCUAAAUGGCCUAACCCCCGGCUAAUGAACCCCCACUAACCCACUGACACCGGGACCCACAUUCCCUAAUUAACCAUUUAAUAAAUUAAAACUCUUAAAUUAACAUUAGUGUAUGACAUGUGCUUCCCCUGUUAAUUAAUAAUUUUACUGCUAGUUUUAUUAGUUUCUGUUUUUUCUGCAUAUUUCUUUUGUAUUUGAACAGGCUUUAUACAAUAAUAUUUAGCGUAUCAUACACAUACAAAUGUAAUCAUAGCAUAUACAUACAAAUAGUCUCAUCAAAUAAUGUCAUCAUCAUAAUCAUCAUCCAUCACAAAGUGGUCUCUCGUCAUCAUCUCGAAAAUAGCGAUACAAGUCUCGAUUACUUGCAACUACAUCGUCAUCCAUCUAAACAAUGAUAUACGCGAGAAGAGCUAUCACUAUGAGUGAGAGUGGAACUAUGCAGUACAUGAGUUUGUAUCCCUCUCUCACAUUAGCGUGAACCUAAACUAACUACUGGCUAUUGCUCGGAAACCGGAAACCGGUACACCUGGGCCUGACACUCCGGCCACUCAUCGUAUACUCCUGGCGUAGCACUUCUUCGCCAUCUAUGAUCUAUGCACCUGCAUCGUCACAUGAGUCGAUGAUAUGCAACAUAUAUAGUUGAGCAACAGAAAGAGAUAGACUUGGCAAAAAUAGAAGCAACAUAUCAUAAGCAUAAAUAACAAAGUUCAUCAUACGCAAAAUGCCCUAACUAGAGUGAUCUUCGCUAGUCGAGGAGGACGGUUUAAUUACAUCACAAAUAAUGUUUCGUCGUGCAUAACUCAAAGUUCCGUCAUACAGAAAGUAUGAACUAAAUGGACACAUUGUCAUAUUUCGAAAAUCACUCCAACAUGUCGUGCCAUCCAUCCAAGUCAAGGAGAUAGUACCCGAGCUUAGUGAAAGGCUUUAGGUCAAGACGCUGAGCGGCUACGCGUGUUCGGACAUCUUCCCACGACAUUUGUCCUUCAUAGAACAUCCCUGUUUUUUCGACGACCUCCUUCAUCACUGGUAGAAAAAGGGCCUGUUGUCCCGGUUCGUAAGGGCCUGUUGUCCCGGUUCUGGAACCGGGACUAAAGGGUCGGUACUAAUGCCCUGUCCCUUUAGUCCCGGUUCAAUCCAGAACCGGGACAGAUGGGCCUCCACGUGGCCUGUGCGCGGAGCCCAGGCAGGAGACCCUUUGGUCCCGGUUGGUGGCACCAACCGGGACCAAUAGGCAUCCACGCGUCAGCAUUUUUGUGGUUGGGGUUUUUGUUUUUUUGAAAGGGGGGGUGUUGGGGGUCUUGGGGGGUUAAUUUAGGUGUUUCAUAUAUUGUGUUAGCUAGCUAUAAUUAAUAGAGAGAAGUGUCCUCUCUUAUGUCCGUGCUUGGUCGACGCUACGUACUAUACAUACGUAUAGAGAGGACUAGACACGCUAGCUAGCUAGUAAGCAAACGAAGGAAACAGACGAUCGUCAUGAACAUAUAUGCAUACAGAGAGAAGUGAUAUCGAUCACCUCUCCUUCUCCGAGAGAUUGGUCGAACAACAAGUUCUCGUAUAUCUAUCCGACACUACCGGCUACAUAUAUACAAUAAUUAUCACUUACAAAUAUAAUCAUACGGACUCAGGGUCCACAUAGUAUUCUCCGUCUUUAGGGAUCACGUGGUCAAGAAAGAAUGCCGCCAAUUCCUCUUGAAUUGCUCGCAUGCGAGCUGGUGCUAGGAGUUCUUCCCGCUUCCGAAACAUCUAAUUCAAAGAAGGGGGUCAAUACAUAUAUAUAUGAAUGAAUGAAACUCAACACAAAUGAUGGUAAUAAAAUAAAAUUGUGAAUGUUGUUAUUUACGUACUUCAUAUUGUUCGUCAGUGUAGCCCCGCUCACAGGUCAUGUGGCGGAUGGACUCGCAAACGUAGUAUCCACAGAAAUCAUUCCCUUGUUCCUGCCACAACCACUUUACAAGAAAUAGAGGUCAAUCAAACUGAUAAGCAAGAAUGCCAAAUGGUAUUGAUGAAACCAGCGCUUGAAUGACUAGUAGAUGCGCGGAACAUGCUACUAUAGUACUUACUUUCGGGUGUCUAAAUUGCAGCUCCUUCGGCAGUCCCGGAGCUUUUCUGGUGAAUUUUCUCCAAACCCUGCCAGACAAAGAAAACAAUUACUUGAUAUAUCAGGAAAUGAACAAAGUUGCUGAUAUGGUGGAUAAUGAUCGAUUUAACUUACUUCUCGAGUAUUUGAGUCAUGUUUGCAUAGUCCUGGGGAUCUUUUCGUCUUGAGUCUAAGACGGUUACUAGUCCCUGCUCAAGCUUAAUCUCUAGGAGAAUAUAGUAGAAACUGCACACGCAUGCAUAACUCAUCAAUUACAUUACUAUAACCUUGACUAAUAUAUAAGGGAAACCGAACACACACAAGACAGUAACACUCACUUGAAGUUGUAAGGAAAGAGUAUUAUAUCUUUGUUUUCAUUUAUUACCAACGAUCGUAGCAAGUUGGCCUCGGUAGCUAUGGCAUGAAAUUUAACCUGAGUUGCAUCUAUGAGAUAUGUGUUAAUGAACCCAAUAUCACCGACUUAUCUUUUCUUCAAUUCGGCGAUCUUCAAUCUGCAUAAUAUAGUGAGGAUGAUUAUAAAUACAUGCAAUGAAAGAGCUGAGCUAUAUAUAGAGACUUAAUGACAGAAGUAGUACUACUUACAGACAGUAGCAGGCGACCGUUGUUUUAUCGAGGGCCAAUUGAUUGAAAAACUGAUAGAACUCCUCAAAUGGAACAGGCAACAGUUCAAUUCCAACGAGGUCAUGCUCCUUUUUAACUUUCACAUACAAAGUACUCCUCCCCCCAGAGUCUUUGCAGAUUUUCAAGUACAAAUCAUGCACUCUUCGCAUCAUCGUUGAUAGAGAUAUUUCAUCUUUGAAGAGAGGCUUCCCGUACUCGUAUCUUUGUAUCUGCACCUUCAGGGGUUCAUAAUGUACAUCGUCGGGCAGGUAAUCUGCAAGAUUGCUAUAACCGGGCACCAUGCUCGGACCAUUAGCGACAUUGUGGCUAGGCACCUUGAGCGGGGGGGACGAUUGCUUCGCUUGUUCGCCGAGUUGGGCAAUUUGUUUCCCAGCUCGUCGUUCUUUCAGCCUUUGAUCACUGACAGUACUUCCCGACCGCUCCGCUUCGGCAAAUUCCUUUCCAAUAAUGCACUCAUAGUUUCCUUUCGGCGGAGACUUGGGUGGUUUUGUCAUGGCAGCCAGAGUGUGCUUCGCUUUCACCGGAUCUACCUUCUCCUCCGGAAGUGGAUGUCUCUUUGCUUUUAACCCUUGAAACUAGUCAUCCACUUCGGUUCGUGCGAUCUCGGCGUUCUCCUCCGGGGUCCUCUCGUAUGGUAACUUCUCUGGAGUCUUCAGAGAAGGGCCGAAUCUAUAUGUCCUCCCGCCUCUGGCUGUACUGCUAGACGCCGGCCGAGCAGACGGAGCGGUUGUCUUCUUUACUUGCUUACGAGGCGGAGGAGAAGGACUAUGAUGCGCCGGAGAAGCCGGAGCGGCGGCAGGUCUCUUCCGCCCUUGCUGACGAGGCGGAGAAGGAGGAGGCUGGCUGCUCGGGCGCGUCAGCGCAGGCGGAGAAGGAGGCGGAGUGCUGCCACGCGCUGGAGAAGGAGCCGGUCGAGUGCCCUGAUCGUCACUCGCCGGAGGAGGAGGCGGUGGAGGAAGCGGAGUGCCCUGACUUGCCGGAGGAGGAGGCGGAGGCAUCCAGUUCGGAAGGUUGAUGAGCUCCUUCCGCCAUAGGCAUGGAGUCUUUAGAGCAGACCCCAGCCUAGUCUCCCCUUCACUGGUAGGGUGGUCAAGCUGGAGGUCCUCAAAUCCCUCCGUUAUUUCAUCCACCAUCACCCUAGCAUAUCCUUCUGGAAUCGGCCGGCAGUGAAAAGUUGCGUCGGGUUCAGUAGGAUAAACAGAGCCAACAGCCGCCUUGACCUUCAAAUUCAUCCAUUGUGUCAUAGUAAUUUCAAAAAUUUCCUACGCACACGCAAGAUCAUGGUGAUGCAUAGCAACGAGAGGGGAGAGUGUUGUCUACGUACCCUCGUAGACCAAAGCGGAAGCGUUGACGCAACAUAGAGGAAGUAGUCGUACGUCUUCCCGGUCCAACCGAUCCAAGCACCGUUACUCCGGCACCUCCGAGUUCUUGGCACACGUUCAGCUCGAUGACGCUCCCCGGGCUCCGAUCCAGCAAAGCUUCGGGGAGGAGUUCCGUCAGCACGACGGCGUGGUGACGAUCUUGAUGUUCAACCGUCGCAGGGCUUCGCCUAAGCACCGCUACAAUAUGACCGAGGUGUAAUAUCGUGGAGGGGGGCACCGCACACGGCUAAGGAACGAUCACGAAGAUCAACUUGUGUGUCUAGAGGUGCCCCCCUGCCCCCGUAUAUAAAGGAGUGGAGGAGGGGAGGGCCGGCCCUCUCUAUGGCGCGCCCUAGGGAGUCCUACUCCCACCGGGAGUAGGAUUCCCCCGUUCCUAGUCCAACUAGGAUUCCUUCCAUGUAGUAGGAGUAGGAGACAAGCAAGGGGAAAAGAGAAGGGAAGGAAGGAGGGGGCGCAGCCCCUCCCCCUACUCCAAUUCGGACUAGGCCUUGGGGGGGCACGGCCUGCCCUAGGCAGCCCCUCUCUCUUUCCCGUAUGGCCCAAUAAGGCCCAAUACUUUUCCCCCGUAUUCCUGUAACUCCCCGGUACUCCGAAAAAUACCUGAAUCACUCGGAACCUUUCCGAUGUCCGAAUAUAGUCGUCCAAUAUAUCGAUCUUUACGUCUCGACCAUUUCGAGACUCCUCGUCAUGUCCCCGAUCUCAUCCGGGACUCCGAACUCCUUCGGUACAUCAAAACUCAUAAACUCAUAAUAUAACUGUCAUCGAAACCUUAAGCGUGCGGACCCUACGGUUCGAGAACAAUGUAGACAUGACCGAGACACGUCUCCAGUCAAUAACCAAUAGCAGGACCUGGAUGCCCAUAUUGGCUCCUACAUAUUCUACGAAGAUCUUUAUCGGUCAGACCGCAUAACAACAUACGUUGUUCCCUUUGUCAUCGGUAUGUUACUUGCCCGAGAUUCGAUCGUCGGUAUCCAAUACCUAGUUCAAUCUCGUUACUGGCAAGUCUCUUUACUCGUUCCGUAAUACAUCAUCCCACAACUAACUCAUUAGUUGCAAUGCUUGCAAGGCUUAAGUGAUGUUCAUUACCGAGAGGGCCCAGAGAUACCUCUCCGACAUUCGGAGUGACAAAUCCUAAUCUCGAAAUACACCAACCCAACAUGUACCUUUGGAGACACCUGUAGAGCUCCUUUAUAAUCACCCAGUUACGUUGUGACGUUUGGUCGCACACAAAGUGUUCCUCCGGCAAAUGGGAAUUGCAUAAUCUCAUAGUCAUAGGAACAUGUAUAAGUCAUGAAGAAAGCAAUAGCAACAUACUAAACGAUCGGGUGCUAAGCUAAUGGAAUGGGUCAUGUCAAUCAGAUCAUUCAACUAAUGAUGUGAUCCCGUUAAUCAAAUAACAACUCUUUGUCCAUGGUUAGGAAACAUAACCAUCUUUGAUUAACGAGCUAACCAAGUAGAGGCAUACUAGUGACACUCUGUUUGUCUAUGUAUUCACACAUGUAUUAUGUUUCCGAUUAAUACAAUUCUAGCAUGAAUAAUAAACAUUUAUCAUGAUAUAAGGAAAUAAAUGAUAACUUUAUUAUUGCCUCUAGGGCAUAUUUCCUUCAGGAAGCCACGCUGCUUCUCCGCUGAGAUGGCGGGGUAGCUUCGGGGGAAGCUUCGGCAGUACAUUUGCUGCGAUUUGCUUCUCGUUCCUCUAUCGCUUGUACCCUUGCUUGCAUCGCCUGCAUUUGGGUCUGCUGCACUUUUUUCCUCCUCUCAUGGGAUUUGUAACCGCCUGCGUCCGGAAACCCAACCUUCCACGGAAUGGAGCCUGGCGUGCCUCGUGUCCGUCCAGGGUGCUCAGGAUUCCCGAGGGCCAUUGUGAGCUCGUCGUUCUCUCUGUCUGGAAAGAACGUCCCUUGCUGCGCUGCUUCGAUAUAGUGCUGAAGCUUCCUGACUGGUAUGUCCAUUUGAUCGUUCGUCCAAAUGCACUUCCCUGUUACAGGGUCCAAGCUUCCGGCAGCCCCGAAGAACCAAGUCCGGCAACGGUCUGGCCAGUUAAUUGUCUCUGGUUCGAUCCCUUUAUCAACUAGAUCAUUCUCAGUCUUGGCCCACUUAGGCCGGGCUACGAGGUAGCCACCUGACCCCGUGCGAUGGUGAUGCUUCUUCUUCGCAGCAUUUUUCUUGUUUGUCACUGACAUCUUCUUACUCUUUUCCGAUGUCUUGUGGGCCACAAAUGCGGGCCAGUGAUCUCUGAUCUUCUCAUAUCUGCCCUUGAACUCUGGUGCCUCAUUAUUUUCGACAAACUUAUUCAGCUCUUUCUUCCACCUCCUGAAUAGUUCUGCCAUCCUCUUAAGAGCAAAAGACUUGAUUAAUUGAUCUUUAACUGGCUUCUCUGGAUUAUCCUCUGGCGGUAGGGUGAAAUUUGACUUUAGCUCAGUCCAAAGAUCAUUUUUAUGCAUAUCAUUGACAUAAGACACCUCAGGGUCUUCUGUAGCCGGCUUAAACCAUUGCUGGAUGCUGAUCGGGAUCUUGUCCCUAACCAAAACCCCGCACUGAGCAACAAAUGCGCUCUUUGUCCAGAGGGGUUCAAUCAGUUGGCCGUCGGGCGUGAUUGCUAUGAUCUCAAACUUUUCAUCCGAGCUCAACUUUUUCUUCGGGCCUCGUCUCUUUACCGAAGUUGUGCUCGAUCCGGAGGGCUAGAAAAAAGAACAAAGAUUUAAUUAAUAUGUGUACAUACCAAAACAAUGAAUGCAUCAAUUAGCUAGUCAGCAGAAGCUUAACUAAUAUAUAUACCUGGCCGGACUCGGUUCGGUCACCGGAGACGUCAUCACGGUCUCCUUCUUGCACCGGCAUUGGGUCACCGGAGCCGUCCUCACGGUCUCCUUCUUGCACCGGCAUUAGCUCACCGGAGCCAUUAUAAUCAGCUGAUUCCAGACCAUCGGUCUCGUUGAGAAACAACGAGCAGAUGGCAUCACUUCCUCGUGCGAUUAUGUGCCCCAACAACUCUUCUUGUACUUCGUCUCGGGCGGUGUCCAUAGUUUCUACAAAUAUUGACAACAUGGCAAUUAUUAUUCAAACAUGAGAGAUGGAUAUAUUAGUGGCAAAAACGUAGAACUAAUAUUAAUUAGUGGCCUCGACGGUGCUUCUCUAGGGUUUGGGGUGGCCUCGACGCUGCUUCUCUAGGGUUUGGGGUGGCCUCGACAACGCUUCAAGGAUAAAAAAAGAAGAGGAAGAAGAAAAAAAAGAGGAGAAGAAAGAAUAGAGGAGUAAGAACUCCUCUAUUCUUUCUUCUCCUCUUUUUUUCUUCUUAUUCCUAUUUUUUUAUCGGGAACAAGGGUCGUCGAGGGUCACCGAGCGAUAGAGGAAACCCUAAAUAGCAAGUAUCGUGGGUGUGAGAUACAUGUGGCCGUCGGUGUCGGACAUUCAUCCACGUCCCACAAGUGACGUGGGCGUCGAAGCCCGCGCCACUUGUGGGACGUGGAUGUAGUGUCCGACACCGAGGGCCACAUGUAUCUCACACCGACGAUACUUUCUAUUUAGGGUUUCCUCUACCGUUCGGCGACCCUGACCCUCGACGACCCUCGUUCCACAAAGGUCGUCGAAACCAUAGAAAGAAUAGAGGUUGCCUAGUGUCAAAGGAUUCAACAAAACCAUGUCUUCAUCAUUAGGCGAAAGUAACAGGUGCAUGAUGGUACGAAGCUCUCCAAAGUUAUUUUGGAACGGAGUCCCAGAUAAGAUAAUUCUCUUUUUGGUACAAAGUUCAGCAAGAACCUUCCAAAUGUCGUUAUUUGGAAGGCCUUUGCUGAAAUUCAUUCAAAAAGGCAAAUUAUCCUAUCCGAGACACCAUUCCAAAAUAACUUUGGAGGACUUCGUCAUGCCCUGGUUACUUCCGGCUAAUGAUGAAGCCAUGGAUUUCUUCAAUACUUUGACACUAGGAAACCUCUCUCGACCCCUCGGCGAUCCUCGACCCCUCGACGACCCUGGAACCCUCGACCCCUAGAUGACCCUAGAACCCUCGACCCUCGAUCCCUCGACCCUCAAUCCCUCGACCCUAUAGAACCCUCGAAGAAAGGAAUAGCUAGAGGAGAAGAUCGAAGAAAAAAAAGAAGAAAAAAAAGAGGAGAAGAAGAAAGGAAGAGUGGAGAAGAAGAGAAAAUAGAAUAUUCUAUUUUCUCUUCUUCUCCACUAUUCCUUUCUUCUUCUCCUCUUCUUUUCCUUCUUUUUUCUUCUUCUUAUUUAUUUCUCCUCUUCUUUUCCUCUCCUCUUCUUCUUUCUUUCCUCUUCUUAUUUUCUUCUUUCAUAUCCUUCUUUUUCUAAAAUUGUAACUUUUGCAUAUAUAAAACUUUUCUAAAAUUGUAACUUUCUAUAUAUGAACAAAAAACUUUCUAUGAACAAAAAAACAUUUUUAACAUAUAUAUCUAGCAAAUUCUAGCCACAUACAUCACAUACACAUAUACAUUGUAGCCACAUACACAUAUACAUCACAUAUGAACAAAAAAAUANNNNNNNNNNNNNNNNNNNNNNNNNNNNNNNNNNNNNNNNNNNNNNNNNNNNNNNNNNNNNNNNNNNNNNNNNNNNNNNNNNNNNNNNNNNNNNNNNNNNNNNNNNNNNNNNNNNNNNNNNNNNNNNNNNNNNNNNNNNNNNNNNNNNNNNNNNNNNNNNNNNNNNNNNNNNNNNNNNNNNNNNNNNNNNNNNNNNNNNNNNNNNNNNNNNNNNNNNNNNNNNNNNNNNNNNNNNNNNNNNNNNNNNNNNNNNNNNNNNNNNNNNNNNNNNNNNNNNNNNNNNNNNNNNNNNNNNNNNNNNNNNNNNNNNNNNNNNNNNNNNNNNNNNNNNNNNNNNNNNNNNNNNNNNNNNNNNNNNNNNNNNNNNNNNNNNNNNNNNNNNNNNNNNNNNNNNNNNNNNNNNNNNNNNNNNNNNNNNNNNNNNNNNNNNNNNNNNNNNNNNNNNNNNNNNNNNNNNNNNNNNNNNNNNNNNNNNNNNNNNNNNNNNNNNNNNNNNNNNNNNNNNNNNNNNNNNNNNNNNNNNNNNNNNNNNNNNNNNNNNNNNNNNNNNNNNNNNNNNNNNNNNNNNNNNNNNNNNNNNNNNNNNNNNNNNNNNNNNNNNNNNNNNNNNNNNNNNNNNNNNNNNNNNNNNNNNNNNNNNNNNNNNNNNNNNNNNNNNNNNNNNNNNNNNNNNNNNNNNNNNNNNNNNNNNNNNNNNNNNNNNNNNNNNNNNNNNNNNNNNNNNNNNNNNNNNNNNNNNNNNNNNNNNNNNNNNNNNNNNNNNNNNNNNNNNNNNNNNNNNNNNNNNNNNNNNNNNNNNNNNNNNNNNNNNNNNNNNNNNNNNNNNNNNNNNNNNNNNNNNNNNNNNNNNNNNNNNNNNNNNNNNNNNNNNNNNNNNNNNNNNNNNNNNNNNNNNNNNNNNNNNNNNNNNNNNNNNNNNNNNNNNNNNNNNNNNNNNNNNNNNNNNNNNNNNNNNNNNNNNNNNNNNNNNNNNNNNNNNNNNNNNNNNNNNNNNNNNNNNNNNNNNNNNNNNNNNNNNNNNNNNNNNNNNNNNNNNNNNNNNNNNNNNNNNNNNNNNNNNNNNNNNNNNNNNNNNNNNNNNNNNNNNNNNNNNNNNNNNNNNNNNNNNNNNNNNNNNNNNNNNNNNNNNNNNNNNNNNNNNNNNNNNNNNNNNNNNNNNNNNNNNNNNNNNNNNNNNNNNNNNNNNNNNNNNNNNNNNNNNNNNNNNNNNNNNNNNNNNNNNNNNNNNNNNNNNNNNNNNNNNNNNNNNNNNNNNNNNNNNNNNNNNNNNNNNNNNNNNNNNNNNNNNNNNNNNNNNNNNNUUUUGUUUCUACUUACAACAAAAUACUUAUUGUUGCUAUUUUUUCCAGUUUUUUUGUUUUGUUUUCUGCAUUUUUUUUGCUUUAUUUUUUUAUUCUUUUUUCUUUUAGUUUUAGAAAAAUUAUAAACUUUCUGUUAGUGCCUUUAUAAACUUUUUGCUUUUAAUUUGAAUUCUUUGAAAAUUGUUUGAAUCACAAGUUUGUGAUUAACUUACUAAAAAAAUGAGAAUAGAUGCGCUUAUAGAGAAAAUUCAACCUAAAUUCCUAGUAAAUUUCUAUGAAUUUCAGAGAAAUUCACUAUGAAUUUAGGUUAAACUUUUCUCUAUUAGGGCAUCUAUUUUCACUUUGAGAGGAGCUCAACAAGGCAGAGAGGGAAGGGCUUAUAAACUGGUGUGAGCCCCCUUCGGUUGGCGAGGUGGGACUAAACUCUGCCUGCAACGACGACCAACCCUUUAGUCCCGGUUUGUGGCACAAACCGGGACUAAUGGUCAUGGGCCAGGGGUGAGGAGCAAAAUUAUAAACUUUCUGUUAGUGCCAUUAGUUUUAGAAAGUUGAAAGUUGAAAGUUGGCAUGGGCCAGGCACUAAUGGUCAUGGUAUUACGAGGGCCGAACCAUAAGACAUGAAAGCAUUUCAAAUGAACUCUGAAAAAGUUGAAAGUUGGCAUGGUAUCAUAAUUUCACCCACAUAGCAUGUGCAUGUACAAAACAGACAAUGGUAGCAUGUUCGUGUGUUACAAAGUUGGCAUGGUAUCAUCAUAAUAGUUGCGGGAGAAAGUCUUCACUUUUUCUUCGCUUGCGUCAUUUGCUUAUUGCGCUGUAAUCAUGGAUAAUCUUCAUUGUUUAUCAGGAUGCUUGGGUCAGCCUUGACAUUGAAGGGAGGAAUUUCAUGAAACUUUUCAUAAUCUUCAGACAUGUCUAUCUUGCCGUCCACUCCCAGGAUGUCCCUUUUUCCUGAAAGAACUAUGUGGCGCUUUGGCUCAUCGUAUGAUGUAUUCGCUUCCUUAUCUUUUCUUUUUCUCGGUUUGGUAGACAUGUCCUUCACAUAGAUAACCUGUGCUACAUCAUUGGCUAGGACGAACGGUUCGUCAGUGUACCCAAGAUUUUUCAGAUCCACUGUUGUCAUUCCGUACUGUGGGUCUACCUGUACCCCGCCGUCUAACAGAUUGACCCAUUUGCACUUAAACAAAGGGACCUUAAAAUCAGGUCCGUAGUCAAGUUCCCAUAUGUCCAUUAUGUAACCAUAAUAUGUGUCCUUUCCGCUCUCGGUUGCUGCAUCAAAGCAGACACCGCUGUUUUGGUUGGUGCUCUUUUGAUCUUGGGCGAUUGUGUAAAAUGUAUUCCCAUUUAUCUCGUAUCCUUUGUAAGUCAAUACAGUCAAAGAUGGUCCCCUGGACAACAAGUACAACUCAUCACAAACAGUGUUGUCACCUCCGAGACGUGUUUCCAAGCAACUACUGAAAGUCCUGAUGUGUUCACAUGUAAUCUAGUCGUUGCACUGCUCCGGGUGUUUGGAGCGCAGACUGUUCUUGUGUUCAUCGACAUACGGGGUCACCAAGGUAGAGUUUUGUAGAACUGUGUAGUUUGCUUGAGACCAAGAAUAUCCGUCCCUGCAUAUUAUUGAGUCUCUUCCAAGAGUGCCUUUUCCAGUCAGUCUCCCCUCAUACCGCGAUUUAGGGAGACCUAUCUUCUUAAGGCCAGGAAUGAAGUCAACACAAAACCCGAUAACAUCCUCUGUUUGAUGGCCCAUGGAGAUGCUUCCUUCUGACCUAGCGCGGUUACGGACAUAUUUCUUUAGGACUCCCAUGAACCUCUCAAAGGGGAACAUAUUGUGUAGAAAUACGGGCCCCAGGAUGACAAUCUCGUCGACUAGAUGAACUAGGACGUGCACCAUGAUAUUGAAGAAGGAUGGUGGGAACACCAGCUCGAAACUGACAAGACAUUGUGCCACAUCACUCCUUAGCCUUGGUACGAUUUCUGGAUCGAUCACCUUCUGAGAGAUUGCAUUGAGGAAUGCACAUAGCUUCACAAUGGCUAAUCGGACGUUUUCCGGUAGAAGCCCCCUCAAUGCAACCGGAAGCAGUUGCGUCAUAAUCACGUGGCAGUCAUGAGACUUUAGGUUCUGAAACUUUUUCUCUGGCAUAUUUAUUAUUCCCUUUAGAUUCGAUGAGAAGCCAGUCGUGACCUUCAUACUAAGCAGGCAUUCAAAGAAGAUUUCUUUCUCUUCUUUCGUAAGAGCGUAGCUGGCAGGACCUUUAUACUGCUUCGGAGGCAUGCCGUCUUUUUCGUGCAAACGUUGCAGUUCCUCCCGUGCCUCGGGUGUAUCUUUUGUCUUCCCAUACACGCCCAAGAAGCCUAGCAGGUUCACGCAAAGGUUCUUCGUCACGUGCAUCACGUCGAUUGAGGAGCGGACCUCUAGGUCUUUCCAGUAGGGUAGGUCCGAAAAUAUAGAUUUCUUCUUCCACAUGGGUGCGUGUCCCUCAGCGUCAUUCGGAACAGCUAGUCCACUGGGACCCUUUCCAAAGAUUACGUAGUGUAAAUCAUUGACCAUAGCAAGCACGUGAUUACCGGUGCGCAUGGCGGGCUUCUUCCGGUGAUCUGCCUCGCCUUUGAAAUGCUUGCCUUUCUUUUGACAUUGAUGGUUGGUCGGAAGAAAUCGACGAUGGCCCAGGUACACAUUCUUCCUGCAUUUGUCCAGGUAUAUACUCUUAGUGUCAUCUAAACAGUGCGUGCAUGUGUGGUAUCCUUUGUUUGUCUGUCCUGGAAGGCUACUGACAGCGGGCCAAUCGUUGAUGGUCUCAAACAGCAAUGCCUUAAGGUUAAAUUCCUCCUGUUUGUGCUCAUCCCACGUACGUACACCAUUUCCAUUCCACAGCUGUAAAAGUUCUUCAACUAAUGGCCUUAGGUACACAUCAAUUUCGUUGCCGGGUUGCUUAGGGCCUUGGAUGAGAACUGGCAUCAUAAUGAACUUCCGCUUCAUGCACAUCCAAGGAGGAAGGUGAAGGAAAUAUGCCCUAGAGGCAAUAAUAAAGUUAUUAUUUAUUUCCUUAUAUGAUGAUAAAUGUUUAUUAUUCAUGCUAGAAUUUUAUUAACUGGAAACAUAAUACAUGUGUGAAUACAUAGACAAACAGAGUGUCACUAGUAUGCCUCUACUUGACUAGCUCGUUAAUCAAAGAUGGUUAUGUUUCCUAACCAUGGACAAAGAGUUGUUAUUUGAUUAACGGGAUCACAUCAUUAGUUCAAUGAUCUGAUUGACAUGACCCAUUCCAUUAGCUUAGCACCCGAUCGUUUAGUAUGUUGCUAUUGCUUUCUUCAUGACUUAUACAUGUUCCUAUGACUAUGAGAUUAUGCAACUCCCGUUUGCCGGAGGAACACUUUAUGUGCUAUCAAACGUCACAACGUAACUGGGUGAUUAUAAAGGAGCUCUACAUGUGUCUCCAAAGGUACAUGUUGGGUUGGCGUAUUUCGAGAUUAGGAUUUGUCACUCCGAAUGUCGGAGAGCUAUCUCUGGGCCCUAUCGGUAAUGCACAUCACUUAAGCCUUGCAAGCAUUGCAACUAAUGAGUUAGUUGUGGGAUGAUGUAUUACGCAACGAGUAAAAAGACUUGCCGGUAACGAGAUUGAACUAGGUAUUGGAUACCGACGAUCGAAUCUCGGGCAGUAACAUACCGAUGACAAAGGGAACAACGUAUGUUGUUAUGCGGUCUGACCGAUAAAAGAUCUUCGUAGAAUAUGUAGGAACCAAUAUGGGCAUCUAGGUCCCGCUAUUGGUUAUUGACCGGAGACGUGUCUCAGUCAUGUCUACAUUGUUCUCGAACCCAUAGGGUCCGCACGCUUAAGGUUUCGAUGACAGUUAUAUUAUGAGUUUAUACGUUUUGAUGUACCAAAGGUUGUUCGGAGUCCCGGAUGAGAUCAUGGACAUGACGAGGAGUCUCAAAAAGGUUGAGACAUAAAGAUUGAUAUAUUAGAAGCCUAUGUUUGGAUAUCGGAAGUGUUCCGGGUGAAAUCGGGAUUUUACCGGAGUACCGGGAGGUUACCGGAACCCCCCGGGAGCUAUAUGGGCCUUAGUUGGCCUUAGUGGAAGAAGAGGAGAGGCAGCCAGGGCUGGACCGCGCGCCCCUCCCCCUAGUCCGAAUAGGACAAGGAGAGAGGGGGCCGGUGCCCCCCUCCUUCUCUCUCCCUCAUUUCCCACCUCGCGAAUCCUAUUCCAACUAGGAUUGGGGGGAAGUCCUACUCCCGGAGGGAGUAGGACUCCUCCUGGCGCGCCCUAUGAUGACCGGCCGGCCUUCCCCUCUUGAACCUUUAUAUACGGAGGUAGGGGCACCCGUAGAGACACAAGUUGAUCCACGUGAUCAUAUUCUUAACCGUGUGCGGUGCCCCCUGCCACCAUAAUCCUCGAUAAUAUUGUAGCGGUGCUUAGGCGAAGCCCUGCGACAGUAGUACAUCAAGAUCGUCACCACGCUGUCGUGCUGAUGGAACUCUUCCCCGACACUUUGUUGGAUCGGAGUCCGGGGAUCGUCAUCGAGCUGAACGUGUGCUAGAACUCGGAGGUGCCGUAGUUCCGGUGCUUGAUCGGUCGGGCCGUGGAGACGUACGACUACAUCAACCAAACGCUUCCGUUGUCGAUCUACAAGGGUACGUAGAUCACACUCUCCCCUCUCGUUGCUAUGCAUUACAUGAUCUUGCGUGUGCAUAGGAAAUUUUUUGAAAUUACUACGUUCCCCAACAGUAGCAUCCGAGCCUAGGUUUUUAUGGUUUGAUGUUAUAUGCACUAGUAGAACACAAGUGAGUUGUGGGCGAUAUAAGUCAUACUGCUUACCAGCAUGUCAUACUUUGGUUCGGCGGUAUUGUUGGACGAAGCGGCCCGGACCGACAUUACGCGUACGCUUACGCAAGACCGGUUCUCCCGACGUGCUUUGCACAUAGGUGGCUUGCGGGUGACAGUUUCUCCAACUUUAGUUGAACCGAGUGUGGCUACGCCCGGUCCUUGCGAAGGUUAAAACAGCACCAACUUGACAAACUAUCGUUGUGGUUUUGAUGCGUAGGUAAGAUUGGUUCUUGCUUAAGCCCGUAGCAGCCACGUAAAACUUGCAACAACAAAGUAGAGGACGUCUAACUUGUUUUUACAGGGCAUGUUGUGAUGUGAUAUGUUCAAGACAUGAUGCUAAAUUUUAUUGUAUGAGAUGAUCAUGUUUUGUCACCGAGUUAUCGGUAACUGGCAGGAGCCAUAUGGUUGUCGCUUUAUUGUAUGAAAUGCAAUCGCGCUGUAAUGCUUUACUUUAUCACUAAGCGGUAGCGAUUGUCGUGGAAGCAUAAGAUUGGCGAGACGAAAACAAUGCUACGAUGGAGAUCAAGGUGUCGCGCCGGUGACGAUGGUGAUCAUGACGGUGCUUUGGAGAUGGAGAUCACAGGCACAAGAUGAUGAUGGCCAUAUCAUAUCACUUAUAUUGAUUGCAUGUGAUAUUUAUCUUUGAUGCAUCUUAUCUUGAUUUGAUUGACGGUAGCAUUAUAAGAUGAUCUCUCACUAAAUUAUCAAGAUAAAAGUGUUCUCCCUGAGUAUGCACCAUUGCCAAAGUUCGUCGUGCCCAGACACCACGUGAUGAUCGGGUGUGAUAAGCUCUACGUCCAUCUACAACGGGUGCAAGCCAGUUUUGCACACACAGAAUACUCAGGUUAAACUUGACGAGCCUAGCAUAUGCAGAUAUGGCCUCGGAACACUGAGAUCGAAAGAUCGAGCGUGAAUCAUAUAGUAGAUAUGAUCAACAUAGCGAUGUUCACCAUUGAAAACUACUCCAUUUCACGUGAUGAUCGGUUAUGGUUUAGUUGAUUUGGAUCACGUGAUCACUUAGAGGAUUAGAGGGAUGUCUAUCUAAGUGGGAGUUCUUAAGUAAUAUGAUUAAAUUGAACUUAAAUUUAUCAUGAACUUAGUCCUGGUAGUAUUUUGCAAAUCAUGUUGUAGAUCAAUAGCUCGCGUUGUUGAUUCCCUGUGUUUAUUUUGAUAUGCUCCUAGAGAAAAUAGUGUUGAAAAAUGUUAGUAGCAGUGAUGCGGAUUGGAUCCGUGAUCUGAGGUUUAUCCUCAUUGCUGCACAGAAGAAUUAUGUCCUUGAUGCACCGCUAGGUGACAGACCUAUUGCAGGAGCAGAUGCAGACGUUACGAACGUUUGGCUAGCUCAAUAUGAUGACUACUUGAUACUUUAGUGCACCAUGCUUAACGGCUUAGAAUCGGGACUUCAAAGACGUUUUGAACGUCAUGGACCAUAUGAGAUGUUCCAGGAGUUGAAGUUAAUAUUUCAAGCAAAUACCCGAGUUGAGAGAUAUGAAGUCUCCAACAAGUUCUAUAGCUAAAAGAUGGAGGAGAAUCGCUCAAGCAGUGAGCAUGUGCUCAGAUUAUCUGCGUACUACAAUCGCUUGAAUCAAGUGGGAGUUAAUCUUCCAGAUAAAAUAGUGAUUGACAGAAUUCUCUAGUCACCAUCACCAAGUUAGUAGAACUUCGUGAUGAACUAUAAUAUGCAAGGGAUAACGGAAACAAUUCCCAAGCUCUUCGUGAUGCUGAAACCGACGAAGAUAGAAAUCAAGAAAAACAUCAAGUGUUGAUGGUUAACAAGACCACUAGUUUCAAGAAAAGGGCAAAGGGAAGAAGGGGAACUUCAAGAAGAACAGCAAGCAAGUUGCUGCUCAAGUGAAGAAGCCCAAGUCUGGUCCUAAGCCUGAGACUAAGUGCUUCUGCUGCAAAGGGACUGAUCACUGGAAGCAGAACUGCCCCAAGUAUUUGGCGGAUAAGAAGGAUGGCAAAGUGAACAAAAGUAUAUUUGAUAUACAUGUUAUUGAUGUGUACUUUACUAGUGUUUAUAGCAACCCCUCAGUAUUUGAUACUGGAUCAGUUGCUAAGAGUAGUAACUCGAAACAGGAGUUGCAGAAUAAACAGAGACUAGUCAAGGGUGAAGUGACGAUGUGUGUUGGAAGUAGUUCCAAGAUUGAUAUGAUCAUCAUCGUACACUCCCCUAUACUUUCGGGAUUAGUGUUGAACCUAAAUAAGUAUUAUUUGGUGUUUGCGUUGAGCAUGAAUAUGAUUUGAUCAUGUUUAUUGCAAUACGGUUAUUCAUUUAAGUAAGAGAAUAAAUUGUUGUUCUGUUUACAUGAAUAAAACCUUAUAUAGUUACACACCCAAUGAAAAUGGUUCGUUGGAUCUCGAUCAUAGUGAUACACAUAUUCAUAAUAUUGAAACCAAAAGAUGCAAAGUUAAUAAUGAUAGUGCAACUUAUUUGUGGCACUGCCUUUUAGGUCAUAUUGGUCUAAAGCACAUGAAGAAACUCCAUGCUGAUGGGCUUAUGGAAUCACUUGAUUAUGAAUCACUUGAUGCUUGCGAACCAUGCCUCAUGGGCAAGAUGACUAAGACUCCGUUCUCCGGAACAAUGGAGCGAGCAACUGACUUAUUGGAAAUAAUACAUACUGAUGUAUGCGAUCCGAUGAAUAUUAAGGCUUGCAGCAGGUAUCAUUAUUUUCUGACCUUCACAGAUGAUUUGAGCAGAUAUGGGGAUAUCUACUUGAUGAAACAUAAGUCUGAAACAUUUGAAUAGUUCAAAGAAUUUUAGAGUGAAGAGGAAAAUCAUCAUGACAAGAAAAUAAAAGUUUCUACGAUAUGAUCGCAGAGGUAAAAUAUUUGAGUUACGAGUUUGGCCUUCAAACAAUGUGAAAUAGUUUCACUACUCACGCCACCUGGAACACCAUAGUGUAAUGGUGUGUCCGAACGUCAUAACCGUACUUUAUUAGAUAUAGUGCGAUCUAUGAUGUCUCUUACCGAUCUACCACUAUCGUUUUAGGGUUAUGCAUUAGAGACAGCUGCAUUCACGUUAAAUAGGGCACCAUCUAAAUCCGUUGAGACGACACCGUGUGAACUAUGGUUUGGCAAGAAACCUAAGUUGUCGUUUCUUAAAGUUUGGAGUUGCGAUGCUUAUGUGAAAAAGUUUCAUCUCGAUAAGCUCAAACUCAAAUCGGAGAAAUAUGUCUUCAUAGGAUACCCAAAGGAGACAAUUGGGUACACCUUCUAUCACAGAUCCGAAGGCAAGACAUUCGUUGCUAAGAUUGGAUCCUUUCUAGAGAAGGAGUUUCUCUCGAAAGAAGUGAGUGGGGGGAAAGUAGAAAACUUGAUAAGGUAAUUGUACCUUCUCCCUUAUUGGAAAAUAUUUCAUCACAGAAAUCUGUUCCUGUGACUACUACACCAAUUAGUGAGGAAGCUAAUGAUGAUGAUCAUGUAACUUCAGAUCAAGUUACUACCAAAUCUCGUAGGUAAACCAGAGUGAGAUCCACACCAGAGUGGUACGGUAAUCCUAUUCUGGAGGUCAUGUUACUUGACCAUGACGAACCUACGAACAAUGAGGAAGCGAUGAUGAGCCCAGAUUCUGAUAAAUGGCUUGAGGCCAUGAAAUCUGAGAUAGGAUCCAUGUAUCAGAACAAUGUGUGGACUUUGGUGGACUUGCCCGAGGACCGGCAAGCCAUUGAUAAUAAAUGGAUCUUCAAGAGGAAGACGGACACGGAUAGUAGUGUUACUAUCUACAAAGCUAGAAUUGUCGCAAAAGGUUUUCGAUAAGUUCAAGGUGUUGACUACGAUGAGUGUUUCUCACUCGUAUCUAUGCUUAAGUAUGUCCGAAUCAUGUUAGCAAUUACCGCAUUUUAUGAAAUCUGGCAAAUGGAUAAACAAAACUGCAUUCCUUAAUGGAUUUAUUAAAGAAGAGUUGUAUGUGAUGCAACAAGAUAGUUUUGUCAAUCCUAAAGGUGCUAACAAAAAUGCAAGCUCCAGCGAUCCAUUUAUGGACUGGUGCAAGCAUCUCGGAGUUGGAAUAUACACUUUGAUAAGUUGAUCAAAGCAUAUAGUUAUAUACAGACUUGUGGUGAAGCCUGUAUUUACAAGAAAGUGAGUGGGAGCAUGACAACAUUUCUGAUAAGUAUAUGUGAAUGACAUAUUGUUGAUCAGAAAUAAUGUAGAAUUAUUCUGCAAAGCAUAAAGGAGUGUUUGAAAGGAGUUUUUCAAAGAAAGACUUCGGUGAAGCUGCUUACAUAUUGAGUAUCAAGAUCUAUAGAGAUAGAUCAAGACGCUUGAUAAGUUUUUUCAAUGAGUACAUACCUUGACAAGAUUUUGAAGUAGUUCAAAAUGGAACAGUCAAAGAAAAAGUUUCUUGCCUGUGUUACAAGGUGUGAAGUUGAGUAAGACUCAAAGCCCGACCACGGCAGAAGAUAGAAAGAGAAUGAAAGUCAUUCCCUAUGCCUCAGUCAUAGGUUCUAUAAAGUAUUCCAUGCUGUGUACCAGAUCUAUUGUGUACCAUACACUGGGUUAAGAGAGGGAGUACAAUAGUGAUCUAGGAGUAGAUCAAUGGACAGGGGUCAAAAUUAUCCUUACUGGAAUAAGGAUAUGUUUCUCGAUUACGGAGGUGACAAAAGGUUCGUCGUAAAGGGUUACGUCGAUGCAAGUUUUGACACUGAUCCAGAUGACUCUAAGUCUCAAUCUGGAUACAUAUUGAAAGUGGGAGCAAUUAGCUAGAGUAGCUCCAUGCAGAGCAUUGUUGACAUAGAAAUUUGCAAAAUACAUGCGGAUCUGAAUGUGGCAGACCCGUUGACUAAACUUCUCUCACAAGCAAAACAUGAUCACUUUUUGGGUCUUAAUCACAUAGCGAUGUGAACUAGAUUAUUGAAUCUAGUAAACCCUUUGGGUGUUAGUCACAUGGAGAUGUGAACCAAUCACAUAAAGAUGUGAACUAUUGAUGUUAAAUCACAUGGCGAUGUGAUCUAGAUUAUUGACUCUAGUGCAAGUGGGAGACUGAAGGAAAUAUGUCCUAGAGGCAAUAAUAAAGUUAUUAUUUAUUUCCUUAUAUGAUGAUAAAUGUUUAUUAUUCAUGCUAGAAUUUUAUUAACCGGAAACAUAAUACAUGUGUGAAUACAUAGACAAACAAAGUGUCACUAGUAUGCCUCUACUUGACUAGCUCGUUAAUCAAAGAUGGUUAUGUUUCCUAACCAUGGACAAAGAGUUGUUAUUUGAUUAACGGGAUCACAUCAUUAGUUCAAUGAUCUGAUUGACAUGACCCAUUCCAUUAGCUUAGCACCCGAUCGUUUAGUAUGUUGCUAUUGCUUUCUUCAUGACUUAUACAUGUUCCUAUGACUAUGAGAUUAUGCAACUCCCGUUUGCCGGAGGAACACUUUGUGUGCUACCAAACGUCACAACGUAACUGGGUGAUUAUAAAGGAGCUCUACAUGUGUCUCCAAAGGUACAUGUUGGGUUGGCGUAUUUCGAGAUUAGGAUUUGUCACUCCGAAUGUCGGAGAGCUAUCUCUGGGCCCUAUCGGUAAUGCACAUCACUUAAGCCUUGCAAGCAUUGCAACUAAUGAGUUAGUUGUGGGAUGAUGUAUUACGCAACGAGUAAAGAGACUUGCCGGUAACGAGAUUGAACUAGGUAUUGGAUACCGACGAUCGAAUCUCGGGCAAGUAACAUACCGAUGACAAAGGGAACAACGUAUGUUGUUAUGCGGUCUGACCGAUAAAAGAUCUUCGUAGAAUAUGUAGGAACCAAUAUGGGCAUCUAGGUCCCGCUAUUGGUUAUUGACCGGAGACGUGUCUCAGUCAUGUCUACAUUGUUCUCGAACCCGUAGGGUCCGCACGCUUAAGGUUUCGAUGACAGUUAUAUUAUGAGUUUAUACGUUUUGAUGUACCGAAGGUUGUU